UUUUUUUUUUUUUUUUUUUUUUUGUAAUUUUAUCUUAAUUGUACAAAUUCGAAGAUGAGAUUAAAUCUAUAAUGGUUAUUGGUUAAAUCACUUAUCUAACUUUGUUCUUGACAGAUCGUAUAAUAUGAUUGGAACCACCAUCCUAACUUUAUUAGGUGGGAUCCCUUUUUUUUUUUCCCCAAACCCUUGGAUUUUAGUUUUGACUUAUAUUUCAAUUGUCUGUAUCACUUUUUCUUUAUUUAUUAAUUUUCAACAAGUUCUUUAACAAAAGCCUUGAAUCAUAUUUAAAUUCAAAUAACUUAAUCCCCAUUAAGUUCUUUUUAAAUGAAACUUAAUCAUGUGAAAGUUCAUGUGACUAUUAUAAUUGAGAAUUUAUUCUUAGUUGGGUUUUUUGUAAAUAAAAUUUAGUUAUAGGACUGUGAUGAUCCGUUCUCAACCGUAUAAAUAUUGUUCGUUUUGAAUUCAAAAUAACUUUUACGGCUUUAAAACAUGUUUACAAGAUUAAGAGGAGUCCAUAUUUAUAUAGCUUCACGAACUUUCCCCCCUAUUCGAUGUGGGAUGUCACAAGGACAUCAUGAUGCAACGUAUAACAUAAGAUUGUUUCUUAAGUUUGUCUAACCUUGUAAUGUGUUAAAAUGAAGAUGAAGCCAUUAUAACAGAAGAGAAUGAUGAAGUUGUAGAGAGAGCUUAACAAAGCUUGGGUUGGAGAGACUUCAUAGGAAGAGAGAGAGAGAGAGAGAGAGAAAUAAAGGGUAAAAUUAUCAAAAAAGAAAAAAGAAAAAAAAGAGGGUGAUGUCUCCAAAUAAUCAAUAAGAGAUGUCAUUUUUCUAAUUUCAAAGUUCUUCUGGCCCUUCUCUACAAAUAUCCCUAUAAAAACAUUAUAAUAUCAAGUUAAUUUGUUGAUACCAAAAUUUAUAUAUUAUAUUAGGAUGACUAAAUAACAUAUAGAAAGAAUUUUAAAUGAGUAAAUCAAAUCAAUUUUGAAAUCAAAACUUAAUACCUACCAAACUUGUAAUCUUAGUCAUUUAAAGUGUUCCAUGAAAUCUAAAUUAUUAAGCAGUGAAACAAAAAAUAUAAGAUUAAAAUACAAAACGUUGAAAUCAAGAUUCAAACUAUUAAAACGUAAGUGGAGACGUAAGAUGAUGUCAUAAAAAAUAGUGGGAUCCAACAAAAAGUCUAUUAAUCAUUAUCUUCACUUCCAAUCAUGUUUAAAAGGUCACAAGUUCUAGCGGCUUUCAAGGACGAUGUUAAAAAUAAUAAAAAUAAAUCCAAUUAAAUAUUAAUUAAUUUAUUUGAACAAUAGAUAGGACCAAAAUAAUAUUCUAAAAGGAAUCAUAGGGAAGUCCUUGGACAACCUACGACAUUGAACAAAGGUACAGUGAGACAAUGCACUUAGCCCUUCCUUGUCAUUGCGAUGAAUAUAAAAAGACACCCUGAUUGAGGGUGCCCCACUAAGCCAAGAGUGAUUCUUUUGUAUUGUAUAACGUGAAUAUUUUUGAACUUUGAAUGACCCUUCCUAUAGUCAUCAUUGUCAAAACUAGAAAAUCAGAAAGAUGCGAUGUACGAAGGCACCAUUGAAUAAGAGGCUUAAUUCUCUUUGGCAAUUAGGAUAAAGUUUCAAAAUAGAAAAAUUAAACAAAUGUACAGUGUACGGACACUUGGGCAUUGCCUAUUUGUUUUGUUCUUCUAGAGUUGUAUAUGGUAAAGGUCAUAUUGGGUUGGUUCUAUUUGGUUAUUGAAGUCGGCUAGAAUAUUAGAUUUGGUUUCAAUCUAAUCCCAUAUGAUAUUAGAAUACCAGCCCAUACAGAAUUUUUGACCAAAUAUAAUAUUUCUUUUAAAUAUAAAUAUAGUAAUUAAUUUUAGUCUAAGAUUAAUUAUGUAGUUUCCUAAAGAGACCACUUCCUAAACGGUAGCUAUGUGGAAGUUGGGCCAGGUCCUGCCGAGAAGGUUUCCACGAGCUGAGCCCAAAACUGAGUAGCUGUGAUGGGAUCAUUCUAGCAUUCAGCCUGAAACUUGUAACAUAACGGAUCGAGAGGCCUGAACUCCAAGACCAUGGUUCGUCAGCCCAUUAACUUCAACAGCACGCAUUUUAGAGGACUGGGCUUGCAAGGGGUGAGGUUUCCGGGCCGCGACCCCAAAUAUGAACAGCCUCAGAAGUGAUAUUGCUUACUGGCACGUGAAGAGCGCAAGCGUAACUAGAAGAUUUGUAAUGCCGCUUUAAUUGUUUGAUUAUAGAAUCCCACGCAUUACGCAUGGAAAGUGUAAAAGAUAAAAGAUGUAGAAUUUUUUCUUAGAGAAAAGUUCGUUUGGAUAUAGUUAUUGUUUUUUUUUUAAAUAAUAAUUGUUUUUUUUAUAAAUUAUAGAUAAUCUUAGAAAUUUAUCUUUAAAAAAAUAGUUUUUAAAAAUAUUUAAGGAGAAUAAAAGUGAUAAAAAAAAACUUUACAAUUUCAAAUUUUUAAAAAAUGAAAAUUAUUUUUAAGAAUAUAAGUUAAUCUCCUGCAUUUAAAUCUUAGGUGGUUUUUGUUUUUUUUACUUUUCGCUGAAAACAAUUUGUUUUCAAAAUUUAGGUCAUUUGUUUUUUCUAUUUUUUCAUGAUUUAUUAUAAAUUUUUUACUAAAUAAAAAAAAUCAAAAUAUGUAACUUUUUCUAAAUAAAAAAAAUAACGUAUUGAUUUUUCUUUACUUUUUAAUACUUAAUAGAUAUAAAAUACUACAAAAACAAAAAAUCUAAUAUUUAACACUAUUAAGCAUUAAAGUUCUAUUUAGAAUUAAGUAAAAAAACAAACACCACCUUAUAUUUUAUAUAAAAGUUACUUAUAUUUUGGUUUUUGGAAAUAAAAAAUAUAAAGCAUAUCCAAACAUGAGCUUAGCUAUUUUAAAUCAUAUCAAAAUAAUAAUCCCAAUAAGGUAAAUGGACUUUUAUACGGAGAAUAAUCUUUAAGGUUUUCAUUUUUAUUGGAUUUUUUUUUUGUGGUGUUUUUUCAAUCCAUCUUCUCAAUUAAUUCCUUAAAAUUAUUUUACUGUUUUUUUUUUUUUCAGUUUCUAAAUAUUUGAUUUUUCCAAAAUGCUUAAAUGGAAGACACUAAUUUUUCAAGAUAUUUGGUAUUACAAUUUUCCCUGUUCUCCCUAUUAUCUAUCAGAUUCAUGGCCCUUUUGUUUUUUCAUUGGUUUUCAAUUUAAUUUUCCAAAUAUUACAUUGUUGUGUUUUGAAUUUGUGAAACCAAUUUUAUAUAUAUAUAUAGUAUGUAAGUCUACUUUGGGUAACAUGUACAGAGAGGUUUUCAUGUGUUUGAAACCUUUUACCUCAAAAAUUAAUUAUUUUUAAUUUUAUAAUAAAUCUUUUUUUAUUUUUUAUUUUAUUUAGGAAAGCCUAUAUUUAAACUACAUGUUUGCAACGCAACACCAUACAUACUCCUAGUGGAACUUACCUUAGUGCUUGAGGGGGAUGCAGAUCUUCUUCUAAACCUAACUAAUAAGCAUAAAAUUGUUCACUAAUUAGCAUAUCUAGUAAAUCAUACAAAUUGGCAAUAUUUCAUGUUUUUCAUGUUUUGUCAAUAAAAGGCGUCUUGACCAUUUUGUGAGUUUUGUAAUAAAUAAAAAAAAAAAAAAAAAAAGGGCAAAAGGUGACUAAAAUGAGGCACUUUGGAAAGGUUAAUAACCUAAAAGGAAGAUGAAUUAAUACCCCCUUAUUCCUCUUCAAAAACCAUUGAGAAAAUGCAAGAAAUGCUCUUAGUUGUAUGCUAGGCUAACAGCCUAGCAACCAUAAUACCCUUCUUUGCAAUUGUAAGCAUUUUUUUUUUUUUUUUGAAGGCCAAACAACGUUGCAAACUUCCCAAAUCCCUUCUUUAUUUUUUAUUUUUUUAUUUUUGUUUUUAGAAGGAGAAUGAAUUUGAUGACAAACUCCUUGUCAAUCUUAUCCAAACCACGAUCGAACAGAACUCCUUGUCAAUCUUAUCCAAACCGUGUUCCACCUCAAAAACAUGUGUAGGACUUAAGGCAGCAACUGGCAAGCAUGACUGAUAGGGCCAAGUGCCCUUGUCUCUACAAUCCAUUAAGUUAACCAAGGGCAGUGAACCAUCAUUCUUUUCAAAAGCUUCAUUCCGUGUUGAAAAUGUGAGACUGAAGCAUGGUGCCCCCAAAAAUAACGAUCUAUUUACUAGCAGCAUGCCUGGACCCAUUAAAAAUACUCUACUUUAGGAAUAGAAAAAAUUACAUCUUUAUCCAAUAAUUUUAUAACAAUUCAGACGUUUCAGUCUAUAAAUAAUUGUACAUAGUUGCCAACGUUUAGCUAGUUUCAAAUGAAUAGCCUAGGUUCAUGCACCAGUUUGGCUGGUGGAGGAAAGGGAUUCGAGACAUUGAACCCUCUUUUUAGUGUGCCAAAUAUUCCACAAAAAUCACUACCUUCUCUUUGUGUUUGUUCACUUUUAGUUUAUAUUUAAUAAAUCUAUGUUUUCGAGUAGAGGUUGGGUUCAGGUGCGACCCACGUCACCUCUCGGACGGUCUUGAAAAAGGAGACCGGACCACGUAAUUUCAAAUGUAGUGACCAUCUCACUUUUACCUCCAUCCUUGAAGAUGGUUUCCCAAAUCAAUAUUAAUCUUUUGUUUACGACAAUAUCGAUCACUUUAUGUCUAUAUCGUUGUUAAUUUACCUUUUUUUUUUAGCCACAUUAUUUGAAAAUUGAUGCAAACUUUACCAACAUCUUGGUACCAUUUUAAAAUAUUAGAGUUAUUUGAUUAAAAAAAUAAAAUAAUCUCGAUAACUUGUUUAUAAAAUAAAUAUCUUUUAACAUUUAGACUAUUCUCACGCAUGCUUUAAAAUUGUAAAGAUAUUCAUAAAGUGGAACUUUAGACUUAAUCAAUAUCGAUCACUUUAUGUCUCUAUUGUUGUUAUAUUUUUUUUUUACAACAUUAUUUGAAAAUUGAUGCAAACUUUACCAACAUCCUAAUACCAUUUUAAAAUAUUAGAGUUAUUUGAUUAAAAAAAUAAAAUAAUCCCGACAACUUGUUUAUAAAAUAAAUAUCUUUUAAUAUUUAGACUAUUUUCACCAUGCUUUAAAAUCAUAAAGAUAUUUAUAUUCAUAAAGUGGAACUUUAGACUUAAACAUGAUAAUAGUUUUUUUACAAUAUUAUAAUUAUUUUAUCGUUUUAAUUAAGCCCUUUAUCAUACAUAUAAAUGUAAAUUAAUGCUAAAUUUUUAAAGCAACGUAUAACCUUUUACAUCUUUUUUUAAGAUGGUGCGAAAAUCCUAUGAAAAAUAAUAAAAGUCGAUGCAUAAGAAGAUUGUUUUGAUAAUUCAAUAGAAAAAUUCUUUUAAAAUGAUAUUAAAAAAUACCCAUAGAGCCUUUAUUAAAAAAAUCAAUUAUUUUCAUAAUAAAAAUUAUAAUUUUUUAUUAUGUAUUAUUAUUUUUAAGUAUCUUUAUUACAAAUACUUUUUUUGAGUUUAUGAGAGGAAUCAACAGGUUGGUACAAGCUUAGGCGUCCUCGUACAUGUUCCCGCUGUGCAAGGUUUUUGUCUUGUUUCGAGCUAGUCGGAAUUUACGUGUUUGAUAACGUUUUGUCCUAUUUUUGUAACGCUUUAAAGGGCGGCCCACCGUUGGAACAGUUCAAGCCAUCCAAAUCAGCCCGGAGGGUUAUGGCGACGUGGCAUGACGCCUACCACCUUAGUUCACAUGAACCCUAUGAUCGUACUACCCUCACAUGACAUCUGUGAUUCUUCACCUCCAAACCCUCUUUAACUUGGUAAUGUAUUCAAAGCUUCAUCAAAUCAUAGCGAUUAGCGACCCUCUUCCACCCUAAUUUUAUAAUAAAAAAUAAAUCUUAGUGGACAUUAAAGUAGUAUUUUGUGGGGGGAAAGAAAAACUCUAUGGGCGUAUCCACUAAAUACGAGCCAAGUAUAAGAGUUAUCACCAUGGAAUCAAAUUAUGAAGCAUUGACAUUUUAAUUGUAUUCAGAUUUGAGGAGGGCACCGCGGCACCAGCUGGCCCAGUGUAGUCUGCUAGCCUACCCGCCAUAAUGACCAAAUUAAUAAAGUAAAAAGGAUUACAGGGAUAUUCCCAACUUUAUUCUGGGUCUGAGCUGGAACUUGGGAGUUAUCACGAUCAACGGGAAAGAUGGUGGGUAGGGGACGAGGAUUGAGGGCUCCAUAUUCACAUCAGUGAAAAACGAAAUGUAUUGAGACAAGUCUUCUAAGGAUUUUCUAGCGUAUUAUAUGGUUUAAAUGAUUAUAAAUCUGUAGUUACUGGUAAAGAGUAGAGAGUGAAGACGAAAGACGUUGAGUGAAAAGGAAGGAGGAGAGGGGAUGGGGCCAUCUUACCGUGUCGGGGAGGAUCCAUAAAAGGACUACGUUCCCUGAAUCUGUAGGCAUCAUGCCUCGCCUAACGGGUUAGUCAAAAUACAGUGAUGUGUGUGAGUUGGGGGCCUCACUCCUCAUUUCUUUCCUUCUUUUCACCCCCACCCCCACUUUUUUUUUUUUUUUUUCGAAUUUUUCUUUGUCCUUUUCUCUCACUUGCGCACGCGGGAGAAGGACCACAAACUAGACAAUUCCUCUGCUCACGUGACCCCGAGUUUUUAAAUAUUUGCCUAUUUGGAAAAUAGUCAUGAAUCAUGAUCGUUAACAAACAAUCUUCACUUUAUUUAUUUAAGAUCUAUUUUUUGGAGCUCUAGUUUAGUUUAUUAUUAUUAUUAUUAUUAUUAUUAUUAUUAUUAUUAUUAUUUAGUAACUCCUCUUAUAUUAAUGAAAAAGAGAGGAGGAAUCCAAACUUGUUUAUUCUUCCUCUUUUAAGGUGUUUGUUUUUUUUAUUUUAUUUUUAUGCUUCAUAUGUCUUCAAUUUCUUAGCAUUUGUCUUAUAUUUCUUCUUAUCCGAUUCAUUAUUGCAUCCUUGGUCAAUCUUUCACGAGGAGUGCCUACUUUUUUCCUUUUUAUUAUUUAAUUCACUUUAUCUUUAUAUUUUCCUUUUACACUUUAUUUCCAAUUCAAAACGUGUCAAAAAAAAAAAUUGGUAACAAAAAAAAAAAAAAAAAUCAAUUGUAAUGAUUCUUAUAUAAUUUUAUUUAAUUUUUAUUAAACAAUAAAGAAAUUAAAAAUAUAUAAAUUUUUAAAUAAUUAUUAUAGUCUUUCAUUUUUGUGUAUAAUUUCUUUUGCAAGAAAUAGUGUAGGCUUUCCACGGUCUAAAGGAAAUGGAAUAUCAAAUGAGAAGGUAAUAAUAAUAAAGUGAGUUAUAGAUACUAAUCAAACUAAUCCACUAAUGAAUUAUUUAUUUUUAUUUCACAUGGACAAAUCCUAAAAGUUGGAGUUCUAAUUUACUUUUAUGUUAAGCUUUUUUAAGUAAAAAUCUUUUAUUAUUAUAAUUUAUAGACAAAAAGAAACCCAUUAAUGUGAUGGAUAAAAAAUUUCAAUUUAAAAAAAAAAAAAUUAAAGUUGCUAAAUUUUUGUAUUUAUUAUUUCAAACUCAUUUAAAUAAUUUAAAAAUAUGUCUUCAAUUAAUUUUAAUGAAACAAAGCAUGAUUUUUUUUUAAUUUUUUUUUCUUUACCAAAUAAAGCAUUAUUAUAAUACGUUGAUUAAAUUUUCAUCAUGUCUCUCAAGAUUUGGAUUAAAUAUACUUAGUUGUCAUAAAUUUGAAAUUUUAUUUAAUGUAUUUUUUAUUUUAAAUUAAAAAGAUGAAUGCAAAUAAAAAAAAUAUGUAUAUUUUAUAAAAUUUUAAAUUAAACGAAGGAUACGUGUAUUUAACCAAGGUGAAUGAAAUUAAUCCAAAUACUUUUUGGUAACUUGCAAAAUAUCUUGACGAAAUCAUUAUGGCAGGCAUCGUACAAGCUCAACCCUUGUCGCCUUGCUAGAAAUAGAGAAACAAAAAGACCCCCAAAUUGGGUUGCAUCCUAAAUAUGAAGAAGUGGUAACAAAGGAAGAAAAAAUGCUGUGUUAUUGAAUAGUUAAUACAUUGAACAUGAUAUGUUACAUAGAGAGCCAGAUUAAUCCUAGUGGAAUUCCACUGUCACGAUGGUAACCUAGGGUUAUGUUUGGUUAUUGAAAAUACCAAGAAAAGAAAAAAAAAUAUAAAGGAAAAUAAUUUUUUCAUUUUUGAUUGUCUUAUAAAAGAUAUAAAAAAAAAACAAAUAUAAUUAAAACUAAUUAAAAAUUUAGGUAUUUUUAAAUUAUUUAAUUUUUAUAUUAAUGAGCGAAAAUAAAUAAAAUAAGUUUAAAAUAACAAAAAAAAUAAUUUACCGAUUUUUAAUCUAUAUUUUAUUUUACUUUUUCUUUGUAUUUUUUUUUUCUUAUAUUUUCCCUCAAAUUUUCUGAAUCAAACAUAGCAAAAAAGGAGCUACCCCUUUCGAAAGAAACUCCCAAGAAUUUCAAAGAAACCUGCUGAGAUAAUGAAUGAGGGAUCACUGUCGGUAAACAGUAUCCAUUCUUUUGGGAGGACUUUCAAACUGAGAAGUUGUUUUCAUGACUUGGAAACAAAAUUUUGAGCUCUAAGGGGGUCUGUAUUUGGGCCCUAAAAUUCAAUCCAUCAAUCUGAAAAAUGCUUAGGAUAAUGAUUUGAUUUAGCCACAAUCACUAAACAAAUUCCAGAGGAAAAUUUCGCUACUCAUAGGUGGCUGAUUCUCAUAAAAAGACAUCGUGGUAGGGUGUCUCAAGUGCAGGCUCACCAUCAACUUGCUGCCCUUUUUAGAUUAUUGUAAAAUGAUUUCACAUGAAGCCCAAUGCAAAACUUUGAAAGAAAAGGUUGGUGGAGACGUGAAGAAUAUGUAACCCAUAGGCCAUAACUAGUACCGAAGAUUAUUGAACAAACAUUCAAGGUUUUUGUAUAGACGAAACUGAAAAGAAUGUGUACCAGACUCAGGCGUUCAGAUCAGAUGAUGCCGUAAUGUGGAUUGUGGAGGAGCAUUGUGCAGACAGAUAAUGAGAUUCUGAAAGCGAGGCCACUGAUGGGCCCUUGGAAGGGGGGCGUGCCUUCAAAAUUAUAUAUAUAUAUAUAUAUAUGUCAUUGAAAAUUGGAAGCAACUUUUCUUCUUAAGUUAUUUUAAUCGAAGAAGAAACAAAAAGUUAAAAACAUACAUUAUUCUUCCUUCUUACGAGGUUUCCGGGUCUAAAUUACUAUGGUCUCUGCAACUGGCGUCGUUUUCUCUCCCCUCUCUCUAUUUUCCCUUUAUUUUUUCACUUUUAGAAAGAAGCAUCCCAUCAAGAAUCUACUACAACCCUACGCUUCCAUUUUGAUUUAGAAAGUUAAAAAUAAGUUUAAGUUAAAAAAAAAUAUUUUCUUAUAUAAUUAUUUAAACUUAUUUCUUUUCCUUUUUAUAUAAAGAAACAAAUAUUUUGCAAAUAAAUAAAUUUCUAAUUAUUUUCAUUAACAUAAUAAUAAUAUUUUUCAUAUGACUUUAAUCACAAUUUUUUUUACCACUUGUCCAAGGCGGUGAGAGGUGAUAAAAUGUAUUAAAAAAACGAUUAAAUUGCAUUAGGUAUAGAAGUUUUGUGCUUCAAUUAUCACUUAUAAAAAUAAAAUAAAAAUAGUCAAAUUUGAGUGUGCAAGUUGGUAUUCGUAUGUAGAAGGAAUUGGGGGAUUUGGGGGUCCUAACAAAUUUGAUAUGAUUGAUGGAAGGAAAUGAUUAUUAUAGGAUAAAGUCCGAAUGAAACGCUGACGAGGGGGGAAAAACAACAGUGGCAAUGCACUAUCCACAGAUCCAUGAUUGAUUUAUGUUAGCAAUAAUGAAUUAUUUUGACUUUGAUAACCUUGGUUAAGAGAAUUUGGUCUUGUUAUUAUCAUUUUUUCAAAAAAAAAAAGUGUAGGUAACUAGGUAGUUGAUUUAUUAGAAUUUAGAAAUGAGGAUCCCCUCCUCCUGCAAGAGCCGUGACAGACAUGCCUGCUUUCUUGCCAGAUUAUACCAAUGUGCCCAAAUAAUCCCCCAUCUAUCAUCUCUGCACCCUGGAACACGUCACUCCCUCCUUUGAGCAAUAAAAUAUCUCUUUUAUUUUCUUUUGAACCACUCUUCUAUUUCUUUGUACCAGACUGGACCCAUUUAAAUUCUUCGCUACGCUGUUCCCAAGGACUACGAGAAUCAAAAUAGCAAAAUUCUUGAAUCAUUUUAAUGGGUUCAGAAACCACAUGUUUCUCUAGAUCAUAAGAGGAAAAUCUUUUUGGAUGGUGUUUGUGUUGUGUUGUGUUCAAUAUUAAAUACUCAAUUAAAUAAGCUAAAUCAAAUAUCACAUGAAAAAUAAUCAAAUUAAAAAUAGGGAGAAUUAUGUUUUGAGGGUAGAUGGACCCCAAAUUAACAAAAGGUUCAUGUAACUCUUCAAAUUGAGCCCAGACCCAAUGAAAAUAUGGAAAUUGAGUUGAAGUAUAUCAUCAUUCAGUAUUUCCAAAAAUGUCCUUUGUUGAUUUUGAGAAAAAAAUUAAUAUUUUUGAAAAAUAUUUUUAUGUAAUUUAAUAUUUUUUUAAAUACUUUUAUUUAAUUUAAUAUUUUUAAAAAAUAAAUUUAUUUAAUUUAAUAUUUUAAAAAAUAUUUAAUUUAAUAUAUUUUUUAAAUACUUUAAUUUAAUUUAAUAUUUUUGAAAAAAAUUUUAAUUUAAUAUUUUUGAAAAAAAAAUUAUUUAAUUUAAUAUUUUUUAAAACUAUUUUUAUUUAAUUUAGUAUUUUUGAAAAAAAAUUAUUUAACUUAAUUUUAUAAAAUAUUUUAUAUGUGUUCUUAAAGGGUAUAUUUGUCCGUUACUAUUUCAUAUCCUUCAACUCAAUUUAAAGAGUUAUAUGGACCUUUUGUUAAUUUGGGGACCCAUCUACCCUCAAAAGAUAAUUCUCCCUUAAAAAUAUAAAUUUAAAUAUGACAUAAUUAUUAAAUAUGUUAGAUCUUGUAUGAGUUUAUAAGAUUUAUGUUUCAAAAUAACAUGUUUAUAAUUCAUCUAUUGAUUUAUAAUCAAAUUUUAAAUAAAUUAAAGUUAUUCAAGUUAAUAAAUAUGAUUUAUGUUAUAAAGACUAACUAAAAAAUAAUUUAUUAAUUAAACGGAUCCUGGUCAAUAAAAAUUUGAUUUAAAUACGAUCAUACUUAAUCAAAACUUAGGUCAAAUUGUAUUGAUAAAUUACAUCAAAACCUUGUUGUGUUCAAUAUUUUAUAUUAAACUAUUUUUUAAUAAAAUUAUUUUUAUAAAUAUAAUAUUACAUCAUUUGGAGAAACAAAAUAGUAUUAUAUUGAUUUUACAUAUAAAGCAACCAGUUAACCCCUCAUUAUUUUGAUCCAUUUCACAUCCAUAUCAUUCUCAUAAUUUUUUUAUAAUAUAUUAACAUGAUGGACGGUAAUUGAGGGUAGAAAAAAAAGAUGAGAAGAAUAAAAUAAUGUGAAUCCUCUCUAAAUGUUACAUCUUCUGACAAAUGAAGUCUAUAGAAAUGUGUAAAAAAAAAAAAAACACUUAAUUGUGAGGUUCACUUGAUUUAGCAAAAAAUUAAUAUUUUAUUUGUUGUGUGAUUUAAAAAUAAUAUUUUAUUUUUAAAAAUAAAAAAUUAUUUUUAAAGUUUUUUAACACUAUUUUACUAUUGUUCUUUGAAAUAAUUUUUAAAAUUAAAAUGAAAUAACUAAUAAUUUUUAGAUAAUAAAUUAAAGUUGUUUUUAUUAGAUUUUAAAAAUAAAAGAAAAAUAUAAAACCAUUUGAUCAAAUUUUUUUAAACUUAUUUUUAAAAGGUUUUUUUUUUUUUUUUUUUUUUUCUAUCCUAAGUUAAAAGAUAAAAAAUAAUUUUUAAAGAUAGGUUACGAGCAAAUGCCACAAACUUUUUUCUUCUCUUUCCCUUGUUCGGAUAGAAGUGAAAAAUAUCCUCCCAUGGAUCGACAUUACGUGAGCCAUCACCAUUCCCCAACUGCAAUUCAACCGCCAAAGCUGAGGUGUCAUUAUUAGUUUGAACAAAAGUCAGCAUUGUCCACGUGGUGACAAGCGGAACUGACCCAACUUGCAAGGCAAAAAAAUAAAUAAAAUAAAAUGAAAAAAUCAGAUCACCAUUAUGACGUCAGUCCAAUUGCUGACCUGGCCGCCGUCCCCCAUUUGACCCACGUGUUCAUUUAACCCAUUCGCCGUAUGCCGUGGCUCCCCACCCAUAUGGCCAUAUCUGCCAUUUAUUUUAUCCGUUGCCUCCAUUCGGUUUUUGGAUUUUACCCAUUCGCCCUCGUCUAUUCCCAUUUCCGUAUUUGCCCACCAAGGAAAUUCAAUUCCCAUGCUUUUGUUUUACAUUCAAAUCCUCCCCCCUCUAUAUAAAGGAGGGAGUAGGGCUUGAAAGUUUCUCAAGCCAACAUGGACUGUUGAGAGUGAAAGACAGAGGAGCCACAAACAAAUAUCACUCACUCAAACCAAAGCCAAAACCAAUACCGAAUUCAAUUCAAAUGACUUCUUUCUCUCUCAUCAAUUCCCUGAAUUCCGAUUCCGAUUUCAAUUUGUUAUCGGAUUCUUUUUCCUGGGAAAACUCCCUACCUUUCAAUGAAAACGACUCCCAGGAGAUGCUCCUCCUGGGCAUGCUGGCCAGCUCCACUCAGGAAACCUCAGAAACAGUUUCUUUGAAUCGAGUGAAGGAGGAAGAAGUGACUUCCCAGGAAAAUCCCGAGAAGGAGAAGUCAUACAGAGGCGUUAGGAGGCGGCCAUGGGGGAAAUUCGCAGCAGAAAUAAGGGACUCGACCAGGCAUGGCAUAAGGGUGUGGCUGGGAACAUUUGACAGUGCAGAGGCAGCUGCUCUGGCCUAUGAUCAAGCUGCUUUUGCGAUGCGGGGCCCUGCGGCAGUCCUCAAUUUCCCGGUGGAAAGAGUGAAGGAAUCGAUGCAGGAGAUCAAGUGCAUCUUGGAGGAGGGGGGCUCACCAGUGGUGGCCCUCAAGAAGAGGCACUCUAUGCGGAGAAAAAGUCCUUGCAAGAAACAUAAAAGUGAAGAGGUGAGGUUAGAAAAUGUGGUAGUGCUGGAGGAUUUGGGUACUGAAUACUUGGAACAGCUCCUCACUUUCUCUGAGACCUCUAGUCCUUGAUCAUCAUCAUCCAUCACCUGGAUAGCUUCUUCUCUUUGCUCUGUUUCUUACUUUUCUCUCUCUCUCUCUCUCUCUCUCUCUUUUUUUUUUAUGUAAUUUUUCUUAAUGUAUUUUUGGAGAUGGCGGGGGUGUAGUGGUGGCAAUUAUCCAUCUAGAAUUUUUCAAAAGAUAUGUUCUUUUGUUUCUUUGUAUAAAGUUGAAAAGUGGGGAUCAAUUGUGAUGGUGCUCUAUGUUCAUCCACCCAAUUUAUAUAAUCAAGGUGAUUAAUGUUUUUUGAUAUCAACAAUUUGUGAAUGACAUAGAGAGAGAGAGAGAGAGAGACCUUAUUUUCUACACUCAUUACGGUGGUUUCCAUUUGGGGAAGGAAAAGGAAAUGGCUAAGAAUGUUACCAAAAGAAGUGGGGUGGCUUUCAUAUGCGUGGUGGCAUACUUGCAUACAAACUUUUCAAUUGUGUUCUGCAUGCCACUCGGGUCAAUUUCAUUUCUUUUACUCCUAGUAGCCUAAUUGGAUUUCCUUUUUCUCAUGAGACAUCAAAUAAAUUUCAUUUUUUUAUAUUUAAAUAGUUAGGUAAGUUUGAUAGUGAGUUAUAUUUUAUACAUUAAUUCAUCUUUUAGAAUGUUGUCUACAAUAUAAACAGUGUAAUUAAUUUCAUCAUUACAGAACAGUCAUCUUAUAAAAUAACAUAAAAAUUAUUGGAUCACUUGUAUGGCACCACUGAUUUGGACUUGGUAUGGCUCUGUUUGGCUUCAUAGAAAAAAUUUGGACCCAAUUUGAAUGUCUUGCAUAAAAAGAGAUACGUCCCACUUUGAAUGAUAUUGAAGAAAAAAAUUUCUGAUGAAGAAUAUAUUGUUGGCAGGGUCAUGCAGGCCAAUAGGGAAACGAUAAAUUCAGAAGAAUGAGUCCAAACCAGUGGGCUUGAAAAUUAAGAAGAGAAUUGCUGUAUAAAACAAUCAUUUCUUAAUCGAGUUCACUUUCUGAAUAAUCGUCACUUUGAGAAUGCAUACUUAGGAAGAUGAUGAUCCUUAAUGGGAAUAAUCAAAGGCAUCAAAAAAUUGUUCUGGAACAAUUCUUGAUUGUCUCCAGUAAAAUUCAAAGUCAAAAGUCAAAAGUCCAGUCGGUCAACACCAAACCAGGCCAGUCCAAAAGACAUUAAUUUGCAAUCUAGAAUCUAUGAUGAGGUGGCGAAAUCAAACCUUGGCUUUUCACCAGGGAAUGGUACUCUGAAUUUGGUCAGUUCACUGUUUCGAGUGAAUAGGGUGUAGUAAUUAGUAAAUCAUAUUUUAGAUUUGUGUCACAAGUUACAAGGGAUAUGGGCUGACGUUCAAUUUUGGCGACAAUUUGUGGGCCCGUAUAUUUGUUGAGAUGUGGAAAUUGGGUGUGUGCUUUUUUCUGCUACCACAUAAAUAUAUUUCUUUGAAUUGAAGAGUGUUUCAGACCAUUUUUUUUCAAGUCACAAAUGGACAACUGAUUGAGAUUGUAUUGGUGAGAGUAGGAGUUUAUUUUGGGCUGGUUGAGCGAAGUUGAAAGUCGAGUUGGACCUAACCCUUGAAUUCAGCAGACUACAGUCCGAUCCUGUAUUUUGGAUUUAGGGAACCUUCUUUCCCAGAAGCUUCGUCUGGGUUUUAAAGUCUAAAUGUGGCUACUCUUAAACAUUGGAGAAAGGAUGAGCGUUCACAAGCAAAUGGGUAAUUGUGGAUGGUUCAAGGACCUGGCCAGCUGGUCUUCAAGUUUGGAUGCCGGUUUGGGCCUGAGAGAGUCUUUGCAAAGUGACUUCACUUCAGCCUAUGAGAUCAAGAUAUCAUGGUGAUGUCCGAUCACUUAGGUUUCAUUUUCACCUCGGAUUACCGUUACCAUGUUCAUGAAUAAAAAUAAAUAAAUAAAUGAAGCCUUAUAGAGAAAUUAAUGAAGUGAGCUAUACAAGCAACUGGGCCAGGAGCCUACAAGGCAGAAAUUCCCUGCCCUAGACUAGGCCGAAUAAAUUAGAUGAAUGAAUUGGGGAAACCUGGGCCAGCCACACAUCCUCCUGAAGGCUGAUGUCGAACUCGCUUACGAGGAAUGGACAUGGGAGAUUGGGCUGGGACCAAAUAACCAAUUGACAGCCCUAUCCUUGUGGCAAGACGUCAGUAAAAUGGUUCAUUCUGAUUUUACGCUGCCAUUCAAUUUAAUUUUAAUUUUUGUUUAAAGCGAUGUACAAAUUGAAUGGUGUCUAGUCACUUAAAGAGUGGUUCAUAAUACACUUAAUUUAAACAAAAAAGAAAUUAUUAGAUAGGGGAUUCUCCAAUAAAAACCACCCCAUCUUGUCAGCAAGUCCGGAAACUUCCUUCACUUAGGGCGUAUUUGUUUUUUUAACUUUAAUAUUAAAGAAAGUUGGUUAAACCUUAUGACACUUUUAUAUUAUUUUAUGAAUUUUUUUUAAUUUUUAUUUUAAUGGAAUUUUAACUUUAAUACAAGUUGGAGUAAUUCUUAUCUUAAAAACAAAUCAAAAUUACUUUAAUUUUAUAUAGAAAUAAACUUACAGUAAAUUUACCAUGAAAAUUUCUAAGUCAAAUACACCAUAAGUGCUAGUAUUUUAUAAUAUUUAGAAACAUGUUAAAUUAUUAUUAUUAUUUUUUAAAAUUAUUAGUUUUCAUAUUAGUUUUAGGGAAACUUGUGCUUUAGGUCUUUUAUUUGCAAAUAAUAUGGUUUUCAAAUCCUAAGAAUAGAAAAUAUGAGAAUCAACUGUUAAUGUGGAAAAUAAUAUCAAUUUUGUGCAAUCUCUAUUGACUCAUUUUUUUGUGCCUAGAUUGCCUUCACCCACUUCCAUGUCAACAACCACAUUAAUAGAUUGUUUUUUUUUUAUAAAACAAAUAAUUAUUAUGUUUAAAAUUUUGGGGAAACUCUCUAUCUCUCUUACUUCUUCACUACAUCCGAGACCCAUCUUCCUUAAACGUUUGCCUCUCAUUUUGCCCUAACCCCAAAUCUCAUAAAUUUCUCAUUUUCUUGCCUCAUUUGAAAUAUGAAGAUGACCGAUUCUCAAACAUCUCUGUCUCUCUCUUCACGUUUUGACCAGUCUAAUUGGAAACCCAUUUUCCAAAAACCUUCUUUCUUUCAUUUUGCCCUAACCCCACUAUCUCCCUCUUCAAGACCUAAUCACCCAAACUCGAUAUCUAUCUUCCCAAAACCUUCAAGCAAACUGAACUAGACCCAUAUCUUCUUUUUUCAUCAUCAAAGGUGAAAUUUUUUUAAGGCUUUUGGAAACCGAAUUGGAGCUUUCCCUUCUUCUGGGAUUAAUCAUUCGCAAGUGAGUUUUCCAUUUAAGGCUUUGUUUGGCUGUUGAAAUCUUGGGAUCAAAGGUCUUUUAUUUUCAGGUUUCUUGUAUUUUGCUUUAUUUUCUUGUAUAUAACAAUAAUCAUUGUAACAUAUGCUAGUAGUUACCCUUGGUGCAACUUUACAUUUCCAAAUACCCUAAAGUCCAAAGCUUUUAAUUCCCUUUUCAAAGCUUUCAACUUUGAAAGCAGACUAAACCAUAAGAACUAUGAAACUUAUAUCUCUAUCACCACUAAUUAAGCAUGUCUAUGAAUCCUUCCACUUUAAGUCACUUAUUCUCAAACCAAGAAGGGCUCCUCUCAUUCUCACCCCACCUCAUCUAAAUGAGGGAAAUGAUCAAUUGCAGCCAUGCUUUGCACCAAAUUAGAGAAGUGAUCCUCCCAAUCAUCCAUUACCAAAAAUUGAUCAUGCUGAUGAGAUCAUAAGAGUCUAUUCGGAACUCCCAGUUUACUUGCCUCUUAUCUCAGGAUCCUCCAUUACCCCCUGUCUUUCCAACAUCAAAUCAACUUGCAAACAAUUCCUUUGUAGAUAAAAUGUUUUUAAUAUUGCAAAAGGGGACUUAUCAUAAUGGUUGAAUCGAUUUAUUUGAUAUAAUCACUCAAAUUCAAGCUUAAAAUUGAUCAUAAUAAAAUGUUUUUAAUAUUGUUAAAAGGAGAUUAUAAUGGUUUUAUUUGAUAUCAUUACUAAAAUUCAAGCUUUCAAACAUGCUCUACAAAGAAGUUCUAAAAGACUACAAGAAAGAGUUUCCACUAAAGAAAAACAAUGAAACCAUUUCUACUAAAGACAAACAAUGAAACCACAGAUGCUUUGUGAAAUAUGUACCCGCACAAUCCAACAAACUUUAGAAAUUCACAAACACUACCUAGAAUUUUUGCUGACCAGCAAAAAAUUUAUGCAAUUUAAUUCUUAUUGUUAUUAUUAUUUUCAAUGUGAACAAAUAUGAUUGAAUUAUGAAGUAUUUGGCCAGAAGAGGAUCUUGCCUAAUUAUAGUCAUUAAACAACCAUUUAUACCAUAGCCUCUAGACUUUAAAAAGUUUAUAAAACUCAAGGGCUUCCACCCAAUUUCUAGAUAUCUCCAUAACAUUCUUCUGACUAUUAGAAAGCAAUUACCACUUUAAUUUUUCAUUUCAUGAGUGUUCAAUUCAGAAAAAGACCAGGAUCGAACUUGCGAUCAUGCAGUCGAAAAUCCACCUGUGCAUGAAACUAUUGCCUCACGAUUGCAAACUCAAGUUGGAGUCCAGUAACAACUCUAGGUUUGCUGAUGUGCUCCAUUUGAAAUAAAGGAACUAAAGAAUACUUUAUAAAGAUUAAUUACCUUCAUAUUUUAGGUUGGGGUUAAGGCAAAAUGUGAUAGAUUGAGAGGAAGAAAAUAUAUCUUGUUCAGGAAGCCAAUAUUUUGGAGUUCACCUUUCCAUUCGAGUCCACUCUGCUAUAGCAAAAUCAGAGUCACAACUAUGCCUCUUUAAGCUAUCCUUUAAUUGGAUGAAUUGCAGAUUUGGUUGCUGAGAAAGUGGAUAAGAAAGAAAAAUGCAUACUGUAGCUUGAGAUUAAGAGUUUGUUUUCUAAAAUGAGAGAAAGGGAAAGAGAAAAAAUGCAUAUUGUAGCUUGAGAUUAAGGGUUUGUUUUCUAAAAUGAGAGAAAGGGGAAGAGAAAUGUUCGACAACUUUGAGAUGACAAAUUUUUAGAUUUGGAAAAUUUGAGAUGAGUCUCAGGUUUUUUUUUUUUUUUUUUUGUCUUUGUCUUUGUUUUUUUUUUUUUUUUUUGUUUUUUUCCCAAAAACAACCUGUUAAUGUGGUUGUUGACAUAGAAGUGGGUGAGGGCAAAAUGGGCAUAGAAAAAAGAGUCAACACAAAGUGCACAAAACCCAUAUUAUUUUCCACAUUAAUGACUGAUUCUCAUAUUUCUUGUUCUUGGGAUUUGAAAACCAUAUUAUUUGCAAAUGGACCUCCCAAAGCACAGGUUUCCCUUAGUUUUAUGUCUCCAUCUACAUUUUACAUAUAAAUAGAUUAUUUUAUAAAAUUUGUUUUGUAGAUAUAUUAGUUAAUAAUUAUAUAAUUAAUGAUAUAGAAAACAUAUAAAAAUCAUAUUUAAAAAAGAUAAUUACAUAUUCCUCAACAAUCCAUCCCAAGAAUUCGAGGUUGAGUUGAAAACAUGUAGAGUCUUUGAUGUUAUUAUAAUCAUAUCCAACACAUAUGAUUAUUGUUUAUGAGAUAUUAUUAGAAAGUUUGUCUUAAAAUAAUUGAUUUAUUACCCACCUUUAGCAAAUGCCCAUUUUUGCGUCUUUCAAAAUUUUCAUUUUUUUUUUGUUUAAAAGAAGUAUUGUAAAGAAUGAUGAAAUAAGAAAUUUGUUGAGAAAGUGUGAGUAAAUAAUUUUACAUAAAAAGAGAUUUAAUACUUGAUAAAUAAAAUAAUAAAAUCAUGAUUUCUAGUUGUAUAGGGCCGGGUGGAUGGAGUGGCUAAGAUGUAAUUCUUGAAAUAGAGGAGACAACAUCAAUGUAUAAAAGUUUAACAGAGAAGGAAAGUGUGUUUGAAUGACUUUAUUUUCUUCAUUUAAAGUUUUGACGAUGAGUGUUUAUACAAGAUAAAUUUUCAAAUGAUAGGACUCCUAUUUACAUGGAGUUUGUGAUAUACUAUGAUUAUACAAAUUUAAAAUUCAAACAGAUUCAUGAGUUGAUAGGAGUCUGCUCAAUACGCCCCUUCAAAAUGGUGGGAGAUAGCACACCAAUCUUGACUCGAAGGGCCUAAACUCGUGCAGAAGAUGAGGGCUUUGUUAGAGCAUCGACAAGUUGAUCCGUGGUUGACAUAUGGGACACCUUGAGCUCACCUGAUUAAACCUUGUUUCAAACAAAAUGAAAAUCAAUCGCCGAUGUGUUUCAUGGAGAGUGAAACAUGGGAUUUGCACAAAGAUAUGUUGCACCCACGUUAUCACAAGAGAUAGGAGGUGGUGAUAAAUUUGAAACACUAAGUUUUGAGAGAAGAGAAUUAACCCAAAGAACCUUUGAGGCUGUAGAGGCCACGACGUGAUAUUUCGCUUCAGUGGAAGAGCGUGCUAUGAACUUUUGUUUCCUCGAUGACCAAUACACAAGAUUGUGACCAAGAAAAACAAUGGGAGCAUUGGUGGAGGAUCUGACAUAAGGAUUCCUUGCCCAUUCAACAUUCGAAUAUGCAUGUAGAUUGAUGGGCGAUUUCUUAUGCAAGAACAGACCAUGCACCAUUGUGCCGACUAAGUAUCUAAGCAAUCUUUUAACACAAGACCAAUGUGUUGAUGUUGGAUGGUGCAUAAAUUGAGAUAAUUUAUUCAUCAAGAAGGUGAUGUCAGGGCUAGUAAGAGAGAAGUAUUGAAGGCUUCCAACAAUUGACAUAUAUUUAGUGGGACCAGGAAAAGAGGUGUCAUCACACAGAUUUGGAACAUUGUUGAGGAACAUCAAUGAUUGAACUGGUUUGGUAGCCACCAUUUGUGUUUUCUUAAGAAGCUCUCGAAUGUACUUGAGAUAAAAAUAAUCCUUUGGAAGUAUGUAUCAUUUCAACACCAAGAAUAAAAGAUGAAGUCCUGAGAUCCUUAAUGGAGAAUUUGACUGCUAAUUGAGAGAUCACGCGAGCACGAAAAACAUUAUUGUUACUUGUUAAAAUAAGAUCAUCAAUAUAAAUAAGUAGGUAAACAAUGAGACCACUCUUUUUAAAAAUGAAGAGGGAUGUCUCGGUUUAGGAGUUGACGAAGGCUAUUGAGAGGAGAAAUUGGCAAAGUUCAUGAUACCAUGAUCGUGGAGCUUGUUUAAAGCCAUAAAAAGCCUUACAAAGUUGGCAAAUGUGAUGAUGUGUGUAUUCGUGAACCCAGGAGGUUGAAUCAUGUAAACAUCUUCAUGAAGUGUCCUAUGCUAGAAUGCAUUAUUAAUGUCCAAUUCAUGAGUUGAUAGGAGUCUGCUCAAUACAAUGUGGGAGUGUGAUUUCAAAAUUAGGGUAAUUUCGAAAUGGAUUUUGUAUUCACAAGUUGAAUUUCAAAAUUAUUUUGAAAUGGUCUUUUAACUUUAAGCAGUUGUGUUCAAAAGGUCAUAACUUCUUCGUUUCAAUUUUGAUUUACACAUUGUUUAAAACAUUGGACUCUUUACUUCCCGAGCUUCAAAACGAUAUAUAGUAUGCUCAAAAAUGACAUCAGGAUUGGUUCAAAUUUCAUCUUGAUAUUAGAGUACAUGUUGUGAUUAGAUUUUGAGUUCCAAAUUUCCAUGUAAACUUGAUUGCAUUUGCUUCAAACCUCCUUCAUUAUGGUUGCUUGCCCUCUAUCUCACUUUGCAACAUUUGUUACUAGUAUUUUAUGUCCAUGACUUACUCAUUUCAACCUUUCUUGGAUUCUUCAUGGUUCACAAAUUAUGGAUUCUUCAUGGUUCACAAAUUGAGUCUUUCAAUUAUGCAUGUUUAACUCCUAUUUCCUUGGUUGAUAAUGACUUUUACACUUAUCAUUUUCUUUUAUUCUUUAAACCUGAAUUUAGACUUACAAAAAAAAGUUAGAUCCAUAACUAGGGUCUUAGCAUCAAUUUGAGUUAAGUUGGAUGAUUUGAAAAUUUUAUAUUACAUAAAUCAUAUCAUACAUGUGCCAUUGGAGUGCACAUUUUGGCUCUAAUCAUGUUCCAACCCAUUGUUUUACUCUUGCAUGAAGUAUGUGGCCAUUGAUUUUAAUUUUAUUUGCGAUUAGGUUCAAAAUGGUGCUUUUGUGUUGCUCAUGUGUCAUCAGAAGAUCAACUAAUGGAUUCUCUAACAAAACUACUACAUCAUAGUCAUUUUUUUUUUUCUUAAGACCAAGAUUGAGAUCUCCAAUCGGAGCCAACUCCAUCUUGGGGGCAUGUUAGUGAAAGAUAAAAUUUAUCUUUAAUUUAAAUAUUAAUAUUUAUCAGUUAUUAGUUUUAAUUAGAGUAAAAGAUAGAGUUUAAAUUGGAGUAGGAGAUAAACUUGUGUUUGAACUAGAAUAGAAGAUAAAGUAUAAAGAUUUAUGUUUGAAUUAGAAUAAAAUAUAAAGUUUGAAUUAGAGUAGAAGAUAAACUUGUUCUUUAUUUGUAUAUAAAUAUUCAUCAAUUCUUGAGAAGAAGAUUAUUUCAUAGUUUUUCUAUCUUCUUUUUUCUUCAUACAUAUCUGCAAGAAAUUGAAGAUUUCAAGUAAAAUAUUUUCUGUUUUAAAUAGUGAAAAAAGCUAGAAAUUCACUUUGUUAUCUCUUGGGGUAAAUUGACAAGGUUUAACGUUAAGAAGGUGAAUUAUUUUUUCAGAAAAACUGAAGUAGCUAGGAUAUCUGGCCAGUUGUGAUCGAUAAAAAAGUUGUAAAAUCUCUCAUAUACUAAACAGGUUUUGGAUGUUGGUAUGGUAAAUCCAUCUGCAGUCAUUCGUCAUCUCAUCUAGUGAGAUGUUUGGGAGGUGGUGACCGCCGGAUUGGGUUUCAUUUGGUUAAAUCUGUCAGUGGGUUGGCUACUACCCGAGCCUCUUGCUUUGGGGGAGGUGGGUUCUAGAUAUAAUGUUCAAACCAUUUUAGUUAUCAUAUGCAUGACAUGUAAGCAUAAUCUCUUUAUCACUUCUUCAAUGGGAGUUCAUGGUUAGGAAUUGACUUCUUUUCUUCUGGGAUGCUUGGCAUGUAAUGGACAAAGUUACUUUUAUAUCGAUCGAAUUUCUAGUAUUAUAGUGAAGACUUACCCUUUUGACAUUUUAUAUCGAAUUAUAGAAGAUGAAAGGGACAUACAUGCAAUCGACUGACGCUUUAGUGAAUAUGCUGAAAAUAUGCUGAUGCUGUGGAGAUCGUAUGAGGACAGAGGAAAAAGAUAGAAAUGGAUAUAUAAUUAGACCUAGGUUUUUAUUAAAUGAGAUGGGGAACAUAGAGUGAGGGAAAAUCAAAAUUUUUGGCUGCAGUUCACAUUGGUGAUAUUUUGGAUUGACAAAGACUAACGACUUUUCUAUUUUUCUUUUCGGCCUGACUGGAUAGUUGGACAUGGACAAUACAGAAUCCACAGAAGGAUUGUUGGGACCGCUGAAAAUUAGCUAGAAGAAGCUGAGGAAGUAGUCUACGUAGUCAAAUACCAAACACAAAGAAAGAAAGAAAUGGAUAUCAUGGAUGCCUAGAGUUAUACUCCUAAUACCGUCACAGGUAUUUUUCUUUCCUCCUUUUUUUUUCUACGAUAAUUAGAGCAUUUCUCCUCCUCCUCCUCCUCCUCCCCCCACCCCACCACCAAAAAAUAAAAAAAUAAAUUAUUGCAAGUAACACUUCAAAUAUUAAUUUAUACAUUCUAAAGUAUAUAUUCAUGAAAUAACUUGAGUAUCAUACAUUAGUUCUCAAAAAAAAAAAAAAAAAAAAAAAAAAAUUACUGGAAGAGAAAAGUUUAAGAAAACAUAAAAAUAUUCAACUACUAUUUUAAAGAGAAAAUUUAAUUUUUACACUAUAAAUUUGAAGAGAACUUUUACAUGCAUCUUAUAUAAACUACCAUUUUUUGCUAAAAGGCUUAAAUUUGUCAAAAAUACCCCUUAGGUGCUUAACGUUCUGGUCAUAAUAUAAUUGGCAUCUUUUCUCAAACAUAAGGCCUGUGUGUGGGAACAAGAUUUAAUGUUAAUGAGCUUCGCCACCGACAUUUAGUUCCAGAAAUCAUUAUUUUAAUAGAGUGGGCUCAAUUUACAACUUUAAUUAAACUCUAACCAACUGCAUUGUGAAAUGAAUAUGUUUCUUUCGUGGUGAAUCCAAUGAGUUGGGAGUCAAACUUUGCUUCAUUGUGUAUAGAUGAAAUGUUAAGACUCCAUGUAACCUCAAACAUUUCCGCAAUNNNNNNNNNNNNNNNNNNNNNNNNNNNNNNNNNNNNNNNNNNNNNNNNNNNNNNNNNNNNNNNNNNNNNNNNNNNNNNNNNNNNNNNNNNNNNNNNNNNNUUCUUUCGUGGUGAAUCCAAUGAGUUGGAGUCAAACUUGCUUCAUUGUGUAUAGAUGAAAUGUUAAGACUCCAUGUAACUCAAACAUUUCCGCAAUGAGCGGGAGUUCUAAAUUUAAUAAUUGAAAUUGUCAGUGGAACCAGUGGACAAGAGUUGGUUUGUGGUUGACAAACUUAUCCGUUUGAUCUUUACUUGAACAGUUCCAGUGUGUGGAUGGGUACUGAUGAAGUGUGCGCAUUUAUUUUGAGAAGCCUGCUUGUUCGCAUAGAUUUUAACGACAUGAACAUUGUGGUAAGGUUAGAGAGUAAUGCGAAUGUAGGAGCUUAUAUUAGAAAUGACACAAACACGUAAAUAGAAGUAAUCUAUAUAUGAUAUUACUCAUGGACUACAAGCAAAGAAGUACAAUACAUGGAGUAAGUGAUGAAAUGAGCAUUCCUCACUACUACUGCUUGACUGAUGGAACAUGAUGCACGAGAUAGCAUAAGUAGUAGUAGGAAGCAGCUCUUAUUUGUGGCGUCGGUAUACAUCAUACUAGGUAGAUGGUUCAAUUGGCAUGGAUGGGUGGUGGAGCCUUGAAGUGCUUGUGAUGGGGAGCCCACGGCUUCUUCUCAGGAGUUGGUGGCUUCUUGUAUGGAGUUGAUGGAGGUGUUUCUACUGGAGGGUGGCCAGGGUAGUGACCCUGGGGUGGUGAAGGUUCUUUUGUCGGUGGUGGCCUCACUAUUAUUGGCGGUAGAGUUGGUGGCUUGGGCGUUGGCGGUGGUCUCACUACUCUUGGGGGUAGAGUUGGUGUCUUGUGUUUUGGUGGUGGAGGUGGCUUAACAGGAGUUGGUGGCUUGUAUUCUGGGGGUGGUUUCUCCACCGGAGGUGGCUUAUAAACUGGAGUUGGUGGCUUGUAUUCUGGGGGUGGCUUCUCCACUGGUGGUGGCCUGUAAACAGGGGUUGGUGGCUUAUAUUCUGGGGGAGGCUUCUCCACUGGAGGCGACUUAUAAACAGGGGUUGGUGGCUUGUAUUCCGGGGGUGGCUUCUCUACGGGAGGUGGCCUGUAAACAGGGGUUGGUGGCUUCUCCACCGGAGGUGGCUUAUAAACGGGGGUUGGUGGCUUGUAUUCUGGGGGUGGUUUCCCCAGUGGUGGAGACUUGUAAACAGGAAGAGGUGGUUUGUGCUCAUAUGGGGGUGGCUUGUGGUCAUUAGCAAGUGAGGGAGUGGUGAGGACCACCAAUCCAAGGAACAACACGAGUGAGCAAGCAGAAGACAUGUUUGGGCUCUGGUGAUGCACAAGUAGAAGAAAUGGGAACCAUUUAUAAUGCUUCGAGACCUUGGUUAGCACCAAAAUAUGUCAAAAUCUUGAUUACUUCAUUUCAUACAUAGAUUUAAAAUUAUUUCAAUCAACCAUGAUCCUUAAUUUUCUGGGUGGUCCAUAAAUGUAAUGGGGUCAAUUUGGGACCUAACAAGCUGAGAAGUUUGACAAUGCUGCAAGGCUUCAUCCGAAAGUCCGGGGAAGAAUAUUAGGAGUUACACUCCGUUUCCUUUUUUGGGUGCAUUUUUCUCCUUUAACAUUCUAUUCCCUUUUACAUUAGCAUUUGAUCUUAGCUCAUUUCAAGUACAAGUUUCUUGAACCCUAUACCAUUGUCAAAGUUGAGUAACCAUCUCUACUUUGCUCAAGAAACAUAAAAGACAAUGACAAUAAAGAAAAAGGAGAGAGACCAUACGUGACUUGGUUUAUAGGUGGCUUUGUGUUGACAUUUGAGUAUGGAAGCCGACAUGCAUCUUAGCUUCGAUUUUAAUUAAAUUUGUACAUUAGUGUCUGUGUCAUUCAUUUUGGUAUAAAAGGUCUCUUGAUUUCGUAAGUUUGGUAAGAACCGUUGAAAAUAGCAGUAGCAGCACAUGGUCCACUUUCUUUCACAAAAUAAUUUUAAAAGUUUAGAAGCAUAGGAGGUAACAUUAGUGGCCUUGUGGCUCAGCCACGAGUACUAUGUGGUGCUCGAGAAAUUGAGUUUAAUUUCCUUCCGAUAGUUCAUGAUAAGGUCCGUCACUGUCCUGAGACAGAUUGCGUUUUUUCUUUUUUCCUUUUUUAGUGUUUUAUUGACUAGCUAGGUGUGACUUUUCCUACUUUAAGGCACGAGGCAGAAAAGAAACUGGGAUUUAGUGCUUAAGAAGGCAAAUUUAAUUCGAUUUGGAUCUAAAAUUUGCCAGCAACAUGAGAUUUUCCAGCCUAUCGUUGCUCCACAUAUAGACAAGGCACUUGUAGAAGUGGCUUGUUUGUAGCCAUUCCCGAUAUUUGGACUCACUUGAUUCACCGGACACUUUGAUAAAAUUUAAUAUUUAUUAUUUAAUAAUUUAAAUUGAUUUAAAAUUAAAUUAUACCGAAGUUGUGAUUUAAAAAUUAUUAUUUAAUUCUUACUUUUAAAUAUGAAGAUUAUUUGAUAAAAAUAAUUUAAAAUUUAUUAUAAAUUAUCAAAUUAACAUAUUUAUCCUUAUAAAUUAUAAUUAAAACAGAAAAGGUCAAAUGAUUUGAGUAUCCAUAGAUGUGGUAAAAUAAUAAAAAAGAUUAUAAAAACAAUUAUGAUAAAUAAAGAUAAAAAGUAAAAUGAAUAUGUGAAUUUAAAGAAUAAAUUAAUUAUUUUUAUUUAUUACUUAAAAUUAUUUUUGACUUUAAAUUAUAUUAUUAAAUUAUUUUACCAAACAUACUUAAUUUAGUUAAUAAUUUAAAUUUAAUUUAAGUUAUUAAAUUGAUUCACCAAAUACCCACUUAAUCAAAGACUGAAGUAUACAUUAUUUGGCCAAAUGCAGCUAUUGAAAUUUAACUUUUUCCAAACUUAUUCAUUUUGUGGAAAUAUUUUUAGAAAUGAUUUUAAAAAUGCACUAUUCUGUGUGUUGAUUUUAUAUUUUGGCAUUAAUCCAACAUAGAAAACGGUUCUUAUUUUCGCUGUUAAAUAGGUACCAGAUCCUUAAUUAGUGCCGUGAAUCCGGCAGCUUCCAAUGAGUAAUUUGGACUUGGGUAUUGACAAUGUGUGGCCAUGCUUCUACUAUUUUAUUAUUCUUGAAACAUAUAUGAUAUAUUGGACUUUAUACAGGGAAAAAAAAAAAAAAAAGUCUUCACCAAAAAUGAUUCCUCCUAAAAAAUAGACUCCACAAACUAGGUUUAACAGGAAAAUGAUUCUAAUCUAGUAGUUUCCAGCCACAUGAGCAUUUACGUAACAAUAGUAUAGUUGAUAACGACUUUUAUUUUAUUUAUUUUUAAAUAGUUAAAGGGAUAAUUUUUGAGCUUAAAUUUUAUUUUUUUAUUUAGAAACAUUUUACUUUAUUUUUUAAUCAUAAUUCUAUUAUAUUAAUGUUUUAUUUUCUAUUUUUUAAUAUAUAAGGAGAUACUAAAUUUAUGUGAUUAUUUUUUAAAAAUUUAGUAUAUGAAAUUAAAUAAUUGGAUAUAUAUACAUAUAUCAUAUAAUGUUUUUUAAGUGUGAUUUUUGAACUUUUUAGUCAUUUUAUAAGUUUAAGCUUUUGAUUUUUUUUUUUAAACUUUGGUAUUUUUUAUUUUAUAUAAAACUAUUUUGAUUUAAUUUUAUUAAAAAAUAUUGGUAUUAUAAAUUAUUGUAUUAAUUAUUUUUUUAUAUUAUAAUGUAACUGGUAUAUACUAAAAAAUGUAUGCAAGUUCAAUUUAAGUUUCAAAUUAAAAAAUUUCAUUUAAAUAUUUAAUAACUUGUUCAUAAUAAAAAAUUAAACAACAUAAUACAAAUGAAAAGAAACAUAAAAGAAAAAGGAAAAAAUGGUCCUCUCUGUGUGUCACAUUACUAGGUCAUCCUCUUUUUCUAUGACCCUUACAAUAGAAUGGCAUAUUUGUCAAAUCUACUUAUGAAAGUUGGAAUGUUUCUACAUGUGUAGGGUCCAUUGGAACUAAUGGAGGAAAGGCUUAACGUCUAUGUAAAUCACAACGUUGCCUAGGUGGGCAUAGAUCUAGUUGUGUAACAUGAGAUGGUGUGAGAGUACAAUAUAUGCAUUGUAGUCUCUAUGGGAAGAGAGAUAGGUAAUGGUAGGGUGGUAGACGGUAGGGUGAUCUCUAAUAUAAUGACAUUUGAUGUGGUGGCUUCUAAGAGAGGAGAUAUAAGAGAUGGUAGAAUGACAUUUGGUGUAAUGGUCUCUAGUGCAAUGACAUGUGAUAUGGUGACCUAUAAAGAAGAGAUAUAGGUGAUGGUGAAGUGGUAUGUGGUGUAGUGACCUUUGAGAUAGAAAAUAGAGGUAAUGGUAGGUUGGCAGGUGGAGUGGUCUUUGGUGUAGUGACAUCAAUUAUAAAUGUCUCCAAGGGAGGAAAUAAAGGUGAUGGUAGGUAGUAAAUGUUGAGGUGGUCUUUGAUAUGUUAUGCUCUAAGAGAGAAGGUAUAGGUAAUGAUAAUAGGGAAUUUGACAUAGUGGUGUUGGAAAUAAAAAGUGAAAGUGACCGUAGAGGUGAAAGGGCAAGUGUAAAAGCCUCAAGUACGAAUGGAGUAAUUAAUGUGGAUGGUGCUAACAUAGUCUUAGGUGGAUACACAAAUAGUCAUAGUCAUCAACUAGCUUGCCCACCAUCUGUCUUUCUGCUAGUGAUAGGUUACAUCUUAAUAGUAAUGGCCAACAUAAGUGGUGUGGAUCCGAUUUUUUUACGUGUGUCCCCACUCAAUCGACAAGACUUAUUUUUUAUUAGUGAAAAAUUAAUUUUGGAAAAGUUGGAGUCACCACUUAUUUUAUUUUAUUUUAAAAAGGAAAGUAAAACAAGAAAGAGAACUCUAAAGAAGUGACUUCAUAGUUUUGGAAAAGUUAGUCUUAAAAAAUCCAAGUCUUGGUCCGGAGAUCAGGUUACUUAUUGGGAAGAUACCUCUAAGAGGUAAUACCCCUCUAAACCCUAAAGAAGUCUCUAAUGACUAAGUUGAGGAGAAUGUGGUAAUUAAUUAAUUGAUUGAGGGUACCUAGGUAGACUAAGGUGAUUUCAGAAUUAACAUACCAAGCUAGAAAGUCCAAUCAUGAUCAUAAAAGAGAGUCAAAGUAUGUACCUGAACUGCUUCUCAAACGCUAUCAUAAAACAUCAAAGUUAGUAUAGAAAUAUAACACAUAAUAUUUGUUUUAUCCAAGCAAAUAAAGCAUACAUCUAAGCACCCAAGAAUCACAUCAAGUAUGGAUAUAGUCAUCAAUAGCAUACGUGUCCAUAGAACUAUCGAAAGUAAAUGUGGAGGAGCGUAUCUGGACAACAUAGAUAACUUAUAAUGUGCUUCCACAAGACAUGGGGGUUAGAUAAAAGUUAUAAUAAUAAUUAGUAAAUGAAAGAAUUCUAGCAUGUUUGGUAUCUAAAUAACAUAGCAAAAAUGAACAAGAGUACACGAAAACAUCAAUUAUCACACGAGUCAUAUUGGCUAGUAUUUAAUCAAUAAACCAACAAUAAAUGACUAUAAACAUAUAAAAUGACAUAUUCAAAGAGACCCAAACAUAAAGAGCCUAGAACACAAGCUUACACUAAAUUUAGAAAACUAAAACAUGGAAUUUUAAAAGCAUAAAUUAGCAAACAAAUUGAUGGAAACUAAAUUUAGAUAACUUAAGAAUAUUUUUCUUAUCCUUCAAUUUAAAUCAGUAAGCCAACAAUAAAAAAUUAUAGAAACAUGGAAUAUCAAGAUCAAUGGGAUACCUAAACUAUAAUUUUUAAAAGAAAAUAAACUAAGCAUAAUAUCUACAAAGCAACUAAACUAACAUUUUUUUAAAAAUAAAUUAAACAUGACAUUAAUGGAGUAACCAAACUAAAUUAAAGUAAACUAAAAACAUUUAUGAAUUUUCAAACAUGGAAUCAGCUUUCUUAGUAAAUUAAAAUUAUUAAAAUAAAAUCUAAGCUUAAAAAUGAAUUAAAUACUAACUAAAGCAAAUCUAAAACCAAAUAUUUAACACAUAGGAUCAAUUAUAUUAACAAACUAAAAUUUUAUAAGAACACUUAAACCUAAAGUUGAAUUAAAAACUAACCAAUUUUUAAAACUAGAUCUUUAACCCAUAGGAUCAAUUAUAUUAACAAAUAAAUAAUAAAUAAUAAAUAAAUAAAACUCAAACCUAAAGAUGAACUAGAAAUGUACCAAAGUAAAUUCAAAACAAGAUCUUUAACACAUUAGAUCAAUUAUAUUGACUAACUAAAAAAAAAAAAAAAAAACACUCAAACCUGAAACGAUGUAUUAGAAACUAACCAAAGCAAAUUUAAAAUAGAGUCUUUAACACAUAGGAUCAAUUAUAAUCACUAACUUAAAUUACAAUUUUUGAAACAUGAACUAAUUAGUGUUGGAUUAAUUAAACUAAUUAACUAAAAAAAACUAUAAACUAGAAUACGGUGAAUCAAGAAUUCAAAUCAACAAACAUAAAAUAUGGGUACAAUGAAAUGAAAAUCUAUUAAACUAAUAAGACGGAAAUAUGACAAACUCAUGAACCCACAUUUUGAUCAACUAGGAAAUAGAAAUUAAUAGACCUGUAGCAUGGAUACAAUGAAAUGAGAUCAGUUAAAUUUAUUUGCCGAAAUUCUAAAAAACACAUACACUCAAAUAAGAUCUAAAUCUAAGACCAAGCAAAACUCAAACUUUCUCAAUCUAAUGCAAUGAAUCAAAACUAAAAUUAAAUAGAAAUCAAACCAUUUUUUUUUUAUCUAAUAUAAUAAAUCAAAGCUAAAACUAAACAAAAUCGAAUUUUCUUAAUUUAAUAUGAUGAGUCAAAGCUAAAAUUGAACAAAGUUCAAACCUUUAUAUAAUGGAUCAAAGUUAAAUCUAAAUGAAAUCCAUACUUCCACAAUUUGAUAUAACAAAUCAAAAAUAAAACUAGAUAAAAAAAAAGUCAAAGCCUUUCAACUUGACAUAGUGAAUCCAAACUGAAACGAAACAAAAUUUUAACUUUUCCAAUGAAACCCAAUAUAGAAAAAAUUAGCUUACCUUCUUUAGAAUAUAUGUAUGGGCCAUAAAGAAGUCACCUUGGUGCAUGUGUUCCUCACUUUGACGCCAAUGGACGACUUUCUAUGGUAGCAAAUGGAGAUCCUUUUUGGUGGUAACUUGCGUGUGGAAACCUAUGGUACAACCAAUGUCAUCUUUUAUUGUGCGUGUGGACCAAUUUCUUCUCGAGAACUCAUGUGUGUUGUGCUCAAAAUAUGUUGCCUGUGAGAAUCUAUUGGUAUACCCCACAUAUGGUUUCCUUGAGAGAAUCUGUGGUUGUGUGUGGGCGUUUUCUUCAUGACAGCAUGUGGAUGUUCCCAUCUAUGGUAGAUUGGUUGUGAUGCUUUAGUGCAUGGUCUCCAUAGGAAUAGUGUGUUAUGGAAAUUUGGUUUUUUUAUUGGUGCAUGUUGUCUAGACUUUCCCAUAUGCGUGGACUGUGUGUUCAUGCUUUUCUUUUCGGAUGGUCGCCUGUGUUAAUGUGUGGCGGUGUCUACAAUGAAAGAUACAACCCUUUCUCUCCUUCUGCGUGAUAGAAAAGUCAAUCCCCCAUGGUGCGACUAUGUUCCCUCGUCCUUUUUGAAAAAUUUUGGUGUUUUCCCCCCAAAAAAUCCCCUCCAAAAAUCUAAUUAUAAAUGUCUGCUUUGGCCUAAUGUGUGUGCUACUUUUUUUUUCCUUCUUUUUAUGGUUGUGCGUGCUUUUCUUGAUACGUGGCUUAUUUCUUAAGGAUAUGAUUCGCUCCCAAUUGGUGUCUCAGCUGAUUCAUGUCCUUUCAAUGGUCCCUGACAGUGGUGCCAUUUGAUUCGUGUCCAGCUGGUGUCCCUUGAUUGUGGUCCUCAGAAGGGAGUAAUCAAUAAAAUUUAUAACCUAUUACACCAUGUAUUAGGAUAGCCUUAGCUAGCAUAGCAUAGUGGCUCUAGGGUCGUUUAUUGGGAUGAGUUUUCACUUCACAAUUGAUAUUAAUUCAAGAGCUGAAUUGGUGCCUUUUCAUUUCAAGGUUAGCUUUAAAAGAAAACAUAAUCUUUGGUGGAAAAAGGUUUGGUUUUAAACUAACCAAAAAUAGUAACUGAUUUUACUUACAAAGAAAAGUGUUCUUUGGAGUUUAGAUCACUAGGCUCAGGUUCCUCAUACAAAAAGGAGAGUUCCGAUCAUUUGUUUCUUUUCCUCGCAUUAGAGAAUUAACAUAUAGUUAAUUCUCUAACCGGUGCGGUACAUAUGCUUCCCAUUAAUGGGUUCAAACACUAAAUACCUCUCACUGAUGCACCUUGCAAUGGCUCGUGCCUCUCACCUAGCAUUUAUCAUUCAAGGUGAUCUUUAACCUUGGAUUACCCAUCAAAAGCUCGCAAGAGAUAACUAAAGGAUGUCUCCUUAGAGUCCAAAAGCUUACCAAGUGUUGGUUAUUCUAGAAAAUCCUACCUUCAAACCACCUCCCAAAGGCUCGCAAGAGAUAAACAAGUGCAUCUCAAUGGAUGAAGAUCACUUGCCUUACCAAGUUUUGGCCCAGAUGAUUUAAUGACAUUUUAAGUUAACUAAAAAGAUAAAAACCAUUAACGGGUCACACUUUCUCUUCAUUAAAAACUAAAACAACAAAACUUCCAAUUUAUGCAUGAGGAAACUUACCUGGCUUUCUUCACUUCAAGAGAUGAAGAGCCUAGCCACUCAUCAUUUGAGGAAAAAUCCUCAGAGUUUGAUUUGCUAGAAAUAAAAAUAAUGAGAAAACAAAAAUAUAUAUAUGAAAAACAGAGCAAGUUCUCUGUAAUAUAUUUUUCUUCCUUAUACAAAAGGUUGUCUCUAAGAACAAGUUCCCGAGAUCUAUCUGAUUGUAAAUAAAAUUACAACUAUAUAUAAGAGGUUAUUCACCCCUUUGUUCUUUCUUAAAGACUAAGGAAUCCUAUGAUAGGUGGGUUACAAGGAGAGUUUGGGGAUUUAGACAUCAAAUAUCUAAAGCAAAAUAUCUCAAGAUGUUAGUCGGAAAUAUCAGGAAGCUUCAGGAGAACACCGCGACACUGUAUACUGAGAGAAAAACUCUCCGGGUAAGCUCUAUCAAAGGAUCCAGACAUGUCUGACUGGGAAAGUUGAAACGUCCUUCUCUCCCAUCCGGAUGUGAGAUAUCCGGAGAAAGUGAAAUGUCGGUCGGACAGAAUUCUUUCCCCGGGUGGAAUGAGUUGUGUUGCGCGUCGCAAGGGGGACCGUCUGCGUGUACAAGUUGUAGGGACCCCUCUCCCGGAUGACACCGAGCGCGUAAGGCUAUCCGGAUCAACUCCAUUCGGAUUCCCCAAGAGGACAUGUGGCGUGCUCCCCUAUCAGGACUCCCUUAGGGAGAAGCACACGACACUCGUGAACAUCAUACCCGGACGAUAGCAUGUCCUAUCCGGAUGUGUUGUCCGGAUCAUUGACUAAAGUGAGCAAGCCUUGCUACGUCAUUCGGACAGCUUGCCACAUACCAUGUUCCGUCGCCAUCUGAUGGUGUGUCCGAACGCCUUGUCCGGACAUCUUUUGCUCCUUGCAUUCCGGAUUUGCUUAUGACAAAGGACUUCAAAGCUUCGGUUCUUCAUGUUUCUGAGCUUUCCAUUGCUUUGCCAUGGAUUCCAAAGAACUCUCCUUAAUCACGGAUUGCUUUGGUGAUCAAAAAGUUAUCAAAACACAAAAACUUAACAUAGUUUGAUUAGAAUUGAUUGCAAGGGUUCUUAAUAUGUUAAUUGGGUUAAAAGGUGAUAACUACUACUCAAAAGUGUUUAUAAGAAUUAAUUACAAGCUAUGAAAUAACACUUUUUGAGUAGUAAUCAGGAUACAUCCUAGUUUUUCAUGGAAUUGAUAGUGGGUUGUUGUGCAUGAAUGCCACCAUUUCAACUAUGCUGUUGUUAUUUUUAAAAAAAAUAUGGAUUAUGCGCGAGUGGCAAUUCUCCACUAUGGAAAGUGGAUUGCUCCUUCAACCCAUGCAUGGCUACGUAUUCCUAUGUCUUUCUACUUGUGUUUGAUCCUCCAAAAAAAAUUUCGGUUUAGUGCUAGUAGAUUUUAAGUGGUGGAUCCCCAUUUUUUGAAAAUGAAGUGGCAGCCUCCCAUUUCAAGACAAAAUGGUAGCCUGCCUUUAAUCUUUGGAGAAAAAUCUGUGCAUGACCUUUUUUUUUCCCAAAAAAUCCGUGCAUGGUGUCCUUUAAUAUUUGGAGAAAAAUCUAUGUUGGAUCUUUUCUUUUCUAGAAACAUUUGUGUGGUCUUUUUUGUUAGCCCAAGGGUUCUUCUAAUCAAGUUUUGAUGAUAACAAACCAUGGUUAAGUGACUAAUUGGUUUAAUGAUUAAGAAUCUCAAACAUAAAAUCGAAAAUUCAUCAAAGGACCAAAUGGAUACAAGAUCGAGACGCUUGGAAGACUUGUAAUCAUAGGAAACUAAUGUAAGAUGAAUGCAUGAGUGCACUUAGGAUUUUCACACGUUUCAUGCAACUUAGAAAACCCAGUUUAUUCUUUAAAACUUCAUCCCAGUUUAUUCUUUUUAUGGUUGUGUGUGCUUUCCUUGAUACGUGGCUUAUUUAUUAAGGAUACAUCCCAGUUUUUCAUGGAAUUGACAGUGGGUUGUUGUGUGUGAAUGCCACCAUUUCAACUGUGCUGUUGUUAUUUAAAAAAAAAAAAAAUGGAUUGUGCGCGAGUGGCAAUUCUCCACUAUGGAAAGUGGAUUGCUCCUUCAACCCAUGCAUGGCUACGUAUUCCUAUGUCUUUCUGCUUGUGUGUGAUCCUCCAAAAAAAAUUUUGGUUUAGUGCUAGUAGAUUUUAAGUGGUGGAUCCCCUUUUUUUGAAAACUAAGUGGCAGCCUCCCAUUUCAAAACGAAGUGGUAGCCUGCCUUUAGUCUUUGGAGAAAAAUCUGUGCAUGACUUUUUUUUUCCCAAAAAAUCCAUGCAUGGUGUCCUUUAAUAUUUGGAGAAAAAUCUAUGUGGGAUCUUUUAUUUUCUAGAAAAAUUUGUGUGGUCUUUUUUGUUAGCCCAAGGGUUCUCCUAAUCAGGUUUUGAUGAUAACAAAUCAUGGUUAAGUGACUAAUUGGUUUAAUGAUUAAGAAUCUCAAACAUAAACUCGAAAAUUCAUCAAAUGACCAAAUGGAUACAAGAUCGAGACGCUUGGAAGACUUGUGAUCAUAGGAAACUAAUGUAAGAUGAAUGCAUGAGUGCACUUAGGAUUUUCACACGUUUCAUGCAAUUUAGAAAACCCAGUUUAUUCUUUAAAACUUCAAUUUCAUUAAAACCCGAGUUUUUAACUAAUGUACCUUAGGCAAAAUGUUUUAUAAUUGGCUUAAUAAUUCACCUAAAUACAUUUUCUAAGUGUUAGAAAAGAAAGGAAUUAAAAAAAGGUUUUCGGGGCAAAAAAGGCUCAACCGGUCGAGGCUAUGGUCAACCGGCUCAACCGGUUGAGGAACCAAUCGAUCGGUUGUGCUUGUCCGAUCGAAGACCAAUCGAGGGAUGCCAAAAAAUUUCUCUCUCUCCUAGUGGCCUUCUCUUCCCGGUCGAGGUUCGGUCUAGGCAACGGUAACAUGUCAAGCAUUAAAUGCUCCGACGACUAGUGAAUCGGUCGACCCCUAGCCCGAUCGGACGAGGUUGCCUUUUGCUGUUUUUGACUCCCGAGCUUAGAAACCUAUAAAUUGAGAGCUCCACUUCAUUUAUUGAUAAAAGAGAACACUUGCAUUCAAUAGUCUACCUACCUUUUCUUGAUCAAAAAGCUCUCAUUUCCUUCAUAGUGCAUUAAAUCAUCACUUGCAUAUCCUUUAGUGCACUAUUGUGUGUCAUCCUAGCUUUGUUUUGUAUUUGAGCUAUCCUUAAGCUAGGUUGAGGGAUUAUUUCUUAUAAAAAUCUGAGUGUUAAAGCCUUCAAGAGAUUUGAAUCUUGAAGAGAUUGUGUAAGAGCCCAUUGGAGCCGGAGUCCAAGUGUAAGAAGAUUGGAAGCUUGGUUGAAGCUUCAAGUUAGUGGAACCCUCACUCGGUUAGGAGGUUGAGGAGAGUGGACGUAGGUAAGGAAGUGUCGAACCAUUAUAAACCCGAGUUUGAAUUCUCUAACUCUAUCUCUUUAUUUUGCUUAUAUUGUGUUUGAAUUUGUUGUGAUUGAAAAGAUUUUAAAAACCUAAUUCACCCUCCCCCCUUUUGGGUUUUUUUUUCUUAAUUAAGCAUAACCUUUGUUUUCUAAUUUUCUUUUUAGGAAAAUCCAUGCGUGGUAUGUCCAAACUCUCCAAGUGGCAGUCUGCCUUCUUCUAAAAAAUUUGUUUCUAUUUCUUUAUUCGACUACCUUCCAUGUCUUCCUAAUGAGUGCUUGUGCUCAAUGGUCAAUCCCUGGUGGUUGCCUCCUUUUCCCAUAUAUACGUGUUGCAAAAUCAACAUCCCACUAUAUGUGGGUUGCCUCUAUGGCAAGUUCACAUUUCCCACAUGAAACCUAUGAGUUUCCACCAAAAAUUGCCAUGAAAAAGUCUUUAUAUGCAUCUCAUGCAAUAAAAAGUCAAGCCAAUACUCAUCUUAUCUCGAAAAAUAAGUAACCAAAAUCAAGAUCAUGCCUAAGUGAACUAUGCCAAAAGAAGUGUCCAAGUGACCUAUUAUGAAAAAAGUGCCUAAGUGACCUAAGGUGAAUGUGUGUAAGCUGGAAGGUGUCUAGGAUGUUUAGGACAAUGCCUAAGCCUAAAAUAGGGUUGCCAAGGGUCACAAUGGGGUUAGAUAAAUCUCUCAAUCAGAGUCUCCAAGGUGGCUCAUAAAAGAUAAGCUACACGAGUAAUGAUGGGCCACCAGGGAAUUAUUGUAAAGCACCAAACGAACACAUAAUAGGACAUGUGUUAGAAUGAAAAAAUGGAGGGUUUACAAGUGGUCUCAUGGAUGAGCUUGAUAAUUUAAAUGACUCACAUAAUGAACGUAUGUGAUGUUUCUCUCCAAUAACAAGCAAAACAUCACUAGCAAUAUGAUGAAUGUCUCCUAAAUCACUUGAAGUAGUCCUAGCAAAUCAAUUAGAAAAAUCACACAUAUUGCUCUAAUGUAAUAUUAUAUACAUCUGUCAAUGAAUGGGAGAACUAAUGACACAACCAUCAUGUUGAUAUCUCGAACCCUCUAAUCUCAUAUGUAGGUGGGAUCACACUUAGAAACUCAUAACACAGUAAUGACCAAUCUAAGUCAAAAUGUGUUGGUGAUCGGAGGCCCAUGAAUAUGAAGUUCUAGGAUGAUAAUGACAUCUUAUAAAGUAAUGAUCAUCUCCUUAAUAGAUAGGUGAAAUGUGUGUGUCUUAGGACACCAUCUCUCAACAAGACUUGUGAUCAAUCCCCAGUCUAGUGUAACAUGCCUAUUAUGACAUCCAUCGUAAAAUCUAGACUAGAUAAUAUAAGGACAAAUGUGAGGGUUCAUCUCCCUUUCCCACAUAAAUUUAAAAAAUUAUUAUUGACAAGUUAAGACCAAACUAAGUUGCAAAAUAUAAAUAAGUCCAUUAGAUAACAAAUUUAUGUUUUCUCAUUUUCUCAUUUUUAAAGAGAUAUUAUGUGCUUCCAUGUACAUACAUGCUAAAGUCAAUUAUACGAGACUUAUAUCCAUCUUGUAGAACCAAAUCGAACCUAUCUAAUAGAUCCAGAUUAGAAGUAUGUCCUCUAUACUCCAUAUUUAUAACACAUUUAUAAAGAUAAAUGCUAAAAAAAUGUUAAAGAUAUAAAUUUAAUGAACCAUACUUUAUGAUUUUAAUUCUCAAUUAUUGUUCAUAUUUAUAAGAGAAAAGUUAAAAAAAUUGAUAGAGUUUUCCCUCUAUCAUGGACAUUAUCCCAAAUAAAAAUAAAUUGAUUAUGCAAAUUACAUUAAUAUUUGUAACCAAAUGAUCAAUAACUAUCUUGUAUCAAUUUAGUAAAUAAAUUUAAGUAUAUCUUUUCAUUUAUGACUAACAAAUAACUCAUACUUGUCCAAUAAAAGCCACACCUAAUUUCUAAAAUUUUGUCUUCACCUCAAGUGAGUGUUACAUUGAGAAAGAAAAAAUAUGAAAGAAAAAAUGAACACCUUUUUCUUUUAAUAAAAAAAGGCCAUAACGAAACAUUAAAUCUCACUGUUACACCUAUCUUCAAUGGAAACAUGAGGAUGUGAAUGGUGGCGGUGAUAUUCUUUGCUUGAAGCUCAUAAACAAAUAUUCCUUACUAAGCCUAUGCCAUUUAGUAUUUCAAUAGUGGACCCCCCCCCCCCCCCCCCCCCCCUCCUUGCAUUUCAGAUUUAGCAAACUUAGAACCAAAUAACAAAGUGCAUUUGAACCCAUAAAGAAGUAAUGAGACUCUCCUAUAUUGGCAAUAGAAGAAAUUUUUGGAGGUAUAGGAGAUUCACGGAUGAAGAAGUUGGGCCCCAAUUGAGAUAAGACCCAAGAAAAGAUGGGGUAGAGAGGGAUGGUUGGAAAUUGUAAAGUAAGAUUUUCAAAAUGUAGUUGAUGACUAAGAUUUUGACAAUUUAAAAAAGGUUUAAAAAUGUAGUUAGCAAUCGGGGUUUUGUAACAUUUAAAAAAUAAAAUAAAAUCUCAGGCCACAUGGUAGCCCAUGUGAUUCAGAAGCUUGAGAAUUAUUUUAUAAGAAGACUUAAUUUGUGAUUUUUUUAUAACUAUAUUAUUUUUUUUCUUAACACACGAAAAAAAUUAUGAAAUAAGACAAUUUUCCUAAGAAAGCAUGUAAGUGACUCUUGGUUAUUUUAUUUAACUUCUUCUAGUUUGGAGAGGAUUAAUACCUUUGCUUUUACUCACUUGCUUGGAUAUGUACACGUUGUUCAUGUCACUUUUCAUUUAAUUUUCUGAUUAAGGGAAUUGGAACCGUACGUAACUGUCUUUAUUCCCUCUGAAACUUGGACUUGGAGUUGGACUUUCAAUCUCAUCAGUCGUGUUUCCAUAAAAAAGAAGAUGGAUUAACCAAUUUUCCUAUGCCUACUAAUCAUACACAAAACUCCACUUCCAAAUAAAAAGGAAUGGGAUAUCACUUGUUAAUAGUGGCUAAAGACUAUUAAUAACCAUGCAAAGAAAUGUCACAUUUUUUGUUCUACGCAAAUUUUAUUCAUCAACUACUAGAACCAUUUCAUACAAUAGUAGCUUUUCGAUCCUUUGAUAAAUGGACACUUGAUGUGAUAACACCAACUACACCUAUAUAUUCAAGCAAUCAUGCGUAUAUAAUAGUGGAUAUGGAUUACUUCUCUAAAUGGGCAAAAGUUUUGUCAUUCAAGGAAAGUGAACGAGGAAACACAAGUUUACUUUCAUCGGAACUAAUAUUAUAUAUUGAUAUGACUUCCCAUUAUUACUUACGAUGGAAUAUGCUUCCAUAAAAUGGCCUAGAUGAACAAACUAUCCAAGAAGUUUGGGAUCAAAUAAUAUAUAUAUAGUUCAUGUGUGAUUCUUUGGUUGACAACCUUGUUAAGGGGUGAGUGAAGCACUUUGGGCAUACCACAUACUACAUGCUAGACUUCCACCCAAGCUACCCUAUAUUCCUUAUGAACAAAGUAGAAGUUGUCAUCUCUCUUGAAUACCAAAUCCUUUCACCUAAUAAUGCUAUCUAAAAAGGUCUUAAAAAGGAUAAAAAUGCGCAUAUUUGAAUUUUUGAAUUAGGAGUGCUACUUAAAAAGAAGCUAGAUAUACAAUAAUAGAAUGUUAUCAAGCAUAUCUCUUCAAAGUUUUUGACCAAAAAAUAUAUGAUUUCUCAUUUUAGGUAGGAGACUUAGUACUCACUAUUCAAAAACCAAUUAUCAUUACUCAUAAAAACUAAUAGAAAGUUUGGGCCAAAGUAGGAUGGACCUUAUAUUAUGCAACAAUUAUGCCUAUAAAAUUGUUGCAAAAGAGGUUUUAGAAUCAAAUCAAUGAAUGAAAAAUUAUUAAAGCAUUACUAUGCUUGAAGGCUAGUCAUUUUCCCUUAAAGUGCAAUAUUAAGUUGCAUAGUACUAUGUGGAUCCGCAUUUUUCACAUGCGUUCCCACUCAUUGUCGAGACUCACUUUUUAGAAGUGAAAAAUUAGUUUUAUUAAAGUCGAAGUUGCCACUGGGGAUUUGAACCCUAACAAAAGGUUCAAUUUAAGGAUAAAAAUAUCGAUAAUCACAUAUAUAUAUAUUGGUACUUUGAUUUUAUGAAUAUAUUGAAGAAAUAUGGACAAAUAUUUUGACACAAAAUAUGUACAAAAUAAAAAUUAUAUAAAAAGUAAAAAUAAAUAUUUUAAAAUUAUUUUUUUAAAUAUAUAUAUAUAUAAUUUGACAUAUUUGAUAAUAAUAUAUAAGGGUCUCCAAAAAGCCCGUGGCCCGCUUUAGGCCCGGUCCGACCCGACAGGCUAAAGCCCGGCCCAAGCCCGCCGGGCCCAAGCUCGGCCCGAGCCCGUUUAUGGGUGGGCCGGGCCGCGAGCCCGUAGGCCUGCUCCUUUAAAAAAAAACUACAAAAAUAAAAAGUAUUAAAAAAAAUAUUCAUUUCAAAAUUUUAUUCAUUGAAUGUAUAAUUACAUUUGAAAAUGUGGGAAAAGUUUACAUCACUACAAAAUAAAUACAUCCCAACUAGGUUGGCACCUAUUUAUUUGUCAAUCAUCUGUAUUUUUCAACCACAAAAAAUAAAAAUAAAAAUAUAAUAUACAUUUAGUCAUUAUUUUCUGGCGGUGAUGGCGAACUAUCAUGCAUCCAUGAAGAUCUUGAUAAUUUUAAAGAUUCCAUAUCGGUAAGCAUCUUUGUUUCUCGAAUGGAAUCAUACAUCCUUUUAUCUGCUAUUUCCCAAUCUUUCACACAUAUCCCUGCUUUAAUAACAUCUGACGCUAAGUUGCAUCGUUUUUUACUAACUACUCUUCCACCUGCACUAAAAGCAGCUUCUGAUGCAACUGUACUCACAGGAACUGUUAGUACAUCACGAGCAAUUAUAGAAAGCACAGGAUAUUUGUGUUGAUGUGAUUUCCACCAUAUUAAAAUAUUAAAAUCUUCUUGAUCUUCAAAUGAAAUUAUAUCAGUAUUAAGAUAUUUAUCUAAAUCAGAUGUAUUAUUUGGAGAAUUAUUUGUUGUCUUUUUUCGACUUUUCAACAUUUCUAGAGCUCCUUUAUAAAAAGAUGAGGAGUUUGUAGAUGUAGGUGGUAAUUUAAUAGUAUUAAUAUCAUUACCAUAUUUUUCUUUAUAAUAGUUAUAUAAAUUAUAUAAUAAUGAAUUUAUUUCAUUUUUAAUUUCUUCAAUUUUUAUUUGGUCAUUAAAAUAAAUAAUUGUUAACCAUUCAUCCAAAGCUUCAAAUUUCAAUCUAGGGUCCACAAUUAAAGCAAUAUAAAAAAUUAAAGGUAUUUCUCCCCAAUAUUUUCUAAAUUUUUAUAUCAUUACAAAUAUUGUAUCAUUAAAUAUUUCAAAACUUAAAUAUUUUUGAAGUACAAUAAAAAUAUUAGUUAUUUGCGUAAUAACUCGAUUUGAAGUUGGAUAAUAUACACCACAAAAAAUGUUUGUUGAAGUAUCAAAAAUUUCAAAAAGAUCUCUUAAAACAUCCGCAAUAUGCCAAUCAUAAUCAUUUAAUGCAUAAAUAUCUGCUUCAUAAUCAUUGUUAAUUAAUUGUAUUUCAUAUAAUUCGACUACUUUUCUAUAUUUUGUAAUAUUUUCUAAAAGUUUAUAUGUGGAAUUCCAUCUAAUAGCCAUAUCCAAAUUUAUAUUUUUUCUUUUCAUAUUUAACAUUUUGCAACAAUCAAAAAAUAAUUCAUGUUUUGCUUGAAAACUAUUAAUACUAUAUGCAAUGCCUCUAAUUUUUUUCCAAUGUACUAUCAACAUUUUUUAAUCCAUCCUUUACAAUUAAAUUUAAAAUAUGUGCACAACAACGCACAUGAAAUAUUUUAGCAUGAUCUUCUUUUACUUGCCAAUAUCGUUUUAGUCUAUGUAUUGCUGCAUCAUUAUUAGCAGCAUUAUCUAAUGUUAUUGUCAAUAUUUUAUCACGAAUGCCUAAAUCUAUAAUUUCAUCAUUUAUUAAAGAUGCUAUAUUUUUACCACUAUGUGGAGUAUUUAUUAAUUUAAAUAAAAUUAUUCUUUUAUUUAAUUUCCAUUCAUUAUCAAUGUAGUGAACAAUUAUAUAUAAAAAACCAGUAUGAGUUAAAGAUGUCCAAAUGUCAGAUGUUAAACGAAUAUUUCCUUCAAAAUUUGCAAAAUUUUUUUUUAAAAUUUCUUUUUGUGUAUAAAUUUUUUUCAUAAUAUCUCUUUUAACUGUAUUUCCAGAUCAACCUUUAAAUUGAGGAUUAAUACCUCGUUGAAUUGUUCUUGCAAAAUCAUGAGUUUCCAUCAUGUUGAAAGGUUGUUCUGCUCUUAUUAUAUAAUCAAUCAUUUCUUCACAACAGUUAGAUUCAUCAUAAGAAAAUGUUUUUAAAUUUCCACUUUCAUUUUUACUUAAUUGCAUAUAAUUUCUAAUAUCUACAUUAUUUUUAGUUUUACAAUUUUCAUGAUGUCUUUUUAAAUGACUUGUAUCUGCAUUUGAGCCACCAGUAAGAAAUUUAUUACAAAUUUUACAUUUUGCUUUUAUUUUUUUUUUAUUAUUUUCUAAAAUUAUUUCUAUUCUAUCAAAAAAAUUCCAUAUAUUUAAAGUAAAUUUUUUGUUUGAUGAUAUUUCAUCACAUGGACUAGACGAAGAAGCACUUGUCAUAUUAUAAUUAUUGAUAAAAUAUUAUGCCAAAAAUAAUAAAGUAAUAAAUAUAAAAAAAAAUGUAACAAAAAAAAUAAAGUAGUAGGGGUGAAGUAUGUUACUCAAUUAGAGAACCUAUGCAGAAAUUCCUAGCAAAUUUGAACUCUUGGAGCCACCAAUGCUUGUUUUGCACCAUCAACAAUAUUGUAUAAUUUGAGGGAAAAAUAAAAGAAUUUAAAAUAUUGUAGAAUGUGAGAGAAAUAGAGAGAAUUUGAUGAAAAAAUGAAAAGGAAGAAAAUGUAUUUAUAGGAAGGUUAAAAAUAAUAAUAAUAAUAAUAAUAAUAAUAAUAAUAAUAAUAAUAAUAAUAAUAAUAAUAAUAAUUGGCCAUGUGACCGUUGGAGGCUUAGCUCCAACGGUCACAUGGGCUGGAGCUAGGCUCCAACAGUCACAUGACCGUUGGAGCCUUUAAUUUUUUUUUUUAAAAUAAUAUACUUUAUUUUUAUAUAUAUAUAACUAACUCAAUUAAUAAACAUAAAAAGAAUAUAGUUCAGUUGGUUAGAACCUUGAAGUUUAAACAUGAGGGGAGGGGUUUGAAUCCCUCCCUCUCCCUUAGGGGCUUUUUUAAAAGCCAUUUUGGCUUAUUUCAAAAAGCCUGUCGGCCCGACCCGCCCUGCAGCCCGCGGGCCUAGCAUUUUAGCAUGGCCUGGUCUGUUGACUAGUCAAAUGGCUCAUAGGCUCGGCCCGAACUGGGCCGCGGGCCUCUUAUUUACGGACCGGCCCGACCCGGCCCGCCCGUUGGAGACCCUUGAUAAUAUCUUCUAUAUUAAGUUACAUUAUAGUUUAUUUUACAAUAUUAUUAUGAUAAUAUGUCUAAUUUUAAAAUAUAUUUAAUAUUAAAAUUAUGAUCUAUUUUAAUUUAAAUGUAUUCAAUGAUAUCAAAUAAAUAAUAAUAUAUGUAUAAUUCUUUUAUUAUUUAUAUUUAUUAUUUUUAAUAAAUAUAUAGAUUAUAUAAAAAAGACCGGAUAUAUCUUUUCAAAUUUUGUAUCGCUCUCCAAGGAUAUUAGAUGUAUGGGAAUUUGUAUUGCUAUCUACGGAUACGUUGAUAUAUGGGUGAUUUAUCAGGAUAAUUAGAAAUUCUAAUUAUGUAAGCAGGUACGGAGUUCUGUGUCGGUGCGAUCUUGUCGACAACAGCUCCAAAUUGUGCAUCUUGCUCAUAGAGAGUAGCGGAAUGCACCAAUCGUAGGCUCAGAGUACCACUGAGUCGUCUGGCAGAGACCCAACUGAAGGUGCCUGUGUUGUUCCUGAUCUGAUCAGGCUUCAAACUACAAGGUGGAAUACUGGUUCCCCUAUAUCAGAAGCUGGAGAUACCCACCCCAUAUGCUCGUCUGGAUGUGCUCCUACCCUUUGAAGCCUUCUUCCGAGUCAAGUCCGAAUUGAUAAGGCUAGUGAGUUCCCAACCAACUGUACUCAGCAUGCUGCCAGGUGGAGACCCUCCAUAUUUGAUGGCUUCCUAAUAUUAAAAUGCUGACCACUGGUCUUCAUGUUCCACAGGCUUAAUUGUGUCCUUUGCUGAAAGAAUGGAUAGUGAUCCAUUUUAACACAUGAUUCACGCCGUCUUUGCCAUUCUUCAUGGUCUAGCCCUUUUAUAUAUAUGCUUCCUGAACUGUUGCUAUUAAUAAAAUGUGGUAUCUAUCCCGUACACCUUCCUGAUGGCCAGCGAAUGCAGAAGCUACAGAAACGGUUCCAUCUUUUGCUUCCGCCACUUUGGCAUCCUCCAUGAUGAGAUCGAAGGUGAAUAAUCAUAUUCUGGGGAUUUAUGUCCUGGAUAUUCUCAGUAAUGCCCAAUUUCCUGGUGCCGGCCUCAUUUCCAUGGGAACUGAUGGAUAACUUAAGGCUUCUACCAUCUGCGUGGUUCGCUUCUAACACAGGAAACUUCACGGCUAAAAGCAAGAUACCAAGAACAUCAAGGCUGUGACAAAAAUUAGUAUUUUUAACUUGUAGGAAUUUGAAAGGCAACCAACCAUCUAGCUCUGUUCUUAAAGCUCCCAUAGGAGGAUCAGAGGCUGGAUUGCUCAAGAUGAACUCAUCCAUUGUUGCACUUAAAAAGAAUUGGCAUGAAUUGUGGCCGCUCUAAUAGGUUCCCUAAACCAUCAUCCAAGUGGGCUUGCGGAAGGUAGCGAGUUUAAAACACCUAGGGCGAUGAACAGUGGACUGUGAUGCUCACAAAAGAGAAAAGGAAGAAUUCAAUAAUUCCUAAGAAUCCAUUUGCCUGUCAUCCAAAUUUUUAUAUUCUCUUCAGUCUGACGCGUUAUGCCAUAUAUUAAAAAUAGCGGCUUCUUCCAAGCCGAGACAGACUGUGCAAAGUUCGCAAGGCCAAUCAUCACCAUAAUCUGAAGUUGGCCUCCUCAAUCGCAGCUUGUAUCCGAAUGCUCACUUCACGGGAUGGAUUGUAAUGAAAACUAAUCUCAGUCCCAGCUAUGGCAGCAUCCUCACUUGACAGCAUUUUCUGCAUAUUCUAGAACAAAGCAAUAAACCCUCAAAGGCUCCUUCGGAUCAGAGUUAGAAGACUGUCCCUCAGGAACGUGAACACUAUGGUGGUUCUGAUAAGCAGUGAUAUUGCAUUAGAGCCUUUUGGAACAAGAGGAUCUUUUCAGGUGGAAACUGUAAACUGCUUCAUGUUGGGCUGCAACCUUUUCUUCAAGCAAUACUUUCUUUCUGUAUCACGACUUAUGUUGCUUCCGGAGCCAUCCCGUGUGGACUGCCCUUCAGUGAAAGAAUAUGUGUGUUGACAUGUUGGAUUGUAAUCUUUGUUCCACUCUAAUGGCUUUUGGUCCUCCUCUUUCUCUUUAUGACAGAGAACCAUUUAGUGAUCCAUCUCUAUAUUGUAGCAUUGCUGGUGCUUUGCAAUACUACACUCUCACCAAGCAUAACAUCUAUUUUUCCGUGACCAAAGUAUGUCGGUUUAUGCAUGCGCAAACUCUUAUUCAUUGGCAAGUUGUCAAGCGUAUCUCAUGAUUUCCCAAAGCCACAAGUUCUUAUGGUCUUUCUGUUCAAGCUUACAAUGAUCUAUCUUUUCUUGGUUAUACUGAUGUCGAUUGGGCUAGUUGCCCUGAUAACAAGCACAAUACUAGUGGGUACAACACUUUUCCUGGUCCUAAUCUCAUUUCAUGGGCAUUUUCAAAGCAGAAGGUUGUGUCUCACUCCAAUAACGAAUCUGAAUAUAGGGGACUCACUAAUUAAUGUUGUUGCCAAGGUCACUUGGAUUGAAUCUGUCUUACGUGAGUUGCGUGUUUCUCUACCCCAACCACCAAUUUUGUUGUGUGACAACAUUAGUGCUACACACUUGGACAAACCAUGUUGAAAUACACUAUCAUUUUAUCCAUGAAAGGCUUAUGCAUCACACACUCAAAAUUCAAUACACCUCUUCUAUAGACCAACUAGUCAAUGCUAUGACCAAAGCUCUUCCUUCAUCUCACUUGUACAAUCUUCAGUGCAAGCUGAUUGUUCUUCCCAAACCACUCAACUUGAGGGGAGAUGUUAAGCCAAUUUAAUAAAUUGAUUUCUUUUGGUUAAUUUGUUAGAAUCAUUUUUAUUAGAGGUUUGUUUGUACAAUUACAUCCAUUUAUCAGGAGAGUACACGUGUACAACUCCUCUUUUAAUCUCACCAUUGUAUAUAUAUGAUACACGACCUUACUCAGAAUUGCAUAACAUUUCCUCUGCUCAUUCCUUUUCUUCUUUGAAUUUUCCCUUACCUCACUGAUUUUGAUUUAUACCUGGUGUUUUCACCUUUGGUCUCUACCUUUCUAGCCAGUUUUCUAAUUAAUCCGUAUAUGGUAUACCUGUCAACUAAUGAGGAGAAAGAGAAAAGGGGAUUGCUGUUCCACCAGCUACAUAUAAUAAUUAAUUACAAUCAUGGUAAUGGAUCCUGAAAUCCAUCCUUUGUGGAUUUUGUACGGAAUAUUGUUGUUAUGUAUGUGGGCUCACUUAGAUGUAUAUUGCUAGCCUGUCUGGGAAAUGUGAUUGCAGGUCCAGAUUAUGAUGUUGAUAUUAGUGGGAUAAGCAAGAGAUGCAGUUAACACGUAUGUGAUGGACUUGAGUAACUUUUCCAUUUCAGUCCAUUUUUUAAGAUUAUGCUUAGUCUUAUUACAAGGAAAGACCAUAAGAAUCAUGAGUCAUUGGCAAGGUAAUAUCAUUCCCUCUUUACAGGCUUCUUCACCUUUUGGUUUUUUUAAUAUCCAUCAAGAUCUUUUAAUUGGAGGACAAUUACAAGUAUAUAUAUAUGUAUUAAAAGGGGAAAAUAUUAAAACAGGAAAUUUUAGGGAAAAUAUAAUAAUUAUUUCUUCCUUCUUUCCCAUAUAGAACUACACAAAAUAAAACUUUAAUAAUUUUUUCUUAUCUUUUUUAUUAUUAUUUUUUCUUAGAAACAUCCGUGGUCUCACAAGCUUGUAAUCCUAGAUUGUUAGGCUCCUUUAACAGUGCCCCAACAUCGUGGUCCAAUGACAAGCUUCCACGCCUUAAAAUCAGAAAAUGCCAUUAAACUUUAUCAGACAUUACAGUUCAAGACAAAGCUUUCAUUUGCUUAAUGUGAUAAUGAAAUUGUUAAUUUCAUUUCGUGGGCAUCUAAAUUUGGACGAGCAAGACCUCUGAAUUCCCUGUUUUUAUCACCAGCAGAGGAGAUAAAAUCUUAAUGGUGAGAAUCUCCACGUGAAAUUUAUGUGUACUGUCAACAUAUUUUUGUUUAUAUAGUCCAGUAGCUGCAGGAAGUCUAGAUUAUAUAGGUAGCAGUAGCACUAUUUAUAGCACUCGAUAUUCGCUGUAUGAAUACAUUAAACCUUGUUUUCAAUACGCAUCACAAGCAAGUACUAGAUACUACAAGGAGUGACAGUCGCAUCAACAUUUCUUGAUAAUAGCAGUGACUGAUUUAUACACAGAACAGUACUGUACACGUACCAGUCACCAGAGAUAGGAUCUUAUUCCUACAUACGACUCUUAUUGAUCGAAGUCACUCAGUUGGGGUAGCCUGGAGUUGGAGGUUUGUGUGGUGGCUUCUUCUUUGGAGGAGGCUUUAUCUUUGGAGGCAUCAUCUUUGGAGGCAUCUUGUGUGAGUCUUCUUCAGCAUUCUCUACAGGAGGAUGGCCAGGCUUAUGACCCUUAGGUGGUUUGCCAACUGGGAUUGGUGGCUUGUGUCCUGAGAGUGGCUCCUCUUCUUCGGGAGGUUUGCCAACUGACGUUGGUGGCCCGUGUCCUGGGGGUGGCUUGUGUUUUGGGGGUGGUUUCACUCCACCGGGAGGUUUACCAAUUGGUGUUGGUGGUUUGUGCUCAAUCGGUGGCCUCUCAACUGGGGGGCGCUUGGGGUAAUCAGCGAGUGAAGAAGUGGUGAGAACCACCACUCCAAGCAACAACACUAGCAAGUAUGUGGAAGACAUCUUUGAGUUUGGCUCAGAUGGUGUAGAACUAGAAUCCUGGGUGGCCUUUUAUAUUAGUUGGGCCCUAUGCCCGAACGACAAGUGUCAUGGUGACACAUAAAGUGAUGGGGUCGAUUUGGGCCUACCGGAUUUGAAAACUUGGACAAUUCGAGAAGCGUCUCCUGACUCCGGGUUGUAAAGUGAAAGAUUAGGUAUCGACCAUUGAAGUAUGAUCACAACUUUUGGCCUUUGGCUCUCUCUACUGCCGUAUAGCUUUUUUCCUUUGGAUAUUUUUCUUAGCUAGACACAAUUAUUGAGCAGUCUAAUCUCGAAAUGGGAUUAGUAUAGCUUUAAGCAAAUUUAUUAUAGUUAGUGGAGGACUUUUAAGAGUGCAGACGACAUUUAACACAUGCAUGCAGUAGUAUAGGGGACAUAACACUAUUCUUUUUCCAAAGAUUCACAUGAUUUUUAUAUUAUAGUAUUGGCACAUUGUAUGUAGCUGGUUUUGUGGUUAAAAUUCCAUAUGUAGACACUGGCGUUUCUCCAUUUCUCACAAUUGAUGUUUACCUCCACGAUUACUAGAUUAGAUAUACCAAACAAUAACACAUUGUAUAAUCUAUCCGCCCUUCAAAAUCUACUGUAUGAUGAAAUGUUUCAUGUGUGUGUGAAGUGUUAGAAAUGCACUAUAGGCAACAUCAUCUUCUUUUGUCUAGGCUUGGGCCUCAAAUUAUACUCCCAUGCCAUGAUAAAUUUUCAUGUGCAUUCUCUAAAGAAGAGUGUCUUGAAUGUGCCAAAUCAUUUUGAUUGAUUUUAUGAUGUUAAUUGCUCCGCAUAUGGAUGGGUAUGUGCUUUAUUUGCUUAUUCAAUCCACAAUUACCUUGAACUGAAGUCCUAUUGGAGCUCUAUUAUUUUAGCAACGUCCUGUCAAAUAGGCUGCUAACUUGGGGUGGUAUGGACCCAAUGAUCCAUCUUAAUCUUGGGUUGAUUUUGUCUGACUCUAUCUAUCUCAGAGAGAACCAGGAUCACCAGUGCUGGUCUGCUUAAAGAAGACUCAGUACUGGAUUAAUAUUGGUUUGGGUCAAUAGCUUAUAAUGCAUUGAAUGCAGAAUAAACAAGAUCAAUGAAACCCAAAACACACUGCCCACACAACUUCACUCUGGUGUCUGUUAUUCAUCAAUUCUAUUCCCACAUGAACUGGUUCAAGUUUAAGAAAAUGACAACGGAUCCACUGUAUUAACUUGGUUUUGCUUGGUUUUGAGCUAGUUGCCAAACCAGCCAUGAGUUUUACCUCUAAUGUCAAUGAACAAACCCCAAAUGAACAACUGCAACAGCUUAAAGAGAAGGAAUGGAGAUGAAAAUCCCUGUUUCUUCUCAUUCUGGGGACAAAUUAGAACAUAACUACAAAGGUUCUAUUAAUUGACUUACUCUACCAUGAAUUAUGGUUCUUUGGUUUUCCAAAUUUAAAUUGUACAUGAGAUUAUUUUUUUCCUUUAUAUAUAAACAUAUUAAGGUUUUCUUAUUUCGUGGGCAAAUGCGCUAAGGAUGAAAGUCAUUUCAUUUGGCUGCAACAGCAUCUUAUAAUCAACAUGCAUAAGCAGCAGUUUUAAUUGAUCGAUUGAACACCGACUCACAAGAAUAGAUAGAAUGGUACAAGACAGCUCUUAUUAAUUUAUACUCGUUACUCAUUUUAUGUAGCCCCAUUAAGAUGGCUGGCUGGACCACCGAGGUCUGGGGGUGGUGUUGCUUGUGUGAUGCAGCGGGCCGGGCAGACACUUCUCUAGUUGCUUCUAUUUGGAGUUAGAGGAUCAGUCUCUGCCAACCUUGAGGACUCUCUACCUCAGAGGGUCCAGGUGGUGGACUCUGGUGUCGGUAGCUUUGAACUCUCAGUAGACUAGUGUGUCUUAAUCAGUCACUGCCAGAGGCUGGCGUAGGCAGUGACGAUAAGGUGAGACAAAUUACCGAAUAGUCAAUAUCGACUGCACUUGACCAUUAUAGAUUUGUUCUGACAAAAGUGAGAAAAGGGAGAAAAUCGGAUGUUGACCUUUAUAGAAAAAGAUAAGAUUUACUGCAACACAGAGCACUGAUUUGUUACUUGGAAACCAAGUUAUGCUAUUAGCUAGCCUCCAUUAGCAGCAGGGUACCUUGCUGCCUGAUCCUAAUCUGAGUUCCCAAGGUUUCAAUCUUCGUUUGUUAACGCUUCAGGAUUUGGAUAUUUCAGCUUCGUUUCUCCAUUUAGCCAACGCUGCCUGGUUUGGAUUUCAAUCCUCAUCUGGAACAUUCUUUUUUCGGUCUGAUUCAGGAAGUGUUUGGUGAUAGUUGAUUAAAAUUAAACAGUACUAUCAUACAAAUAAAGCUGAUCUAAUUUUGGUGGGCAAUAUACCAACUCAUUUAUUCUUGAAAACACCAUGGGGAAUUGGAGGUCCAUCCGAAGUACUAUUUGAUGGGACUCACAAAAAGAACAGGUGCACAUUUAUGAGAUCCGUGGAAGAGAUAACUAUGACAGCUAUGCAUGUACAACAGAUUUAUGUCGAGUUCACCUCGUAGAUAUUUUGUUUUCAGUGUCGGUGGACCCCAAAAUGGAAAUCGGAAAUUAAGGUUAUAUUUAUUUUUUUAUUUAAUUUUAAAUAGAAUUUUAAUUUUUAAUAAUAUUAAGUAUUAAAUUAUUUUUUUAAGGGUAUUUUAUUUUUAUUAAGUAUUAAAAAGUAAAAAAAAUUAAUAUGUUGCUUUUUUAUUUUAAAAAAAUUAUAUAUUUUAAUUUUUUCUAUUUACUAAAAAGUUUAUAAUAAAUUAUAAAAAAAUAAAAAAAUAAAAAACUUAAAUUCUGAAAAUAAAUUAUUUUUAAUAAAAAAAUCCAAAAAAGCAAACACCACCUAAAUUUGAGAUGACUCAAAAUUUUAUAUUUUUUUUCACCUAAAUUAUAUUCAUAAAUUUAAAAUUAAAAAAUUAGGAAGUUGAAUUUUAUUUUGGAUAAUUGGAAACUACAAGAAAUCAAUAAAAAUAUUUGGAAAAAAAAGAAAAAGAAAAACUAUCUAUAUAUUCACCCCCUUCUAAGAAACAUAACUUUAGUUUUUAACUAUUUUUUAAAAUAAUUUUUGAAAAAUGUUAUAUAAUAUUUUAUAAAACAAAAAAUCUGUUUGACAAUUUGAUAUGUCUUUAACUUAUUUUUAAUAUUUAUAUAUAUAUAUUUUAAAAAUAAUUUUAUAUUUAGAACUUUAUCUUUAAUUAUUAUAUAUAUUUAUAUAAUUAUUUUUUUUAAAACAACUCUUAAAAAAUAAGUGAAAGUAAUUGAAAACAACUCAAAGAUAUUUGAUGAAAACACUCUAAUUUGUAUUUUUGAGAAUAAAAAAAUAAAUAAAUAAAUUUCUAGUUAUCAAAUGUAUUUUUUAAUUCUUUUAUUCUAAAAAAUAGAAAAUCGUUUUUGAAAAUAAUUAUUAAACAACAUUCUUAAAAAUUCACUCGUUACAAUCUAGAUUUAAUGCAAGAAUGAUUGAAGGAGUCCUCCAAUAGAACCCAAAGUUAUAAACAUGAACAAGAAGCCCUAGAAACACCAAAGAUCUCAUAUGGUAUAUAUAUGAGCUUGAUUGAGAACUGUUUUAAAUUCAGUUUUUUUUUUUUUUUUUUUUUUUUGUUUUCAAAGUCAAAACAAGUUUACUUUUAAUUUUUACUUCUUUUUUUUAAUUUUAUAAAUAACAGUUUUUUAAUAAUUUAUUUUGAAAACAUGAUUAUUUUUAAAACUUAUAAUGAAAAUAGGAAUUUUUUUUUUAAUAUCAUGGUUAUUUUCCCUUCUUUUAAGGAGGGCUAUUUUAAAAAUAAAUUUACAAAUAUGAAAAAUGAUUCAAACUAAAGCAGUACAAAUAAAAAACAUUUUUAAGAAAUAUUUAAAAAUAGAGAAAAUUAUUUGAGAACAUUUGAAGUCCUUAAAUAGACUUUUGUUUUAGAAAAGGCAAGAUAAUUAUUUUUGAAAAUUGUUUUCAUAAUGAUAUGCAAAAACCUACGUAAAAACCAUAAUUAUAAUCGGCCACAUAUCAAAUCUACUAAAUAUGAAAAGUAAGUACAUAAUUAUAUUUGACUUAGAUGCAAGGAGGAAAAUGUCGCGAUAUUAUCGCCGAAAUAUCGUGUGUCGAAGGGUAUCGACACGAUUUUUCUUGCAGAAAUAUCGGCCAGUCGAUUUUUCGGGAUAAAUCUCGAGAAAUCGGCAAUUUAUCGCGAUAUAUCGGCGAUUUUUCCUCGAUAUAUCUUCUGGUCAACGCGGGUCAACGGAGUCAACACGCUACAGUGAAAGUCAAAUGUGCUACAAUGUCCCCGCUACAAUCACCUCCCCAAACAAAUUGCCAAAUUGCUUCCGAGGGGAUUUGAACCAGCCUUCUUGCCAUUUGGGCUAACUCGCCCUUAUGAUAUAUAUUGCAUUAAACAUAUAUAUACUUAAAGUCCUUAUAUAAAGAAAAUGUUAAAAAAAUAUUUUAAAGAGCAAAUUAAUUAUAAUUAUUUUAUAAUUAAAAGCAAAAUUUUCUUUUAAUUAAUUACCAAAAAUAUAAAAAUUAUAUAAUUUUCUUCAUAAUGUUUUUAAUAUCAUUAAUAAUUAAUUAAAUAUUAAAAAAUUAUAUAUAUAUAUAUAUAUAUAUAUAUAUAUAUUAUAAUUUAUUUUAUAUUGUUUAAUACAAUUGAAUUAAAUGGAUCAUAUUUUAAUAUUAAUAUAUAUUUUAAAAUUAGACAUAUUGUAAUCAAAUAUCAUAAUAUUAUAUGUAAUUUAAUAAUAAAUGUACACUUAUAAAAUUCAUAUUUUUAUCGAUGCAUACAAUAUUAUUAUCAAAUAUGAUAAAUCAUGUUAUACAUAUAUCAAAAUUUUCAAUAAAAUAACUUUAAAAUGUCUAUUAUACUUCUAAUUAUAUUAUUAUGAGGUUUUCUUUACAUUUUCAUGAGUUUUAAACAAUUUUAAGCACCAAUAUUUUUUUCCAAAAUAUCCACCGAUAUAUCUCCGAUAUAUCCAAUAUAUCUCCGAUAUCUCCGAUAUAUCCGUAAAAUCGAAGUACCGAUAUAUCCGUGAUUACCGAUAUUUUCAUCAUUGCUUAGAUGCAACCUUCUUCCAAAUGACAUACUUUAGUCAAUACUUAUAUUUUUUCGUUUCACUUCUUUGAUACAACACCUCAUGGAUUUAUUGUUUAAUUUAUUUGUAAUUAUAAAACUAUUUUUCAUUUUUAAUAAGACUUGAAUUAAUUUAAUAAAUAUUAUAUAAUUUGAAUUUAUAAUUCUUUUUAUAAAAUCAAAGUAUAUUAAAAAAAAAACAAUUUAUCCGAAGAAAGUUUUUUAUUUUUUAUUUUUUAAAACCGAUUUUAAAAAUAACUAGCUAGACACCCUUAUUUUGAUAAAAUACGAAAUAAAAGUGUAAAAACAACAUGGCCAAAUAGGGGCUUAAAUUUUAUUUUUAAAACAUUUUUUUACACUAAAGUGCAUUUUAAAAACACCAUCAAAACCAACUACAAGUUAUGCUUCUUCCCGUAAUAGAAAUAUUUUAGGCCAAAAUAGAACCUCCCCAAAUAAAGACCCUAUACUAAACUCCUUUUCAUUUUAUUAAUACAAAAGUGGGGAAAAAAGGUCUAUGCUCACCUAAAAAACAUGAAUAUUGUGAAUUCACCAUUUCUAUAAGGAAGUUGAAAACUUCAAAAUUUUAUCAACAAAUUCUCUAAAAUCCUCAAAAUAUAUAGGGCCUGUUUCACAAAGUUUUUUAAAAUUUGUUUUUAUAAAUUGCUUUUAAAAUAUAGAAUAAAUAACAGUUUUUUAGAUUUUUUGAAAAAUAAGAGUGUUUGGUAAGAUGUUUUUUUUUUUUUUUUUUUUUUUAAGAAUUAAAUAAAAAAUAAAAAAAUUGUUUAGAUAAAAGAAUUUGUAUUGUUUUUAAAAACAAUGUCUUACUUUUAUGUUAUAAAAAUUUUAUUAAUUUAAUUUAUAAUAAUAUGAAAUGAAAUUCAAGUUAAGUCUUAUUAAAAAAUACAAAUUAAAUCUAUAAUUAUGCAUGAGUUAAAGAUAAAUAUAUAUUUUUUAAAACUAUAAAAUAAAUUUUCUAUUAUAGUGAAACAAAAAUUACUAUAAAAUAAAAAUAAUUUUAAUAUUCAUUUUUAAUACAAGUCAAAUAAGUACUUUAAUUAAUUUUUUUUAUCAUGAUUUCUUAUGUUUUUUUUUUUUUCUAGAAAUUAUUUUAAGUAAUAUAACUAAUUUUUUUUUUAAUGUUUUAUAAAAAUAAGGAUAUUUGGCAAGUUGUUUUUAUAAAAGGAUUUUAAAAAUAAAUGGAUUUUUUUUUUUUUUAAAAAAAGAACAAAAUGAUUUGUUUGAAUAAAUUGUUUUGAUUUUGUAAAAACAUUUUAAAUUCAAUUUAUAUAAUAUUAAUUAAUUAAAUUAAAUUGAAGUUUUAUUGAAAAUAAAAAUAAUUUUGUAAUUAAAAUUAGAUUAAAAAAUAUAUAGGUUUUAAUAAAUCGUAAAUAGUAAUAUUAUAAUAAAAUUAUAAAUUAUAUUUUUAACAUAAAAUAUACUAUUUAUUACAUAUUAAAAAAAAUAUUUUAUUAUAUUAAUAAUUUUAUGGUAUUAAUGAGUUUAUUAUUUAAGUUUUAAAUUAUUUUUAAAAAUUAAUAAAUUUGUUAACAAAUGCAAUGUACUAAAUGUGGUUUAAUUUGGAGUUAAUUUGUUUAGGGAAAAAAAUAAAAAAUAAAAAUCUUAUGUAAAAGAGAAAUAAUAGAGUGUGUGUGUUUUUUUUUAUUAUUUUUAAAAAUCAGUAAAAAGAACUUUUACUUAUUGCCUAAAAAUUAUUCUCUAUUUUAUUUUAUUUUUUAAAUCUAGAAAUAGAUAACAAUAAUAAAAAAAAUUAAAAAAGAAAAAUGUUUUUUAAAACUCAGACUUAUAAUUGCUUUUGUUUCUCAUUCGCACCCCUGGAUUCCUGGAUUCUAAACACAAAAUUAAGUUGAAUCGUCCAUCUAUCUUGUAAGCCAAGAAUUCACAUAGAAGAAAUAAUCGGAAUUUGAUUUGAUAUCAGAUUUAGAGUGGCUCACUACUCAUGCAUUGUCCCACAAUAGUAAUGCUUUGGGCCGAGAUAAACCCAUUUGUGGGCCCAAAUAAAACCCCUGGUUUGAAAACAUCGAUUUUACAGUGGCCCAAAAGAUUAUCUAUGAGGGGAAGAUAACUUGGAAGUCAAGCAAACACAUUUAUCGCUAACUUUUCUCUAAUUAUAAAAUUAUAACUUGGUCUUCUACACGUCUCACUUAAGAGGCGGAGCCACUUGGCACUACCUUUCCAUAUUGUAAAAGGAGAAGAAGCAGAAGGAGAAGAUUCUUAUGCCAUUCCACACACCAUGGCUAGUACUGCUAUGCUGCUUGGCCCGCCGGCUCUCCGCCAUCCUAAUUCUCCCGCCGGCACUGUCUUUGAAGAUGGGGUCAUUCUAACGGAUUCCCUGAUCGUCCGCACCAGUAAUCUGGAGCUUUCUGAAAAACCGCCACUGGAAUCCCUGGCGUAGUGCUCUGUCAGUGGGGAUAUUGCUAUGGAUUGUUUGGAUUCCCAAGCCCACAAUCUUCAUCUUCCCGGGAAACCGCCGAUGGGCUUAACGGAAAACAAGUCUCCGACCUUUUUGUCUUCCGGGAACCCGUGCUUGGACUUCUUCUUCCAUGUGGUUCCCGAUACGUCGUCUGAUGAUCUGAUCCGACGGUUUGAGUUGGCUUGGGAAUUCAAUCCGCUGACGACGUUAAAACUGAUAUGCAACUUGAGAGAGGUGAGAGGCACCGGAAAAUCUGACAAAGAGGGUUUCUACACGGCGGUUCUCUGGCUCCACGACCACCAUCCCAAAACCCUAGCCUGCAAUGCUAGGGUGUUGGCCAGCUUCGGUUAUUUCAAGGAUUUUCUCGAGAUUCUCUACCGGCUUCUGGAGGGCCCUAAAAUUCGAAGAAUCGAAAAGAAAGACUGGCUGGAUCGAAAAGGAAGGAAGAAAAAUUCCCGGAAAAGGAACUCAAUAUUCAAGCGAGAAAAUAGGCCUGGAGUUGAAUUUCCUGUAGAAGAGAAGGAUGUGGAGUAUAUGGUGGAAGAAUUUGUGGAUAAAGAAAAGGCUAGGGUACUGAGAAAGGAGAGAGAACUUGCUCUUGCCAAAAGAGCCCUGCACAAGUAUUCUACUGAUUCUAAUUAUCAGUUCUUACAUGAUCAGAUUUCAGAUUUAUUUGCUGAACUUCUGAAAUCUGAUAUUCAGUAUUUAAACUCCGGUGAGCUUUACAAGAUUAGUCUCGCAUCCAAAUGGUGUCCCACAAUUGAUUCUUCUUAUGAUAAAUCCACCUUGAUAUGUGAAAAUAUUGCUCGAAAGGUUUAUUCUCGCGAGGAAUAUAUAUCCAGAAUACCAAGGAAUUGAGGAGGCUCACUAUGUUAAUAGAGUCAGGGAUAGGUUGAGAAAACAAGUACUUGUUCCAUUACGUAAGGCCCUGGAGUUGCCAGAGGUUUUCAUGUGUUCGAACCAGUGGGGAUCACUUCCCUACAACCGUGUGGCUUCAGUGGCCAUGAAAUCAUACAAGAGCCUCUUCUCAAAACAUGAUACAGAGCGGUUUGGUGUGUAUCUUGAGAAAGUGCAAACUGGGAAGGCUAAGAUUGCAGCUGGUGCAUUACUUCCCCAUGAGAUUAUAGCUUCAUUGAAUGAGGAGGAUGGCGAGAAAGUUGCAGAGCUUCAGUGGGCGAGAAUGGUGGAAGAUUUAUCAAAGAAUGGGAGGCUCACAAAUUGCAGUGCGGUAUGUGACGUAUCAGGAAGUAUGAGUGGAACUCCAAUGAAGGUGUGUGUGGCUCUGGGGCUGUUAGUUUCAGAGCUCAGUGAAGAUCCAUGGAAAGGUAAUGUAAUUACUUUCAGUGCAAGUCCUGAGCUUCACAAGAUCCAAGGAGACAGCCUUGUAUCCAAGACUGAAUUUGUGAGGAUGAUGGAAUGGGGUGCGAACACUGAUUUUCAGAAAGUUUUUGACAGAAUCUUACAAGUAGCAGUGGAGGGAAAUCUGAGUGAAGAUCAAAUGAUAAAGAGGGUUUUCGUUUUCACUGAUAUGGAGUUUGAUGAAGCUUGUGGGAGGUAUAACUAUUGUGAAUAUGACUAUGAUAUGGAGGAAAUUGAUGAGAGUCAGAAGGCAUCUCAGAAGUGGGAGACAGAUUAUGAAGUGAUACAGCGGAAAUUCCAGGACAAAGGAUAUGGAAAAGUUCCGGAGAUAGUGUUUUGGAACCUUAGAAACUCAUCAGAGACUCCAGUGAUGGCCACAGAGAACGGGGUGGCCUUAGUAAGCGGGUUUUCGAAGAAUCUGUUAGACCUUGUUUUUGGAAGGAGGUGGAAUUCUGACCCCUCAGGAUGUGAUGGAAUUAGCCAUCUCUGGUGAAGAUUACAAGAAACUUGUUCUAUUUGAUUAAGAUAUCAAGAGAUUUAUCAAUAAUAAUAUGUUUUUUUUUUUCUAUGUGAAAUACAUGUAAUAUUAACUAUGGAGUUAUCAAAGUUCUGGAAAUUUAAUUAUUUCUUCUUUUCAAGUUUUGUUUGUCUUUGUUAGGAAUUCCCCUUGGGCGGACCCAGCUGGGGACUUGGAUUGAGGAAGUAAGGAGGCGAAAUUGUGUUCUUCUAUGGACAGAGAAAAAAGAUAAAAAUAAAAAAUAAAAAAGGAGGUUAUUUGCAUUUGGAUGUCAUGUGGUUUCAGGGUACAACUACAAGUUCGAAAUUGUACAUAAUGUGAAAAUUCCUGUGUGGAGAACAGCAUAAAUAUGUAUCUCAGUGUGUUUUGUUUGAGCUAAUUGGCAAAUUCGCUUUAAACAUGGUCACAUGGAUGCAUAUUUAUUUGUGAAAUGAUAGUAGUCGAUUACUUGGUCAGUAAGGUUUGUAUCUCUAACUCCAACAUCUUAUUGUAGUCUUUUAAAAUGUCAAAAGUUUAAUGCUAGCUUGAGAAAUUUUGGAAUGGAGACAUUCUAAACAAAGUUAAUAAUCCAUGAGACUUGGUAAAACCGAUCAGAUGAUGCUUACGUACAUGAAUGCCUUCUUUAAGCCGUAUCCUAUUUUCAUUGAAUGAGACGUGCCAUCUAGUUUUGUUCUUGUCUUGAUUGGAUCAUGAUCCCGGGAAUUGAUUACUGUUCUGAAUUUGCGAAUGUUCAAGGUAUUAGAGAAAGUUAAUAUUAUCGUUAAUUUACAUAUUAGUAUUUAUCUAGUUAUUAUAUAUUAGUUUGAAUUAUAAUAUAAUAUAGAAUUUGAAUCAAGUUUACUAUUAGUUUGAAUUACAAUAGGAAAUAAAGUUUGAAUUAUAGUAUAACUCAAAUAUAUUUGUAUAUAAAUAUCCAUCUUUAUCAAUGAGAAUAGUAAACCAUAUUUUUCUCUAUCUUCUUCUUUCUCUAUAUAUAUGGUAUCAAAGCCUCCAAAUCCUAAACCUAGUCUCAACUUAGAGCAAAUUUAGGGUGCAGGGUUUAGGCCCCGCCUCCCCCAACCCUUACCACAAAUGGUAGUGACCUUGUUAUGCCUAUGUAUUGUCAAUGCCUCAUUUUCUAUGGUCUUCAAUACAAUAUCUAGUUUCAAUGUCUCUUUCCUUACUAUCUCCAAUGCAAUAUAUUGAUUUCAAUAUCUCUUUACAACCAAGAGCUCCAAAUUUUCCUGGUUCAAAUCUACCAUAAUUUUUAUUCUCCUUUGCUUUUUACCAAUAUUAGUUCCCCUAAUUUAAUAUAUAUCUCUUUAUUACCUUCAACUCUACCUCUCUCUUUCUUUAAAAGCUUCCUCAAAGAUUUGAUUGCUUUCUUGCAUGUUUUGGGAAAACAAACAUGCUCAUAUUCUAUUACCUCUACUUGAGAUCUGCCUUAUACUCUACCUUCUUCUUUACCUCCUAUAUCAUCUACUACAUUAGCUUCAAAAACAUUAUUUAGUUUGAUGCUAAAUAAGGCUCCUAAUCCUACCCUUCCUUCAACUAACUUUCUUUUACAAGUCCCUCAAAGUUUUUUUUUUUUUUUUUUUGGAAAUUUGGCUUAGAAAGAUUUCAUUACUCUUACCUAAUCUUUCAACCAUCAAGUCGAAUCCACUUAUCUCUUGAAUCCAAGGAGACUACCCUCCACAAAAACAAGGAGAUUGACCCCCACAAUAACAAAGAGAUUGUCCUCCAUAGAAACAAAGAGAGCUUCCUUCAUGGAAGCCGAAUACAUCGCAAUCUAUUUUCUUUCUCUCAAGAUCAAAUCUCCAAUCGGAGCUCCAUCUUGUGGGGAUAUAUUAGAAAAAGUUAAUAUUAUCCUUAAUUUACAUAUUAGUAUUUAUCUAUAUUAUAUAUUGAAUUAGAAUAGAAUAUAGAAUUUGAAUUAAGUUUACUAUUAGUUUAAAUUACAAUAGGAAAUAGAGUUUGAAUUAUAGUAGAACUCAAAUAUAUUUAUAUAUAAAUAUCCAUCAUUAUCAAUGAGAAUAGUAUUCCAUAUUUUUCUCUUUCCCUGAGGCUUCAGAAUGUGAUCUUGAACAUUUGAUCUUUUGGAUUCUUCUUGUUUCGGUGGUUUAAUAUAAUGGAAUGUUUAAUUAUAGCCUACUUUAUCACCAUGGAUGUGCUCCUGCAGAUUUCUUGAGGGUGAUGGUUAUUUUGUCAUGUUUCUUGAAUGGUUUGCAUCAGCUGCCUGAGCUGUUGUUGCUGGUCACUUUUGCAACCAGGGAAAGAAUCAUGGCUUUGGAGAAGCCAGCUUCUGUUUUUGUUGCCCAGCUGUUAGUUCACUAAGAUUGGGGGUCCUAACAUGUAUGUAUAAUCAUAAGCAAGGAAAUUUUAUGUCUUACGCUAGAUAGGUACCAUGAUAUGAUGUUUGAUUGAUUUAUUAACUCUACCUGUUUCAAAAGGCAUCAACAUUAAUUUUACCCUUUUAACACAUUGGAUUGUUUGACCUUACGAGAUUUUCUAUUUCUGUACUAUUUGAACUGCAAUCGUUAUGGUCCUUAGGUCUCUAAACCUUCGUUUAAAAUAAAAGUAAGGAGCACACAUAGUAAAAGUUAAUUUUGGGUAACUUUUAAAACAAAGAGAAAAGUAAAAGUUGUUUUUGAGAAAAACAUAUAGAAAUUGAAAGAUUUUUUAUUUUGAGAAAAAAAAGUCAUAGAAAAGAAAUAAUAUCCCCAUAUAAGUAGAUAUGAUCUAUCCGAAGUGUAGCUACUCUCCUGGAUUUAUUCUAACAUUUUAAAAUUUUUCUCAAUGGGCAAAGGAAUAUCAAAUCAAGCUUGAGUAGGAUUAAUUUCUUAAUUUUUAAAAUAACUUAUAAUUAAAAUUUUUUGGUGUUUUCUUUUUUGGACAAUUUUUUAUGAAGACUCUGAAUCAUGCAAGAGAUAUGGUUAUUUUAAAAAAAAAAAUAAUUUAAAACUCAAAUACAUAAUCAAUGUCACAAAUUUAUAAACAAAAGGUUUUUAAAAAAUACUAUUAUUUCCCCUCUACACAUAAUUUUACUUUUCCGAUUUAUUUAUUUUUGUUGGAAAACAGUCUUCAAAUCAAGUAAAAUUAAUAUGUUAAAUUUGUUAAACAAAUAAAUUUUAAAAUACAAUUUGGAACUCAAAAAUCAAUUCAAGUAAUGCUAAAAUUCAAAAAAUCAAAUUUGGAAUAAAAUGACUUUGUAAAUUUUUUUACUAAACAAAUGAAUUUUAAAUCAAGUGAGAUUUAAUACAUUGGAUUUUUAUGAGAAUAGUAAUUUUAAAAAUUAAUUUGGAACUCAAAAAUAGACACAAUAAAUACCAAAAAUCAAUGAACCAAAAUUGGUUUGGAAUAACUCCAUAAUUUUUUAUUUAUUUAUAUAUUUAUUUUUUUGUGCACACGAAUUUCUUACUAAGCAUAUUGCUUCCAAAUUGAGAAAAAUUUACUAUUUAGAUUUUUUUAAUGAGUUUAAUGGUAUUUAAAAAUAAUUCAAAAAUUCGAAAAUUGACUAAUUUAAUAUUAUAAAUUCAUAAACCAAGACUAAUUCAAAAUGCAUUGGGGGCUAAGGGGGUUGAAAUUAAUGCUCCAUUUGGUUGUGGCCACCAAUUGGCAAUGGCCACCAAUCAACCAAUCAAGGUGGCUAAGGGGGUUGAAAAUAGGGACAAUGGGGUGGGUUUGGGACAGGACACUCAUAUCCCAUUCCCAUCCCAAUUACACAGUUAUUUCCCAUCCUUAUUCCAAACUUGUGUUGGGGCAAGUUGAUUUGUUCCCAUCUUUGUUAACGAAAUGACUAAUAACCUCAUCCUCUCCUUGUCUUAGAUGUACAUUUUCUCAAAUUUGGUCAGGUAUGAUUGAUUCAAGCCCUAACCUUAAUUGGUAAUGAGUGGAUACCACACCUAAUUGCAUUCUUCUUUCGUUGCAAAAUAAUGAGAUUAUAAUAAUCUAGCAAAUAAGAAAAAAUAGUAUGGAAGUUCAAAUUAACACCAUAACUAUCAAUAAUUUUAAGCUUAUAGAUGACUUAAAUGAUUGAAAACUAAUGCAAAAUACUAAAAAAAAAAAAAAUCAUCUAAAGAAUUCACAAGAGAAUAGAACGAACAAAACCAAAUAGGAACAUGGGUCAACAUUAGUUACAGAUUUUGAUCCCUUUCAAGGCCAAUCUUUGAACCAAGACUUCAUCAAAUCUACUACUUCAAAGGCUUUUGUGUUCUUCUUGAGUUGUACUCUGGAACAAAGACUUCGAGGUGAUGCUUUAGAUGAUUGCAUUACACAUAUUUAGGGUAGGGAGAUUGGAGAAGCUUGAAGAUGCCAACGAUGGGUACAAUUGAGUGGUCAAUAAGAACAAUGUGGCCUAUGACUAGUUUGAUGUCAUGGUAUAGGAGUUUUGGGCAUUGAGGUGAAAGCAAGAGCAACAUGGAAUUGAUUUCAAAGUCUUUCAAUUAGUGUAAAGGAGGAAGAAGAAGUGGUAUUGAUCCUAGAAAUAGUGUUUUAGGUGUUGCAUUAGAGGAAAAGAAAAAGAAAAAGAAGGAACCAUUGGAAUUAGUACGAGUGUGAAGAGAGAAGUGUAUACAUAAGGGGAAGUAAAAGCAAAGUUCUAAAAAUUUAUUUUUUUAUUGGUGGUGUAUGGUUGCAUGAUUAUCCCUAUAAAUAAUAGGAGUUUUUUGGUGUUCUACUAGUAGUUGAAGGAUAAUUUCAUAAGAUAAUAUUUAGAGCGGGGUGGGGUGAGUUGUGACAAAAUCCAUACCCGUCCCAAACAUUGGUUCAGGUUUUUAAAAUAUUUUCAAACUUAUCAUAUACCCAAUUUUAUAUUUCAUACUUGUCCUAAUAGAGACAGGUUAGUCAGGGUUACUUGAGUAGCCUACAAAACUAUCAUCCCUAGUUGAAAUGCUCUUUUUGGCAGUGGCAGCUAGAAGCUCGAUCGAUUGACCUACAAGACUAGUUGUCAUCAUUUUAAAAAGAGUUUUGGCUUUGGUUGUGAGUGCAAUUGAAUCUAAACUAACAUUUCCUUAAUGCAUCUACUUCAAUCCUAAACUUCUUACUUAAGCCUCAAUUGUUGUUAAGAUUUUGGAAAACCCAUUUCCUUAAAUUGUAAAUUUAAGAAAAAAAAAAUUAAAAGUGAGACAUUUCUUGAUUGAAUGUUGUUAAAGGUCCCUUGGAAUUAAGACUUGGUUGAAGCCUUGGAAGAUUAGCAGAACUCUCAACUUAUGUUUGAACCUUGAGGAGAGUGGACGUAGGCCAAAAUUUUGUCAAACCAUUAUACAAAUUGAGUUUGAAUUCUCAUUUCUUGAUUUCUUAUUUAUUUGCUUUUUCUUAUUAUUACUUGAAUUGUCAUUUGCAUUCAUUAAUGUUAAAAUUGGUUAUAAUUAGCCAACACUAAUUCUCUUUCCCCUUCCCUUAAUUUCUUGGGUGUAAACCUAGGUUGGAUUAACUAGAUUUUAUCAAAUCUAUUAAGAUGGUAAAAGAAUAAUUAUUCUUAACAUACAUAAGAUCAUCUUCAAUCAAAUGACUCAUUGGCUGAUAUGUUGAAUUUGCUUAUUACUUGCAACUCAAAAUUGUGUUCUAGUUGAUAUGUCAAGUCCUGAGUGUAUGGACAUUAAAUUUGUAGUACGUGAUGAGUAUUUAGAUGGUCCAAUUCCAAGAAAGUGAUUGAAAACUAGUUCAAGAAAGGUGCAAAAGGGAAUUGUUUUGGUAUUUUCGUUUUUAUUCUUGAAGGUGGCAGAGCUAAAAUUUGAGAAAUCAAGCAAAACAUACUGAAAUUACAUUGAAAGAAAGAAAAUGGGAGUUAAUGUCUUGCAGUACAUGAUAAGGACUUCAUGCAUGUAGUGUGACCCAUGUCUUGGACUGAUGCCACACUCACGGUUACACUUAUACCCUUAGUUCUCUCUUUACUACCUUAGCUAACCUAGAUCAGGUUAUGAGAUAGGCACCUCACCACACCAUUACUUGCCCAUUAAUUAGUGACAUUUUCAAGCAAUGAGGUAACAUGGUGACACCAAGAGGGUAUAUUCCUCACCCCCAACAAGCCUAGACCUGGUCUAAAAAAAAUGGAGAAAAAUGACGUGUUGUUAUGCAGAAAUAUAGCAACCAUGCCUUCCUCAUUACUUAGAUUCAGAAUGUGAAGGUGAAAUUGAGAAACAGAAACUCUUGAAACCAAAAUGAAAAUUGAUACUUUUACGAAGAAUUACAACAACAUUAGAGGAAGACUACAUUCUUCCUCUUUAUUCCUACAUUUCUACACUACUUCUACUCCACUCCAUAUUUCUACAUACAUCUUUAAUCAGUCUUCCCUCCUUUAUAUAGAGCCAUCUUCACACAAAUUCCGCAAGGUAGAAAAGAGGAAUGAAACUUGGAGCAAGGUUCGACUACUGGCUGUAGCUUGUCAAGGCUGAAAGUGAACUUUUUUUCUUGGCUUUUCUGGGCAUAGGUAGUAACUUGUAGGUUCCUUUUUGGAAUGAAAAUGGUACGGCUAGAACAUGUGGCACUCUCUUGUUGGAUGAUGUGUCAAGCAUGUGGCAGCCAUCUAGUGGAGAUUAUGUCAAUUUUGGGAUGGAGAGUUGGCAUCCAAUUGCAAAGAAAUAUGACAUCUACCAACAUGCAAUGUCAACCUAUGUAGAUCAUAUGAAGAUAGAGAGGAAAAAUAUAGAAAUGGAUAUAUAACUAGAACUAGCUUUUUAUUAAAUGAGACGGAGAGCCAACAAUGAAGGAAAAUCAAAAUUUUUGGCUCAUAUCAAAGAAUUCACAUUGUGUUACCCUAGGUUUUCUUAAAACUUACUUUUAUGAUAAUAAAAAAUCAUUAUUGUUUAAUCCUUUGUUUUAAACGCAUGUUUAGCAGGUUGUAAAAUGUAAAUAUCUUUCGAAAUUCAAAUAUGAAGAUAUGACAUCAUUUCAAGCAAUAUAGUCUCUAGGAAUUAAUGUAAAGCUAAAUUAAGGUGCAAUUAAGUUAGUUCAAUGCAUUAUUUUAAGAAACUUGACCUAUCAAAACCUUGUCUUACUUCAAAGCCUCUUUUUCUUUUCUUCCAACUAACAUUUUAAUAAGUGAUCGCAAAAGUACAAAAUUAGAUGAAAUCCAUUUCAAUGGUUAAAAUGAUCAAAUUCAAACUUUUUCUAAGUAUCUUUUAAAAGCAUCAAUAUUGAAAGACAAUUUUAUAUUUAGUCAAAGCUUGGACAGAGCCAAAAAGCACACAAAAAUUUAUAUUUUCUAGCUCUCUACCUUGGAUGGUCUCUUGAUCCUACUUGGAGAUGUGCAUAAAUAAAAGGAUUUGAAAAUGACAAUUGACUAAGUAUGUAGUCAAUCAAUUACUCAUUGAUUGACUAGUUGAUCAAUUAACUUUGCAACAUCAUAUGCAAUCCUAAUAGCUAGUCAUCUAAUCAACUAGGUAGUAAAUCAAUAGGCCAAAAAUAUGUUUAUAAUGACUAUUUUGUACAAAAACCACUUAUAUAGUUAAAUAUAAUGCAUUUCAUUUAUAAAUCUUCUAAUUCUUGAAUAACAAUCCUAUCAUCCUUUGAAAGUUUUUAUUACACCUUUUCUACAUUUGUUCUAAAACUUAUACAUCACCCUUAAUUGUACCAUGAGAACCUAGCAUUUUUUUUUUUUUUUUUGUAUUUCAUCAAAGUUAGCUCUUGUACUCAUUGUUGUAUUAUUUUUAUUGUAACUUAGAGAGCGAGUGUUUUCAAGUGAGUGAAAUUGACUUGUAAAUAUUGUAAAGAUUCAUUGAUAUGUAUCUCAAACUAGGUGUACAAGUUGAAACAUUUGCUAGUAGAUUUUCUCAAGAUUUAGAAUGAGCUUAAGGCUAUCGAAUUAGGUGGGGUUGCGCCAAACCAUAUCACAUCGUUGUUUGCACCUUUUUUUUCACUCUCUUUUACUUAGUUGCUCUAUAUAUAUUGUCUAGCAAUAUCCUAAAGGCUUGAUGGGCUAGGGAGCAUCCCUCUGAAUGAAAAAUUUUCAUUCAAUUCUUAGUUGUAUUACGCAUAUAUAAAAUGCCUCAUUGUUUUAAUGGUAUUCAGUCGUGGCACCACAGAUAUGGACAUCUAAAUUUUAAAAGUUUGAAACUUUUAGCUAAAGAAAAUAUGGUGCUUUGCCUUUUUGGAAAGCAUGUUGAUGAAAUCCAUGAGAAUUGUAUACUUGGAGAGCAACAUCGAGAUAACUUUUUUUUUUUCUUUUUUUAUAAUGCAUUGUUUGUCCAAAUUCCGUACAAAUUAGGCCACCACAUGUUCAUAAUUCUCCCUUCUUGAAUUUGAAAACUCGGACAAUUUGACAAUGCGACACCUAAGUCCGGUUUUUAAAUGCUAAAGUGAAAGGGCAGGUAUGGACCAUUGAAAUGUGAUAACAACUUUUGGCCUUUUCCUUUUCUCUGUAGCCAUGUUGUCUCUUUUUAAUUUCUUUUGCAUGAUUUUCUUACCUAAACAGAAUCAUAGACUUGUUUAAUCUCUAAGUGGGAUUUCAUCCACCUUAAGCUACUGUAUUAUAUCUCGGUGGAGGACAACCGACAUAGAGCACAUGCAAGUGGGUAUAUGGGACAUGAAAUAUCUUCUUAUAAAGCUUGUUUUGCAGUUAAAUUAAUUGGAUAAGUAGACACUGGCGUUUCUAAAUUUCCCACCUAAGAUAAUGACCUUAUCCUUGACUGCUAGAUACACAAACAAUUAUACCUUCAAAAUCUACUGUGAAGUGCUUCAUGUAUGUGUGAAGUAUUAGAAAUUUCUUUCUUGGCAACUUGUUUUUUUCUUUGCGGUCUACUGAUAGGUUUGACUAAAAUUAUAUUCCCUGUCCUGCUAAUUAAUUUUCACGUGCAUGCUCAAAAGAAGAGUAUGACCUUAGUGCACCAAAAUCACUUUCAAUAAUUUGUGAUAAGUUUUUUUGCAUGACAUUAACCUUAUUCAUUUAGAUAAUGUUUAGUUCUCAUAAAUAUUAAGAAAAUGAAAAUAAAUAUUAAGAAAAAUAUUCUUAUAUUUGAUUGUAUUAUGAAAAAUAUCAUAAAAAAUCAAAUAUAAUUAAAAUUAAUUAAUAAUUUAUAUAUUUUAAAAUUAUUUAAUUUUUAUAUUAAAGAUAUAAUAUAAAUGAAAUGAGUUUUAAGUAUUAUAUAAAAAUGAUUUAUUUAUUUAUUUAUAUAUAUAUAUAUAUAUAUAUUUAGUUUUUCUCUUUAUUUUAUUUUCCUUAUGUUUUCCUCACAUUUUCCGGAAUCAAAGAUAGGGAAAUCCACAAUUACCUUCAACUGAGUAGAUUCUAUUGUUUUAGCAAUGUUAGGCUGCUAACUUGUGGUGGUACGAACCAAAUGAUCCAUGUUAAUCUUGGCUUGAUUUAAUUUGGCUCUAUCUCAGAGAACUCAAGGAUCACGUCAACUCUGGUUUCUACUAUUCAGGUCCAUUCCCAGAUGAACUGGUUCAAAUUUGAGAAAAUGGUAACAGACCUUUAGUGAUAUUGGUUUGGAGCCAGUUGCCAAACCUGCCCUGAGCUUUACCACUAAUGUCAAGGGACAAAGCCAUUUGAACAAAAACAAUAGCUUCAAGAGACUGAAUCGUGGAUGAAAUCUGAUCCACAUUUCUUCUCAUUUUGGGAAAAAAUGAGGACUUAACCACAAAGAUUCUACUGCCUCAUAGUGCUUUUCCUGAUCUAAGGUUGGCUCGUUUCCCAAAUUGUGAGGUGCACGUGCCACUCUCACGCUCAGGAGUGUAUCCACGUGGUGGACAUAAGAUGGUGGCUUAAUAUCUGGUGUCGGUGGCUUUACUUUACUAGGAGAGUAGUGUGUCUUCAUCUCAUUCACUGCCAGAGGGUGGCGUAAGCAGUGACGCUAAGGUGGGGCACAGUCAAUAUCAUUUGCAUUUGACCAUUAUAAUUUUCUCCCGGCUUUAAAGUAACCUUAUCGUGAUAAUGGAUUACUAGCACUAGUUCAGAUGACAGUCAUGUUAAAUUCGGACCAUGUUUGUGUCACAUUAUCAGCAACCAUGUGCUUGUGGUUCAUGCUAUCUGCAACUAAACUUGAUAUAUAACCAGGUGAACUUCAAUCUAAAUUCUGGAAGUACUCAUGUGAUAGAUGGUGCCUGUCUGCAGUGAGUGUAUCUAUAAGAGGGAAGGCUUGGCAAAUGUUCAGUUUUCUGGGAAUUCAACAGGGAUCUAAAAUAGAUUGUUUUCUUUGCUGAUUUCAAUGGUUGAAAUUUGAGAAGAUUGUGUCCACAUAACACAACUAUUACUGGUCCUUCUGUUGCAAUUUAUCCUCUAAGGCUCUAACAUGUCUUCCAAUUCCCACUUCCCACUUCCCUGUUACUCCAGGAAAGCUGUUUCUGUCAUUGUGAAGAAGAAAAGAGACUGUACAUAUCGAUGCUUUUAAGUGGACUGGAGAAUUCAUAUCAGGUGGUCUGCAGCCAUACAUGCCACUUUGUGAAGGUUGGAACAGUCAAUCACUAGGCUAUAUUAGUGGGGCCCAGCCACUUCAAUCAAGGACAAGUCUUCAUACUUAAAGUCAAAUUCUGCCUUUAGUCUCAUUAUAAAUUGCUGUUUAAAUAUCAAGCAAACAUUUGUUUAAUGCGAUUAAGACAGCACUAACUCAAUACUUGUUCUAUUUUUGGAUGCAAAUGCUUGAUAGUUUCAUCAUUGGAGGGGAUAAAGGUGCAUUCAUGAUUAUGAAUACUUGUAGUUAUAUUUUCAUUCUCUUUUUUCUCAAUGGGACUUGUUGGCACAAUUUUGCUGUUCAGAAACCUACCUCUCCAUGGAAAAUCAGUUGUGAUUGAUAUUACUGGAUAUAUUCAAGAAAGCUAAAUGUAGAUAGCACAAAAUAUUAUCGACAUAAAUAGCAUUAACAGCGUACGUAUGUCUCAAUGCUCAUCAGCUAUAAGCAAGGGGCAAACACUUACUAUGAGCAACUUACGUCAAAAUUCCGGAAUAGGACAUAGAAGUGACAGGUCAGUAAAUAUAGAACACUGCAUAUGAGUCACAAGAAAGGAAAUUACGGGUACAUAGCAGCUCUUAUUUUACAUCCUACUCAUACUGAUCAAAGUCACUCAGUUGGGAUGGGUGGGAGUGGGAGGUUUGUGGGGUGGCUUGUGCGGAGGAGUUGGCAGCUUCUUUCCAGGACCUGGUUGCUUCUCUGCUGGAGUUGAAGGAGGCUUAAUCUUCCGAGGUGGCUUGUAUGAGUCUUCAGCAUUCUCAGCAGGAGGGUGACCAGGGUUGUGACCACAAUGUGGUGGCUUCUCUCCCUUAGGUGGUUUGCCAACUGGGGUUGGUGGCUUGUGUUCCGGAAGUGGCUUCUCUUUGUGUUCAGGAGGUGGCUUCUCCACUGGAGGCUUGUGUUCAGGAGGUGGCUUCUCCACCGGAGGCUUGUGUUCAGGAGGUGGCUUCUCCACCGGAGGCUUGUGUUCAGGAGGUGGCUUCUCCACCGGAGGCUUAUGCUCUGGUGGUGGCUUCUCCACCGGAGGCUUAUGCUCUGGUGGUGGCUUCUCCACCGGAGGCUUAUGCAAUGGUGGUGGCUUCUCCACCGGAGGCUUGUGUUCAGGAGGUGGCUUCUCUACCGGAGGCUUAUGCUCUGGUGGUGGCUUCUCCACCGGAGGCUUAUGCUCUGGUGGUGGCUUCUCCACCGGAGGCUUGUGUUCAGGAGGUGGCUUCUCCACCGGAGGCUUGUGUUCAGGAGGUGGCUUCUCCACCGGAGGCUUGUGCUCUGGUGGUGGCUUCUCCACCGGAGGCUUAUGCUCUGGUGGUGGCUUCUCCACCGGAGGCUUGUGUUCAGGAGGUGGCUUCUCCACCGGAGGCUUAUGCUCUGGUGGUGGCUUCUCCACCGGAGGCUUGUGUUCAGGAGGUGGCUUCUCCACCGGAGGCUUAUGCUCUGGUGGUGGCUUCUCCACAGGAGGCUUGUGUUCAGGAGGUGGCUUCUCCACCGGAGGCUUAUGCUCUGGUGGUGGCUUCUCGAAUGGGGGAUGCGUAGGGUAAUCAGCUAGUGAGGGGGCGGUGAGAACCACCAGGCCAAGCAACACUACUAGCAAGUAUGUAGGAGACAUCUUUGGGUUUGGGCUCAGAUGGUGCAAAACUAGGAGAAUUGGCUAGCCUUUUAUAGCGGAUCGUACCCAAUAAUGAAAUGACACGUGUCAUUAUGACCCAUGUGUCAUGUGGUCGAUUUGGGUCCUACAGUGUUGAAAACUUCGACAUCCACUUUUUUGGCCUUUUGCUUUCUCUACAGUCGCCUUGCUUUUUCCCUCUUUUCUUUUGUUUUCCUCCUGCCCCAUUCUAUCAACUAAUCACAAUUAUGUAGUUGUUUAAUUCUUAAAUGAGAUAUUAUCCGUCAAUCAUAUUAUCUUUUAUCAAGAGAGAACGGAGUGAAAAGUGGCAAUCCAAAGAAAGAAGAUCCAUAAUGCAGCUGUAAUUUUAUCGUUUACUUUUAUCUCUAGGACCACUGCAUUUUUGUUGAGAGGUGCAAUAAUACACGUCUUUAUCUGCCAUUCAAUGUUUACAGUAAAGAGAGGGCACAAAACUCUUCACUGCUCUGCAUGUGCCCCAAAAAUGCAAUUGGACAAAUUAUGAUUUGCAUGCUAAAAAGAGGCAAAUGAGGUUAAUUAGCACCAAAAUUAUUUUGUUUUCUGGACACCCCGGGGCCCUUUGGUUGGUUUGGGGGUCAGAAAAUGAACAUCAUAGGGGGUUUUUCCCUAAUGUGCAUUUGCAUUUGUAUCUGAUGGCUUUAACUCGCCUUGUUACUACAAAGAAAUUGUCACAGAUAGGAACUUAUUCCAGGCUGAGUAUCUCCGCAUGGACCCUAUAAAAGAAGACAAGUCAUAAUGAACAUCUAACCUUUGUUCAAUUUGAUUCAAUGCCCCUAUUGUGUCCAUCUCACAAAUCUGAAUUAUUAUAUCCAUUGAAUACAUAAAUUAAUGAAGAAAAUAUGAAACCCAAGAUACAUCUCUGCACAACCUCAACCCUGGUUGCUAUGUUUCACUUCUAUUCACAUGAGGAUAUUGAUUACGGAAUAAGGAAACCUAGCAAGGGUUUACUCGGCUCUGGUUUGAUGCUAAUUGCCAAACUUGCAACAAGCCCUGAGUUUGACACCUAAUCGAUGGGCGAAUUAAAAGUCUCCUCCAAACAUAUAUUCCACAGCUUGAAGCUCACAGAAGAUGCUAUACAGGCAGGGAAAAACCUUCAGAGUUAGCUACCAAAGAUAAUUAUCAAGGAGAUAUCACCAAGAGAAUUCCAUGGAGUCUGAAUCAAAGACAAAUUGCUCGCUCGUGGGGGUUCUUACUUAAUUUCUUUUGGGUAUAACUCACUGAGGGCACUGGCUUUGUUAUUUGCAUUUCGCAUUUAGAGUUCUGUUCUGGAAGGUUUGUUCUGGAAACAUAUAAAAGGAGCAUCAUUUUGUUCUAGGGUAACCCAUAGUUGUGAGUGGGUCCAUUUGCAUGCUACUUAGUUGAAAAGUUGGACAAUUUGCUCCGACGCCUACCUCCUGGAUUCCAUGCUCGGAUAAAGCAAGAAUAAUAAAAUAUUUAUAAUUUACAAAUGGGGGAAAGAAAAAAAUGUCAACAACAAACUAGGAAAAAAGAGUAGUAAAAUUUAUGCCACAUGCUAUUGAUAGAAGGGGCAUGUAUUAGAUCCAUCACCAUUUGGUAAGAUUUUAGUAUUAUAUUUUUCAAGGUUCAUUAUUUGAGGGUGUGUUCUUCAUCUCUGUUGCAUUGCUUCUUACUAGGCCCACUGAGGUGGGUUCUUCACCUUUUGUAUAUUCUCUGCACUAGAUCAAUGAGAAAGGGGGAAUUUUGGUGAAUUUGCAGCCGUUGGAUGAUUGAUUCUAGGCUCAGUCCACCAAUGAUGCUCUCUUCACUCUUUCUCAUCUAGUGUCAUUCACAACUAUGUUUUGAUUCAUAUUUGUACUAUCAAAGAUAUCUCAUUAUUCUAGCUCAUUAGGUAGAGUUCCUAAUCUUCCUCCUUUUUGGUCUAUGGACAGUAUUGGCUUCAUAUUAAGAUCAUGUUUCAAUAAUUGCACAUUAAUGAAUGGAUCAUGACCCACAUAAACAGAGUCAGGGUUGAGUCAGUGAACCCUAAAAUUUCACAAUUCUAAAUUUGGGUUCUUUAACAAUGCAGGGUCAAGGACGCGUGGUGAUGAAGGAAAGCUGGUAAGCUCAGUGUUACUUCAAUUCCUGCCAUGUAGGAUGGUGAGGAGAUAUUCACUAUGCAAUUAAUAAUAGACAAUAUUCACUAUGCAAUAAUAAAGCAUAAAUUAAGUUGAAUGAAAAGCAUUUUCUUUGCAAGGAGUUGAUUUUGGUUUCAUAGUUUGUUCAACUGCUAUUUUGGAUAGGAAAGUGUGAGGAGAAGAAAAUAAAAAAUAAAAAUAAAACAAAAAAUAAAAAAUAGAUUUUAUAAAUUCAUUUAAUUUAUUUUUUUUUUAUAAAAAUUAACUAAUUUAAAAUAUAUGUAAAUUUCUAAUUAAUUUAAUUACAUUUUUUUUUUCAGUUUUUCAUAAUAAACCAAAUAUUAGAAAAUUAUUUUUAUUAAGACACCCAAGAUGAGGUAAUAUGCAAUGAAAACAUGAAUUAUAUUAAAAUUCAAAACAAAUUAAGAGAAAUCGGAAAAUAUACAUAGAUAUCUAAACAAAGAAAUUUAAAGAGAAGGAACCACAAACUUUAUUUACAUAAUUUGAAAAUAAAAAACAUAAAACAUACUUAUAGUAAGGAGAAAUUGAAUAUCUUACAAUGGAAGAAGGGAGAAAAGCUUUGAAGAAAGCUUUUGCUUGGAAGCUUACAUGGUGAGAGGUAGAGAAAGGAGAGAGAGAGAAGAAAAUGAAAAAUGAGAAGUGGAGAAAAUUGGAAGUUUUGUGUGCUUACAACUGAGGAUAGAGCCUCCUUAAAUAGCAAAAAAUGGAAUAUUAAAUAGUACCAAUCAGGAGACAAAAUAUUGUUUGCUUUUGAAACCCGUGCAUGAAUAGUAAUCCCGUGAGUGAAUAGUGAAUAAUAAAAGUGAAUAGUAAAAGUCACUUUCUACUAUAGCACUUUAGACUUUUUCAUCGAGAAUCUUACUUUCGGCUGAGUGAUGAUAGCUGAUAGGUUGCUUUGGAUUGUGGAGUCAUAUGUUUGAUGUUUUCGGUGCUGAAACCGCUUAGUUGGAGAAUAAUCUCGUCAGUAGAGCAUCAUGAGAAGCUUGAAUGGAGAGAGCUUAAUGAUGCCAUAUGAUUGGAAGGAAUCCUAUUUUAAUUUCCUUAUUGGAGGGAGAAUACCCUCACAAUCAUCUUCAUUAUCUUGAAGGUAGUUUGAUAUAGAGUCAUCUGACUCAGCAUAAGAGUCCUCUUGGGAGAAGCUUGAACUGCUUUUGUCAAGGAUUUUCUGAAAUUCUUGAGGGGUUUUUGCUAUUGCUAACAUGGUUUGGAGUUGCUGUUUCUUAAGAAGAAACUGUGCAAUAUCAUAAGAUGAUGAAGCUUGUGUAGGAUGCUUUAGGAAAUAUUGCUUUAUUGCUUGUAGUGAGGUAUCAUUUUUCAAGGCAUCCCACCACUUAGACUUGAAAGUCCUUCCAAGGGUUGGAAAGGCUGCUGAUUCAUCUGCUAUAAUGAUAUAAUCCCACUGGACUAUCCAGGCAAGGCCAAAUUCACUAAAAAAGAAUAAUAAUUGGGGAAAACUGAAAGUUCUCUAGGGAUAACAAAAGAACUUUGGAAUAGCUCAAAGCCAUCCAAAAUGGGUUUUGGGAGAAUUUUAAUAGUUGGACCAAAAUAUGUCCACCAAUUGUGGAACCAAAAUGGAAAAGAGGGGAGUUGAUGCUUAGAUGGGAAAUAGAACAUCCCUGAAUGAUGGAAGUCCUUGUUCUGGAUCAGAAAAGCAUUGAACCAUACUCUUUGGUAGUCUCAAUAAUUGAAAAUUUUAGGUUUUGAAGGCUUAGAAAAUUCUCUUGAAAAAUUAGGAUUCCCACCCCACUGCUUAACUGUAAGGAUUUUAUAAAUAUGGUAAGUGGAGAAUGCCAAAUCCAAAUUGCUGAAUUUAUCAGCAUUGUGCUUGAUUUUAACAGAGCCGGUUUCCAUAAGGAUUGCUUCAUAAAAUUCUCUUGUUUUUAAAAGAUCACCAAAGGGAUAAUGAAAAUUUUCAUGAAAAGCUUUUGCUGCAAUAUCUCUAGGGUUUUUAGAGAAAAACUCUUUUUCAAUAACCAAAAGAGGUUGAUUUAAAUCUUUUUGCCAAUAUCUUGCUUUUGCUGAAAGAGGUGUGGGGUUGGCUACCACCACAAUUUGCUUAUUUGAAAAAGAAGAGCUUGAUGCUAAUUCAUUUUGAGAGGGAUUAGCUUUAGUAACCUGCUUAAAGGUCUGAGACACAGUAAUAGUUGGAUACUGAGUAGCCUUGACUGGUUUAGAAGGAUUCGAAGGAUCAUAGUACAAGGACAAAAUCUUAUUAGGCAUAUGGUCAGAAGAAUGAAGCCUUGCUUCUUCUUCUAGCUCAACUUGUUGGCUCCAAAGUAUUUUAUGGGGAGAAGGUUCUUUGCUGGUUUUAGAAGACUAGGAUUCUGGAAGUUUAGGAGCUUGGGUAUUCUUUUUAGGGGCCAUGGUUUCGUGAAUCCUGUAAAAUUCACAAGUUAAGAAAUCAGGGCUCGAAGAAUGUUCUCCUUUAAUAUACUCAAUUUGUAAAUUAAAAUUGCUUAAAAUAGCUUGAUAUAUAGCAAAAAUAUGCUUAGAAGUUAUAUUCUUAACAUCCUUUUGUAAAACUAAUUUUGCAAAUUUACAAUCAACUCUUAAUAAAAACUUUUGAUUCAAAAGAUCAUCUUGAAAUUUUGAAAUGCAUAAAACAACGCUUAAAGUCUCUUUUUUAAUGAUGUUAUGAAUGAGUUGGGUAGUAUUCCAGGUUCUUGAAGUAUACCUAACUAACAUCUCAAGGUUACCAACACUUUGCUUAAGAAUCCCACCAUAACCUAUGUCUGAGGUAUCGAUCCCAACAAACUCAAAGGUUUCUGGAUUGAUAGAGCCUAAACAUGGUAGGGUCUUGACUUUGGACUUAACAUCAAUAAUGAAAACAAUGGUGAAAACAGAAAACUGGUUAAAGUUUUCAUCCAUUAUAUUCUGGAAUUCUGAGGUGCAUUCUUAAGAUCAAAGGGCAUUAUGAACCAUUCAUAAUGUCCAAGAGAUACCACAAAGGUGGUCUUAUUUGGAAUAGGACACCUAAUCCAACUUAAUGUAUCAUUAAGAGGCAUGUAGUUGACGACUAGUCUAGGUGUUCCUUUUUCUGAUUCAACUUGUUCCUGAACAUAGAAGGUUGAACAACUCCAAAGGGACUUAGACUUCCUUAUCAACUUUUUAUCAAGAAGAUCCCAAAUCUCCUUAUCACAAUAGCUUAACAAACCCUUGUUCAUCUGGAUAGGUCUUGAUUUAGUGGGAAUAUUCUUGUCACUAAAGUCUAGUUCAUAAGGUAAUUCUACCUCAUGUUGUUUCCUAUGCCAAAAUGCAUUAGGAAUGUUAGAGCAAACUUCUUCAACAAUCAGAUUAAUUUCUUGCUCAUGACUUUCCUUAGCUUGAAUCACCUGAUCCCUUAAGGUGUUUAUAUUUUUCUUAUUAGGUGGUUGGCAAAUUCAAAAAUAAUUUCCUUAUCUAAGAGCUUUGUUCUUAUACUUUGGUCAUCUACCCACAUGGGAUAGAUGGAGCUUAAAAAGGGGAUUCCAAGGAGAGCUUUCUCCUUAAGAUCCUUAACUAGAAUGAAGGUUUGCUUGAUGCAAAUGCCUUGGUUAUUUAUGUGAGCAUCUGACAGCUUAUACUCAAUGUCAAGCCUUUUACCAUUAGCUCCAAAGAGAGAUUCUUUGGUUUUCUUACAAAACUUAAUAGGACCUAGACCUUCUUGUAGGCAAUUCAAAGCUGUUCCUGAAUCAAUCAAAGCAACAAUAUCAAUGACAAAUUUACUCUUAAUUACUAUAGUAAGGGAGACUUUCCACCUCUGGAAAAUAACCCUACUAACAGUAUUUAAGUAUCCAUCCGUCUUUUCAUCAUUAGCAUGUGAAGAUUCUAGAACCUCUUCAAGGUUUUCCUAGUUAUCAACAAGAUUUUCUAUAACAAUCCUAUUUAUUUGUUCUUGGAGAUCUGAAAAACCUAAGCUUGUGUAUUGUCUUAAAUCUUUAAUUUCCUUCUUAUACUGUCUUACUUCUUCUUGAAGAUCCUUAAUGGUUACGUCUUUGGUAGACUACUGGUUAAAUCUUCCUAAGAUUUCAUUUAAGUUAUAAGAAUUUACUGUCUUCUUAAUCUCUUGCUUAUCGACAAAUUUCUUAAAAACUUCAUAAAGAUCUUGUUUAGUUUUUUCAUCUUCAACUUUCCUUAAAACAUCUAGGACAAGUUCUUGAUCUUGGCUUAUGACAUUUAUAGUCUUAGGUUGGCAAUCACAAUUAUCCUUAAUGUAUUCUUCUUGGUCACUAGAAGUUUGGCUUGAGAUUUCCUCACCACUACUAUCUAGUUGGUUAAUACCAUUUUCAUUAUCUGAAUCAAUCCUUGAUUCAGACUCUGUGGAAUUUAACAUUACUUUACAAAGCAUAUCUUUUAAGUCUUCUGUGACAUUUAAGUUAUUAAUUUUCUGCUUAACCCUACAAUCUUUCUUAUAGUGGCCUAUCUUACCACACUUAAAACAAACUGGCUUAGAUUGUGAAGGAGCUUCUAGCUUUUUAUGGGCUUCUUUGUUCAUCAUUCUUUGGAUGUGCCUUUGUUUCUUAGUUUCAUUCAUCCUAUAGUUGCCAUGAGUUCCUCUCUUGUUGUGAUAGGACUUUUCCUUACUAGGCUUUGUACUUACUUGUUUCUUACGUUGCUUAGAGGGGGGCUUAGUUUCUUUUUGGUUGAAUCCAAACUAGCUACAAAAUGAACCAAACUCAUUCUUGUAGAUCCUUUGUUCAUUUUUCAUCUGUUGCUUAAGCUUAAAGUCAUUGCACAGUUUAAUUGCUUCUGAUGUGACAAUGCUUAUAAUUUCUCCAUAAGAAAGCUUAUCAUAAGGGAUUUGUCCAUUAAACUGUUCCCUUAUCUUAAUCCUAAUCCUCUCAGAGAAAAGUCUAGGUAGUCCUAAGAUGAAUUUUUCUUUCCAAAAAGACUGGUUAUAGUUUGAUCUUAGUAUGACUUUGGUUAGGAAAACUUCUCUAUACCAUCUAAAGUCAUGAAGCUUGGGACACUUAAGGUUGGUUAAGAGAUCUACAAUCUUAUCCUUAAUCUUUGCAGGAUCUCCAAUGAAGUGCUUUGAAAUUGAAUAGAUUAGAGUAGCCACUACAUCCUCUAUAUCUUGUCCAUCUUCAUCCUUAACCACUUCAUUUUCCUCAUUAAUCCUAUAGGCUUUUAGGAUACCAUUUCUAUCCUCAAAGGUGAGAUAAUUAUCCCACCAACCCUAAAGUUGACCUGUAAACCCAACAACAAUUGUUUGAGCUACAGCAUGGCCUGACAAUCUAUUGUUUAACUUAUAGGUUGUACUAACCAUGGUCAUUUCUUGAAGCUUAGUGAGUAUGUUGUACUCAAUCAUACCAUCUAUGUUCCAUUCAUAGAUAGUGUCACUAGUGUAGGAAGCUUGAGUAUGCUGGUUUCUUUCCUCAUACUACAUAUCAGGAAAAGUUGGUCUAGGGUAGUAAUUCCUAGUUCUUGGUUGUUGAUAAUCCUCAUAACUGUUUGGUUAGGAGGUUCCUUAAAAAUCUUAAUUAGUUCAUCAGCCUCUGCUUCAGAACUAAUUUCUCCUUUAACCAUAUUGAUUCUCUUGUGAGAUGGUUGAGGUGUCUCAGAGACAACAAGGCUAUCCUUAACCUUUUGGCUUAUCCUAUCAAUGAGGGCUUGAUCAAUAUGGAGAUUCUCUAGGAAUUUCUUAGAGAAUUCAAAAGGCUUAAAUAAAGACUUAUUAUCUUUCUUAACAAACGUAGUCUUAAUGUAGUCUUGUGUUUCAAUGAUAUCCUCAAACUUGUUGAGUUGAUCGCCUGUAGUCUUAAGAAACAUGUUAGUGUAGUUGUUUUGUUCCAUGAUUCUUCUAACGUCAACAACACUAUCAAUUCCUUUAUUCUUUGGCCUAGUCUUAAAAGGUGAAGCUUUGACUAUGGUUCAAUUAAUGUUCUUUUAUAUCUUAGCUUCUAGAGGGUGGAUGGAUUCUAUGAUAGUAUCGUCACUAGUUUUCCAUAUCUUAGUUUUUUUGGAUGUGUCAUUGACACGCUUACUAGGGUAAUCUAGAUAUUCCUCUUGUUUGAAGAGUUCAAACCAGAUCCAAUACUUAAUGUUCUUCUUUUCUUGUCUUAAGUAUGUGUAGAAUUCUUCUUGGUAGAGGGUUCUAAUGUCUUUAAGGACCUUGCUAAAGAACCAAACUCUCCUUUUCUUAUUGACUUCAGAAUAGAAGUCUUUCCUUAAGAGGUCCUUGUUGAUUCAAAGUCUUCGUUAAUUAGGCUUACAGUGUUAAUCAACUGAGAAUAAGUAGGAGACAUAUCAGGAGAUUCGUCCUGAUGUGAUUCUUGAGUAAACUCAUUUUCCUCCAUGUAAAAGGGUUUGGCCACGUUGGUGUGACUUCUAACACCUGUUAGCUUAAUAUUCUUAGGAUUUGCUGAACUAGAUCCUUCCUCUAUCCUAGUGGUUCUUAUUGGGAUAGAUGAACUUGAAGCUCUAGAGGGCUCAUAAUAUGAAAUUCUAAGGCUGCUAGAAUGAUGAAAAGAGUUGGAGAAAAUUAGAUCUCGUUCUCCAUCAGGAUAUUGAACAAUCUGUUCAAUUCUUUCAGAUCUUUGCUCUAUGGCUGGGACAACAUUAGCAAAAUGCCAAUUUUCUGGAAACUCAACCUCAUUCCACUUGAUUUUCAUGGGGACUAUGAAAUUAGACUUGUUUAUCAUAUCUAAGUGGAAGAUAGUGGUUUCACCCUUGGGACUGGUGCACAAUGCUCCAAAUCCAACGCUUAUGGUCAUGCUCUUAUAGGCAAAUCUGGUGAUGAUGGAAACAUGAUUGUUUCCUUGCUUGAACUUAAAGUCAUGGGUCUUAACAUGAAGGACAACUGAAUCUAAGAUGUUGACAUCUCUUAGUCUAACUGUGAAGUUAGGGAAACACUGGAAAUAAACAGGACCAUCAUUUAAUCCUGCUUGGGUAGCUCCAAUAAUAGAAUCUCGGUAAUCAAGAUGUCUAUUAUCUCUUAAACACAUGACAAUAAAGGUGUUUAGACCUAGUCUUGUCAAGGGCUUAGCUGCAACUUGAAUCAUGCCAAAGUGUAUGAAGUUGUAGUCUCGCUUAUGCUUAUCAAUGGACUUACUAUCCAAGAGUCUUAUGACUUGAUCGUCGUGUUCUAAACUUACUGACAUUUCAGGGGUUUUAAUGGUGUAAUCUGUAAAGAACUUAAAGGUUCCUUUCUUAUAAAUUUCUUGAUUAGGUACCUUGGGUAACUUCCAAUCAUCUAAAUCAUCUUGGAUCUUAGGAUAAUUGAUCUCUUCAUUGUUUACUCUUGAGAAUUUGUGGAUUUCCUAGACAUGGUUCUGAAAAUCAAACUCAUUUUAAGGUUUUAAUCUAGAGCCUAAUAGCAGAUUAACAGACCUAGUGAGUAAUCACCCCAACCCUUUUCCAACCUUAACAAACGCCUAUCUCCAGCUAACAAUGGGCUCAACUCGGCAAGGAUCGCACUCAGGCACACUACUAUCUUUCCUAGGAUAGAUCAAAACACCCAAAACAAACCCGACUUCCUUUUCCUAGGAUAUAUAUAGUAUUUUGGGUUUGAGUAGGAGUUCAUGUUUUGUAUGUAAUUGUAGUCUACGUUGGACUAGGUUGUUUGCUCCUAAUUGAAAUAGGAAUGGUUGGUGUCACAUCUCAUUCAUUUUCUCAUCUAUUUCCAUGUUUAGAUAACUCAAGUAAUCAUAGGAAUGAAAUUAAGAAUGAUUUGAGGGAAAUGAAAUCUCACUUGUAAGUGGGAUCUCAAUUCAUCAUUAAUAGAAGGUAUUUUGAUUACAUAGUGCAAGUUAUUUUUAAAAACACUUUUCAAAAAUUGAAAAACCAAAAACUCUCUUGGAUAAGUUGUUUUUAAAAAGAAUUUUUGUAUUUUUAUUUUGUAAAAAAAAAAAAUAGUAAUUCAAUUUAUAUAAUAUAAAUAGACUUUAAUUUUAUUAAAAAUAAAAAUAAUUUUUUAAUUACAAAUAAAUUAAAAAAUAAAUAUUUGUAAUAAAAUAUGAAUAGUAAUAUUAUAAUAAAAUCAUAAAUAAAUUAAAAAUAUUUUUAAAAACAAAUAAGUUUAAUUUUUUUGAGGUACAAAUGAGCCAAAUUUUUCAUUAGGUACACAACCAACAAUUUUUAUUGGAAACAUUCCUCAAAAAAGAAUUCGUUUCCCAUAUAGCAAAGAUAUUUAUUAUUUAGUAUCUAACCAUCCGUAGUAAUCAUAUCAAUUCUACUAAGUUAUUUAAUAAUUCAUUUAUAUAUAGUACUCAAUUAUGAAUUUUUUUAUUUGAUGUAUAAUUAAUUAAUCAAUGUUUUGAAUUUUGAAUUAUUCUUAAAAUUUAAAACAUUAAUUAUGUCUAUUACUUUUUAUAGUCAUUAUAUAUAUAUAUAUAUAUAUAUAUAGAGAGAGAGAGAGAGAGAGAGAGAGAGAGCUUAAAUUUAUCUUUAAAAAUUAUUAAAUUUAUUAAUAAAUUCAAUACAAAGACUCAUUUGAUUUGAAAUUCAUUUCUUUAGUGAAAAUUUUGAAACUAAAUAGUACUUUGUUUUACUUUGUUUUUAAAUCAUACUCACAAAUAAGUUUUUAUCAUUUAGCCAAAAAAUCUCAAAGAUGUUUCUAAUUUUAUUUAUUUAUUUAUUUGUAAAUGAAAAUAAAAAAUUAGUUUAAACUAAAUAUGCGGAUAUUAUUGUUAAUUUAUUUCAUUUUUUAUUUCCAUUGUUAUUUAACAUUGAAACGGAAACAAAUAAUCAUUCCAAUCUUACAUUCUUAUAUGCAUCUAAACACAAGAAUUGAAAUCACCAAAUUCAUAUUCAAGGCAAAAUAGAAAUGGAAAAAAAAUAUUCAUUUUCAUUCCUCAUUCUCAUGUGCUAAACAUGACAUUAGUUCUACUACCUAUUUCACCAUUCUUCUUGAUAAAUUUGGUAUAUGCAAUAUUGAUCUAAGUGUGAGGUGAAUAAGAAUGAUGAUGGGAUGGGCUUGGAAAUAAGGGCAAAGUUUCUAGGUGCUAUCUAGAGGGGCAACGCGACUUUUUCAAAUUUCGAAUAUUUGUUCUCAACAUAAAGCAAAACUUUACUCACACAAUAGAUAAGACUCUGUUUGUUUUCUUCAUCCACGACUAUAUAAUGUAUAGCUCUUACUCAAGGGAUGAGCUACUUACUAUUAAGGAUUGGGUAAGAUAUUGCCUAAUGGCCAAGAAGGCAUGUCAAAAAAUAAAUCUAAUCACCAUAAAAAAUAAUAGGGGAAAAUUAAUAUAUUAUGAAUGAUGACUUUACUAUUUCUCUAUAUACAUAAUUAUAUAUUUUGAAUUUUCUCACUAGGUAAUGAGAUUCUAAAUCAACUGAAACAUAAUUAAUAAUUUAUAUUUUUAAUGAAUCUUUUAAUUUUUAAAAAUAAUUUAAAAUUUUAAAAAACAAUUCAAUUAAUUACAUAUUAAAUCAAAACAUUUCAAAAUAUUGUGUUUGUAGAUGAGUACUAAAUGCUUGCAUAUAAUAAUAAUAAUAAAAAAAUUGACUCAUUUAGAUGUUAAAAAAGUUAAAUGUUUUUCAUUAUUCAUUUUAAGUAAAAUAUUAUUGACAUUAUUAUUAUAAAAUUAUUAUUAUUCAUUUUUAACAAAAAACAAAAUAAGUUAUUCUUUUACCAAGAUGUCAAUAUCUAUAUUUUUCUAACAUAUAUUAAAAUAGUAUACUUUUCUUUUAUUAAAAAUAAUAAUUAUUAUUAUAUUAUUAUUCAAGUUUUAUUAAAAAAAUUUAUCUUUUAAUUCAUUUGUAAUUACAAAAUAAUUUUAUUUUAUUAAGAAUUUAAUUUAAUUACGCUUUUUUUUUUUAUAAAAAAAACAGUUAUGCUUUUACCAAGAUGUUAAUAUUCAUAUUUUUCUAGCUAACAUAAAUAGAAUAGUACACUUUUUCAUAUAAAAAAAUAAUUUAUGAUUUUAUUAUAAUGUUACUAUUCACAUUUUACUAAAAAUAUUUAUUUAUUUUAUUUAUUUUUAAUUAUAAAAUAAUUUUAUUUUCAAGAAUUUAAUUUUAAAAAAAUAGAAAUCAUUUAUUCUUUUACCAAGAUGUUAAUAAACAUAUUUUUCUAACAUAUACUAAAAUAAAAAAGUUUACUUGUUCAUUAAAAAAUAUAAUUUAUGUUUUUAUUAUAAUACUACUAUCUAUGUUCUACUAAAAAUAUUUAUUUAUAAUUAAAAAAUAAUUUCAUUUUUAAUAAGACUUGAACUAAAUUAAAUUUAUAAUUUUUUUUUAAAAUAAAAUAGAAAAUUAUUUUUUAAAAACAACUUAUUGAAAGAAAUUUUUUAUUCUUUACUUUUAAGAACUGUUUUUAAAAGCAACCUAUAAACCCCUUUGGGUCUGUUUGGCUAUGUUUCAUGCAACUUGUUUUUAAAAAUUGUUUUUUAUUCUUUAAUUUAAUUUUUUUUAAGUUAAAGAAUAAAAAACAACUUUCUAGUGUUUUAUAAAAAUGAGAGCUUUUGACAAGUUGUUUUUAAAAACCAUUUUUAAAAAUAAAAAAUAAAAAACUUAUUUAGAUAAAUUGUUAUAUAUAUAUAUAUAUAUAUAUUUGUAAAAACAUUUUAAAUUCAAUUUAUAUAAUAUAAAUUUAAUUUAAUUUAAGUCUUAUUAAAAAAAAAUUGUUUGGAUAAGUUUUUUUUUUUAAAUAGUUUAUUAUUUUUGUUUUGUAAAAACAUUGCAAAUUCAAUUUAUAUAAUAUAAAUUAAUUUAAUUCAAGUCUUAUUAAAACCAAAAUAAUUUUAUAAUUACAAAUAAAUUUAAAAAUAAUUUUUUUAGUAAAACAUGAAUAAUAAAAUUAUAAAUUAUAUUAUUGUGGACCCUGCAUUUAUGCUCAUGCGCUUCCACUUGUUGGCGAACUCAUUUUUUAUUUGAAAAUGAUUUAUUUUUUUAGAAAAUGACUUAGAGUCGCCACUUAUUUUUGUUUUAUUUUUAAAGGGCAAGCAAAAUAAGAAAGAAAACCCUAAGUGUGACUCCUUAUUCGAAAAAGGUAGUCUGUGUAAAACCGGAUCAGGGUUCAGGGAUCAGGUUACUUAUUGGGAAGGUAUGACAAUGACCGUAGCACUCCUCUAAGUCCUUAAAAACGGGCCUCUACUAAAAAAAAUAAAGUAAUCAUGGCAAUCAGUAAGGAAAUCACUGGAUACCCAGAACAAUUAUGCACAUGUGAGAAUUAAAACAUGCAUAAGAAUGGACAAAGUGAGAGUGGGUGCGUACCUUGACAACGAACCACAAUGCGUUAUCAAGAAAUGGGGUUAGUGCACGAUCAAUGAACAUAAAACACGUCACACAUGUCACUAAGCAGAGUGAGAAAUCAUCAGAUAUUACAAUUCAAUCAAAUUUAUUUUUAGAAGAAACAUCUGUUGAUGUAGAGCCCCUACCAAAGCCUAAUUUAUUUUUGCAUGAAUCAAUUUCAUAAAUUCAAUCGCUUGGAAUUACAGAAUUAAAUUCAUGCUUAUUUUAAAACAUCUUUUUAAAAUCAUGGAAGAUGUGAAAAUGGUUUUCCAAAGAGAAAAUGACAACUGAUUUUAUUGAAAAUGGGAUUUUGGGGACCUAAACGUUAAAGAGGGAUUAGGAAUUGAAAAUUAAAUCAUUUGAAAAUUGAAUUUUUCAAAAAUCAGUUUUGAAAGCAUGCAUGCAAGUAUGGACUGUGAAAGUGGGCCUAGGGAGGGUGGCCAUGCAAAAUGAGGUCAUACACGUGGGCCUUGGGUACAAUUGGGACUACUUUGCUGGUGCCAGUGGUGCUUGCAGCUGUCAUCCAUGAUUUCUUCAUUGGGAUCAAUUUCCAUUCUUACUGCCAAACAUUCCAUAACAAUUGACCAAACUAGUAACCCUGACCUUGCAUGAAAAUGAACGUUACCUAGAAACUCACUGCCAGUGAGAUUCAUUGCUCUUUCAAAAGGUCUCAUUUUCUUUCUCAUCCAAUUGCUUUAAGGAGCAUUCUAGCGUCACGAUUGGUGACUGCGCAUCAUCUAGAGCCUUCUUUCUUCUCAGAAUCAGGUUUGCGUGCAGAGGCCUGUGCUUGUUCAAGGUUGACCUAAAUUCAUCUAGGUUUAGAACCGACCAGUUGAGCUUGGGGAGCAACGACAAGAAUAUCAGUCACUUGCGAAGAGAAAACUCGAGAUCUUUCAAGUAAUGCCUGACAUAGAUUCCUCCAACCUGUGGCCAAUAUCUCAUUCCUUGUUGGCCAGACGCCUAUUAGGGCGUAUCUCAAUCAAUAAUAUGAUUUUUCGUUUGUUCACAAUAAAGACCGGAAGCCAUGGUUGUGAUUUAUGCAGUACAGAAGAAGUUGCCAUGGCUGGUAUCCUUACAAAUUCUGGUGUUUCUGCUAUCUGUUCAAGUGCAAAACACAACAGCUUUAUCAAGUUUGUCCCUAACAACUGAUAUUGAGCCCUCUGGAGGAAACCUUGAUAAAUUCAUAAUCACUUUUGACUCAUGCAUGGGCUGCCCAUCAAAUUUUCCUAGCAACGAGACGACUGCUGUCAUCUACUGCAAAGAGAAUUUCUUCUCGCAAAGACAAGAGGAGUUUAAGAAUACACACUAUUCUGCCAUUUCAUUUCCUCUUUCUCCACAACCAACAUAAACCAUAGUGUCUACAUUAGAGUACUUAGAAAGAGCUUAACUGAUGACCGUUUUUCCACAACCAAAUGCCCCAGGUAUGGCACAAAUUUCACCGAAAACAGAAGGGAAAAGGGCAUCAAGAACACGCUGUCCUGUAAGUAGUGGGGUAUCAGGACUACUCUAGGGAAGUUAUUUCUGUCAUUUUGAAAAAGAAAAAUUAAAGAAUGUACACAUGCUUUCAAGUGGACUGGAGCAUUCUACAUAUCAGGUGGUCUGUAGCCACAUGUGCCACUUUGUGGAAGUUGGAACAGUCGAUCACUAGGCUAUUUAGUGUGGCCAAGCCACGUUAAUCAAGGACAAGUCUUCAUACUUAAAAGUCAAAUGGUGCCUUUAGUCUCAUUACACAUGGCUAUUUAAAGAUGAACUAAUCUUUAGUGUAAUGUGAUUAAGACAGUACUAACUGAUCAAUAUUUUUUCUAAUUUUGGAUGCAAAUGCUUGCUGGCUUCAUCAUUGGAUGGGAUAAAGGUGCAUUCAUGACUCUGAAUACUUGCAGUAAUACUUGCAGUAAUACUUCAUUCUCUUUUUUCUCGAUGAGACUUCUUGGCACAAUUUUGCUUCUCAGCAACCUACCUCUCCAUGGAAAAUGAGUUGCGAUUGAUGGUACUGGAUAUUUUCUAGGAAGCUAAAUAUAGAUAUAUAGCACUCAAUGUCAACGAUAUAUAUAGCAUUAACAGUAUAUGUCUCAAUGCUCAUCAGCUACAAGCAAGGGACAAACACUUACAAUGAAUAACUCACGUCAACAUUCCUAAACAGGACAUAGAAGUGACAGAUCUAUAUAUAGAACACUGCAUAUGAGUCACAAGAAAAGAUAAUACGGGUGCAUAGCAGCUCUUAUAUUACAUAUUACUCAUACCGUUCAAAUUCACUCAGUUGGGAUGGGUGGGAGAAGGAGGCCUCUGGGGUGGCUUGUGCGUGUGAGAAGUGGAAGAAAGUUGAAUGGAAUGAAACUGAAAAACAGGGUAGAAUAGAGGUUUCUUGAAUCUUCUGAAAUCUUUAUUUUUCUGAGAUUUAUUCUCUGUUUUUGUGAGUCGUGACUCUACAUAUAUACAUGUAUUUAAAGUUAGUUAUGCCUUAUAACUAAUUAUCUAACAGUACCAAAACUAAUCAUCUAGUUGCAUGUUUCUAAUUAAUGCUAUUUAGUUACAACUAUAUAUGGCUUAACAUCCUCUCUCAAACUCAAAAGUCUAGCUAGAACAGUGAGUUUGCUUCAUAGAUUGAGAAAUUGUUGAAUAGGUAAGGCUUUGGUAAGAGCAUUAGCAAUCUGGUCAUAAGAAGGAAUGUGUUGAACCACCAAAGUCUUAUUGAGCACCUUUUCCUGAACAAAAUGGCAAUCUAGUUCCACAUGCUUAACUCGAGAAUGAAAAUAGGAUUGGCAGCAAGAAAGGUGGCUGAAAGAUUGUCAUAGAACAAAACAAAAUAGGAGAAUAAGAAGAUGAGAUAGAAAACUCCUGAAGAAGAUGUUGAAUCCAUUGAAGUUCAAAAGCAACAUUUGCUAAGGCCCUAUACUCAGCUUCAUUGCUGGAACGAGACACAACUUUCUGCUUACUGGAGUUCCAGGAGACUAGAUUAGAGCUAAAAAAGAUGCAAUGACCACUUGUACUUCGACGAUCAUCAGGGCAACCAACCCAAUCAACAUCAGCAUAAGCAGUAAGUUGAAAAUCAGGAGAAGAAUAAAAGGAAAGACCAAAGGAAGUAGUGCCCUUAAGAUAAUGCAACAAUCGUUUAACAACUUGCCAAUGAAGAUCAGUUGGUUAUUGCAUGAAUUGGCAAAGUUUAUUGAUAGAGAAAGAGAUGUCAGGCCUUGUAAUGGUACAAUAUUGCAGGGCUUCAACAAUGUUGCGAUAUUGAGAAGGGUCAGCCAAGAGGGAACCUUUAGAGGCAGAUAAAGUGUGAGAGGUAGUCAUUGGUGUAUCAAUAGGUUUAAAAUAUGGAAGACCAGCACGAGUUAACAAGUCCUGAAUAUAUUUGGUUUGGGAAAGAUGAAGAGAAGAUCCUUGCCAACAUACUUCUACACCCAAGAAGUAAUUCAGAAUACCAAGGUCCUUGAGAGCAAACUGAAAGUGUAAAGACGAAACCAUUUGGUGGACUAGCACGGUAUUAAGACCACUAACAAUAAUGUCAUCAACAUAGAUGAGAAUAAUGAUCAUGUCAGUCCCUUUCCGAAGAGGAGCUUGCUUCAGACCCUACAAGGCUUUGCGAAGUUUACAGAAAAAACCGGGUUUAGAAUGAUCAACAAAGCCUGGAGGUUGAACCAUGUAAACCUCUUCUUCUAACUCACCAUUGAGAAAGGCAUUAUUAACAUCUAAUUGUUCCACUAACCAACCAUGAGAAAUAGCAAGAGAAAGAACAAUUCAUAUAGUAGUUGGUUUAACAACAAGGCAAAAGGUUUCAAAAUAAUCAAUACCAUAUGUUUGAUUAAAACCCUUUGCAACUAAGUAGGCUUUAAAACGAUCAAUUGAGCCAUUAGCUUUGAGUUUCAGCUUGUAUAUCCAUUUACAACUAAUAAUGCGUGUAUUAACAGGUUUAGGAACCAAUGUCCAUGUGGAAUUGGUGAGAAGAGCAUCAUACUCAGUCUUCAUAGCAGCUUGCCAAUUAGGAUGCAAUAUUGCUUCUUUGAAAGAGGAGGGUUCGACAACAGUAGUUUGGAUAGCAAGGCUAAAUAUUUUUUUGGGUUUAAAAAUACCAUUUUGGCUACGAGUAACAAUAGUUCGGUUUGGAAGUGAAAGAGGAUCAGUGGAGGAGGCUGGAACAAGGGAUUGUGGUAAAGUAGGAAAGGAAGGUGGAUGAGAUGGAACAAAAUCAGUAGGGACAAUAAUGGGAGAAGAAAAAUUAGGUGGAGAAUGAUGAGGAUUCCUUGAAGAUGGUGUAGGAAUAGAGAGAAUACCAGAAUCAAGAAGUGUUAAAGAAGAGUUGGAUGAUGAUACUGGUUGACAGGAUAAAGACUUUGUUAAAAAUGGAAAUCGAGUUUCAUCAAAUACAACAUGACGAGAAGCAUAUAUCCGAGAGGAAGCCAUAUCCAAACAGAGGAAUCCCUUGUGUUUAGCACUAUAACCCAAAAAACAGCAAACAACAAAUAUAUUUGCUAGCUUGUGAGAAGCAUAAGGGCGAAGAUAAGGAAAACACAAGCAUCCAAAACUUCAAAGAGAUGUAUAAUAAGGUAAACGAUUAUAAAGAACUCCAUAAGGAGAAUUUUGUGAAAGAACAGCAGAGGGAAGGCAAUUUAUGAGAAAAAUGGCAGUUUGAAAUGCAAAUGACCAAUAUUUGAGAGGGUAUACCAGCUUGUAUUAACAAAGAAAGACCAACUUCCACAACAUGACGAUUCUUUCUUUCAACUCUUCAAUUUUGCUAAGGAGUAUAAUGACAAGAGACUUGAUGAAGAAGACCAUUUGUAGCCAAAUAAUUCUGAAAAGCUGAAACUGAAACUCAUCAAAUUGAUUUUUAGUAUCAAAUUUUCUUCAGACUGAACACAUUGAUUUUUAGUAUCAAAUUUUCUUUCAACCAUGGCUUGAAAAUGUUGGAACAUAAGUAAAGCUUCAUCUUUAGUUUCCAAAAGGUACAACCAUGAGAAUAUGCUAAAAUCAUCAAUUAGCAAGAGGAAAUAUUGAGCAUUACCAUUGACAGAAACUAUAGGAGUUGCACCCCAAAGAUCAACAUGGAUGAGACCGAAUGGUUUUAUUGCUCUAGAAGUGGAUAUUUCAAAUGGAAAACGAUGGCUUUUAGCCAACUGACAAGACUCACAUACAGAGUUAUUAUUGUCAUGUUUCAAAGGUAUUUUAUAAAGAGAUAAGAUUUUGGAAACUACAUUAAUAGAGGGAUGACCAAGUCUAUUAUGCCAAAGCCUCAAAGAACCAACGGCUAAAGUACUACUAGUAGAGUAAAAUACUAGUGGAUGACCAACAACUCUUGGUGUAGCAAGAAGUUUAUAGAGACCCUUCUCAAUUUUUCCUUGAAGAAGAGCAAGUCUCGUUUCCUGAUCCUUUACCACAAAAUGAGAAGAACGAAAUUCAAUAAAGGUGCCAUUGUUUGAGUAAAAUCGUUGCACGCUAACUAAGUUGGUGGUAAUAGAAGGAACAUGUAAGACAUCAUUGAAAAACAAAGAACCACUUGAAGAGGCAAGAGAAAAUUUACCAAUAUUUGCAAUGGAUAAACCCUUACCAUCUCCAACAAUUACUUUGUCACCACUGGUAAAUGGAUUAUGGAUUGUUAAAUUGUUAAGAUCAGAUGUGAGAUGAUGGGUAGCCUUUGUAUCAAGAAACCAAUAAGUGUCUCCCAUUGUUGCAGAAGUUGUAGUCAUAGCCUCAGGAUUGUUAGAGGUGGAAUGUUUAGAAUCUUUUGGCUGAUAAUCAGAGUUAAACCGAUACCAGCAUUGUAAAGCGGUGUGUCCGAACUUACAACCGAGAGAAAUAAUCUUUACUUAUUCUCUAAAAACUGUUCUUUAUUCCACACAUUAUUUCUAAAAACUGUUUCUAGAUAACAAUGACAAAAUAGUAUUAGGAAUUUUUAAAAAUAAAAAUUGUUUUUAAAUUACAUGAUCUAUAUCAUUCACAUUUGACCAUUAUAGCUUUGUUCAGGAAAACACUUGAAAGUAACCUUAUCGUGAUAAGAGAUAUAAGUUGGCUGUAGUUUCAAACUGAAAACAGAGGAUGGCAAUAGAAAGCAAAGCAUUAGUUAUCUGCAAUCAGUGGUGAUCAUGCCCCAUGUCAAUUUCGGACCCAUAUCUUAAAACCGUAUAAUUUGCAUUUCAACAUUUCUGAUUUCUCAGAUGUUUCAUACUCCACAGAAGAACAUUGUUUGUGAAAGCAUGCAUUUAUGCUGGAUUUUGGAUGAUGUGGGAACUGGGGCAAGGAUCAUAUGGAAGAGUGGUCGAUUUUUUCUGUACUUUAACAUUUGAAAUAGGAGCAGCACGGGCAUUUGUGGGGCUUAAUUGAUUUUGAAGCCUGAAAUUGCGUUUCUGUCAUUUUGUAAAAAAUAUGGCAGAUUCCAUGCUCUCAUAUGUUUGGUCUGUGGCCAUGUAUAGAUGCCACUUAGUGACCAGUUUGUAACUGUCAAUCAUAGUGUUUUGACUCUGGCUCAACAACAUCAGCCAUUGACGGAUUUUCAUACAUGCAAAUCAAAUAGUCUUCUUCCUCCCUUAGGAAUUUCGGUUUAAAUGUUAUUAAGCAUACAUUUGGCUGACAAUUAUUAACCACUUCAUGAUAUGGUUUCUUACCCUUAAUCAAUGGUUUCUAAGUGAAUAUAUGCAGAAGGAAAUCUGAACUGUAGACAGCAGUAUUGAUAAUUAUCAAUAUUCUUUAUAUAAGAGAAUAAACAACGUCAUAGUGAUCGUCGCCUACAAGAAAGGUACAUUUCCCAACAAGAUGUAGUUGUGACUGGUACAUGGACGUAAUUAACUCGUAGAAAAGGAUAAGACCAGUGCACGGCAGCUCUUAUUUUACAUGCUAAUUAUGCUAACCAAAGUCACUCAGUUGGGAUGGGAGGGAGAUGGAGGUUUGUGCGGUGGCUUGUGGGGCGGAGUUGGUGGCUUCUUUUCAGGAGCUUGUGGCUUUUUCGGAGCUGAAGGAGGCUCAAUCUUAUGAGGCGGCUUGUACGAGUCUUCUUUACUCUCGACAGGAGGGUGGCCAGGGUUGUGACCAUAAUGUGGUGGCUUCUCUCCCUUAGGUGGCUUGCCAACUGGGGUUGGUGGCUUGUGUUCAGGAAGUGGUUUCUCUCCCUUGGGAGGUUUACCAAUUGGGGUUGGUGGCUUGUGUUCUGGGAGUGGUUUCUCUCCCUUGGGAGGUUUAGUGGGUGACUUGUGUUCUGGAGGUGGCUUCUCCACCGGAGGCUUGUGCUCCGGUGGUGGCUUCUUGGUUGGAGGGGGCUUGGGGUAAUCAGCAAGAGAUGGGGGGGUGAGAACCACCACUCCAAGGAACAACACUAGCAAGUAUGUGGGAGACAUUUCUGAGUUUGAGCUGAUCAGAUGAUGCAAAACUAGAAGAAUUACGUGACCUUUUAUAGCAAGUAGCUCCCAAUACCCACAUGACACGUGUUACUGUGACCAUAAAUAUUAUAGGGUCCAUUUGUGCCCUACCGGGUUGAAAACUUGGACGCUUGGCCGAGGACACACCGAACUAUGGAGGACUAUUGACGUGUGAUCACAGCUUUUGGAUUUUUCUUCCUGUGCAGCUGUCUAGCGGUUGGCAUUAUUUUUUUAAUCUUAAAUAAAGGCAUAGUUAUAGAGUACAUUUAUAUAUCUUCAGAUAGCCAUUAAUAUAUUUGAUGAAGAAAGACAAGUGCAUACAACAUGUAUACGGCUUGCUUCAAUCGAGUACAUUUAUGAUCAGUUUUCCAGUGCAAGUAAACCAGUUUUUUGUUCCACAACUAUUUUGGAAUCUUGUUUAUCAGUUUCUAUCAUUAUAAUGUCACAUAGGCUGCAAACUUGGGCACCCAAAGAUCUAGUUGGGCAAAUUUGUUUCAGAAUUUCAAUGGUGGAUUCAGUAAUUGUUAAAAGGUGUUUCUUCAUUAAGGAAAGAGUCCUGUAAAAAUAUUGUUAAAAGGUGUCAUAGAAACUAUAAUAAUUAAAUAACUUCUUUUCCCCGUGGGUGGUGUUUCUUCUGGGGAUACCCAAAAUGAGUUCAGAUUAAAAUUGGUUCGAGUCAAAGCUGUCUCUUUUGUCCAGAAAUCAACUAUUUUGCGCAUUGCAUGAAUCGAUAAAGAAAAAAUGAAAGCCAAAUCACACCUCCCCUGCAAAACCUAAACCCCGGUUGCUAACUUUCUAUGUUUCAGUCCUAUUCAUACAGGAAUAUUGGUUCAAGUUUGAGAAAAAUGGCAACUUACCUAGGGAUUACUUGGUUGUGGUUUGCGACGACUAUUUACGCAACCAACCAUGAGUUUGACUUUAACGUCAUGGGUUGAAGCCUCCUACAAUCGUGUAUGAUAGUUCAAAGCUCGUAGUAGAAAUUAUACAGGAAGGAAGAAACCUCCAAAGCUAGCUCCAAAAGAGAAUUAUCACAUCGAUAGCUCCAGAGAUUCCCAAGGGGACUGAAUCAAAGACAAGUUCCUCACUUUUUCUUCUUUUGAGGCCAAAUAUGAACCAAGGAUCACACGACCUCAUUCAACUUCAUAAGUUUGAUUUCAUGCAGUUGAACACUGGGUGAAGGCCAUGACAAGAAUUGAUUAAAAAAUUCUACCACUGUUUUAAGUAAUGGAAGAUUAUUAUCUCUGAUUGGCACCACAACAGCACAUGCUGCUAGAUCUUUCUAGACACUCCAUGCAAUGAAAGUACAAUGGAUCUUGUAACGAUAGAAACUAAGCCAUGCUACAGUACUAGAUGACGAGGUAAAACUAUUAGACAUGGGUGGCAGCCUAUAUGGGAGGGACACAAGUCUAAUUGAUUUGCAUUUCAGCGUUCUAGAUGGGUAUGUUUUGGAAGAUUUGUUCUGGAAAUACCGCACCAAGUAGGAUUCUUUUUUCUCUUGAGUGGGUCCACUUGCAUGCCAAUUAUCGAGUUGAAAAGUAGAGCACCUACCUCGUGCUCGUGGAACCGAAGGUCAGUGAAGUGGGGCUCCUUUUGGCCUCUUGUGUUUCUGUUCCAACCAAGGCGGCGGAGGGAAAAACAGCAAUAUGUCUCCGCUAAAUAUCAACGCAUGAUAGCGAAUGAGGGAGAAAAAAAGUAAUUGGCAUCUCAAUCUCACAAACUUGGUACAGUAGUGACAUUAAUAGUCUUCCACAUGGUUUUUAUUUUAUUUUAUUUUAUAUUUUAUAUUUUCCAUUUUUUUAUUUUUUUGUAUGUCAAGGCUAAUGAAUAAAAUGCGUUAGCUUGUUUUGUGAUUGGAACUGCAAAUGUCCAAAUUGGAGUUUCUCCAUUUCUCAGUUCGGAUGGUUAACUUUAUAAACAAGAUAUAGGAAACAUGUGAACGUCUUGAGGAACAAUUCGAAUUAUUGAUUAGAACUCCUAGGUUGAGUUCCAAGAUUUAAAUCAGACCCCUCUAGCAGCUUCAGGGGUACCUAGCAAUUAGAACAUAUUAAUGAAGAUUUAGGAUUUAGACUCCGGAAUACAAAUUAAUAUGUAUCUUAUGCUCUGACUAGCUUCCCUGCAUAUGCACAAAAUGGAGAUGACCCAAAAAAUAGCAGAAUCGCCUUAGUUUAUGUGGUUAAGGUGAUUCUCCGGUUAAUAUCCACAUUGGCUCAUUAUGCAAAUCAACUGAGCUAUUUUUUUUUUAAUGUCAAAUAGGAACUCCUAAUUAACCUAACCAUUGGCCUGUGUAAAUUGAUUUCACAUGCACAAUGUUGUAGUAGAAGUCCACAUUUUGAAUUUUAUUUUUGGAAAGGUAAGGAAAAUGAAGCAUUGUGUAAUUAUAAAAAUAACUUCAUUGGAAUUCACAAGGUUCACCCAAAAUGGAGCUACAUCCGUAUUCUAUCUUACAGUAGACUAUAUAGAUUGUACAAUAGUAAAUUGCAAAUACAAUUAAUAAGUCUUGUGUUUCCUUACUAAUAAUCCUUUGACAUAAACAUUGCAGCACUAAGGUCCUCUUGGGCAGACACCUUGCACCCAUGAGAGCACUAAGAGGAAGCAAGGCGGAGUCAUGGGUGCAAUGUCAUGACUUGUUGCACUAAGAGAGGCUUGGUGAUGGCAUAGUGCUGCAGUAGCAAGAAUGUUGCCUUGGCAGGGACACGAUCUAGGGACAGAUGCCAAGAAAGGCUUAGCACUCACAUGAGUUGCACAAAGAUGAAUGAAAUAGAACAUCAAAGAGACAUCUUGGCAAGCUCAAGAAAGACAUGUGGGUUGGUAAAUGAAUGGAUGCAAGAGGCAACAACAUGAGGAGUUUCAAAUGGAUAGGGAAUGAGUCAAAGACAUUUGAAAGCUACAAGUUGGAUUCUAAUUACGAUUGCAAUUUGAGUUUGAGUAGGAGUUUAUAUUAUGAUUGUAAUUGUAGUAUGAGUUGGACUAGGAUUGCUUAUCCCUAGUCAAAAUAGGAGUUGUUCAUGCCACACCCUAUGAAAAGAGUUUGAGUAGGGACUAGGAUUGCUUGCUCCUAGUCAAAUAUGGAGUAGGUGGUGCCACACCUAUAAAAAAAAAAGGGACAACAUGAGAGAGAGAGAGAAUGAAUUCACCAAAGAUAUUGUGGGAGUUUUGCUUUGUUACAUCUUGUAUUAUUAUUUAGAAUAGUAAUAAAAUACAAGUUGGGGCUAGAGCCCCAUAAUCUCGUGUGCCUUUGUGGGUUAUUCUUUAUUUGCCAUCUCGUGUGGAUUGGAUUAGAUUGAUGAGGCGAAAUAUUAUGUGGGAAAUUUAUGUUGGGACACUUACCAUAACCAGGUAAAAUCUACCAAGUCUUUUGUAAUAUCUUCUACAAAUAUUUUAGACCAGUUCUUCACAAAACAUCAUAAUAUGUUUUGUGUUUCUCUUGGAUUUUGAGUUGAAUUGUCUUAGAUCAAUUGAAUGCAUCUCAAUAUUAUUAUCUUGUUUGAAGGCUUGAUGAUUUUCCAUUUAACUUUACUUUCUUUAGGUUAUGCUUGAUUCCUUAAAAGUACUAAGGAAAACAAAAAAUAAAAAAAAAUAAAAAAUGCAGAGGGUUAGGACAUGUGUUAUCUAAUUGUCCUAUCCAAAGAUAUUAAGAAAGUCAUGUAGGAAAGUAAUUGAAAACUAGGUCAAGAAAGGAGCAAAAGGGAAUUGUUUUGGUAUUUUCUUUUUUAUUCUUGAAGGUGGCAGAGCUAAAAUUUGAGAAAUCAAGCAAAACAUACUGAAAUUACAUUGAAAGAAAGAAAAUGGUAGUUAAUGUCUUGCAGUACAUGAUAAGGACUUCAUGCAUGUAGUGUGACGACCCAUGUCUUGGACUGAUGCCACACUCACGGUUACACUUAUACCCUUGGUUCUCUCUUUACUACCUUGGCUAACCUAGAUCAGGCUAUGAGAUAGGCUCCUCACCACACCAUCACUUGCCCAGUAAUUAGUGACAUUUUCAAGCAAUGAGGUAACAUGGUGACACCAAGAGGGUUUAUCCCUCGCCCCAACAAGUCUAGACUCGGUCUCAAAAAAAUGGAGAAAAAUGAGGUGUCGUUAUGCAGAAAUACAACAACCAUGCCUUCCUUAUUACUUAGAUUCAGAAUGUGAAGGUGAAAUUGAGAAACAGAAACUCUUGAAACCAGAAUGAAAAUUGAUACUUUUACGAAGAAUUACAACAUUAGAGGAAGACUACAUUCUUCCUCUAUAUUCCUACGUUUCUACACUACUUCUACUCCACUCCAUAUUUCUACAUACAUCUUUAAUCAGUUUUCCCUCCUUUAUAUAGAGCCAUCUUCACACAAAUUCCGCAAGGUAGAAAAGAGGAAUGAAACUUGGAGCAAGGUUCGACUACUGGUUGUCGCUUGUCAAGGCUGGAAUUGAACUUUUUUUCUUGGCUUUUCUGGGCAUAGGUAGUAACUUGUGGUUCCUUUUUGGAAUGAAAAUGGUACAGCUAGAACAUGUGGCACUCUCUUGUUGGAUUAUGUGUCAAACAUGUGGCAGCCAUCUAGUGGAGAUUAUUUCAAUUUUGGGAUGGAGAGUUGGCAUCCAAUUGCAAAGAAAUAUGACAUCUACCAACAUGCAAUGUAAACCUAUAUAGAUCAUAUGGAGAUAGAGAGGAAACAUAUAGAAAUGGAUAUAUACCUAGAACUAGCUUUUUAUUAAAUGAGACGGAGAGCCAACAAUGAAGGAAAAUCAAAAUUUUUGGCUCAUAUCAAAGAAUUCACAUUGUGUUACCCUAGGUUUUCUUAAAGCUUGCACAAAGCCAAAAAGCACACAAAAAAUUAUAUUUUCUAGCUCUCUACCUUGGAUGGUCUCUUGAUCCUACUUGGAGAUGUGCAUAAAUAAAAGGAUUUGAAAAUGACAAUUGACUAAGUAUGUAGUCAAUCAAUUACUCAUUAAUUGACUAGUUGAUCAAUUAACUUUGCAACAUCAUAUGCAAUCCUAAUAGCUAGUCAUCUAAUCAACUAGGUAGUAAAUCAAUAGGCCAAAAAUAUGUUUAUAAUGACUAUUUUGUACAAAAACCACCUAUAUGGUUAAAUAUAAUGCAUUUCAUUUAUAAAUCUUCUAAUUCUUGAAUAACGAUCCUAUCAUCCUUUGAAAGUUUUUAUUACACCUUUUAUACUUUUGUUCUAAAACUUACACAUGUACAUCACCCUUAAUUGUACCAUGAGAACCUAGCUUUUUUUUUUUUUUUUUUUGUAAUUCAUCAAAGUUAGCUUUUGUAUUCAUUACUGUACUAUUUUUAUUGUAACUUAGAAAGCGAGUGUUUUCAAGUGAGUGAAAUUGACUUAUAAAUAUUGUAAAGAUUCAUUGAUGUGUAUCUUAAACUAAGUGUACAAGUUGAAACAUUUGCUAGUAGAUUUUCUCAAGAUUUAGAAUAGAGCUUGAGGCUAUUGAAAUAGGUGGGGUUGCACCAAACCACAUCACAUUGUUGUUUGCACCUUUUUUUCACUCUCUUUUACUUAGUUGCUCUAUAUUUGUUGUCUAGUAAUAUCCUAUAGGCUUGAUGGGUUAGGGAGCAUCCCUUUGUGAAAAAUUUUCAUUCAAUCCUUAGUUGUAUCACGCAUAUAUAAAAUGCCUCAUUGUUUUAAUGGUAUUCAGUCGUGGCAUCACAGAUAUGGGCAUCUAAAUUUUAAAAGUUUGAAACUUUUAUCUAAAGAAAAUAUGGUGCUUUGCCUUUUUGUAAAGCAUGUUGAUGAAAUCCAUGAGAAUUGUGUACUUGGGAAGCAACAUCGAGAUGACUUUUUUUUUUUUCAUUUUUUAUAAUGCGACACCUAAGUCCGGUUUCUAAAUGCUGAAGUGAAAGGGUAGGUAUGGACCAUUGAAAUCUGAUCACAACUUUUGGCCUUUUCCUUUCUCUGCAGCCAUGUUGUCUCUUUUUUCUUUUGCAUGAUUUUCUUACCUAAACAGAAUCAUAGACUUGUUUAAUCUCUAAAUGGUAUUUCAUCCAGCUUUAAGCUACUGUAUUAUAUCUUGGUGGAGGACUUUUAAGAGUGAAACCGACAUAGAGCACAUGCAAGUGGGUAUAUGGGACAUGAAAUUUCUUCUUAUAAAGACUGCAUGGUUUUUAUAUUAGAGUUGUUGAGGCGCAAUGUAUUUAGCUUGUUUUGCAGUUAAAUUAAUUGGAUAAGUAGACAUUGUCGUUUCUAAAUUUCCCACCUAAGAUAGUGACCUUAUCCUUGACUGCUUGAUGAGAUACACAAACAAUUAUACCUUCAAAAUCUACUGUGAAGUGCUUCAUGUAUGUGUGAAGUAUUAGAAAUUUCUUUCUUGGCAACUUGUUUUUUCUUUGCCCUCUACUGAUAGGUUUGACUCAAAUUAAAUUCCCUGUCAUGCUAAUUAAUUUUCACGUGCAUGCUCAAAAGGAUCACGUCAACUCUGGUUUCUACUAUUCAGGUCCAUUCCCAGAUAAACUGGUUCAAAUUUGAGAAAAUGGCAACAGCCCUUUAGUGAUGUUGGUUUGGAGCCAGUAGCCAAACCCGCCCUGAGCUUUACCACUAAUGUCAAGGGACAAAGCCAUUUGAACAAAAACAAUAGCUUCAAGAGACUGAAUCGUGGAUGAAAUCUGAUCCACAUUUCUUCUCAUUUUGGGAACAAAUGAGAACUUAACUACAAAGAUUCUACUGCCUCAUAGUGCUUUUCCUGAUCUAAGGUUGGUUCGUUUCCCAAAUUGUGAGGUACGUGCCAUUCUCACGCUCAGGAGUGUAUCCACGUGGUGGACAUAAGAUGGUGGCUUAAUAUCUGGUGUCGGUGGCUUUACUUUACUAGGAGAGUAGUGUGUCUUCAUCUCAUUCACUGCCGGAGGGUGGCGUAAGCAGUGACGCUAAGGUGGGGCACAGUCAAUAUCAUUUGCAUUUGACCAUUAUAGUUUUCUCCCGGCUUGAAAGUAACCUUAUCGUGAUAAAGGAUUACUAGCACUAGUUCAGAUGACAGUCAUGUUAAAUUCGGACCAUGUUUGUGUCACAUUAUCAGCAACCAUGUGUUUAUGGUUCAUGCUAUCUGCAACUAAACUUGAUAUAUAACCACGUGAACUUCAAUCUAAAUUCUGGAAGUACUCUUGUGAUAGAUGGUGCCUGUCUGCAGAGUCCAUCAAUUGAAAAAUGGAGUGAGUGUAUCUAUAAGAGGGAAGGCUUGGCAAAUGUUCAGUUUUCUGGGAACUCAACAAGGAUCUAAAAUAGAUUGUUUUCUUUGCUGAUUUCAAUGGUUGAAAUUUGAGAAGAUUGUGUCCACAUAACACAACUAUUACUGGUCCUUCUGUUGCAAUUUAUCCUCUAAGGCUCUAACAUGUCUUCCAAUUCCCACUUCCCUGUUACUCCAGGAAAGCUAUUUCUGUCAUUGUGAAGAAGAAAAGAGAAUGUACAUAUCGAUGGUUUUAAGUGACUGGGGCAUUCAUAUCAGGUGGUCUGCAGCCAUAUAUGCCACUUUGUGAAGGUUGGAACAGUCAAUCACCAGGCUAUAUUAGUGUGGCCCAGCCACUUCAAUCAAGGACAAGUCUUCAUACUUAAAGUCAAAUUCUGCCUUUAGUCUCAUUAUAAAUUGCUGUUUAAAUAUUAAGCAAACAUUUGUUUAAUGCGAUUAAGACAGUACUAACUCAAUACUUGUUCUAUUUUUGGAUGCAAAUGCUUGAUGGUUUCAUCAUUGGAUGGGAUAAAGGUGCAUUCAUGAUUAUGAAUACUUGUAGUUAUAUUUUCAUUCUCUUUUUUCUCAAUGAGACUUGUUGGCACAAUUUUGCUGUUCAGAAACCUACCUCUCCAUCGAAAAUCAGUUGUGAUUGAUAGUACUGGAUAUAUUCAAGAAAGCUAAAUAUAGAUAGCACCAAAUAUUAUCGAUAUAAAUAGCAUUAACAGCGUACGUAUGUCUCAAUGCUCAUCAGCUAUAAGCAACGGGCAAACACUUACUAUGAGCAACUUGCGUCAAAAUUCCAGAAUAGGACAUAGAAGUGACAGAUCUAUAUAUAUAUAGAACACUGCAUAUGAGUCACAAGAAAGGAAAUUACGGGUGCAUAGCAGCUCUUAUUUUACAUCCUACUCAUACUGAUCAAAGUCACUCAGUUGGGAUGGGUGGGAGUAGGAGGUUUGUGGGGUGGCUUGUGCGGAGGAGUUGGCAGCUUCUUUCCAGGACCUGGUUGCUUCUCUGCUGGAGUUGAAGGAGGCUUAAUCUUCCGAGGUGGCUUGUAUGAGUCUUCAGCAUUCUCAGCAGGAGGGUGACCAGGGUUGUGACCAUAAUGUGGUGGCUUCUCUCCCUUAGGUGGUUUGCCAACUGGGGUUGGUGGCUUGUAUGAGUCUUCAGCAUUCUCAGCAGGAGGGUGACCAGGGUUGCGACCAUAAUGUGGUGGCUUCUCUCCCUUAGGUGGUUUGCCAACUGGGGUUGGUGGCUUGUGUUCUGGGAGUGGCUUCUCCCCCUUGGGAGGUUUUUCCAAUGGGGUUGGUUUGUGUUCAGGAGGUGGCUUCUCCACUGGAGGCUUGUGUUCAGGAGGUGGCUUCUCCACCGGAGGCUUGUGUUCAGGAGGUGGCUUCUCCACCGGAGGCUUGUGUUCAGGAGGUGGCUUCUCGAAUGGGGGAUGCUCAGGGUAAUCAGCAAGUGAGGGGUUGGUGAGAACCACCAUGCCAAGCAACAGGACUAGCAAGUAUGUAGGAGACAUCUUUGGGUUUGGACUUAAGACAGUGGAAAACUGCGAGAAUUCUCUAGCCUUUUAUAGCGGGUCGACCCAGUACUCACAUGACACGUGUCAUUAUGACACAUGUGCCAUGGGGUCGAUUUGGGUCCUACAGUGUUGAAAAGUUGGGCAUUUGAGGUGUGAGCACAACUUUUGGCCUUUGCUUUCUCUACAGCCGCCAUGCUUUUCCCUUUUUUCCUUUUCCUUUUGUUUUCCUCCUGCCUCGUGUUCUCAACUAAACACAAUUAGGUUGUUUAAUUGUUAAAUGAGAUUUUUGUCUGUCAAUCAUAUUAUAUCCUAUCAAGAGAGAACAGAGUGUAAUGUAGUACACAUAACACGAGGCAGUAGUAAUUUUAUCAUUUAUUUUUAUAGCUUGGACCACCGCAUUUUUUCUUCUAAAAUAUUCUGUCUUGUUAAGAGACGCAAUAAUACACAAUUUUAUCUGCCAUUCAACAUUUACUGUAAAGUUCUUUUAUCUCUUUGUAGUUCUAGAAAAGUACAAAAUGGAACAUCAUGUAUAUGGUGCCUUCUGUCCUAAAAAAGAAACUGGACAAAUUAUGAACUGCAUGCUAAAAAGAGGCAAAGGAGCUUAAUUCGCAGCAUAAUUAUUUUGGUUUCUAGAGAGCCCGGGGCCUUUUGGUUGGUUUGGGGUCAGAAAAUGAACAUCAUAGGGAUUGUGCCCUUAACUGGCCUUGUUACUACAAAGAAAUUGCCAUAGAAAUUUAUUCCAGGCUGAGUAUCUCCGGAUAGACCCCAGAAAAGAAGAGUCAUAAUGAGAAUCAACCUUUGUUGAGUUUGAUUCCAUGCCUCCAUUGUGUUCAUUUCAUGAAUCUGAUUUGCAUUUAACAUUACAGUUUUGUUCUGGAAACAAUCAAAGGAGCAUCGUUUGCUUCUUGGGUGACCCAUAGUGGUGGGUGGGUCGAUUUGCUUAGUUGAAAAUUGGACAAUUGGCUCCAUCGCCUACCUCUUGGAUUCCAUGCUCGGAUAAAACGACAACAAAUAAAUAUUUAUAACUUACAACUGGGGAAAGGAAAAAAUAGUACUAAAUUCAUGGUACAUGAUAGUGAGAGAAGGGGGUGUUACACUCAGCUAAAGUUCUUUUCUAAAUAUUGCAUGGUGUUUAAUUUUAUGUGUCGGCGCGCGUGUGAAUGGAACCUGCAAAAGUCCAAAUUGGCGUUUCUCCAUUUUCCACAUAGGAUGGUGACGUUAAUAGACAAAGAUACAAUAUCUGUAGACAUUGCUUAAAAAUCGAUGUGAAGUAUUAGAAAUUACAGGCCACUGUACUGGGGGAGCGGCUGCCCCGCCAAAGGAAGAAUGUAGCAAUUUCUUCUGUUAGCCAGGCCUUAGGAUUUAUGCAUGGGAUGCCUAAUAACAAACAGAGAAAAUAUGCUUUUGGGGAAGGUAUCCAACAACAGACACCAUCAUUCAGAUGGUGGGAAGGUAUCCAACAGAUGCCAUCAUUCAGAUGGUAACAUAUAUAUACAUUUAUUAGUGAGUUUUUUUAAUACCUAUAAAAAAAAUAUACACUUUGAUAUUGUGGCUGAAUCCAUUACAUACUCAACUAACCUUGCUCAUUAGGGAUUUGACGUAACAAGGGCAACGUUGCAGUAAAAGCUCGAAACUUUAUGCAGGUGACAUUACAUUUGGUAAAGAAGAGGAAAAUAAGGAAAGCCAUCCAUAAAAGCAAAAUUCCUCAUGGGAUGAAAUUCACAAACUUCAUUUACGUUAGAGUCGCAUCCAGGCAAUUAAUUCCACAUUAGACCGCCUUUUGACAUGUGUACGGAUCUUUUUUCAAAAAUUAUUUAUAAAUAAUUGAUACUUACAAAAAUAAUUUAAGAUUUAUAAAGGAUAAAAAAAUAUUUUCAAAUCUAUGACAAUUUAUAAAAUAUUAAUAAAAAAUUAUCUCUUAAACUUAGUAUAGUUUUAUCGUAUUAAACUUUUAUUUUGAACAAAUAAUUUUAAUCUAAGUUUUAAAUUCUAAAAUUAUUUCCUUAAAAUAAAAUUUUAAAAUUCAACACUUCAAUUGAAAUUGUCUUUUAAAAAAAAUAUCUUCUUAUUUUAAUCCUUAUAAACUAUAGUUGAUUGAAAAUACUAUUGAAGUUCUCUCUUCAAAAAAAGUCUUAUUUUAAUCUUCAUAAAUUGCCCUUGAUUUGAAAAUAAACUUUGGGUUAUCAUAUUUUAAAUAAUAUAUAUAUAUAUAUAUAUAUAUAUAUAUAUAUAUAACAAAUACUCUAUUUUUUUUUUAAAUGAACUAAUUUUAAUUAUAUUUUAUUUUAUUUUUUUAUAUAUUUUUAAUGAUAAACCAAACAUAGAAAAUCAUUUUUCUAAAUAUUUUAAAAUUUCUAAGCAACCAAACAUAAUCUUCAAAAUAAAAGGAGAAUAAGGAGGGACAAGUGAGAAAUGGCGAUUAAAAAAAAGUGUACAAAAGCUCAAUUAAUUUUCUUCUAGUCUUUUAUAUAAAAAAGUAUUGGUAUGUAAAUUAAUAUUUGGAUUUUAAUAGUAUUUUAUUUGUCUUUCUCUAUCUCAUGUAAAAGAGAAUUUAAGAUAUUUCCUAAAGCAAAGCAUUAGUUAUCUGCAAUCAGUGGUGAUCAUGGUCCAUGUCAAUUUCGGACCCAUAUCUUAAAACCGUAUAAUUUGCGUUUCAACAUUACUGAUUUCUCAGAUGUUUCAUACUCCACAGAAGAGUAUUGUUAGUGAAAGCAUUUUGUAACUGUUACUCAUAGUGUUUUGACUCUGGCUCAACAACAUCAGCCAUUGACGGAUUUUCAUACAUGCAAAUCAAAUAGUCUUCUUCCUCCCUUAGGAAUUUCGGUUUAAAUGUUAUUAAGCAUACAUUUGGCUGACAAUUAUUAACCACUUCAUGAUAUGGUUUCUUACCCUUAAUCAAUGGUUUCUAAGUGAAUAUAUGCAGAAGGAAAUCUGAACUGUAGACAGCAGUAUUGAUAACUCUCAAUAUUCUUUAUAUAAGAGAAUAAACAACGUCAUAGUGAUCGUCGCCUACAAGAAAGGUACAUUUCCCAACAAGAUGUAGUGGUGACUGCUACAUGGACGCAAUUAACUCGUAGAAAAGGAUAAGACCAGUGCACGGCAGCUCUUAUUUUACAUGCUAAUUAUGCUAACCAAAGUCACUCAGUUGGGAUGGGAGGGAGAUGGAGGUUUGUGCGGUGGCUUGUGGGGCGGAGUUGGUGGCUUCUUUUCAGGAGCUUGUGGCUUUUUCGGAGCUGAAGGAGGCUCAAUCUUAUGAGGCGGCUUGUACGAGUCUUCUUUACUCUCGACAGGAGGGUGACCAGGGUUGUGACCAUAAUGUGGUGGCUUCUCUCCCUUAGGUGGCUUGCCAACUGGGGUUGGUGGCUUGUGUUCAGGAAGUUGUUUCUCUCCCUUGGGAGGUUUACCAAUUGGGGUUGGUGGCUUGUGUUCUAGGAGUGGUUUCUCUCCCUUGGGAGGUUUAGUGGGUGACUUGUGUUCUGGAGGUGGCUUCUCCACCGGAGACUUGUGUUCUGGAAUUGAUUAAAAAAAUUCUACCACUCUUUUAAGUAAUGGAAGAUUAUUAUCUCUGAUUGGCACCACAACAGCACAUGCUGCUAGAUCUUUCUAGACACUCCAUGCAAUGAAAGCACAAUGGAUCUUGUAACGAUAGAAACUAAGCCAUGCUACAGUACUAGAUGACGAGGUAAAACUAGUAGACAUGGGUGGUAGUUGAUUACUACUCAAAAAGUACUCUUUUAUAGUUUGAAACUAACUGUUUUAAACACUUUUGAGUAGUAGUUAAUAAAUUUUAACUCAAUUGGCACAUUAAGGAACCUAGCAAGGGUUACUAAUAAACUUUUGGCAAGUUUUGGUGUUUUUGGUAGUUAUUCGAUCAUUGAAACAAGCCAAGAAUGAGGGAGAAUUUUGUGAAGUCCAUGGCAAUGCAAGUUAAAGCUCAAAUACACGAAGAAUCCAAGCUUUGGAGCACUACAUAGCCCUUUGCCAAGCCAAUUAGAGAUGCAAGGAACAAAACCAAAGGAAGAAAUCCAACAACCAACAUUUUCGCAUGGUUGUGUGAAAUUUCGCACACCAUGCGAAACCACAAGAGGUAGCCAAAGAAUUUCACAUGGUAUGCGAAAUCUUCUCAUGCACCGACUCCGUUAGAUUUUUAUCUUCAGAUAUUUUGUGUAAUUUCCUAGUUUCUCCUUGUAACCAACCUAGAUAUUUUCUUUUAUAUCUUUUUUUAUAUUUUUUAGGUAACAUCAUAUAUAAGGGGAGAGACAUAAGGAGGAUAUGGAUGUUUUUCAUAGAACACUUGUAAAUUUUCAGUAGUAAGAAAUAUACAAAGCUUUUUGCUAUGCCUUACCUUCUCAUUUUGUUUUCACCUGUCUUUCUAGCCAAACAACCUCUAAGGAUGAUUUCUCAGGGGAUGAGUGGCUAGGUUUUACGUUUCUUGGAGUGAGGGAAGCUAGGUGAAGGACCUGAAUGCAAAGAUGAGAGUUUUCCUUGCUUUAAAUGAAAGUAGUUGUUAAACAUUAAUGGUUUUUAUUUUAAGGUUUAGCUUUAAAUCCCUUAAAAACACCUUGAAUGACCAAUACUUGGUAAGCUUUUCGGAUUCUAUGGAUGCUUAUUGCUAGAUCCAUGGAUGUCUAUUAGUUAUCAUUUACGAGCCUUUGGAAGGUGAUUCAAGGUGAGGGUCUUUAGUGUUUGAAGCCAUUAAUGGGAAGCAAUUACCAUUUUUUCAUGAAUCCUUUGGAUCAAAUCUUAAUUGCUAAAUAUAAAACCGAUUUGGGAAAUAACCAUCCUUUAUGUUAUUAUCCCCAACGCAAGGAGAAGAUCCGGAAUCUUCCCUUUUGUCUAAGGAACCCGAUCCUAGUGACCUAAAGCUCCAAGAGACCUUUUCUUUGUAGUUAACUUCAUUUAUUGUUUUUGCUUAACUUAAAAUCAAUCUUUGCAACCACAAUUCCAUUUUCUUUAAAAGCUAAUUUUUAUAAGGAAAAACACCAUUUUAUUUCCUUCACUAAGUCAACUGUACGAUGAAAACCCAUCCCUGUGGACGAUCCUAGAGCCAUUAUACUAUGUUAGCUAUGCUACCCUAGUGUGAGGUGAUUUAGGUUUUAUAAAUUUUGUUGAUAACACCCAUCUGAGCCAGAAUCAAAUGGCACAACUGAACCAGGGACGAAUCAAAUGGCGCCGCUAUCGAGGAUGGUGCCAAAGUACAUUGACAUGACUUUUGGUGAACACUUGUGAUCUUCAUCACAAGUUUGGUGAUUUUUCUAUUACUAAUUUUUUUCUUUGUUUUUAUUUUAGCUUAUCUUUUAUUUAGUUUUUAGCUAACCUUAACUUUUUCUUAGAAUUGUAUUUCUUCUAUUUUCUUUGUUUUUGUUUCAGUGAUCUUUAGUUGUGCAUGCCCUAUUGGAUAAGAAAUAUUGAGGGAAUACUUGUGAAGAUUGAAAAUCCUCGAGAAACUGAGUUGGAAGUGUGAUUGAACAUCAUGGAUGUUCCACCUGAAGACCAGAAUAGCCAACAUGGUUAAGAGGAUAAUUUCAAAGCAUACCGAUCCAUGAGGGACUGCAUGCAUCCACCUCGUAUGAGUGCACCGUCAUGCAUAGUGCCUCCCACUGAGCAACUAGUAAUCUGACCUCACAUUGUGCCACUCCUACCUACUUUCCAUGGGAUGGAGAGUGAGAAUCUCUACUCGCAUAUUAAGAAAUUCGAGGAGGUUUGUAAUACAUUCCAAGAAGGAGGAGCUUCAAUUGACUUGAUGAGGCUCAAGCUAUUUCCUUUCACUUUGAAGGAUAAGGCUAAGAUUUGGCUUAAUUCUUUAAGGCCAAGGAGUAUCCGAACUUGGACUAAUUUGCAAGCCGAUUUUCUUAAGAAGUUCUUCCUUACCCAUAGGACCAAUGGUUUGAAAAGGCAAAUUUCGAACUUCUCAGCUAAAGAGAAUGAGAAAUUCUAUGAGUGAUGGGAGAGGUACAUGGAAGCUAUUAAUGCUUGUCCUCACCAUGGCUUUGACACAUGGCUCUUAGUGAGUUAUUUUUACGAUGGUAUGUCUUCUUCAAUGAAGCAACUCCUAGAAACUAUGUGUGGAGGAUACUUCAUGAGUAAGAAUCCGAAGGAAGCCAUGGACUUUUUGAGUUAUGUGGCUGAAGUUUUAAGAGGAUGGGAUGAACCAAAUGCUAGAGAGGUGGAAAGAAUGAAGUCUCAACCUAAUGCUAAGGGUGGGAUGUAUGUUUUGAAUGAAGACAUUGACAUGAAAGCAAAGGUUGUAGCUAUGGCAAGGAGAUUGGAAGAGCUAGAAAUGAAGAAGGCACAAAAAGUGGAAGCCAUUUCUGAGACAUCAGUGCAAGCUAUGCCUUGUUCCAUUUGUCAACCUAAUGCUAAGGGUGGGAUGUAUGUUUUGAAUGAAGACAUUGACAUGAAAGCAAAGGUUGUAGCUAUGGCAAGGAGAUUGGAAGAGCUAGAAAUGAAGAAGGCACAAAAAGUGGAAGCCAUUUCUGAGACAUCAGUGCAAGCUAUGCCUUGUUCCAUUUGUCAAUCUUAUGAGUACCUAGUGGAGGAGUGUCCUACAAUUCCAGUAGUGAGAGAGAUGUCUGGUGAUCAAGCAAAUGUUAUUGAUCAAUUCAAGCCUAAUAAAAAUGCUUCAUAUGGCAACACCUACAAUUCAAAUUGGAUGAACCAUCCAAAUUUCUCUUGGAAACCAAAGCUACCUCAAUACACACAACCUGCUCAAGCACCUUAGCAAUCCUCGAAUCUUGAACAAGCUAUUGUGAACCUUAGUAAGGUUGUGGGAGAUUAAAAGUCCAUCAAUGCUCAACUGAAUCAGAGAAUUGACAGUGUAGAGAGUACAUUGAACAAAAGGAUGGAUGAGAUGCAAAAUGAUCUGUCUCAAAAGAUAGACAAUGUCCAAUAUGCAAUCUCAAGGCUUACCAACCUCAACACAGUGCAAGAGAAAGGAAAGUUUAUUUCUCAACCUCAUCAAAAUCCCAAGGGUAUCCAUGAAGUGGAGGCUCAAGAGAGAGAAUCUUCAAAGGUGAGGGAAGUCAAAGCAGUUAUCACCUUGAGGAGUGGUAAAGAGGUUGAUCAACCCACAUCCAAGCCAAAGCAUAAUGAAGAGAGUUUUGUAGAAAAAGAAAAGAGAGGAAAAUAAAGGAAAGAGAAUAGAGAAAAGUACAAAGAAAGAUGACCAUGAGUCUAGUGUGGAUGAAGAGCCCAAGAGGAUAGUGAUCAAGGAAAAUAUGAUGAAGAAACACAUGCCUCCACCUUUCCCCUAAGCUUUGCAUGACAAAAAAGGAACCAAUAAUACAUCGGAAAUUUUUGAAGUAUUGAGGCAAGUGAAGGUCAAUAUCCCUUUGCUAGAGAUGAUCAAACAAGUGCCGACAUAUGCAAAAUUCUUGAAGGACUUGUGCACUGUAAAGAGAGGGUUGAAUGUGAACAAGAAAGCUUUCUUGACCGAGCAAGUGAGUUCCAUCAUACAGUGCAAGUCUCCAGUGAAGUACAAAUAUCCGGGCUACCCUACCAUCUCAGUGAGUAUUGGAGGUACUUGUGUGGAAAAAGCUUUGUUGGACUUGGGAGCAAGUGUGAAUUUGCUACCCUACUCUGUCUAUAAGUAGUUGGGACUUGGAGAGUUGAAGUCAACAUCCAUCACCCUAUCUCUGGCAGAUAGAUCAGUGAAGAUUCCAAGAGAGAUGAUAGAAGAUGUCUUGGUUCAAGUUGACAAAUUCUACUAUCCAGUGGAUUUUGUUGUUCUUGAUACGGAUCCGAUUGUCAAAGGAACUAAUUAUGUUCCUAUCAUACGAAGACCCUUCCUAGCUACAUCAAAUGCAAUCAUCAAUUGUAGGAAUGGAGUCAUGAAACUCACGUUUGUCAACAUGACAUUAGAGCUCAACAUCUUCCAUUUGUACAAGAAGCAUAUCCAUUCAGAAGAAAAAGAAGGUCUAGAGGAAGUGUGCAUGAUUGACACUUUAGUGGAGGAGCAUUGUGAUCGACAAUGCAAGAAGAUUUAGUUGAGAGUUUUGGGGAUCUUGAUGAAGGGUUACUUGAACCCUCAGAUUUGCUUGCUACCCUACUCCAUUGGAGGAAGAGAGAAGAAAUUCUACCCUUAUUCAAUGAGGAGGAGACACAAAGAGCUGCUAAAGAUAAGCCCCCAAAGCUUAUUCUUAAGCCACUACCCACAGAGUUGAAGUAUGCAUACUUGGAAGAAGACAAGAAGUGCACUGUUGUUAUAUCUUUAGCUCUUACCAUUCAUCAGGAGGAUUGUCUACUUGAAGUCCUUAGAAGAAGUAAGAAGGUAAUAGGGUGGCAAAUUUCUGAUUUGAAAGGGAUCAGCCCUUUUGUCUGCACCCAUCAUAUUUACAUGGAGGAUGAAGCUAAGCCAAUUCAUCAACCUCAGAGAAGGUUGAACCCUCACAUGCAAGAAGUGGUGAGAGUUGAAGUUCUUAAGCUACUUUAGGCUGGUAUUAUUUACCCCAUAUCAGAUAGCCCAUGGGUGAGUCCUACUCAAGUUGUGCCAAAGAAGUCGGGGAUCACGGUGGUGCAAAAUGAUAAGGGAAAAGAUGUCUCUACAUGUCUCACUAUAGGUUGGAGGGUGCGUAUCAAUUACAGGAGGUUGAAUGUAGUGACAAGGAAUGACCAUUUCUCGUUGCCCUUUAUUGAUCAAGUGCUUGAGAGGGUCUCUGGGCAUCCUUUUUAUUGUUUCUUGGAUGGCUACUCGAGGUAAUUUAAGAUAGAAAUUGAUGUUGAAGACCAGGAGAAGACCAUUUUCACAUGCCCAUUUAGAACCUAUGCAUAUAGGAGAAUGUCUUUCGGCUUAUGCAAUGCACCCACAACUUUCCAAAGAUGCAUGUUAAGCAUUUUCAAUGAUAUGGUGGAGCAUAUUAUGGAAGUCUUUAUGGAUGAUAUCACCAUAUAUGGAAGUGCAUUUGAUGAAUGCUUGGUCAACUUAGAAGUUGUUCUGAACCGAUGCAUUGAGAAAGACUUAGUGCUUAAUUGGGAGAAGUGCCAUUUCAUGGUACACCAAGGGAUUGUCCUUGGGCACAUCAUCUCCAAGCAAAGCAUUGAAGUUGACAAAGCAAAGGUUGAACUCAUUGUUAAGUUGCCAUUCCCAACAAAUGUCAAAGGAGUAAGGCAAUUCCUUGGCCAUGCCGGGUUCUAUAGGAGGUUUAUCAAGGAUUUCUCUAAGCUUGCAAGGCCUCUUUGUGAAAUAUUGGUGAAGGAUGUUAAAUUCAUAUGGGAUGAUAGAUGCCAAAGGAGUUUUGAAGAAUUGAAGCUAUUUUUGACAACCUCACCAAUAGUGAGGGCUCCCAACUAGCAACUGCCCUUUGAGGUAAAGUGUGAUGUCAAUGACUUUGCUAUAGGAGCUGUUCUUGGGCAAAGAGAAGAUGGAAAACCUUAUGUGAUCUACUAUGCGAGCAAGACAUUGAAUGAGGUGCAAAGAAACUACAUAACCACCGAGAAAGAAUUGUUAGCUGUAGUUUUUGCCUUGGAUAAGUUUCGUGCUUACUUGGUGGGAUCCUUCAUCGUGGUUUUUAUUGAUCACUUUGCUUUGAAGUAUCUAUUGACUAAGCAAGAUGCUAAAGCAAAACUGAUUAGAUGGAUUUUCUUGCUUCAAGAGUUCAAUCUCCAGAUCAAAGACAAGAAAAAAAUGGAGAAUGUGGUAGUAGACCACAUUUCAAGGCUAGCUAUCGCACAUAAUUCCCAUGCUUUGCCCAUUAAUGACGAUUUUCUAGAGGGGUCUCUCAUGUUGGUGGAAGUUGUCCCUUGGUACGCUCACAUUGCUAACUACCUGGUCACAAGAGAAGUUCCAAGUGAGUGGAAAGCACAAGAUAAGAAGCACUUCUUUGCAAAAAUUCAUGCCUACUAUUGGGAAAAGCCAUUUCUAUUCAAGUAUUGUGCGGAUCAGAUAAUAAGGAAGUGAGUUCCUGAAGAAGAGCAACAGGGGAUCCUCAGUCAUUGCCAUAAAAAUGCAUGUGGAUGCCACUUUGCUUAUCAGAAGACAACCAUGAGGGUGCUGCAAUCGGGUUUCUGUUGGCCAUCACUUUUCAAAGAUGCCCACACCAUGUGCAAGAGUUGUGAUCGAUGCCAGAGGCUUGGGAAGUUAUCAUGUAGGAACAUGAUGCCUUUGAACCCCAUUUUAAUAGUUGAUCUUUUUUAUGUUUGGGGCAUUGACUUCAUGGGACUUUUCCCUAUAUCUUUUGGCUACUCUUACAUCUUGGUGGGAAUAGAUUAUGUUUCUAAGUGGGUUGAGGCAGUCCCAUGCAAACACAAUGACCAUAGAGUGGUUCUCAAGUUUCUUAAGGAGAACAUCUUCUCAAGAUUUGGGGUGCCCAAAGCCAUAAUUAGUGAUGGGGGUACUCAUUUUUGCAACAAGCCUUUUGAAACUCUCCUAGCCAAGUAUGGGGUGAAGCAUAAGGUAGCUACACCUUACCACCCUCAAACUAAUGGGCAAGUUGAGUUAGCAAACAAGGAGAUUAAAAACAUAUUGAUGAAGGUGGUGAACACAAACAGAAAAGAUUGGUCAGUCAAGCUCUUCGAUUCACUAUGGUCAUGUAGAACAGCUUACAAGACCAUUAUCGGGAUGUCUCUUUAUCACCUAGUCUAUGGAAAAAAUGCCAUCUCCUUGUGAAAUUGGAAUACAAAGCUUGGUGGUCAAUCAAGAAGCUCAACAUGGAUUUGAGCAGAGCUGGGUUGAAGAGGUUCUUAGACCACAAUGAGAUGGAGGAAUUGAGAAAUGAUGCCUACAUCAAUUCAAAAAUUGUAAAAGAAAAAUUGAAGAGGUGGCAUGAUCAGUUGAUUUCCCGCAAGAAUUUUCAAAAUGGAUAAAGAGUCUUGCUCUAUGACUCUAAACUCCACAUCUUUCCGAGCAAGCUGAAAUCAAGGUGGAUAGGUCCUUUUACCAUUCACCAAGUGCAUUCAAAUAGAGUAGUGGAACUACUCAACUCCAACAACAUCGGGAGCUUCAAAGUGAAUGACCAUUGUCUCAAGCCCUUUGUAGAGUCUUUUUUCUCGCGACAAGGAGGAAUUCAUCCUCCUUGAUCCACAUCAAGCUUGACAAGACCAGUUUUUUUUUAUGGACUUAGUCUUUCUAAAGACUAUCGAGUCCAUAACUUUUUAUUUUAUUUUUUAUUUGAGAGUUUUUCGGUAUUAUUACUUGUUUUGUUUUUUAUUUUUCGUUUUACUUUUAUUUGGUUUGAUUUAACUUAGAUUUUUUAUGAUCAAUUGCAGGGGGGAUUUCAAAUAGAGGAAAAACCAAGAUAAUUCGCACACCCUGCGAAAAUUUCGCAAGGCAUGCGAAAUUUAUGGCUCAUUUCGCAUGGGAUGCGAAAUUUCGCACACCCUACGAACCAAUUUCGCACACUUUGUGAAAAUAAACCAACCCUACGAAAUCAUUUCAAAUACUCUACGAAAUUUUCGCAGAGCAUGUAAAAAAUUUCGCAGACCAAACACCAUUUCGCAUACUAUGCGAAAAUGUAAGGGGUCUACAAAACCAUUUCGCACCUCCAAAGCCAUUUCGCACAUUGUGCAAAAAUGAAAAGUCGCCCUAUCAUCCAUUUUUAAACCCCUUGAGCCCUGAAAUCCCCAUUUCGCAAGCACCCCUGUCCUUGCGAAUCCCUCAUUUUCCUCUGCCACCUUGCGACCUUGUCCCUCUCCAUUUGAUAUCGUGCCCUGCGCACAUCUCAUUUCAAAGACUCGCACUCUGCGCCCUCUCAAAGCACGAACCCAAGGCUCACAUUCCAUUUCCGACAUGGCACAGACCCGAGGAGCCCUUCCCGCCCCUUCAUCGAGACGCACACCAAGGUAGAGAGCCUCUUUUGCUCAGAUGCCAAGUGAUUCUCCAUUUCAGGCCACGGAGGCCCUGCGGAUUCCACAUUCCAAGGGUAGAACAGCCACUGGUCCUUCCUCUUCUAUUCCUCAGCGUAGAUAUGAGACGAGGAGACCACCUACUACACAAAGGGCGACUACUUCGCGCCAUGAGAAUUCGGUACGACACCCUCCUGCCAAGAGGGCCAGGACUUCAGGCCCAGGCGAGUCAUCCAAAGCUUCACAGCCUGAGCCUCCUGCAGAUUCCGAGGUUCCUACUGACAUAUCAUCGGAGUCUAUUAUCAAACGCCCGAUGCUCACAGCACCGCCCAUUGAGGGCAACUCUGAUUGUAGAGCGAGACCUUUCCACUUGGAGCUAUAUUUUAAUUAAGAGGCCAUGCCACAGCAGCCUGAGCUCCAAGACUCUUAUGGCUUACUACAGAGGUACCAUCUUGAGGACCUUAUGACUCCUCGUGAGUUCUUUUAUCCCAGAGUAGCACUAGACUUUUACCAGUCCAUGACUACUCGUGGCGUCCCGAGUCCUACCGCGAUGCACUUCACCAUUAAUGGACGUCAUGGUAUCCUCGAGGCCAGACAUAUUGGAGAGGCUCUACAGAUUCCUUUCGAGCUAGAGGACCCAUCUGUUUUCUGCCAAUGGUCCCCAAUAUCUCAGAGGGACAUGGUCCAUAUUUUAUCCAGGGGGACAUCUACAUAUUCGAUCCUUCUACGGAAGGAGCUUCGACCUGGGAUACUCCUCGUAGAUGUGGUGCUACUUUCCAACCUCUUUCCCUUUUAGCAUUCGAUACAUAGGCGAGGAGCUAUUUUGGACGCUUUAUUCUGUAUAUCAGAGGGCUUCUACUUUGGCCCGCACCACUUGAUCAUGGUUUCCCUCAUCCAUUUUGAGGAGAAGGUCCAUAGAAAGAAGCUUCAGAGGGCGAACACCAUUCCAUUACUAUUCCCGAGGUUGCUCUACUAGAUCUUGGAGUACAUGGGCUUUCCUACUGAGCCUCGGCUUGUGUGCCGCCGCCUUUGUCAAGAGCGAUCCACUCUCGACAAAUGGAAUCAGUUGGCGGGCUAUUCUACACCUCCAGGAGCCCCUCCCAUGGUAGCACCUCUAGUGUCCCCACAGGCAGAGUAGGGCAAGCUCCCGGUAGAGACUGCACCCCUAGUGCCCACACCUGAGGCUACUUCUGCUGUUCCGCCUACGACUCCUACUGUUCCACCAGUUGGUCCUUUUACAUCUGAGUCUUCCAUCAACAUCUCGACUUCGGAGUUUCGCGCCCUUGUGCAUACCUUUCAGACACUCACCACCACACAUACUGCUCUCUUCUAGAAAAUGGCUGAGAUGCGUGCCCAUCAGGACCAGCAGACUACUAUACUCCGCCAAAUUCAACAGCACCUGGGACUUCUGCCUCUGCCUCAGCUUGACCUUCCCACAUCAUCAGAGCCUCUAGCUCCAGUUGAGGAUACUAUUCCACCUGAGGACACUACCACAGUAGAGGUUCAGAUUCCACCACCUCAGGAGGCCACCACAGCUACAUUAGAGGAUGCAUCAUCUCCACCUGAGGCUCCCACUACUUGAUCAUAGGACAUCUCUUUAUCUUAUUGUAUUUACAUAUUAUAUUACUGGAGAUUUGUCUUUGUUUUGAUACUUUAUAUUCUGGCAUUGAAUGUAUUGCCUAAUGAUAUCUCAAUUGUACUUUCUCAUAUUAAUAUAUAGACAUCAAUUUUUUUUAGUAUACUUAGGAUUUUUCUAUUUACUCUACUCAUUACUCUUUUGUUUUUUUUUUUUUACUCAUGUGGUUUCUCCUAUACGACUCAGACUCCAUUUCACUCAGGAGGUACCACUUCUUCCCUUUAUUUUCAAUUGCUCUUGAAACAUUGAGGGCAAUGUUGAUCUUGGUUGGAGGGAGAGUUGAGGAAGGAAGUGAUUACUACUCAAAAAGUGCUAUUUCAUAGCUUGUAAUUAACUCUUUUAAAACACUUUUGAGUAGUAGUUAUCACCUUUUAACCCAAUUAACAUAUUAAGGACCCUUGCAAUCAAUUCUAAUCAAAUUGUGUUAAGUUUUGGUAUUUUGAUAGCUUUUUUAUCACCAAAGCAAUCCGAGAUUGAGGAUAUUUAUUUGGAAUCCAUGGCAAAAGAUGUUUGGACAGGACGUCCGGACACACCAUCGGAGGGCGGCGGAACGUGGGCUGUGGCAGGCUGUCGGAAUGACGUAGCAAGGCUUGUGCACUUUAGCCAAUGAUCGGGAUAACAUAUCCGAAAUUCUGCUCCGCCGACAUUCCACCCGGAUGUCUCACAUCCGGAAUUCUGCUCCGCCGACAUUACACCCAGAUGUCUCACAUCCAAAAUUCUUCUCCGUCGACAUUCCAUCCGAAUAUUUCACAUCCGACGCUUGACGCCGGAUGGGAGAGGAGGGCGUUUCAACUUCCCCGGUCAGACAUAUCCGAAUCCUUUGAUAACGCUUACCCGGAGAGUUUCGCAGCCAUUUUGCACAGUGCCGCGGUGUUCUCUUGAAGCUUCCCGAUAUGUGCGACCGACAUUUUGAGAUAUUUUGCUUUAGAUAUUUGAUGUCUAAAUCCCCAAACUCUCCUUGUAACCCACCAAUUAUAGGAUUCCUUAGUUAUUAAGUUUGGAAAAAUGGUGAAUAACCCCUUAUAUAUAGUUUGCAAUUUUCAUAAAAAAGAUAUGUAGAAUCUCGGGAGCUUGUUCCCAGAGAGACGCAUCCUUUGUACAGUUUUGGAAGGAAGUAAAAUACAGAGCACUUGCUCUGCUUUUCAUAUAUAUUUUUGUUUUCUCGUUCUUUUUAUUUCUAGCCAAUCAAAGUCUGAGGAUUUUUCCUCAGAGGAUGAGAGGCUAGGCUCUUCGUCUCUUGGAGUGAAGAAAACUAGGUAAGUUUCCACAUGCAUAAAUUGAAAGUUUUGUUGUUUUAGUUUUUAAUGAAGAGAAAGUGUGACCCGUUAAUGGUUUUUAUCUUUUUAGUUAACUUAAAACGCCUUUAAAUCACCCGGGCCAACACUUGAUAAGGCAAGUGGUCUCCAUCCAUUGAGAUGCACUAGUUUAUCUCUUGCGAGCCUUUGGGAGGUGGUUUGAAGGUAGGAUUUUCUAGAAUAACCAACACUUGAUAAGCUUUUGGACUCUAAGGAGACAUCCAUUAGUUAUCUCUUGCGAGCUUUUGACGGGUAAUCCAAGGUUAAAGAUCACCUUGAAUGGCAAGUACUAGGUGAGAGGUAUGAGCCAUUGCAAGAUGCAUUAGUGAGAGGGAUUUAGUGUUUGAACCCAUUAAAGGGAAGCAUCUGUACCACACCGGUUCGGGAAAUAACUAUAUGUUAAAUCCCCAAUGAGAGGAAAAGAAACAAGUGACCGGAACUCCCUUUUUGUAUAAGGAACCUGAGCCUAGUGAUCUAAACUCCAAGAAACACUUUUCUUUGUAAGUAAAAUCAGUUACUAUUUUUGGUUAGUUUAAAACCAAACCUUUUUCAUUCAAACAUCUUUAUGUUUUCUUUUAAAGCUAACCUUGAAAUGAAAAGGCACCAAUUCAUAUUUGAAUUAAUAUCAAUUGUGAAGUGAAAACCCAUCCCAGUGAACGAUCCUAGAGCCACUAUGCUAUAGUAGCUUUGUCUUUGCUACCCUAGUUCAUGGUUUAAUAGGUUAUAAAUUUUGUUGAUUACUCCCACAAUCAAAGGAGCACCAGUUGGACAUGAAUCAACUGAGACACUAAUUGGGCACAAAUCAGGAAGUUUUGUUAAUAAUGCUAGGUUAAUUUGUUAAUUUAGUUACUUUCUGCUUAAUUUUAAAAGUUUUCACUUUACUUUCCAUAGUUAUUAAGGAAAAAUUCUCAAAAUGAAAUGGGAGAAAUUGAAUUCUUACAUUUUUACUUGAAUUUUAGAAUUUGUAUUAUGCUUAUUGAAGCUGAUGAAUUAUUGAAACUCCUAUUGAAUUCAACCUUAUUUCUUCCACUUUAAUCUUACCACACACGGUGCACAUUAGGUUCCGAUUAUAAGAGGUGCGUUCUUAGCCUAUUGGAGGUUGGUCAAUUUGUUAAAGUUUGAGAAAGAUCUAGGUUAGGGGAGAGAGAAUAGUCUGACAUACUAUAAUCGAAAACUAAUAAACUUAACACUUAGAUCUUUGUGGAAGAGUAAGGAUUGGACCUUUGGGAGUGGAAAUUCGUUUGAUGCUUAAAUUUGCAUAAUGCUUACACUUUAUAAAUUGUGAUUAGGCAAGAGAUUUGAUGACUCUUGUUCAAGGUUGGGUUUUGCCUCUUUGAUGUUCCAUGAGAGAGUAUAAUCCUCAUCAUGCCACUUGAAAUUUUUUUUGGAGUGAUUAACAUGAUUUUGUAAAUUACUUUACUGUCUAUUUUUUUUUUAUCUCUCCUUCAUUGCUAAUGGACUAGCAAUAUGUCAGUUGAGGGGAGUGAUUACUACUCAAAAAGUACUCUUUUAUAGCUUGAAACUAACUGUUUUGAACACUUUUGAGUAGUAGUUAAUACCUUUUAACUCAAUUGGCACAUUAAAGAACCUAGCAAGGGUUACUAAUUAGUUUUUGGCAAGUUUUGGUGUUUUUGGUAGCUAUUUGAUCAUUGAAACAAGCCAAGAAUGAGGGAGAAUUUUGUGAAGUCCAUGGCAAUGCAAGUUAAAGCUCAAAUACAUGAAGAAUCCAAGCUUUGGAGCACUUCAUAGCCCUUUCCAAAGCCAAUCAGAGAUGCAAGGAAGAAAACCAGAGGAAGAAAUCCAACAAUUAGCAUUUUCGCAUGGCUGUGCGAAAUUUCGCACACCAUGCGAAACCACAAGAGGCAGCCAAAGAAUUUUGCACACUAUGCGAAAUUUCGCAUGGUAUGCAAAAUCUUCUUGUGCACCAACUCCGUUAUAUUUUUAUCUCAAAUAUUUUGUGUAAUUUCCUAGUUUCUCCUUGUAACCAACCUAGAUAUUUUCUUUUAUAUAUUUUUUAGGUAACAUCAUCUAUAGGGGGAGAGACAUAAGGAGGAUAUGGAUGUUUUUCAUAGAACACUUGUAAAUUUCCGGUAGUAAGAAAUAUACAGAGCUUUUUGCUCUACCUUACCUUCUCAUUUUGUUUUCACUUGUCUUUCUAGCCAAACAACCUCUGAGGAUGAUUUCUUAGGGAAUGAGUGGCUAGGUUUUACGUUUCUUGGAGUGAGGGAAGCUAGGUGAAAGACCCGAAUGCUAAGGUGGGAGUUGUCCUUGCUUUAAAUGAAAGUAGUUGUUAAACAUUAAUGGUUUUUAUUUUAAGGUUUAGCUUUAAAUCCCUUAAAAACAUCUUGAAUGGUCAAUACUUGGUAGGCUUUUUGGAUUCUAUGGAUGCUUAUUGCUAGAUCCCUGGAUGUCUAUUAGUUAUCAUUUAUGAGCCAUUGGAAGGUGGUUCAAGAUGAGGGUCUUUAAUGUUUGAAGCCAUUAAUAGGAAACAAUUACCAUUCUUUCAUGAAUCCUUUGGAUCAAAUCUUAAUUGCUAAAUAUAAAACUAGUUCGGGAGAUAACCAUCCUUUAUGUUAUUAUGCCCAACGCGAGGAGAAGAUUCGGAAUCUUCCCCUUUGUCUAAGGAACCCGAUCCUAGUGACCUAAAGCUCUAAGAGACCUUUUCUUUAUAGUUAACUUCACUUAUUGUUUUUUCUUAACUUAAAAUCAAUCUUUGCAACCACAAUUCCAUUUUCUUUGAAAGCUAAUUUUCAUAAGGAAAAUCACCAUUUUAUUUUCUUCCCUAAGUCAACUGUACGAUGAAAACCCAUUCCCAUGGACGAUCCUAGAGCCACUAUACUAUGUUAGCUAUGCUACCCUAAUGUGAGGUGAUUUAGGUUUUAUAAAUUUUGUUGAUAACACCUGUUUGAGCCAGAAUCAAAUGGCGCAACUGAACCAGGGACGAAUCAACAACUUAUAUGGGAGGGACACAAGUUUAAUUGAUUUGCAUUUCAACGUUAUAUAUAGGUAUGUUUUGGAAGAUUUGUUCUGGAAAUACUGCACCAAGUACGAUUCUUUUUGUCUUGAGUGGGUCUACUUGCAUGCCAAUUAACGAGUGGAAAAGUAGGAGCACCUACCUCAUGCUCGCGGAACCGAAGGUCAGUGAAGUGGGGCUCCUUUUGGCCUCUUGUGUUUCUAUUCCAACCAAGGCGGCGUAAGGAAAAACAACAAUAUGUUUGUGCUAAAUAUCAACGCAUGAUAGAUGUUUUUGUUUUUUGGUAUGUCAAGGCUAAUGAAUGAAAUGCUUUAGCUUGUUUUGUGACUGGAACUGCAAAUGUCCAAAUUGGAGUAUCUCCAUUUCUCACUUCGGAUGGUUAACUUAUAAACAAGAUAUAGGAAACAUGUGAACAUCUUGAGGAACAAUUUGAAUUAUUCAUUAGAAGUCCUGGGUUGAGUUCCAAGAUUUAAAUUAGACCCCUCUAGCAGCUUCAGGGGUACCUAGCAACCUAUAGCAUAUUAAUGAAGAUUUAGGAUUUAGACUCUAGAAUACAAAUUAAUAUGUAUCUCAUGCUUUGACUAGCUUCCCUACAUAUGCACAAAAUGGAGAUGACCUAAAAAAAUAGCAGAAUCUAGCUUCCCUACAUAUGCACAAAAUGGAGAUGACCCAAAAAAUAGCAGAAUUUCCUUAGUUUCUGUGGUUAAGGUGAUUCUCCGCUUAAUAUCACAUUGACUCAUUAUGCAAAAUCAACUGAGCUAAUUUUGUUUAUUUAUUUAAUGUCAAAUAGGAACUCCUAAUUAACCUAACCCUUGGCCUGUGUAAAUUGAUUUCACAUGCCCAAUGUUGAAGUAGAAGUCCAUAUUUUGAAUUUUAUUUUUGUAAAGGUAAGGAAAAUGAAGCAUUGUGUAAUUAUAAAAAUAACUUCAUUGGAAUUCACAAGGUUCACCCAAAAUGGAGCUACAUCCGUAUUCUAUCCUGCAGUAGACUAUAUAGAUUGUACAAUAGUAAAUUGCAAAUACAAUUAAUAAGUCUUGUGCUUCCUUACUAAUAAUCCUUUGACAUGAACAUUGCAGCACUAAGGUCCUCUUGGGAAGACACCUUGCACCCAUGAGAGCACGAAGAGGAAGCAAGGCAGAGUCAUGGGUGCAAUGUCAUGACUUGUUGUUGCACCAAGAGAGGCUUGGUGAUGGCAUGGUGUUGCAGUAGCAAGAAUGUUGCCUUGGUAGGGACAUAAUCUAGGGAUAGAUGCCAAGAAAGGCUUAGCACUCACAUGAGUUGCACAAAGAUGAAUGUAAUAGAGCAUCAGAGAGACGUCUUGGCAAGUAAAUGAAUGGAUCCAAGAGGCAACAACAUGAGGAGUUUCAAAUGGAUAAGGAAUGAGUCAAAGACAUUUGAAAGCUACAAGUUGGAUUCUAAUUACGAUUGCAAUUUGAGUUUGAGUAGGAGUUUAGAUUCUGAUUGUAAUUGUAGUAUGAGUUGGACUAGGAUUGCUUAUCCCUAGUCAAAAUAGGAGUGGUUCGUGUCACACCCUAUGAAAAGAGUUUGAGUAGGGACUAGGAUUGCUUACUCCUAGUCAAAUAUGGAGUAGGUGGUGCCACACCUAUAAAAAAAAAGGGACAACAUGAGAGAGAGAGAGAGAGAGAGAGAGAGAGAGAGAGAGAGAGAGAGAGAGAGAAAGAGAUAAUGAAUUCACUAAAGAUAUUGUGGGAGUUUUUCUUUGUUACGUCUUGUAUUAUUACUUAGAAUAGGAAUAAAAUACAAGUUUGGGCUAGAGCCCCAUAAUUAAUCUCGUGUGCCUUUGUGGUUAUUCUUUAUUUGUCAUCUCGUGUGGAUUGGAUUACAUUGACUUAGAGGGCUUCUAAGCACCACCUUUGUGGGUUAUUAUUUAUUUUCCAUUUCUUGUGGAUUAGAUUAGGUUGACUUUGAGGGCUUUUAAGCACCACCUUUGUGGGUUAUUCUUUAUUUUCCAUAUCGUGGGGAUUGGAUUAGGUUGACGAUGAGAAAAAUUAUGUGGGAAAUUUGUGUUGGGACACUUAUCAUAACCAGGUAAAAUCUGCCAAGUCCUUUGUAAUAUCUUCAACAAAUAUUUCAGACUAGUUCUUCACCAUAAACAUCAUAUUGUGUUUUGUUUUUCUCCUGGAUUCUGAGUUGAAUUGUUUCAAGUCAAUUGAAUGCAUCUGAAUAUUAUUAGCUUGUUUGAAGGCCUGGUGAUUUUCCAUUUAACUUUACUUUCUUUAGGUUAUGCUCACUAUAAGAAAAAUGAGAAAUAAUGACGCUUUUUACGCGUUAAGAAAGGCAACAGAUGAUGCUUCUCUAAAGCGUCCUCUUCGGCUCUGUCAUUAUAUGUGUUAGCCAAUAAUGACGCUUCUAGGAAGUGCCAUCUUUGAAUAAUGUUAAUAACGACACUCGUAAAAAGUGUCAUCUUUAAACAUAUUCUGGUCAAAUAAUUUUUACAAAAUUAGUAAUCUUCAAGCCGUUUCUGAAUCAUAUCUGAGCCUAUUUCUGGGGACCAGAAAACCAUCUUUUUUCCAUUCGCCUGAGAGGUCUGAUUAGCAUUUCUGGAAUCAAUCUCUAAACCCAAGCUUCCCUCAUCUACCCAUUUAACCCUCAUGCCCUCCUGUUUGAACAACUUUCCCACUAUAUACACAAAUUUUUUACCUUCUGUUGUUGGUAUUCGACCUCUUCCCAUUCCCAGCACAGAAUCCACCAUUAGUGCCACUUUGUGAAUAAAAUCAUCGAACCAGAUCUUUCGGGCGGAAGAUGAGCUCCAGAGAAAUAAAAUUUUUGGGGUCUUCCCAGCAUGAAAGUCAUAGGUAGCAUUAAUGACAUCAAGAAAUGGGGCACUGUUGAGAAAAAACAUGUUCCCAUCAACCACCCAAGAAUUGUACCAGACUCCAAACACUUCUGGAUUACAUAUGCCUUUACUAAGAUAUAUUUCUUGAUCUCCAUAUCAGAAUCUUGGAGACUCUUCAUUUUAUGAGCUCUGACACUACUGUGAAAUUGGUCCACAUCAAUCACAGGAUGACCCCUUCUAGCAAGAUCAAGCAGGAAGUCUGAAUUCGGGCCCAUAAAAAUGUAGUUCUGAAUAUUGAAACUCUCAAAGUGGCACAACAAAUUCCUUAUGACUCUUUCAGAUGCUCCAAACAGGCUCACAAGUAUAAUGGUAUCCUGUUUUUGCACAGAGUAAAGAAAAUAUCCGAGUUCUUCAAAACUCCUUACAACUAUUCCAGGAUGUACUUCUUUGAAACAGAAAUCGUACCACUUUAGCUUAGUCAGAGGUUGAAUCUAAAAUAACAAAACCCAAACUGAAAUCAAAAUCGAAAUCAACCCUAAUAGAUUUCAGAAACAACAAAUUAAAAGAGUAAAGCACAAAAGGGGGAAAACACAUAUGAAGCAAUCUCCAUACAAGCCCUAACCUUAGAUAAACCCAAAAAAAAAAAUCAAAGCAGAGAGUUACCAUAGAGCAUCUCUGUUUCAAGCUUAGAAAAUGUUUAAUGCCAUUGAUAACUAGUUGGCUAGUGGUGGACUUCAAGCUUCUCUAUUUCGGUGUUAGUAGCUCUCAAUGGCUAUGGUGAGAACAAAGAAAUGAGAGGCUUAGGGUUUGGGAUGUGAGGUUAUUGAUGAUGAUGAGGAUAAAGUUAUGGGCUCUUGGAGGGGUUAGGGAAAUUGAAGAUGGCUGAGAGUAAAGGCUAGGGUUUUUGAGAUAGUUAAUAGCUUUUUAGGGUGUGACUGUCCAUAGAUAGAAGAUAAAUGAGGGUGUGAGAAUUUAUAGAUCUCUAGGUGAUAUGGCGGGUGUGAGAAUGAAAUUUUAGAGGGAAUUGUGUGUUUGGUAGAAAUUUCACACAUGCAUAUAUAAUGUUUCAGAACAUGGCACUUUAAAAAUACGACAAGGAAGAAAUUAUUUAUUGACGCUUAAAUAAAGCGCCAAGGUCUCCAACAUUUUUGCAAUCAAUGACGUUUGUAAAAGGUGCCAUUGAAUAGGAGUGCCAUUGCUUUCCCACAAAGCAUCAUUGUUAAUCAAGCCUUUAAAAAACGCCAAGAUAUGUUGCCACUUAGGUUAAAUAUUGACGCUUUUAAAAAACGCCAAGGAAAAAAACGUCAUUAUUCAUGUUUUUUGUAGUAGUGGCUUGAUUCCUAAAAAGUAAAGGAAAGCAAAAAGUAAAAAAAUAAAAAUGUGGAGAGUUAGGACAUGCGUUAUCUAAUUGUCCUAGUCCCAAAUAUAUUAAGAAAGUCAUGUAGGUUACUUGGAGUAACGAGUCAAGUAAAGCAAGCCUUCUAGUGUUUAAGACAUUAGAUAUUACCGAACUGAUUAUGUCAUUAAUGUAUUGCAUUUGUUGUUUCUAAUAUAUAGAAGAAGAUGAAAUUAUUGGAAUAAGUGGGAAAUAGGAAUAAAUCCAAGGUACCAAAAAGUCACUUUAUCUUAGAUGUUGUUGGAAACAUAAGUGAUUUCACAAUAACGACUAUGAGACAAUCAAGGAUUAAUAAGAUAGACUUUAUAUGAUAUACCUCCCAAUUAGAGCCUAAAAAUAUGGAUGAAGCACUUAGAGAUGAAUCUUCAAUUUUUGUACUAUAGGAAGAAUUAAAUCAAUUUGUUAGCUAUUCUUUGGAUAUUUGAUUCAUCACAAGCUACAAAUCACUUUUGAUGACCAAACACGAAACUAAGAGGAUUGGGCCCAAUUCGAUGCCUAUCAACAAUGAUUUGUAUUCCACCUCAUUAAUUAUUCAAAGUUGGGAAGCUAGGUCUAACCACUUUCUCUACCUGUUCACCCUUAGAGGAGCAGAAGAAAAUUCUAACUUUGGUGCCUAAUGCCUUUGACAAUCUUUCGACAAAGAGAGUUCACUAAUUACUUUGAUUAUUUCUCUGUUGGUCACUGGGGGACAAGACUUUUGUAAUGAAGUCAACUAGAACUUGCCCUUUGAGGGCCAUUCAUGGACGAUAUUACACCAUGAAUUCCCUUAGGUCAUGUUUGGUAUGUGAGAAUGAGGAGUGGAAUGGACAUCUUAUUCAUUUUUUCAUCUAUUCAAAUGUUGGGAUAACUCAAGUGACCAUGAGAAUGAAAUCAAGAAUGAUUCAAGGGAAAUGAAAUCUUACUUAUAAGUGUGAUUUCAAUUAAUCUCUAAUAGAAAUUAUUUUGAAUCAAUAGUGCAAGUUAUUUUUAAAAACAUUUUUCCAAAAUUAAAAAAAUCAAUUUUUUUUUUUUCGAUAAGUUGUUUUUAAAAGGAUUUUUUUUAUUUUGUAAAAAGAAAAUUGUAAUUCAAUUUAUAUAAUAUAAACUAAAUUUUAUUUUAUUCAAAAAGAAAUAAUUUUUUAAUUAUAAAUAAAUUAAAAAUAAAUACUUUUAAUAAAAUAUAAAUAGUAUUAUUAUAAUAAAAUCAUAAAUAAAUUUAAUUUUUUUUAUAAAUAUUAUAAAAAUAUGGAUAUUAACAUUGGAUAAUUGAUUUAUUUUGUUAAAAUAAAAAAUAAUAAUUUUUAAUAUUAUUUUAUGUUAAAUGAAUUUUAAAAUAAAGAAAGUUUAAUUAUUUUAAGGUAUAGAAGAGCCAAAUUUUGCAUUACAUACAUAACAAACAAUAUUUAUUAGAAACAUUUCUCAAGGAGAAUCUUAUUCCAUCUCACAAAGAUACUCGUUUAUUCGAUGUUUGACCAUCCGUAACAAUCAUGUCAAUUCUACUGAUUUAAUAAUUCCUUUACAUUUAUUACUCACUUAUGAACAUGGUAUUGUGAUUUAUUUAUUUAUUUGAUGUAUAAUUAAUUAAUCAAUUUUUUAAAUUUCAAAUUAUUUUUAAAAACUAUUCAUUAAGGAAUUUAAAGCAUUAAUUAUGUCUAUUAUUUUUUAUAGUCAUUAUAUAUAUAUUGAGUUUUAAUUUAUUUUUAAAAAUUAUUAAACUUAUUAAUAAAUUCAAUAUAAAGUCUCGUUUCAUUUGAAAUUCAUUUCUUUAGUGAAAAUUUUGAAAAAAAAAUUGUUAUUUAUUUUACUUUGUUUUAAAAAAAUUGUUUCUAGAGAACAAUAAUCAAAUAAUGGUAUGAAUUUUUAAAAACAAUUUUGUUUUUAAAUCAUAUGCCCAAAUAAUUUUUUUUUAUUUAGCAAAAAACUUUGUUGUAGUAUGUGGCUCAUAUUGAGGGAAAGACAUAUAUGGAGAAAAAUGUGCAAAUGUUGGAGUGGAGCGGAGUGGAAUGACGACAUUUGUCAUUCAAACUUGUAUUUUUAUUGUUAAGGGUGACCGAUAGGUUGGUACGGUUUAGGGGUAUUUUUGGAAUUUCAUUACCUGAGGGUUAGUAUAAAUACCAUUUUAUGUAACCCUAAUUUUACAUAUAAUGUAAGUUUUCUUCCUUGUUCUUGUGGACAUAGGCAAUCCGUCGAACCACGUUAAAUCUGUGUGUUUUUUUUUCUUUUUUCUUUUUCUCUAAUUUCUUCACCAGGAAUCGUUACACUAAGAUCAACAAACUCUCAAAGAUGAUUUUUAAAAUGAAAAAAAUAAUGUAUAGUGUGAGAAUUUUUUAUUUUUUAUUUUUUUAAAAUGAAAAUAAAAAAUUGCUUUAAGGUAAAAGUGUGGAUAUUAUUGUUAAUUUAUUUCAUUUUUCAUUUUCAUUUCCAUUGUUACCUACAAUUGAAAUGGAAACAACUAAUCAUUACAACCUUACAUUCUUAUAUGCAUCCAAAUACAAAAAUUGAAAUCACCAAAUUCAUAUUCAAGGCAAAAUAGGAAUGAAAACAAAUAUUCAUUCUCAUUCUUUAUUCCCACGUGUCAAACAUGACCUCAAAGUUAUAAACAUGAACAAGAAGUCCUUGAAACACCAAUGAUCUCUUCUGGUAUAUAUAUGAGCUUGAUUGACAACUGUUUUAAAUACAGUUUUUUUUUUUUUUGUUUUCAAAAUCAAAACAAAUUUAUUUUUAUUUUUUAUAAAUAGUAGUUUUUUAAUAUUUUUUUUAAACCUUAUUAUGAAAAUAGGAUGUUUUCUAAUAUCAUAUUUUAAUUAUUUUCAAUUAUUUUCCCUUCUUUUAAGGAGGGCUAUUUUAAAAAUAUGAAAAAUGAUACAAAAUAAAGCAUUACAAAUAAAAAUCAUUUUUAAGAAAUAUAUGAAAAUAAUUUGAGAACAUUUGAAGUUCCUUAAUUAAACUUUUGUUCUAGAAAAUGCAAGAAAACUGUUUUUGAAAAUUGUUUUCAUAAUGAUAUGCAUUGAUCGUUUAAAAUUUAAUUACAUGAUAAAAAGACCUAUGUAAAAACCAGAGUUAUAUAAUCAGUCAUAGAUCAAAUCUACUAAAUAUGAAAAGUAAGUACAUAGUUGUAUAUGACUUAGAUGGAGCCUUCUCCGAAUGACAUUCUUUAGUCGGUACUCAUAUUUUUUUGUUUCGUGUCUUCAACAUAACACCUCAUGAUCCUUAAUAAAUCACCUGAAAACUAUAUUAGCACCUUAUUGUUUAAUAUUUCUCUAAAUUUUUUUAUUAAGCAAAUAAAUUCCAAAUUUAAAAUGACAAAUAAAAUUUAUUAAUUUUUAAAAAUAAUUUAAAACUCAAAAACCAAUUUAAUUGAUAUUAAAAGUCAUGAAACUUAAUAAUAUUAGAAAGUCAUGUAUCCAAAUUUAUUUUAAAUGACUUGUUUAAUUUCUUGUUUAUAUAUAUUAUAUUUUUAUAAUUUUUUUUACUAUACAAAUAAAUUUUAAAUUAAACAAAACUUAAUGCGUUGAAUUCAUUAACGAGUCUAAUAAUUUUUAAAAGUUACUUAAAAUUUAAAUACUAAAUCAAUUAGUACCACAAAUUCAUGGAAAAAAAUUGAUUUAUUACUACUAUAUUGUUUCUCUAUUGCAUAGAACCAUUAUUUUUCAAUUUUUUCAUUUGGCAAAUGAACAUCAAAUUAAACAAGACUAAGUGUAUUAAAUUCAUUAAUGGGUCUAGUAAUUUUUUAAAAUAAUUUAAAAUUCAAAUAUUGAUACUCCAAAUUAAACAAGACUUAGGUGGUGUUUGUUUUUUGGUUGAAUAGAAAAAGGUAAAAUAUUUGACUUUUUCUAUUUAGUUAAAAGUAACUUGUUGACAUCGUCCAAUAUAAUUAAAGUAAACCUAUUGAGGGCAAGUUCACUUUAAUUAUGUUGGACGAUGUCAACAGGUUACUUUUAACUCAAUAGAAAAAAUCAAAUAUUUUGACUUUUUUUUUAACUCAAAUAAUAAAUCCAUUAAUACAAAAAAAUUAUGGAUAAUUUGAAACUUUCUUUCUUUUUUUUUUUUUUUUUGCUACACAUAGCUAUAUUUUUAUAAAUUUUAUCAUUAGAGAAAUGGAUUUCAAAUCAAGUGAAACUUUGUAUUGAAUUAAUGGAUUUAACAUUUUUUAAAAAUAAUUUGGAACUAAAAAAAAAAGAUUUAAUUACUAAGAAAAUCAUAGAUCAAAACUAAUAUAUUCUGAUCCAUGAUUUUAUUAUUUUUCCUAUACAUACAAUUAUAUUUUUAUAAUUUUCUCACUAGGUAAAGAUAUUAUAAAUUAAGUGACACAUAAUUAAUAAUUUAAAUUUUUGAAUGAAUCUUUUAAUUUUAGGAAUAAUUUGAAAUUUAAAAAGUUGAUCCAAUUAAUUGUAAAUUAACUUAAAAUAUUAUAAAAUAUUAUGUUCAUAAUUAAGUACUAAAUGUAUAUAUGUAAUGAAAACUUAACUAGUUACAUGUUACAAAAGCCAAAAUUUAUUCAUUCUUUAUUUUAAAUAAAAUAUUAUUAAUAAUUAUUUUUUUUAAAAUAAUAUUUAGUAAUUAUUGUUUUUAAAUUAUUAUUAUUAAUUUUUAAUAAAAAAAUUGCAAAGUUAUUAAUAUCAUUAUAUUUCUAACAUAAAUUUAAAUAGUAUAUUUUUUAAUAUAUAUAUAUAUAUAUAUAUAUAUAUAUAUAUAUAUAUAUAUAUAUAUAUAUAAUUUAUGAUUUCAUUAUAAUAUUUUUAUUCAUGAUUGACGAAAAAUUAUUUAUUGUUUAAUUUAUUUGAAUUGCAAAACUAUUUUUCAAAAUUCAAGCGAGAAAAUAGGCCUGGAUUUGAAUUUCCUGUAGAAGAGAAGGAUGUGGAGAAUAUGUUGGGAGUAUUUGUGGAUAAAGAAAAGGCCAGGGUACUGAGAAAGGAGAGAGAACUUGCUCUUGCCAAAAGAGCCCUGCACAGGUAUUCUACUGAUUCUAAUUAUCGGUUCUUACAUGAUCAGAUUUCAGAUUUAUUUGCUGAGCUUCUGAAAUCUGAUACAGUAUUUAAACUCCGGUGAGCUUUACAAGAUUAGUCUCGCAUCCAAUUCCAAAUGGUGUCCCACAAUUGAUUCUUCUUAUGAUAAAUCCACCUUGAUAUGUGAAAAUAUUGCUCGAAAGGUUUAUCCUCGCGAGGAAUAUCCAGAAUACUAAGGAAUUGAGGAGGCUCACUAUGUUUAUAGAGUCAGGGAUAGGUUGAGAAAACAAGUAGUUGUUCCAUUACAUAAGGCCCUGGAGUUGCCAGAGGUUUUCAUGUGUUCGAACAAGUGGGGAUCACUUCCCUACAACCCUGUGGCUUCAGUGGCCAUGAAAUCAUACAAGAGCCUCUUCUCAAACCAUGAUACAGAGCGGUUUGGUGAGUAUCUUGAGAAAGUGCAAACUGGGAAGGCUAAGAUUGCAGCUGGUGCAUUACUUCCCCAUGAGAUUAUAGCUUCAUUGAAUGAGGAGGAUGCCGAGAGAGUUGCCGAGCUUCAGUGGGCAAGAAUGCUGGAAGAUUGAUCAAAGAAAGGGAGGCUCACAAAUUGCAUUGCAGUAUGUGACGUAUCAGGAAGUAUGAGUGGAACUCCAAUUGAGGUGUGUGUGGCUCUGGGGCAGUUAGUUUCAGAGCUCAGUGAAGAUCCAUGGAAAUUAAGGUAAUGUAAUUACUUUCAGUGCAAAUCCUGAGCUUCACAAGAUCCAAGGAGACAGCCUUGUAUCCAAGACUGAAUUUGUGAGGAUGAUGGAAUGGGGUGCCAACACUGACUUUCAGAAAGUUUUGACAGAAUCUUACAAGUAGCAGUGGAGGGAAAUAUGAGUGAAGAUCAAAUGAUAAAGAGGGUUUUCGUUUUCAGUGAUAUGGAGUUCGAUGAAGCUUGUGGGAGGUAUAACUAUUGUGACUAUGACUAUGAUAUGGAGGAAAUUGACGAGAGUCAGAAGGCAUCUCAGAAGUGGGAGACAGAUUAUGAAGUGAUACAGAGGAAAUUCCAGGAGAAAGGAUACAGAAAAGUUCCAGAGAUAGUGUUUUGGAACCUUAGAAACUCAUCAGCGACUCCAGUGACGGCCACAGAGAACGGGGUGGCCUUAGUAAGCGGGUUUUCAAAGAAUCUGUUGACCUUGUUUUUGGAAGGAGGUGGAAUUCUGAUCCCUCAGGAUGUGAUGGAAUUCGCCAUCUCUGAUGAAGAUUACAAGAAACUUGUUCUAUUUGAUUAAGAUAUCAAGAGAUUUAUCAAUAAUAAUAUAUUUUUUUUCUAUGUGAAAUACAUAUAAUAUUAACUGUGGAGUUAUCAAAGUUCUGGAGGUUUAAUUAUUUCUUCUUUUCAAGUUUUGUUUAUUUAAGGUUUUCUUUGUCUUUGUUAGGAAUUCCCCUUGGGUGGACCCAGCUGGGGAGUUGGAUUGAGGAAGUAAGCAGGCGAACUUGUGUUCUUCUAUGGACAGAGAAAAAAAAUAAAAUAAAAAAAUAAAAAAGGAGGUUAUUUGCAUUUGGAUGUCGUGGUUUGAGGGUACAACUACAAGCUCGAAAUUGUACAUAAUGUGAAAACUCCUGUGUCCAUUGCUGAGAACAGCAUAAAUGAUGGUGAUUUUCAAGUUGUGCCUGGUAUUCUACAGGAUGAAACAAGAAAGGAUCCAGGUGGUAUAUUGAACAAUAUCCCAAUCAUGUUGGUGGCAUCUUUAUUUAGUUAAUGGUAUUCAUUUGGUGGAAGCUGGUUGUUUAUGAUGUUUUUAAUUUUUUUUAACAUGAAGUUCGAUCAAAUACGUAUCUUAGUAUGUUUUGUUUGAGCUAAUUGGCAAAUGCGCUUUAAACAUGGUCACAUGGAUGCAGUUUUAUUUGUGAAAUGAUAAUAGUCGAUUACUUGGUCAGUAAGGUUUAUAUCUCUAACUUCAACAUCUUAUUGUAGUCUUUUAAAAUGUCAAAAGUUUAAUGCUUGAGAAAUUUUGGAAUGGAGACAUUCUAAACAAAGUUAAUAAUCCACAAGACUUGGUAAAACCGAUCAGAUGAUGCUUACGUACAUCAAUGCCUUCUUUAAGCCAUAUCCUAUUUUCAUUGAACGGGAUGUGCCAUCUAGUUUGGUUCUUUAAGCCUCCAAAUCCUAAACCUAGUCUCAAUUUAGAGCAAAUUUAGGGUGCAGGGCCUGCAUGCCUCCCCCUCCCCCUUCCACAAAUAGUAGUGACCUUGCUAUGCCUAUGCAUUGUCAAUGCCUCAUUUUCUAUGGUCUCCAAUGUAAUAUCUUAGUUUCAAUGUCUCUUUCCUUACUAUCUCCAAUGCAAUAGAUUGAUUUCAAUACCUCUUUACAACUAAGACCUCCAAAUUUUCUUGGUUCAAACCUACCAGAAUUUUUCUUCUCCUUUGCUUUCUAUCAAUAUUAGUUCCCCUAAUUUAAUAUAUACUUCUUUAUUACCUUCAACUCUACCUCUCUUUCUUUCUCUAAAAGCUUCCUCAAAGAUUUAAUUGCUUUCUUGCAUGUUUUAAGAAAACAAACAUGCUCAUAUUACAUUACCUCUACUUGAGAUCUACCUUAUACUCUACCUUCUUUCUUUACCUCCUAUAUCAUCUACUACAUUAGCUUCAAAAAUAUUAUUUAGUUUGAUACUAAAUAAGGCUCCUAAUCCUACUCUUCCUUCAACAAACUUUCUUUUUACAAGUUCCUUAAACUUUAUUUUUUAUUUUUUAUUUUUUGGAAAUUCGGGUUAGAAAGAUUCCAUUACUCUUACCUAAUAUUUCAACCAUCAAGUUGAAUCCACUUAUUGCCUAAAUCCAAGGAGUCUGCCCUCCACAAAAACAAGGAAAUUGAUCCCACAAUAACAAGGAGAUUGCCUUCCACAGAAACAAAGAGAUCUCCCUUCACAGAAGCCGAAUACAUUGCAAUCUAUUUUCUUUCUUGUAAGAUCAAAUCUUCAAUCGAGCUCCAUCUUAUGGGGGCAUAUUAGAGAAAUUUAAUAUUAUCCUUAAUUUACAUAUUAAUAUUUAUCUAUUUAUUAUAUAUUGAAUUAAAAUAGAAUAUAGAAUUUGAAUCAUAGUAGAAGUUUACUAUAAGAUUGAAUUACAAUAGUUAAUAGAGUUUAAAUUAUAAUAACUCAAAUACAUUUAUAUAUAUUUGACCUUACGAGAUUUUCUAUUUAUGUAUUUGAACUACAAUCCUUAUGAUCCUUAGGUCUCUAUACCUUCGUGAUGGGCUCCUUGACAUUUCAUAGGUUGUGCUACACAUGCAUUUGAAAUUUAGAGUGCAUUUGACAGUGAUUCUGGGAAGUGUUUUUGGCAUUUCUAACACUUAAAAUUUUUUAUUUUUCAAGUAUUAGAAAUGCUACAAACACUUUUGAAAAUUACUGUCAAACACACUCUUAGGAGCGCAUAUAGUAGAAAACUAGAAAUUGUGGUUUUUUUAGGAUUUACUGUAAUGUCAUUAGGAGGGUAGUAAGUUGAAACUGAGUAUGAAUAAAUAUUUCUUUCUUUGGGAUGUUCUUCUGGUAGGUGCUGAUGAAACUGUUCUUUUUACUGCCAAUGUCACAUAUCAGCCAGAAAUUGAAAAUUUCAGUCAAGGUGUCCUCGGUUUUAGUGGUGAGGAAAGCUAGAAAUUUUAAGGUGAAGUUCUGUUAAAAACCUUAAGUAGCUGGGAUAUCAGGCCUGUUUUGCUUGAAAAAAAAAGUUGCAAGAUAACUCAUAUGCCAAACAGGUUCUGAUAUUGUGAAUCUAUCGGCAGACAUCAGUAAUCUCAUCUUCUGAGAUGGAUGUUGGGGGUGCAUGUGGUGGUGGAGGGGCAAGGUUUCAUUUGGUUUAUUUUGUUGAUGGAUAUUGUCUAGCCCCCUGCGCCAAGUUUGAGGGGUGGUGGGUUGUGAUGGCCCUACAAUUACUAUUAAUUUCUUCCUCUUUUACCGAUUAAAGUGUCCGAACAGUCGAAGUUACCCUUAUGCAUGUCAACUUGAUCACUUACCUCUUCAAUGGAGUUUAUGCUGGUUCAUUUAGGAACUGAUUUUUAUUGUUAUGCAUUCUAUGCUGAUGUUUAGGCCUCUCCAUCAUCACUAUAUACAAAAAUUCUAGGUUGAUACUAUAGGUUGAGAUUUAUUUUUUAAAUAAAAAAUAAUAAAAAUAAAAAUUAUGGUGAUGUUUAGUUGUUUUAUGGAAAAUUUUAACAAGUUAUUUUUGGGCAAGUUUUCAAACAAAAAGAAAAGUAAAAGUUGUUUUGACAAAAACAUAUAGAAAAAAAAAAUCAUAGAAAAGAAAUAAUUUCCCCAUAUUCUAACUUUUUUUAAUUUUUCUCAAUGGGCAAAGGAAUAUCAAAUCAAGUUUGAGUAGGAUUUCUUAAUUUUUAAAAUAACUUACAAUUAAAAAAUUUUGGUGUUUUCAUUUUUGGACAAUUUUUUAUUAAGCAAAUGGACUCUGAGUCAUGCAAGAGAUAUGGUUGAUUAAUGGGUCAAACAAUUUUUUUAAAAUAAUUUAAAACUCAAAUACAUAAUCAAUGUCACAAAAUUUAUAAACAAAAAUAGGUUUAGAGAAGAUCUACACAUAAUUUUACUUUUCUAAUUUUAUUUUAUUUUAUUUUUUUGUUGGAAAAUAGUCUUCAAAUCAUGUAAGAUUUAAUAGGUUAAAUUUGUUAACAAUAAAUUUUAAAUUAUAAAAUAUAAUCUGGAACUUAAAAAUCAAUUCAAGUAAUGCUAAAAAAAAUCAAAUUUGGUAUAGAAUGACUACGUAAAAUUUUUUACAAAACAAAUGAAUUUUAAAUCAAGUGAGAUUUAAUGCAUUAGAUUUUUAUCAAAUAUAGUAAUUUUAAAAUUUAAUUUGGAACUCAACAAUAGACACAAUAAAUACCAAAAAAUAAUGAACCAAAAUUGGUUUGGAAUAACUCCACAACCUCUUUUUUUUUUUUUUGGUGCACACGAAUUUUCUUACUAGGUAUAUUGCUUUCAAAUUGAGAAAGAUUUACUAUUUAGAUUUUUUUUUUUAAUGAGUUUAAUGGUAUUUUAAAAUAAUUCAAAAUUUCAAAAAUUGACUAAUUACUAUUAUAAAUUCAUAAACCAAGACUAAUUCAAAAUGCAUUGGGGGCUAAGGGGGUUGAAAAUAGGGACAAUGGGAUGGGUUUGGGACAUGACACUCAUAUCUCAUUUCCAUUCCAAUUACAUAGUUAUCUCCCAUCCUUAUCCCAAACUUGUGUUGGAGCAAGUUGAUUUGUUCCCAUCUUUGUUGAUGAAAUGACUAAUAACCUCAUCCCCUCCUUAUCUUAGAUGUACAUUUUGUCAAAUUUGAUCAGGUAUGAUUGAUCCAAGCCCUAACCCUAAUUGGUAAUGACUGGAUACUACACCUAAUUGCAUUCUUCUUUCGUCGCAAAAUAAUGAGAUUAUAAUAAUCUAGCAAAUAAGAAAAAAUAGUAUGGAAGUUCAAUUUAACACCAUAACUAUCAAUAAUUUUAAGCUUAUAGAUGACUUAAAUGAUUAAAAACUAAUGCAAAAUACCAAAAAAAAAAGUUCAUAUAAAGAAUUCACAAGAGAACAAAAUGAACAAAAACCAAAUAUGAACAUGGGUCAACAUUAGUUAUGGAUUUGGAUUCCUUUCAAGGCCAAUCUUUGAACCAAGACUUCAUCAAAUCUACUACUUCAAAGGCUUUUGUGUUCUUCUUGGGUUGUGCUCUCAAACAAAGACUUCAAGGUGAUGCUCUAGAUGAUUGCAUUACACAUAUUUAGGGUGGAGAGAUUGGAGAAGCUUGAAGAUGCCAACGAUGGGUACAAUUGAGUGGUCAAUAAGAACAAUGUAGCCUAUGACUAGUUUGAUGUCGUGGUACAAGAGUUUUAGGCAUUGAGGUUAAAGCAAGAGCAACAUGGAAUUGAUUUUGGAGUCUUUCAAUUAGUGUAAAGGAGGAAGAAGUGGUAUUGAUUCUAGAAAUAGGGUUUUAGGUGGUGCGUUAGAGGAUGAAGAAGAAGAAAAAGAAGGAUCUGUUGGAAUUAGUGUGAGUGUGAAGAGAGAAGUAUAUAAAUAAGGGGAAGUAAAAGCAAAGUUCUAAAAGCUAUAUUUUUUUUUAUUGUUGGUGUAUGGUUGCAUGAUUAUCCCUAUAAAUAAUAGGAGUUUUUUUGGUAUUCUACUAGUAGUUGAAGGAUAAUUUCAUAAAUUUAUAUUUAGAGUGGGGUGGGGUGAGUUGUGACAAAAUUCAUACCCGUCCUAAACCUUGGUUCAGAUUUUUAAAAUAUCCUCAAACUUAUCAUAUACCCAACUUUUAUAUUUCAUACUUGUCUUGAUAGAGGCAGGUUAGGCCGGGUUACUUGAGUAACCUACAUAAUUGUCAUCCCUAGUUGAAAUACACUUUUUUGGCAGUGGCCACCAACUGAGCUAGAAGCUUGAUCGAUUGACCUACAAGAUUAGUUCUCAUCAUUUUAAAAAAAGUUUUGGCCUUGGUUGUGAGUGCAAUUGAAUCUAAACUGGCAUUUCCUUAAUGCAUCUACUUCAAUCCUAAAUUUCUUACUUCCUAAGCCUCAAUUGUUGUUAGGAUUUUGGAAAGCCCAUUUCCUUAAAUUGUAAAUUUAAGAAAAAAUAAAAUAAAAGUGAGACAUUUCUUGAUUGAAUAUUGUUAAAGGUCCCUUGGCAUUAAGACUUGGUUGAAGCCUUGGAAGAUUAGUGGAACUCUCAACUUGUGUUUGAAUCUUGAGGAGAGUGGACGUAAGCCAAAAUUUUGUCAAACCAUUAAACAAAUUGAGUUUGAAUCCUCAUUUCUUGAUUUCUUAUUUAUUUGCUUUUUCUUAUUAUUACUUGAAUUGUCAUUUGCAUUCAUUAAUGUUAAAAUUGGUUAUAAUUAACCAACACUAAUUCUCUUUCCCCUUCCCUUUCUUGGGUGUAAACCUAGGUUGGAUUAACUAGAUUAAUUUAUAAAAUCUAUUAAGAUGGUAAAAGAAUAAUUAUUCUUAACACACAUAAGAUCAUCUUCAAUCAAAUGACUCAUUGGCUAAUAUGUUGAAUUUGCUUAUUACUUGCAACUCAAAAUUGUGUUCUAGUUGAUAUGUCAAGUCCCCAGUGUAUGGACAUUAAAUUUGUAGUACGUGAUGGUAAUUAGAUGGUCCAACUCCAAGAAAGUGAUUGAAAACUAGUUCAAGAAAGGUGCAAAAGGGAAUUGUUUUGGUAUUUUCGUUUUUAUUCUUGAAGGUGGCAGAGCUAAAAUUUGUGAAAUCAAGCAAAACAUACUGAAAUUACAUUGAAAGAAAGAAAAUGGGAGUUAAUGUCUUGCAGUAGAUGAUAAGGACUUCAUGCAUGUAGUAUGACCCAUGUCUUGGACUGAUGCCAACUCACGGUUACACUUAUACCCUUGGUUCUCUCUUUACUACCUUGGCUAACCUAGAUCAGGCUAUGAGAUAGGCUCCUCACCACACCAUUACUUGCCCAUUAAUUAGAGACAUUUUCAAGCACUGAGGUAACAUGGUGACACCAAGAGGGUUUAUUCCUCGCCCUCCUCGCCCUCAACAAGUCUAGACUUGGUCUCAAAAAAAUGGAGAAAAAUGAGGUGUCGUUAUGUAGAAAUACAACAACCAUGCCUUCCUCAUUACUUUGAUUCAGAAUGUGAAGGUGAAAUUGAGAAACAGAAACUCUUGAAACCAAAAUGAAAAUUGAUACUUUUACGAAGAAUUACAACAACAUUGGAGGAAGACUACAUUCUUCCUCUUUAUUCCUACAUUUCUACACUACUUCUACUCCACUCCAUAUUUCUACAUACAUCUUUAAUCAGUCUUCCCUCCUUUAUAUAGAGCCAUCUUCACACAAAUUCCGCAAGGUAGAAAAGAGGAAUGAAACUUGGAGCAAGGUUCGACUACUGGCUGUAGCUUGUCAAGGCUGGAAGUGAACCUUUUUUCUUGGCUUUUCUGGGCAUGGGUAGUAACUUGUGGGUUCCUUUUUGGGAUACAAAUGGCUAGAACAUGUGGCACUAUCUUGUUGGAUGAUGUGUCAAGCAUGUGGCAGCCAUCUAGUGGCGAUUAUGUCAAUUUUGGGAUGGAGAGUUGGCAUCCAAUUGCAAAGAAAUAUGACGUCUACCAACAGGCAAUGUAAACCUAUGUAGAUCAUAUGAAGAUAGAGAGGAAAAAUAUAGAAAUGGAUAUAUACCUAGAACUAGCUUUUUAUUAAAUGAAACGGAGAGCCAACAAUGAAGGAAAAUAAAUUUUUUUGGCUUAUAUCAAAGAGUUCACAUUGUGCUACCCUAGGUUUUCUUAAAACUUACUUUUAUGAUAACAAAAAAAAAAAAAAACAUUAUUGUUUAAUCCUUUGUUUUAAACGCAUGUUUAGCAAGUUAUAAAAUGUAAAAAUCUUUCUAAGUUCAAAUAUGAAGAUAUGACAUCAUUUCAAGCAAGAUAGUCUCUAGGAAUUAAUGUAAAGCUAAAUUAAGGUGAAAUUAAAUUAGUUCAAUGCAUUAAUUUAAGAAACUUGACCUAUCAAAAGUACAAAAUUAGAUGAAAUCCAUUUCAAUGGUUAAAAUGAUCAAAAUCAAACUUUUUCUAAGUAUUUUUUAAAAGUAUCAAUAUUGAAAGACAAUUUUAUAUUUAGUCAGAGUUUGGACAAAACCAAAAAGCACACAAAAUCCAAGCGACCAUCUCUAGCUUGGAUGGUCGCUUGAUCUCUAGCUUGUGUACUUGGAAAGCAACAUCGAGAUGAUAUAUAUAUAUAUAUAUAUUUUAUAUAAUAUUGUUUGUCCAAAUUCCCUAAAAAUUAGGCCACCACAUGUUCAUAAUUCUCCCUUCUUGAAUUUGAAAACUCGGACAAUUGGACAAUGCGACACCUAAGUCCGGUUUCUAAAUGCUAAAGUGAAAGGGUAGGUAUGGACCAUUGAAAUGUGAUCACAACUUUUCUCUGUAGCCAUGUUGUCUCUUUUUUCUUUUGCAUGAUUUUCUCACCUUAACAGAAUCAUAGACUUGUUUAAUCUCUAAAUGGGAUUAAUUUCAUCCAGCUUUAAGCUACUAUAUUAUAUCUAGGUGGAGGACUUUUAAGAGUGCAACCGACAUAGAGCACAUGCAAGUGGGUAUAUGGGACAUGAAAUUUCUUCUUAUAAAGAUUGCAUGAUUUUUAUAUUAGAGUUGUUGGGGCGCAAUGUAUGUAGCUUGUUUUGCAGUUAAAUUAAUUGGAUAAGUAGACAUUGGCGUUUCUAAAUCUACUGUGAAGUGCUUCAUGUACGUGUGAAGUAUUAGAAAUUUCUUUCUUGGCAACUUGUUUUUUCUUUGCGGUCUACUGAUAGGUUUGACUAAAAUUAUAUUCCCUGUCAUGCUAAUUAAUUUUCACGUGCAUGCUCAAAAGAAGAGUAUGACCUUAGUGCACCAAAAUCACUUUGAUUAAUUUGUGAUAGGUUUUUGUGCAUCAUGACAUUAGCCUUAUUCAUUUAGAUAAUGUUUAGUUUUUAGAAAGUAUUAAGAAAAGGAAAAUAAAUAUUAAGAAAAAUAUUCUUAUAUUUGAUUGUAUUAUGAAAAAUGUCAUAAAAAAAUCAAAUAUAAUUUAAAUUAAUUAAUAAUUUAUACAUUUUCAAAUUAUUUAAUCUUUAUAUUGAAGAUAUAAUAUAAAUGAAAUGAGUUUUAAGUAUUAUAUAAAAGUGAUUUAUUGAUCUUGCAUAUAUGUAUUUCUUUUUUUUUUCUUCUAUUUUUUUUCUUUAUUUUAUUUUCCUUAUGUUUUCCUCAACAUUUUCCGGAACCAAACAUAGCCUUAGGAAAUCCACAAUUACCUUCAACUGAGUAUAUUCGGUUGUUUUAGCAAUGUUAGGCUGCUAACUUGUGUUGGUACGAACCUGUUAAGCCUAAAGAUGUAAUUAGUUAGGAUAUUCUUUUCCCUCUAGUCUUGUAGCUCCACGUGUAUAGUUGGUUAGGACCUCAUUGUAUAUAAUGCCUGCCCUGUUAUUGUUGAAGACAACAGAGAUAAAUAAUAUUAACAUUUUUCCUCUCAUCUCUCUUUGUUUCCCUCUGUUUUCAUCUCCUCUCUCAUCUUGGUAUCAGAGCCUCCAUGGAUUCUUUCAAAGAAACCUCCGAAUCACCUUCUGCUAGCAUUGUUAAUGUGCAAAACCCAUUAUCUCAGUCAAACAACCUUCCUUCACCAGCAGCCACACCCUCUUUUUCUUUCUUGUCUAUGAAUCAACCUCUCACAGUGAAGCUGGAUAAUGGAAACUACCUCAUCUGGAAGAAUUAGCUUCUGAAUGUCAUCAUUGCGAACAGACUCGAUGAUUUCAUUUAUGGAACUCGACCCUGCCCUCCUUGAUUUCUCAAUCUGCAACAACAAACCCUCACUCCAGAGUACUCGGUCUAGCAGAGAUACAAUCGACUUCUAAUGAGUUGGCUGUACGCAUCCUUGUCCGAAGAUAUAAUGACUCAGAUUGUUGGGUAUUCAACAACUGUGGAGAUUUGGAACGUCCUUAAUCAGAUUUACUCUGCCUCUUCAAUGGCGUGGGUUACCGAGCUUCACACCAAGCUUCAAACGCUCAAGAAAGAUGGACUCUCAGUUGGUGAAUAUAUUCAAAGGCUCAAAUCCAUUUGCAAUAGUCUUGCAGCAAUAGGAGAACUAGUUUCUGAGAAAGACCAGCUUAUCUAUUUGUUCAAUGGAUUAUAUUGUGAGUAUAAUUCUUUUGUUACCUCCAUUCAAAAUCGAUCUGACCAACCAACUAUUGAGCAAAUCCAUAGCCUAUUGCUUAGCUAUGACUUUCGGCUUGAACAACAAAACUCUGUUUCUCUCCAUUAUGCCCAAGUCCGUAUGGCUCAUCUGAACAAGAAACCUUAUAAAUCAACUCCUCAACCUACAUUCAAUCAUAUUCACAUUCAACCUAGAUACUCUUCUCCACCUUUUAAGCCAACCACUAGUCAAUAUCAACCCAGGAUUUUGGGCAAACCACAACCACAACCAUGACAGCCUCAACCUCAAUGGAAACCACAUUUUUCAAUCCAGAAUCAAAAGCCUCAGUGCCAAAUUUGUGGUAAAUUUGGACACACUGCUCUUAUUUGCUUCCAUUGCACAAAUUUGAACUAUUCACCCCAACCUUCUCCUAAAUCUUUCAAUACUGUUCUCACCACAAAUUCCCAGCUCCCUAAUCCUCCAAAAUUUUCUUACCCUACAAUGGCUCAUCCUGCUGCUACGCAUAACACGAUUCCUGAUACAAAUUGGUACAUGGACUCAGGUGCUACACAUCACUUUACUCCGGACAUCAACAUGCUUGACACUGUGACACCAUUUAGUGGUUUAGAACAGGUGACAGUUGGGAAUGGUAAGCAACUCUGUAUCUCACAUCUUGGUACUGCAAAACUACCAUCCUCGUAUUCUCCUCUUGUUCUACAUCAGGUAUAUCACACUCCAAAAAUUUCAAAUAAUCUUAUUAGUGUUAGAAAAUUGUGUUCUGAUAAUAAAGUUUUUGUUGAAUUUUAUGCCACUCAUUUUCUUAUCAAAGAUCAAGUUUCGAAGAGAGUUCUCUUUCAAGGUCAACUUGAUAAUGGCUUAUACAAAGUUCAGUCGUCAUGCUCUCCUUCUACUAUUUCCUUUCAUCCUCAAGUUUUCAUAGCCAACAUCAAGGAUCAAAAUUUGUGGCACAAGAGACUAGGCCACCCAGCUUUAUCUGUUAUUAAUCAAAUCUUGGAUUCUUGUAACAUUGCUCGAACACAGAAAAUUGGUUUUAAUUUUUGUAGUUCUUGUCAAUUAGCAAAAAGCCACAGGCUUCCUUUUUCUCUGUCUCCAUCCAUUGCAGAAAAACCUUUUGAGUUAAUUCAUACAGACCUAUGGGGUCUUUCUCCUGUUCGCUCUAUUUCUGGUGCUCGUUAUUUUUUACUUUUCAUUGAUGAUCAUACUCGUUUUACUUGGUUUUAUUUGCUCAAAACAAAAGAUGAAGCAUAUCCUACUUUUCUCAAGUUUCAAGCUCUCAUUGAAAAUCAAUUUAAUACCAAGAUUAAGGUUGUCCAAUCUGAUUGGGGAGGUGAGUUUCGAUCUCUCUCCAUACUGUUUUCAAAUAUGGGCAUUGUCUAUCGUUUAUCAUGUCCAUACACCUCACAACAGAAUGAGUGGGUUGAGCGAAAAAAUCACCAUGCGGUUGAAAUGGGAUUGUCCUUUCUUGCUCGCUCGGGUAUGCCCUUAUCUUAUUGGCCUUAUGCCUUUCAAACUGCCACUUACCUUAUUAAUCGUCUCUCUACCCCUGUGCUGCACCAUCAAUCCCCUUACUUCGCACUCUAUCACAAAUUCCCAGCUUAUACUCAUCUUAAGGUCUUUGUUCCUCUUGUUUUCCAUAUUUACGCCCUUAUAAUACCCAUAAACUCCAAUACAGGUCACUGGAGUGUGCUUUUCUUGGUUGCAGUUCACACCACAAAGGUUAUCUAUGUCUUGACAUUCAUUCUAGCAGGGUGUAUAUUUCUCGCCAUGUGAUUUUUAAUGAAGAUUCUUUUACAUUCAAGAAUUUGAAAUCUUCUCUCUCUUAGUCUAUUUCUUCUUCCUCUUCUUUAUUAGUUCCUCUGUUCAUUUCCUUGCCUCCCCUCUCCCCAUAUCCUCCUAUUUCUCCAUCUAUAUCUCAUUCUUUUCUCUCUUCUUCUUCUACCUCUAGUACUUGUUCCCCUCUCGUUGCUCCUACCUCUCUUCCUCCCUCUUCACACUUUGUGUCCCAUCUAUUCCACCUCCUUCUCCACCUUCUUCGAGUGUGGACCUGCUUGUACCUUGUGUGAAUACAAAUUUACUUACUUUUUCUCGCACUCACAAUAUUCAUCCUAUGGUGACCAGAUCUAAGGGUUUGUAUCUAUAAACCUAAGUUGCUAUUGAGUGUCUCCAUAGGUUCUCUCACUAAGCCUACUUCCUUUCUUCAAGCUAUUAAAGAUCCUUCAUGGAAGCAAGCCAUGGAAUUGGAGUUUGCUGCCCUUCAACACAACAAGACCUGGCAUCUAGUUCAUUCACCUUCCUCAGGCAAAGUAAUUGGUUGUAAAUGGGUCUAUAAGAUAAAGCUUUAGCCUGAUGGCUAAUUGAGAGAUACAAGGCCCGCUUAGUAGCUUAGGGUUAUCAUCAAACUGAAGGUAUUGACUACUUCGAAACAUUCAGCCUGGUUGUCAAGCCUUCUACUACCGUAUUGUGCUCAGUCUUACUUUUUCCCAGAAUUGGUGUAUUAGACAGCUGGAUGUUCAUAAUGCCUUCUUACAUGGUGACUUAGCUGAAGACGUUUUCAUGGAACAACCACCUGGAUUUGUUGAUCCUCUCUAUCCUACUCAUGUCUGCAAGUUGGAUAAGUCUCUCUACGGUCUUAAUAGUCACCUCGGGCUUGGUAUACUAAGCUGAGUACUUCUCUACUACACUUGGGAUUUGUUACUUCUAAGAAUGACUCUUCCUUAUUUAUUUGUCAUUCGUCUCAUGGGUUACUUCUUGUUCUUGUCUAUGUGGAUGAUAUAAUCGUCACUGGGAGCCACUCUCCUCAAGUUACUCACCUUAUCCAAUAGUUGCAUCAUCAGUUUUCUUUAAAGGAUCUUGGUCAUUUACACUAUUUUCUGGGCUUGGAGGUUCAUCACACCCCUACUGGUAUUCACCUCAGCCAAGCAAAGUAUAUCACUGAUCUCCUUACCCGGGCGGCUAUGUUGGAUGCCAAGCCAUGUCCCACUCCUAUGUCCUCCAACACAUAUCUUUCUCUUCAUGAUGGAGUGGCUCUUGAAAAUGGUUCAGAUUAUUGAAGUUUUGUUGGUGCCCUUUAGUAUUGUACCAUGACACGCCCAGAUAUAGCUUUUGCAGUAAAUAAAGUGUGUCAAUUCAUGCACCAUCCCUCUGAUGUUCACUGGCAGGCUAUAAAACGUAUUCUCCAGUACUUAAAGGGCACAUCUCAUUUUGGUCUCUUCCUACAGCCUUCCUAUGACUUCAACAUCACUUGCUAUACAGAUGCCGACUGGGCUUCCUGCCUUGAUGACAAGUGUAGCACCAGUGGCUACUGCCUCUUUCUUGCCUCUAAUCUGGUUUCUUGGUCAUCUUCCAAACAAAAAGUGGUCUCCCGCUCCAGCGCCAAAUCAGAGUACCGAGGGGUAGCAAAUGGGGCUGCUGAAAUUGCUUGGACUGAAUCUCUUCUUUGUGAACUUUCCACCCACUCGACCUCCCCUCAUUGUCUGUGACAAUAUCAGUGCCACAUACUUAGCUGUCAAUCCUAUUUUGCAUGCCCGCACCAAAACAUGUGGAAAUCGACUAUCACUUUGUCUCGGAACGUGUUCUUCAACGCUCUCUCUCUCUCCAGUUUACACCUUCGGAUGAUCAACUUGCUGAUUGCAUGACCAAGCCUCUCUCCACCCAACGUUUCAUCACUCUACGCUCCAAGCUCACUGUUCUCACUAGACCAAUGAGCUUGAGGGGGGAUGUUAAGCCUAAAGAUGUAAUUAGUUAGGAUAUUCUUUUCCCUCUAGUCUUGUAGCUCCACGUGUACAGUUGGUUAGGACCUCAUUGUAUAUAAUGCCUGCCCUGUUAUUGUAGAAGACAACAGAGAUAAAUAAUAUUAACAUUUUUCCUCUCAUCUCUCUCUCUGUUUCCCUCUGUUUUCAUCUCCUCUCUCAUCUGAACCAAAUGAUCCAUGUUAACCUUGGCUUGGUUUGAUUUGGCUCUAUCUUAGAGAGCUCAAGGAUCACGUCAACUCUGGUUUCUACUAUUCAGGUCCAUUCCCAUAUGAACUGGUUCAAAUUUGAGAAAAUGGUAACAGACCUUUAGUGAUGUUGGUUUGGAGCCAGUUGCCAAACCCGCCCUGAGCUUUACCACUAAUGUCAAGGGAGAAAGCCUUUUGAACAAAAACAAUAGCUUCAAGAGACUGAAUCGUGGAUGAAAUCUGAUCCACAUUUCUUCUCAUUUUGGAAACAAAUGAGAACUUAACUAAGAAGAUUCUACGGCCUCAUAGUGCUUUUCCUGAUCUAAGGUUGGUUCGUUUCCCAAAUUGUGAGAUGCACGGGCCAGACUUCAGAACUCUCACGCUCAGGAGUGUAUCCACGUGGUGGACAUAAGAUGGUGGCUUAAGAUCUGGUGUCGGUGGCUUUACUUUACUAGGAGAGUAGUGUGUCUUCAUCUCAUUCACUGCCGGAGGGUGGCGUAAGCAGUGACGCUAAGGUGGGGCAUAGUCAAUAUCAUUUGCAUUUGACCAUUAUAGUUUUCUCCCGGCUUGAAAGUAACCUUAUCGUGAUAAAGGAUUACUAGCACUAGUUCAGAUGACAGUCAUGUUAAAUUCGGACCAUGUUUGUGUCACAUUAUCAGCAACCAUGUGUUUAUGGUUCAUGCUUUCUGCAACUGAAAUUGAAAUUGAUAUAUAACCAGGUGAACUUCAAUCUAAAUUCUGGAAGUACUCAUGUGAGCGAUGGUGCCCAUCUGCAGAGUCCAUCAAUUGAAAAAUGGAGUGAGUGUAUCUAUAAGAGGGAAGGCUUGGCAAAUGUCCAGUUUUCUGGGAAUUCAACAAGGAUCUAAAAUAGAUUGUUUUCUUUGCUGAUUUCAAUGGUUGAAAUUUGAGAAGAUUGUGUCCCACAUAACACAACUAUUACUGGUCCUUCUGUUGCAAUUUAUCCUCUAAGGCUCUAGCAUGUCUUCCAAUUCCCACUUCCCUGUUACUCCAGGAAAGCUAUUUCUGUCAUUGUGAAGAAGAAAAGAGAAUGUAGAUAUCGAUGCUUUUAAGUGACUGGAGCAUUCAUAUCAGGUGGUCUGCAGCCAUAUAUGCCACUUUGUGAAGAUUGGAACAGUCAAUCACUAGGCUAUAUAUUAGUGUGGCCCAGCCACUUUAAUCAAGGACAAUUCUUCAUACUUAAAAGUCAAAUUCUGCCUUUAGUCUCAUUAUAAAUUGCUGUUUAAAUAUUAAGCAAACAUUUGUUUAAUGCGAUUAAGACAGUACUAACUCAAUACUUGUUCUAUUUUUGGAUGGAAAUGCUUGAUGGUUUCAUCAUUGGAUGGGAUAAAGGUGCAUUCAUGAUUAUGAAUACUUGUAGUUAUAUUUUCAUUCUCUUUUUUCUCAAUGAGACUUGUUGGCACAAUUUUUCUGUUCAGAAACCUACCUCUCCAUGGAAAAUAAGUUGUGAUUGAUAGUACUGGAUAUAUUCAAGAAAGCUAAAUAUAGAUAGCACAAAAUAUUAUCGACAUAAAUAGCAUUAACAGCGUACGUAUGUCUCAGUGCUCAUCAGCCAUAAGCAUGGGGCAAACACUUACGAUGAGCAACUUACGUCAAAAUUCCAGAAUAGGACAUAGAAGUGACAGAUCUAUAUAUAUAGAACACUGCAUAAGAGUCACAAGAAAGGAAAUUACGGGUGCAUAGCAGCUCUUAUUUCACAUACUACUCAUACUGAUCAAAGUCACUCAGUUGGGAUGGGUGGGAGUAGGAGGUUUGUGGGGUGGCUUGUGCGGAGGAGUUGGCAGCUUCUUUCCAGGACCUGGUGGCUUCUCUCCCUUAGGUGGUUUGCCAACUGGGGUUGGUGGCUUGUAUGAGUCUUCAGCAUUCUCUGCAGGAGGGUGACCAGGGUUGUGACCAUAAUGUGGUGGCUUCUCUCCCUUAGGUGGUUUGCCAACUGGGGUUGGUGGCUUGUGUUCUGGGAGUGGCUUCUCCCCCUUGGGAGGUUUUUCCAAUGGGGUUGGUUUGUGUUCAGGAGGUGGCUUCUCCACUGGAGGCUUGUGUUCAGGAGGUGGCUUCUCCACCGGAGGCUUGUGUUCAGGAGGUGGCUUCUCCACCGGAGGCUUAUGCUCUGGUGGUGGCUUCUCCACCGGAGGCUUAUGCUCUGGUGGUGGCUUCUCGAAUGGGGGAUGCUUAGGGUAAUCAGCAAGUGAGGGGGCGGUGAGAACCACCAGGCCAAGCAAGACCACUAGCAAGUAUGUAGGAGACAUCUUUGGGUUUAGACUCAGAUGGUGCAAAACUAGGAGAAUUGUCUUUUAUAGCGGAUCGCACCCAAUAAUGAAAUGACACGUGUCUUUAUGACCCAUGUGUAAUGGGGUCGAUUUGGGUCCUACAGUGUUGAAAACUUCGACAUCCACUUUUGGCCUUUUGCUUUCUCUACAGCCGCCUUGCUUUUUCCCUCUUUCCUUUUGUUUUCCUCCUGCCCCAUUCUAUCAACUAAACACAAUUAUGUAGUUGUUUAAUUCUUAAAUGAGAUAUUAUCCGUCAAUCGUAUCAUAUUUUAUCAACAGAGAACGGAGUGCAAUGUGGCAAUCCAAAGAAAGAAGAUCCAUAAUGCAGCUGUAAUUUUAUCGUUUACUUUUAUCUCUUGGACCACUGCAUUUUUGUUAAGAGGUGCAAUAAUACACGUCUUUAUCUGCCAUUCAAUGUUUACAGUAAAGAGAGGGCACAAAACUCUUCACUGCUCUGCAUGUGUCCCAAAAAUGCAAUUGGACAAAUUAUGAUUUGCAUGCUAAAAAGAGGCAAAUGAGGUUAAUUCGCACCAUAAUUAUUUUGUUUUCUGGACCCCGGGGCCCUUUGGUUGGUUUGGGGGUCAGAAAAUGAACAUCAUAGGGGGUUUUUCCCUUAUGUGCAUUUGUAUCUGAUGGCUUUAACUCGCCUUGUUACUACAAAGAAAUUGUCACAUAUAGGAACUUAUUCCAGGCUGAGUAUCUCCGCAUAGACCCUAUAAAAGAAGACAAGUCAUAAUGAACAUCUAACCUUUGUUCAAUUUGAUUCAAUGCCCCAUUGUGUCCACCUCACAAAUCUGAAUUAUUAUAUCCAUUGAAUACAUAAAUUAAUGAAGAAAAUAUGAAACCCAAGAUACAUCUCUGCACAACCUCAACCCUGGUUGCUAUGUUUCCCUUCUAUUCACAUGAGGAUAUUGAUUACGGAAUAGGGAAACCUAGCAAGGGUUUACUCGGCUCUGGUUUGAUGCUAAUUGCCAAACUUGCAACAAGCCCUGAGUUUGAAGCUCACAGAAGAUGUUAUACAGGCAGGGAAAAACCUUCAGAGUUCGCUGCCAAAGAUAAUUAUUAAGGAGAUAUCACCAAGAGAAUUCCAAGGAGUCUGAAUCAAAGACAAAUUGGUCGUUCGUGGAGGUUCUUACUUUCUUUUGGGUAUAACUCACUGAGGGCACUGUCUUUUUUAUUUUCAUUUCACAUUUAGAGUUCUGUUCUGGAAACAUAUAAAAGGAGCAUCAGUUUGUUCUUGGGUAACCCAUAGUCGUGAGUGGGUCCAUUUGCAUGCUACUUAGUUGAAAAGUUGGACCAUUUGCUCCGACGCCUACCUCCUGGAUUCCAUGCUCGGAUAAAACAAGAAUAAAAAAAUAUUUAUAAUUUACAAAUGGGGGAAAGAAAAAAAUGUCAACAACAAACUAGGAAAAAAGAGUAGUAAAAUUCAUGUCACAUGCUAGUGAGAGAAGGGGUUGUUACACUCACUCGAAGUUCUUUUCAAAAUAUCGCAUGGUAUUUUAUUUUAUGUGUGAGCGCAGUUGUGAAUGGAACGUGCAAAAGUCCAAAUUGGUGACCUUUAAUAAAUAUUUAAAACAAAAAACGAAAAAAAGGAGGGAAAAGGGAUCAGAAAAGAUAAAACAAUGUGUACAAAAGCUCAAUUAGUUUGCAAAUUACUGUUUGGAUUUUGAUAGUAUUUUAUUUGAUGUAAAAGAGAAUUUAAGAUAUUUCCGAAACAAAAGCAUUAGUUUGCUCCAUGUCAAUUUCGGCAUUUCUCAUAUGUUUCACACAUACACAGAAGAGCAUCGUUUUUUAAAGCAUGCAUUUAUGUUGGAUUAAUUUGGAUUUUGUGGGAACUGGGGCAAGGAUCACAUGGAAGAGAGGUUGACUUUUUUCAGUACUUCAAUGGUUGAGACAGGUGAAGGCCUGAUUGAUACUGAAGCCUGAAAUUGCGACUCCGUCAUUUGUCAAAACAUAUGACAGCUUCCAUGCUCUCGUUUGGUUGCAUUGUUCUGUGGUCAUGCAUACAUGCCACUUAGUGAUCAGUCUGUAACUGUCAAUCAUUGGGCUUUGACUGAACAACAUCAGCCAUGUAUAAAUACUUGCAAAUCAAACGGUCUUCUUCCUCCCAUAAGGAAUUUCGGUUUAAUUAUGAAGCAUGCAUUUGGCUGACCAUCAUAAACCACUUCUUUAAAUUGAUGAAUGAUAGUUUUUCAUUCAUUCUUUCAUUCGUUCAUAUACAGAGUAUAUAUAGAGGGUAAUCAUCAUUCUAAGAAUGGGAAAGAAUGAUACAAGGAAAUAAUGAUAUAAAGAAAUAACAACUAAUAUUCUAAUAUCUCAACUUUCCUAAUAUCUAAACAUUCCUAAUAUCUCAACACUAAAUGAUAUAAAGAAAGAAUGAUAUAAGGAAAGCAUUCCUAAUAUCUCAACACUCCUCCUCAAGUUGGUGCAUAGAUGUCAAACAUGUCCAACUUGUCUAAAAAUUUUGAGAACAGUUGACUUGAGACAUCUUUGGUGAGGAUAUCGGUCAAUUGAUCUUCUGAUCGAAUCUUAGGCAAUUCCACAAUCUUAUCAUCCAACUUUUCCUUAAUGAAAAAUCUAUCCAUCUCGACAUGCUUUGUACGAUCAUGUUGUACUAGAUUAUGAGCAAUGUCACAUGCUGCUUUAUUGUCACAAAACAAUCGGAUUGGUUGCCUAGAUAGGUAACCUAAAUCCUAUAAGAGGAGUCUUAGCCAUAAUGCCUCACAAAGUCCUAAAGUCAUACCUCUAAAUUCCGCUUCUGCACUUGAACGAGCGACGACAUUUUGCUUCUUACUUUUCCAUGUCACAAGAUUACCACCUACAAAGGUAAAGUAACCAGAUGUAGAUCGCCUAUCAUCCACUGCACCGACCCAAACAGCAUUAUACUUCUAUACUCUGAUGAUCAACAUUUUUAGCGAACAAAAUUCCCUUCCUAGGAGCAUUCUUCAAAUACCUCAAAAUACGCAUGACUACAUUCAUAUGUUGCUCUCCAGGAUUAUGCAUGUAUUGACUCACUACACUCAAUGUAUAAGCAAGAUCUAGUCUUGUAUGAGCUAAGUACAUUAAUCUCCCCACAAGUCUCUGGUAUCUUCCCUUAUCGAUUGAUACUUGAUUAGGCUCAACACACAAUUUCAGACCUUCUUCUAUUGGUGUAUUAAUAGGUUGACAUCCCGACAUUCCAGUUUCCUGUAGAAGAUCUAAGGCAUACUUUCUUUGAGACAGAAAAAUUCCUUCACUUGAUCGAGAAACUUCAAUCCCAAGAAAGUAUUUCAGACGACCAAGAUCUUUCAUUUCAAAUUCUCUAGAUAGAUACUUUUGCAAAGCUUUUCUUUCUUCAGGAUCAUUUCCUGUAACUACAUGUCAUCCACAUAUAUCAUAAGUGUCGUAAUCUUACCAUGUUGCUUUUUCAAGAACAAAGUGUGAUUUGAAUUACUUUGAUGAUAGCCAAAAGCUCUCAUUGAUUUUGUGAACCUUCCAAACCAUGCUCUCGGGGAUUGCUUCAACCCAUACAAUGACUUCUUCAAUUCGCACACCUUCUGACAUUGCUUUUCUGACACCAUGCAUCCUGGUGGAAGAUCCAUAUAUACUUCUUCAGAUAAAUCGCCAUGCAGAAAGACAUUUUUUACAUCGAACUAUUGUAAUGGCCAAUCUAGGUUUGCAGCUAAAGACAAUAAUACUCGAACUGUGUUGAUCUUAGCUACAGGUGCAAAUGUCUCUGUGUAGUCAAUUCCAUAAGUUUGAAUGUACCCACUAGUCUUGCUUUAAAUCGUUCAAUACUACCAUCUGCCUUGUACUUCACAGUAUAGAUCCAACGACACCCAACUAGCUUCUUUCCUGGUGGACAUUCUACGAGUUCCCAUGUUUCAUUUUUCUGCAAUGAUUUCAUCUCUUCAUUCAUGGUUGCUUUCCACUUUGGAUCAGCUAAAGCUUCCUGCACACUAUUAGGAAUAGCUACAGUAGAUAAUUGAUUUACAAAUGACUUAUUUGAUUCAGACAAACCAUGGUGUGGACCCGCAUUUUUCACGUGCGCCUCUACUCGAUCGGCGAGACUCGCUUUCUAUUUGUGAAAAAUUAAUUUUAGAAAAGUUGGAGUCGCCACCUAUUUUAUUUUUAUUUUGAAGGGAAAAUAAAACAAGAAAGAAAAACCCUAAAAAGUGACUCCAUAGUUUUGGAAAAAGCAUGUCUUUGGGAAACCUGAGUCUAGGUCCGGGGAUCAUGUUACUUAUUGGGAAGGUACCUCUAGGAGGUAGCACCCCUCUAAGCCUUAUGAAGGUCUCUACUAACUAAAUUAAGGGAAGUGUGGCAAUAAAUCGAUUGAUCAUAGAUACCUAAGUAGACUAGGUGAUUUUAAAGUGUGGCAUGUCAAACACAAUCAAAUUGCAAUAAAGGAGAGUUAGGGCGCGUACCUGAACCGCUUCUCAAGCGCUAUCAUAAAACAUCAAUGGUUAAUUUAAAUAAUAUAUCAUCCAGCAUGUAUUUUAUUAGAAAUAAUCAAACAAUGAAACAUGUAUAUCAGAACACUCAAGCAUUAUUAGACAUAAGCAUUAUUUCACUAUUCACAGAAUUCAGAAAGUAGGUGAUAGAGGACAUACCUGGAUAGCAUAGAUAAUUUGUAAUGUGCUUCCUCAAGUUGUAAGGGGUUAGAUAACAAAUAAUAAAAUAUAGAAAUCCUAGCAUGCUCGUUAUCUAAUUAGCAUAGCAAAAGUGAUCACAGUAUACAGAAUCAUCAAUUAUCACAUACAUCUUGUAUAUAAUUCCUAAAAAAAAUAGAUAGACAUGAUUUCAACAAGUGUCAAAUGUGGCAACAAAAAUAAAUUUUGAAAAGAUUUUCUUAUGUAGGGGUUUCACCAAUUCCCCAAAUUAAUAUACACGAAUUUAGCUUAGAAUUAUCCCAUUUAUUUGGGACUACAAGCUUUGAUUCGUGUUUUUGUUCAAAACCAAAAAUUUUUGUUGAAAAUCAAGAAGGAUGCGAACCGAACAAGAUAUGGUUGCAUAUUAUUUUUAAAUAAAUAAAUAAAUAAAUAAAGGAGAUUUUGAUCCUGAGGACUUUAAUGAGUUUUUUUUUUUAAAAUAGAUUUUUAAAAUGAUUUUUUUGAGAAAAGUAUUUUAUUUUAAAAUAAAAGGGAUUAAUUUGGGAAAAAAAUAAAAUAUAAGAAAUAAAAUACCAAACAAAACAAAAAUGAAACCUCAAAGUAAAAUUUUUUUAGUAAUUAACAAAAAUGAUAAUGGUGAUGGUAGAGGGCAAUCUUCAUGAUUUUCCAAUGGCCUCAGAAAGAAAAUCAAAUUAAAUGAAGGAUCACUAACAGGCAAGACAUUCUAAAUUAGACAAACUAACAAAGUAUCAAUUCAUGAACUAACCGCUAGGAUUUUGAAAGCAUAUAAGCUAAGAUAAGGGUGAUCAGGAACUAAUAUUAAUGAUUUUGAAAUAAAAACUAAAAAAAAGGAUCAAUUCGGGUAAGGAACUAAAAUUAUAAAAGUACCUAAACUAAUUAUGACGAGUUUGACUAAAUUAAACUAAAAACAUGAACUUUCAAACAUAGAAUUAAUUUUACUAAUGAACCAAAGCAAACUAAAAAUAUGUACUUUCAAGCAUAGAAUUAAUUUUAUUGAUGAACUAAACUAUAACAAAUAUCUAAACUAAAUAUAAUGAAUCAAAUUAAAUUAAAGCAACUUAAAAACGCAAACUUUCAAACAUAGAAUCAAUUUUAUCAAUGAAUUAAAACUAUAAAUGUAUUUGAACUAAAUAGAUGAAUCAAACUAAAUCAGAGCAAAAUUAAAAAAAAAAAAGAACUUUCUAACAUGAAAUCAAUUUUAUCAACAAAUAAAUGAAUGAAUAACAAGUAAUUAAAAGAAUAGCUACUACAUGAAUAACUGAAUGAAUAAAAUUCAAAUGUUUUCAAUCUGAAGCAAUCAAUCAAAAUUAAAUAGGGAUCAAAUCAAAAUAAUCGAAAUCGGAAAAACAAUAUGCAAUCUUUCUAAAGGUUUAACCAGACAAUUGAAUUAAAAUUAUGAAUAGAAUAAAUUAAUAAACCAAAUCGAAACCUAAAUUGUACCUAAAAAGAUUAAUUAAUUAAACUAAGAAAUCAAAAUCAAUAACAAAACUAAACUAAGGAGUAAAUUAAGACAAGACUAAUUAAAUUAAACUCACAAACACGUUUUAACUAUCAUAUGGAUUAAAACAAAAUUAGCAUGGACUUAUGAAUUACGAACAAAAAUAAUCAAAACUAUUUUAAAAAACUCACCUCUAUUAUAAGAAAAAAUCUGCCUUUGAUGCGUUGAGGUGGCUCCCCUCUCUGUGUGGAUCUCUCUGCUCCCCAGAAAAAAAAUGUCUCUUCCUCCGUUCUCUUUUGUUUCAGCAAAAUAAUAUAUCCCCUGCUGUGGAUCUCUCUACUCCCAGAAAAUAAUAUAUUCUCUCCGUGUCCUAAAGUGGACCUAGGGUGCCUAAGUGGACCUAGGGUGCCUAAAUGGGCCUAGGGUGCCUAAAUGGGCCAAGUGUAUCUAAAUAGGCUUAGGGUGCCUAAGUGGGCCUAAGUCUAAGUGAGCCUAAGUCUAAAUCAAGACUACCAAGGAUCAUAAUAAGGGGUUAGGCAAUCCCUUAACCAAAGUCUCCAAGGUGGCUAAAAAAAAGUAAGUAGUAUGAGUAGCUAUGGGUCACCAAGGAACUACUGUGGAGCAUUGAAAACGAAUUUAAAGACAUGUGCCAAAGGGACAAAAUUGAGGGUCUACAGAUGGUUAGACACAUAGUUGCUCAUGGGAUAUUUGACUUUGGUAAACAAUUCAGAUUCAUAUGUGGGUUUAGGAAUACCUUUAUUAUGACGGUGUGGUAAUCGUUUCAUGAAUGGAUCAGGUUGCAAAUUAAGAACACCCUCAGCAAACAACGAUUGGUUUGGUAUUUCAGUGAAGACAUCUUCGAACCCAAAUUGUUGACCACUCAUAUCCAACUCACCCGCUUCCUGGUUCACUAGUUCAGAUUGUCCAAAUUCAUCAUUCUCAUAGAUAUGAUAAUCAUAAUCGAGAGUCUGAAUUUCCUUAUGGUACUCCCCCUGAAGUUCAGACUUAGAUGAAAAAUACAUCGAAUAUUCAUGAAACAGCNNNNNNNNNNNNNNNNNNNNNNNNNNNNNNNNNNNNNNNNNNNNNNNNNNNNNNNNNNNNNNNNNNNNNNNNNNNNNNNNNNNNNNNNNNNNNNNNNNNNNNNNNNNNNNNNNNNNNNNNNNNNNNNNNNNNNNNNNNNNNNNNNNNNNNNNNNNNNNNNNNNNNNNNNNNNNNNNNNNNNNNNNNNNNNNNNNNNNNNNNNNNNNNNNNNNNNNNNNNNNNNNNNNNNNNNNNNNNNNNNNNNNNNNNNNNNNNNNNNNNNNNNNNNNNNNNNNNNNNNNNNNNNNNNNNNNNNNNNNNNNNNNNNNNNNNNNNNNNNNNNNNNNNNNNNNNNNNNNNNNNNNNNNNNNNNNNNNNNNNNNNNNNNNNNNNNNNNNNNNNNNNNNNNNNNNNNNNNNNNNNNNNNNNNNNNNNNNNNNNNNNNNNNNNNNNNNNNNNNNNNNNNNNNNNNNNNNNNNNNNNNNNNNNNNNNNNNNNNNNNNNNNNNNNNNNNNNNNNNNNNNNNNNNNNNNNNNNNNNNNNNNNNNNNNNNNNNNNNNNNNNNNNNNNNNNNNNNNNNNNNNNNNNNNNNNNNNNNNNNNNNNNNNNNNNNNNNNNNNNNNNNNNNNNNNNNNNNNNNNNNNNNNNNNNNNNNNNNNNNNNNNNNNNNNNNNNNNNNNNNNNNNNNNNNNNNNNNNNNNNNNNNNNNNNNNNNNNNNNNNNNNNNNNNNNNNNNNNNNNNNNNNNNNNNNNNNNNNNNNNNNNNNNNNNNNNNNNNNNNNNNNNNNNNNNNNNNNNNNNNNNNNNNNNNNNNNNNNNNNNNNNNNNNNNNNNNNNNNNNNNNNNNNNNNNNNNNNNNNNNNNNNNNNNNNNNNNNNNNNNNNNNNNNNNNNNNNNNNNNNNNNNNNNNNNNNNNNNNNNNNNNNNNNNNNNNNNNNNNNNNNNNNNNNNNNNNNNNNNNNNNNNNNNNNNNNNNNNNNNNNNNNNNNNNNNNNNNNNNNNNNNNNNNNNNNNNNNNNNNNNNNNNNNNNNNNNNNNNNNNNNNNNNNNNNNNNNNNNNNNNNNNNNNNNNNNNNNNNNNNNNNNNNNNNNNNNNNNNNNNNNNNNNNNNNNNNNNNNNNNNNNNNNNNNNNNNNNNNNNNNNNNNNNNNNNNNNNNNNNNNNNNNNNNNNNNNNNNNNNNNNNNNNNNNNNNNNNNNNNNNNNNNNNNNNNNNNNNNNNNNNNNNNNNNNNNNNNNNNNNNNNNNNNNNNNNNNNNNNNNNNNNNNNNNNNNNNNNNNNNNNNNNNNNNNNNNNNNNNNNNNNNNNNNNNNNNNNNNNNNNNNNNNNNNNNNNNNNNNNNNNNNNNNNNNNNNNNNNNNNNNNNNNNNNNNNNNNNNNNNNNNNNNNNNNNNNNNNNNNNNNNNNNNNNNNNNNNNNNNNNNNNNNNNNNNNNNNNNNNNNNNNNNNNNNNNNNNNNNNNNNNNNNNNNNNNNNNNNNNNNNNNNNNNNNNNNNNNNNNNNNNNNNNNNNNNNNNNNNNNNNNNNNNNNNNNNNNNAACCAAAGGAAGCAUGUUCCAGACGUCGAUGCCACAACCAAAUUUCAGACUUUUUCUUCUCCUCCUUAGAUCCAUCUGCCAUCAAGGCUUGUUGCAACUUAUUUGAAUCCUUUGAUUGCAAGUCCAAGUAUAGAGUUUCCCCCGCUUAAUACGACAACCAAUCGUCUGUCUUGUUUGAAUGUCCUUAAUCACACAAAAUUCAGGCCAAAAAAUGACAAUACAAGAUAAGGCUGCAGUGAUUUGAGAAACUAACAAAAGAUUGUAAUCUAAAGAUGGAACAACUAAAACAGAAUCCAAAUUCAAAGUAUCAGUAAGAGUUAAGGAUCCUUCCCCAAUGACUGGGGUUGUGUUACCAUUGGCUGUGGAAACAAUUUUUUGUGAGGAAGGUCUAAGGGGUGAAACCUGUCUAGAAUCAAAAGUCAUAUGAUCUGUAGCACCAGAAUCAAUUAUCCAUGCACUAUUAAUAACAGGUGUAAAAGUAUUUAAAAACUUACCACAAUGAUCUGUAGCGGCUACUAAUGCAGAGACUUUCUCAACAACAUUAGUCUUUGUUUUUAUUUCGGUAACAGUUGCAAUCAAGGUUUUCUUGGAAUUCUUCUUCCGUUGAUCACGAUUAUUAUCAUUAAUAACAAAGUGUUGAUAGCCUAAACAUGAUCUAAAGGUCCAUGGUGCAAACCCUCGGUUCCUCAUUGUUUUCCUGGUCAUACCAAGAGUUGUUGCUUUGAAAUUGUGGGAUAUCCAGACUGGUGGGAUCAGUUUUAUUGCAGUGAGUGCAUUUGAAUGUUGACUUAUCAAUAUUAGGGCUUGUCUUCGGAUGGUUGAUUGCUGUUGGACUACCAUAGCGACAAAAUAUCCAGGAUUUCAAUUCCAGGGCUCUGAUACCAUCUUCAAAUUGAUGAAUGAUAGUUUUUCAUUCAUUCUUUCAUGUACAGAGUAUAUAUAGAGGGUAAUCACCAUUCUAAGAAUGGGAAAGAAUGAUACGAGGAAAUAAUGAUAUAAGGAAAUAAUAACUAAUAUCCUAAUAUCUCAACUUUCCUAAUAUCUCAAUAUUCCUAAUAUCUCAACUUUCCUAAUAUCUAAACAUUCAUAAUAUCUCAACACUAAAUGAUACAAGGAAAGAAUGAUAUAAGGAAAACAUUCCUAAUAUCUCAACACCACUUCAUGAUAUAUAUAGUUUCUUACCCUUAAUCAAUGGUUUCUAAGUGAAUUUAUAUAGAAAGAAAUCCAAACUGUAGACAGCAGUAUUGGUAACACUCAAUAUUCUGUAUAUAAUAGAAUAAAUAGCGUCACAGUGAUCGUCGCCUACAAGCAAGGUACAAAUACCACAAAGAGUGACCCACAUAGACAUUCCCCAACAAGAUGUAGUAGUGACUGACACAUAGCCACAAUUAACACGUAGAAAAGGAUAAGACCGGUGCACAGUAGCUCUUAUUUUACAUACUACUUAUGCCAACCAAAGUCACUCAGUUGGGAUGGGAGGGAGAUGGAGGUUUGUGCGGUGGCUUGUGGGGCGGAGUUGAUGGCUUCUUUCCAGGAGCUUCUGGCUUUUUCAUCGGAGCUGAAGGAGGCUCAAUCUUAUGAGGCGGCUUGUACGAGUCUUCUUUGCUCUCGAAAGGAGGGUGGCCAGGGUUGUGACCAUAAUGUGGUGGUUUCUCUCCCUUGGGAGGUUUACCAAUUGGGGUUGGUGGCUUGUGUUCUGGGAGUGGUUUCUCUCCCUUGGGAGGUUUAGUGGGUGACUUGUGUUCUGGAGGUGGCUUCUCCACCGAAGGCUUGUGCUCCGGUGGUGGCUUUUUGGUUGGAGGGGGCUUGGGGUAAUCAGCAAGAGAUGGGGUGGUGAGAACCACCAGUCCAAGGAACAACACUAGCAAGUAUGUGGGAGACAUUUUUGAGUUUGGGCUGAUCAGAUGAUGCAAAACUAAAGCAUUACGUGACCUUUUAUAGCAAGUAGCUCCCAAUACCUACUUGACACGUGUUACUGUGACCCAUAAAUAUUAUGGGGUCUAUUUGUGCCCUACCGGGUUGAAAACUUGGACAAUUGGGCAAGGACCCGCCUGACUAUGGAGGACUACUGAGGUGUGAUCACAGCUUUAGGAUUUUUCUUCCUCUGCAGCCGUCUUGCCGUUGGCAUGAUUUUCUUAAUCUCAAAUAAAGGCAUAGUUAUAGAGUUGUUUAAUCUCUAAAUGGGAUUUUAUAUAUCUUCAGAUAGCCAUUAAUACAUUUGAUGAAGAAAGAAAGACAAGUGCAUACAACAUGUAUACGACUAGCUUUCAUGGAGUUCAUUUAUGAUCAGUUUUCCUGUACAUGUAAACCAAGAUCAUAUAUGUUUUUGUUCCACAACAAUUUUGGAAUCUUGUUUAUCCGUUUUUAUCAUUAUAAUGUCACAUAGGCUGCCAACUUGGGCGCUAAAUUAAAGAUCCAGUUGGGCAAGUUCGUUUCAGAAUUUCAAUGGUGGAUUCAGGAAUUGUUUUAUAAGAUAUGCAAAAUAGUAGAGGGAUGAAUAGUGUUUCAUUAAGAAAAGAGCCCUGUAAAAAUAUUGUUUAAAGGUGCCAUAGAAACUAUAAUCAAUAAAUAACUUUUUUUCCCCAUGGGUGGUGUUUCUUGUGGGGAUCAGUGACUGGUUUGAGUCAACGCCGUGUCUCUUUAGUCCAGAAAUCAACUAUUUUAUGCAUUGAAUACAUCAACAAAGAAAAUAUGAAAGCCAAAUGACACCUCCCCCGCAAAAACUAAACCCUGGUUGCUAACUUUCUAUGUUUCAGUUCCAUUCACACAAGAAUAUUAGUUCAAGUUUGAGAAAAAUGGCGACUUACCUAGUGAUAACUCGGUCUUGGUUUGCGAUUUGACUUUAACGUCAUGGGUUGAAGCCUCCUACAAUCAUCGUGUAUGCUAGUUCAAAGCUCGUGGAAGAAGUUAUACAGGGAGGGAGAAACCUCCACAGCAAGCUCCAAAAGAGAAUUAUCACAUUGAAAGCUCCAGUUGAACACUGGGUGAAAGCCAUAACAAGAUUGGUUUUCUAUCGCUCUUUUAAGUAAUGGAAGAUUAUUAUCUCUGCUUGUCACUACAACCGUGCAUGCUGCUAGAUCUUUCUAGACACUUCAAACAGUGAAACCAAGUAUGAUUCUUUUUCUCUUGAGUGGGUCCACUUGCAUGCCAAUGAACGAGUUGAAAAGUUGGACAAUUGGCCACAGCGCGCACUUACCUUCUGGAACCGAAGGUCAGUGAAGUGGGGUUCCUUUUGGCCCCUUGUGUUUCUGUUCCAACCUACUCCAGGAACCGAAGUUCAGUGAAGUGGGGCUACUUUUGGCCUCUUGUGUUUCUGUUCCAACCAAACAAAAAUGGGAGGGAAAAAUAGCAUUAUGCUUGUGCUAAAGAUCAACGCAUGAUAGCUGAAUAAGGGAGAAAAAGGCAUUGCUAUCUCAAUUUCAUAAACUUGAUAAGUAGUGACAUUAAUAGUCUUCCUCAUAGAUGGAUACAUGGUUUUAUUUUAUUUAUUUAUUUUUAUUUUUUUGUUUUAUGUCAAUGCUAAUGAAUGAAGUGCAUUAGCUUGUUUUGUGACUAGAACUACAAAUGUCCAAAUUGGAGCUUCUCCAAUAUAUUUCUCAGUGAGUUAUUGAUUAGAACUCUUGGAUUGAGUUCCAAGAUUUGAAUCAGACCCCUCUAGCAGCUUCAGGGGUACGUAGCAACCUAUAGCAUAUUAAUGAAGACUUAGGAUUUAGACUUAGGAAUACAAAUUAAUAUGUACCUCAUGCUCUGACUAGCUUCCCUGCGUAUGCACAAAAUGGAGAUGACUCCCAAAAAAAUAGCAGAAUCGCCUUAGUAUGUUUUUGUGGUUAAGAUGAUUCUCCACUUUAUAUAUCCACAUUGGUUCAUUAUGCAAAUUAAUCAACUAAGCUAUUUUUAUUUUUUCUUAAAUGUGAAAUAGGAGCUCCAAAUUAACCUAACCAUUGGCCUGAUUGAAUUGAUUUCACUUGCAUAAUGUUAUAGUAGAAGUCCGUAAUUUGAAUUUUAUUUUUGCAAAAGGUAACGUAAAUGAAGCAUUGUAAUUAAAUUUAUUUGUAAUUACAAACUAAUUUUAUUUUAUUAAGAAUUAAUUUAAUUACUCAUUUAAAAUAAAAAUCAGUUAUACUUUUACCAAGAUGAUAAUAUUCAUAUUUUUCUAGUUAACAUAUAUAAAAUAGUACACUUUUUCAUAUAAAAAAAUAAUUUAUGAUUUAUUAUAAUGUUACUAUUCACAUUUUACUAAAUUGAUGGUACAUGAUAGUGAGAGAAGGGGGUGUCACACUCAGCUAAAGUUCUUUUCAAAAUAUUGCAUGGUGUUUAAUUUUAUGUGUCGGCGCGCGUGUGAAUGGAACCUGCAAAAGUCCAAAUUGGCGUUUCUCCAUUUUCCACAUAGGAUGGUGACGUUAAUAGACAAAGAUACAAUAUCUGUAGACAUUGCUUAAAAAUCGAUGUGAAGUAUUAGAAAUUACAGGGCACUGUACUGGGGGAGCGGCUGCCCCGCCAAAGGAGGAAGAAUGUAGCAAUUUCUUCUGUUAGCCAGGCCUUAGGAUUUAUGCAUGGGAUGCCUAAUAACAAACAGAGAAAAUAUACUUUUGGGGAAGGUAUCCAACAACAGACACCAUCAUUCAGAUGGUGGGAAGGUAUCCAACAGAUGCCAUCAUUCAGAUGGUAACAUAUAUAUACAUUUAUUAGUGAGUUUUUUUAAUACCUAUAAAAAAAAAUAUACACUUUGAUAUUGUGGCUGAAUCCAUUACAUACUCAACUAACCUUGCUCAUUAGGGAUUUGACUUAACAAGGGCAACGUUGCAGUACAAGCUCAAAACUUUAUGCAGGUGACAUUACAUUUGGUAAAGAAGAGGAAAAUAACGAAAGCCAUCCAUAAAAGCAAAAUUCCACAUGGGAUGAAAUUCACAAGCUUCAUUUACGAUAGAGUCGCAUCCAGGCAAUUAAUUCCACAUUAGACCGCCUGUUGACAUGUGUACCAAUCUUUUUUCAAAAAAUAUUUAUAAAUAAUUGAUACUCACAAAAAUAAUUUAAUAUUUAUAAAGGAUAAAAAAAUAUUUUCAAAUCUAUAACAAUUUAUAAAAUAUUAAUAAAAAAUUAUCUCUUAAACUUAGUAUAGUUUUAUCAGAUUAAACUUUUAUUUUGAACAAAUAAUUUUAAUCUAAGUUUUAAAUUCUAAAAUUAUUUCCUUAAAAUAAAAUUUUAAAAUUCAACACUUCAAUUGAAAUUGUCUUUUUAAAAAAUAUCUUCUUAUUUUAAUCCUUAUAAACUAUAGUUGAUUGAAAAUACUAUUGAAGUUCUCUCUUAAAAAAAAGUCUUAUUUUAAUCUUCAUAAAUUGCCCUUGAUUUGAAAAUAAAUUUUCAGUUAUCAUAUUUUAAAUAAUAUCUAUAUUUAAAAUACUCUAUUUAAAAAAAAAUGAACUAAUUUUAAUUAUAUUAUAUUUUAUUUUUUUAUAUAUUUUUAAUGAUAAACCAAACAUAGAAAAUCAUUUUUCUAAAUAUUUUAAAAUUUCUAAGCAACCAAACAUAAUCUUCAAAAUAAAAGGAAAAUAAGGAGGGACAUUUGAGAAAUGGCGAUUAAAAAAAAGUGUACAAAAGCUCAAUUAAUUUUCUUCUAGUCUUUUAUAUAAAAAAGUAAAGGAAUUGAAAAGUAUUGAUAUGUAAAUUAAUAUUUGGAUUUUAAUAGUAUUUUAUUUGUCUUUCUCUAUCUCAUGUAAAAGAGAAUUUAAGAUAUUUCCUAAAGCAAAGCAUUAGUUAUCUGCAAUCAGUGGUGAUCAUGCCCCAUGUCAAUUUCGGACCCAUAUCUUAAAACUGUAUAAUUUGCAUUCAAACAUUACUGAUUUCUCAGAUGUUUCAUACUCCACAGAAGAGCAUUGUUUGUGAAAGCAUGCAUUUAUGUUGGAUUUUGGAUGAUGUGGGAACUGGGGCAAGGAUCAUAUGGAAGAGUGGUCGAUUUUGUUCUGUACUUUAACAUUUGAAAUAGGAGAAGCUCGGGCAUUUGUGGGGCUUAAUUGAUUUUGAAGCCUGAAAUUGCGUUUCUGUCAUUUUGUAAAAAAUAUGGCAGAUUCCAUGCUCUCAUAUGUUUGGUCUGUGGCCAUGUAUAGAUGCCCCUUAGUGACCAGUUUGUAACUGUCAAUCAUAGUGUUUUGACUCUGGCUCAACAACAUCAGCCAUUGACGGAUUUUCAUACUUGCAAAUCAAAUAGUCUUCUUCCUCCCUUAGGAAUUUCGGUUUAAAUGUUAUUAAGCAUACAUUUGGCUGACAAUUAUUAACCACUUCAUGAUAUGGUUUCUUACCCUUAAUCAAUGGUUUCUAAGUGAAUAUAUGCAGAAGGAAAUCUGAACUGUAGACAGCAGUAUUGAUAACUCUCAAUAUUCUUUAUAUAAGAGAAUAAACAACGUCAUAGUGAUCGUCGCCUACAAGAAAGGUACAUUUCCCAACAAGAUGUAGUUGUGACUGGUACAUGGACGCAAUUAACUCGUACAAAAGAAUAAGACCAGUGCACGGCAGCUCUUAUUUUACAUGCUAAUUAUGCUAACCAAAGUCACUCAGUUGGGAUGGGAGGGAGAUGGAGGUUUGUGCGGUGGCUUGUGGGGCGGAGUUGGUGGCUUCUUUUCAGGAGCUUGUGGCUUUUUCGGAGCUGAAGGAGGCUCAAUCUUAUGAGGCGGCUUGUACGAGUCUUCUUUACUCUCGACAGGAGGGUGGCCAGGGUUGUGACCAUAAUGUGGUGGCUUCUCUCCCUUAGGUGGCUUGCCAACUGGGGUUGGUGGCUUGUGUUCAGGAAGUGGUUUCUCUCCCUUGGGAGGUUUACCAAUUGGGGUUGGUGGCUUGUGUUCUGGGAGUGGUUUCUCUCCCUUGGGAGGUUUAGUGGGUGACUUGUGUUCUGGAGGUGGCUUCUCCACCGGAGGCUUGUGCUCCGGUGGUGGCUUCUCCACCGGAGGCUUGUGCUCCGGUGGUGGCUUCUUGAUUGGAGGGGGCUUGGGGUAAUCAGCAAGAGAUGGGAUGGUGAGAACCACCACUCCAAGGAACAACACUAGCAAGUAUGUGGGAGACAUUUCUGAGUUUGAGCUGAUCAGAUGAUGCAAAACUAGAAGAAUUACGGGACCUUUUAUAGCAAGUAUCUCCCAAUACCCACAUGACACGUGUUACUAUGACCAUAAAUAUUAUAGGGUCCAUUUGUGCCCUACCGGGUUGAAAACUUGGACGCUUGGCCGAGGACACACCUGACUAUGGAGGACUAUUGACGUGUGAUCACAGCUUUUGGAUUUUUCUUCCUGUGCAGCUGUCUAGCGGUUGGCAUUAUUUUCUUAAUCUUAAAUAAAGGCAUAGUUAUAGAGUUGUUUAAUCUCUAAAUGGGAUUUUAUAUAUCUUCAGAUAGCCAUUAAUAUAUUUGAUGAAGAAAGACAAGUGCAUACAACAUGUAUACGGCUUGCUUCAAUCGAGUACAUUUAUGAUCAGUUUUCCUGUGCAAGUAAACCAGUUUUUUGUUCCACAACUAUUUUGGAAUCUUGUUUAUCAGUUUCUAUCAUUAUAAUGUCACAUAGGCUGCAAACUUGGGCACCCAAAGAUCUAGGUGGGCAAAUUUGUUUCAGACUUUCAAUGGUGGAUUCAGUAAUUGUUAAAAGGUGUUUCUUCAUUAAGGAAAGAGUCCGGUAAAAAUAUUGUUAAAAGGUGUCAUAGAAACUAUAAUAAAUAAAUAACUUCUUUUCCCCAUGGGUGGUGUUUCUUCUGGGGAUCAGUGACUGGUUAGGGUCACCCAAAAUGAGUCCAGAUUAAAAUUGGUUCGAGUCAAAGCAGUCUCUUUUGUCCAGAAAUCAACUAUUUUGCGCAUUGAAUGAAUCGAUAAAGAAAAAAUGAAAGCCAAAUCACACCUCCCCUGCAAAACCUAAACCCCGGUUGCUAACUUUCUAUGUUUCAGUCCUAUUCAUAUAGGAAUAUUGGUUCAAGUUUGAGAAAAAUGGCAACUUACCUAGGGUUUACUUGGUUUUGGUUUGCGACUAUUUACGCAACCAACCAUGAGUUUGACUUUAACGUCAUGGGUUGAAGCCUCCUACAAUCAUGUAUGAUAGUUCAAAGCUCGUGGAAGAAAUUAUACAGGAAGGAAGAAACCUCCAAAGCUAGCUCCAAAAGAGAAUUAUCACAUCGAUAGCUCCAGAGAUUCCCAAGGGAACUGAAUCAAAGACAAGUUCCUCACUUUUUCUUCUUUUGAGGCCAAAUAUGAACCAAGGAUCACACGACCUCAUUCAACUUCAUAAGUUUGAUUUCAUGCAGUUGAACACUGGGUGAAGGCCAUGACAAGAAUUGAUUAAAAAAUUCUACCACUCUUUUAAGUAAUGGAAGAUUAUUAUCUCUGAUUGGCACCACAACAGCACAUGCUGCUAGAUCUUUCUAGACACUCCAUGCAAUGAAAGCACAAUGGAUCUUGUAAUGAUAGAAACUAAGCCAUGCUACAGUACUAGAUGAGGGGGUAAAACUAGUAGACAUCUUUCUAGACACUCCAUGCAAUGAAAGCACAAUGGAUCUUGUAAUGAUAGAAACUAAGCCAUGCUACAGUACUAGAUGAGGUGGUAAAACUAGUAGACAUGGCUGGCAGUUGAUUACUACUCAAAAAGUACUCUUUUAUAGCUUGAAACUAACUGUUUUAAACACUUUUGAGUAGUAGUUAAUACCUUUUAACUUAAUUGGCACAUUAAGGAACCUAGCAAGGGUUACUAAUCAACAUUUGGCAAGUUUUGAUGUUUUUGGUAGCUAUUUGAUCAUUGAAACAAGCCAAGAAUGAGGGGGAAUUUUGUGAAGUCCAUGGCAAUGCAAGUUAAAGCUCAAAUACAUGAAGAAUCCAAGCUUUGGAGCACUUCAUAGCCCUUUGCCAAGCCAAUCAAAGAUGCAAGGAAGAAAACCAAAGGAAGAAAUCCAACAAUCAGCAUUUUGGCAUGGCUAUGUGAAAUUUCGCACACCAUGCGAAACCACAAGAGGCAGCCAAAGAAUUUCGCAUGGUAUGCGAAAUCUUCUUGUGCACUGACUCUGUUAGAUUUUUAUCUUCAGAUAUUUUGUGUAAUUUCCUAGUUUCUCCUUGUAACCAACUUAGAUAUUUUCUUUUAUAUCUUUUUUUAUAUUUUUUAGGUAACAUCAUAUAUAAGAGGAGAGACAUAAGGAGGAUAUGGAUGUUUUUCAUAGAACACUUGUAAAUUUUUGGUAGUAAGAAAUAUACAAAGCUUUUUGCUCUGCCUUACCUUCUCAAGGGAUGAGUGGCUAGGUUUUCUUGGAGUGAGGGAAGCUAGGUGAAGGACCUGAAUGCAAAGGUGGGAGUUUUCCUUACUUUAAAUGAAAGUAGUUGUUAAACAUUAAUGGUUUUUAUUUUAAGGUUUAGCUUUAAAUCCCUGAAAAACACCUUGAAUGGCCAAUACUUGGUAAGCUUUUUAGAUUCUAUGGAUGCUUAUUGCUAGAUCCAUGGAUGUCUAUUAGUUAUCAUUUACGAGCCAUUGGAAGGUGAUUCAAGGUGAGGGUCUUUAGUGUUUGAAGCCAUUAAUGGGAAGCAAUUACCAUUUUUUCAUGAAUCCUUUGGAUCAAAUCUUAAUUGCUAAAUAUAAAACCGGUUUCGAGAGAUAACCACCAUCCUUUAUGUUAUUAUCCCCAACGCGAGGAGAAGAUCCGAAAUCUUCCUUUUUAUCUAAGGAACCCGAUCCUAGUGACCUAAAGCUCCAAGAUACCUUUUCUUUGUAGUUAACUUCAUUUAUUGUUUUUGCUUAACUUAAAAUCAAUCUUUGCAACCACAAUUCCAUUUUCUUUAAAAGCUAAUUUUUAUAAGGAAAAACACCAUUUUAUUUCCUUCACUAAGUCAACUGUACGAUGAAAACCCAUCCCUGUGGACGAUCCUAGAGCCACUAUACUAUGUUAGCUAUGCUACCCUAGUGUGAGGUGAUUUAGGUUUUAUAAAUUUUUUUGAUAACACCCAUCUGAGCCAGAAUCAAAUGGCACGACUGAACCAGGGACGAAUCAAAUGACGCCGCUACCAAGGAUGGUGCCAAAGUACAUUGACAUGACUUUUGGUGAACACUUGUGAUCUUCACCACAAGUUUGGUGAUUUUUCUUUUACUAAUUUUUUUUAUUUUAGCUUAUCUUUUAUUUAGUUUUUAGUUAACCUUAAAUUUUUCCUAGAAUUGUAUUUCUUUUGUUUUCUUUGUUUUUGUUUCAGUGAUCUUUAGUUGUGCAUGCCCUAUUGGAUAAGAGAUAUUGAGGGAAUACUUGUGAAGAUUGAAACUCCUCGAGAAACUGAGUUAGAAGUGUGCUUGAACAUCAUGGAUGUUCCACCUGAAGACCAGAAUAGCCAACAUGGUUAAGAGGAUAAUUUCAACACAUACCGAUCCAUGAGGAACCGCAUACAUCCACCUUGUAUGAGUGCACCGUCAGGCAUAAUGCCUCCCACUGAGCAGCUAGUAAUCUGACCUCACAUUGUGCCACUCCUACCUACUUUCCAUGGGAUGGAGAGUGAGAAUCCCUACUCGCAUAUUAAGGAAUUCGAGGAGGUUUGUAAUACAUUCCAAGAAGGAGGAGCUUCAAUUGACUUGAUGAGGCUCAAGCUAUUUCCUUUCACUUUGAAGGAUAAGGCCAAGAUUUGGCUUAAUUCUUUAAGGCCAAGAAGUAUCCAAACUUGGAUUGAUUUGUAAGCCGAGUUUCUUAAGAAGUUCUUCCCUACCCAUAGGACCAAUGGUUUGAAAAGGCAAAAUUUGAACUUCUCAGUUAAAGAGAAUGAGAAAUUCUAUGAGUGUUGGGAGAGCUACAUGGAAGCUAUUAACGUUUGUCCUCACCAUGGCUUUGACACAUGGCUCUUAGUGAGCUAUUUUUACAAUGGUAUGUCUUCUUCAAUGAAGCAACUCCUAGAAACUAUGUGUGGAGGAGACUUCAUGAGUAAGAAUCCGGAGGAAGCCAUGGACUUUUUGAGUUAUGUGGCUGAAGUUUCAAGAGGAUGGGAUGAACCAAAUGCUAGAGAGGUGGGAAGAAUGAAGUCUCAACCUAAUGCUAAGGGUGAGAUGUAUGUUUUGAAUGAAGACAUUGACAUGAAAGCAAAGGUUGCAGCUAUGGCAAGGAGAUUGGAAGAGCUAGAAAUGAAGAACAUACAAAAAGUGCAAGCCAUUUCUGAGACAUCAAUGAAAGCUAUGCCUUGUUCCAUUUGUCAAUCUUAUAAGCACCUAGUGGAGGAGUGUCCUACAAUUCCAGCAGUGAGAGAGAUGUUUGGUGAUCAAGCAAAUGUUAUUGAUCAAUUCAAGCCUAAUAACAAUGCUUCAUAUGGCAACACCUACAAUUCAAAUUGGAGGAACCAUUCAAAUUUCUCUUGGAAACGAAAGCCACCUCAAUACACACAACCUACUCAAGCACCUUAGCAAUCCUCGAAUCUUGAACAAGCUAUUGUGAACCUUAGCAAGGUUGUGGGAGACUUUGUGGGAGAUCAGAAGUCCAUCAAUGCUCAACUGAAUCGGAGAAUUGACAGUGUGGAGAGUACAUUGAACAAAAGGAUGGAUGAGAUGUAAAAUGAUCUGUCUCAAAAGAUAGACAAUGUCCAAUACGUAAUCUCAAGGCUUACCAACCUCAACACAGUGUAAGAGAAAGGAAAGUUUCCUUCUCAACCUCAUCAAAAUCCUAAGGGUAUCCAUGAAGUAGAGGCUCAAGAGGGAGAAUCUUCAAAGGUGAGGGAAGUCAAAGUAGUUAUCACCUUGAAGAGUGGUAAAGAGGUUGAUCAACCCACAUCCAAGCCAAAGCAUAAUGAAGAGAGUGUAGCAGAAAAAGAAAAGAGAGGAAAAUAAAGGAAUUAGAAUAGAGAAAAAUACAAAGAAAGAUGACCAUGAGUCUAGUGUGGAUGAAGAGCCCGAGAGGAUGGUGAUCAAGGAAGAUAUGAUGAAGAAACACAUGCCUCCACCUUUCCCCUAAGCUUUGCAUGACAAAAAAAGAACCAAUAAUACAUCAGAAAAUUUUGAAGUAUUGAGGCAAGUGAAGGUCAAUAUCCCUUUGCUAGACAUGAUCAAACAAGUGUCGACAUAUGAAAAAUUCUUGAAGGACUUGUGCACUGUAAAGAGAGGGUUGAAUGUGAACAAGAAAGCUUUAUUGACCGAGCAAGUGAGUUCCAUCAUACAGUGCAAGUCCUAGUGAAGUACAAAGAUCCGGGUUGCCGUACCAUCUCAGUGAGUAUUGGAAGGACUUGUGUGGAGAAAGCUUUGUUGGACUUGGGAGCAAGUGUGAAUUUGCUAUCCUACUCUGUCUAUAAGCAGUUGGGAUUUGGAGAGUUGAAGCCAAUAUCCAUCACUCUAUCUCUAGCGGAUAGAUCAAUGAAGAUUCCAAGAGGGAUGAUCGAAGAUGUCCUGGUUCAAGUUAACAAAUUCUACUAUCCAGUAGAUUUUGUUGUUCUUGAUAUGGAUCCGGUUGUCAAAUGAACUAAUUAUGUUCCUAUCAUACUUGGAAGACCCUUCCUAGCUACAUCAAAUGCAAUCAUCAAUUGUAGGAAUGGAGUCAUGCAACUCACAUUUGUCAACAUGACAUUAGAGCUCAACAUCUUCCAUUUGUACAAGAAGCAUAUCCAUCAGGAGGAAAAAGAAGGUCUAGAGGAAGUGUGAAUGAUUGACACUUUAGUGGAAGAGCAUUGUGAUCGAGAAUGCAAAAAGAUUUAGUUGAGAAUUUUGGGGAUCUUGAUGAAAGGUUACUUGAACCCUCAGAUUUGCUUGCUACCCUACUCCAUUGGAAGAGAAGAGAAGAAAUUCUACCCUUAUUCAAUGAGGAGGAGACGCAAAGAGCUGCAAAGGAGAAACCCCCAAAACUUAUUCUUAAGCCACUACCCACAGAGUUGAAGUAUGUAUACUUGGAAGAAGACAAGAAGUGCCCUAUUGUUAUAUCUUCAACUCUUACCAUUCAUCAGGAGGAUUGUCUACUUGAAGUCCUUAGAAGAUGUAAGAAGACAAUAAGGUGGCUAAUUUCUUAUUUGAAAGGGAUCAGCCCUUUAGUCUGCACCCAUCAUAUUUACAUGGAGGAUGAAGCUAAGCUAAUUCAUCAACCUCAGAGAAGGUUGAACCCUCACAUGCAAGAGGUGGUUCGAGCUGAAGUUCUGAAGCUACUUCAGACCAGUAUUAUUUACCCCAUAUCAAAUAGCCCAUGGGUGAGUCCUACUCAAGUUGCGCCAAAGAAGUCUGGGAUCAUGGUGGUGCAAAAUGAUAAGGGAGAAGAUGUCUCUACACGCCUCACUACAGGUUGGAGGGUGUGUAUCAAUUACAGGAGGUUGAAUGCAGUGAUAAGAAAGGACCAUUUCUCAUUGCCCUUUAUUGAUCAGGUGCUUGAGAGGGUCUCUGGGCUUUUUUUUUUAUUGUUUCUUGGAUGGCUACUCCGGGUACUUUCAGAUAGAAAUUGAUGUUGAAAACCAAGAUAAGACCAUUUUCACAUGCCCAUUUGGAACCUAUGCAUAAAGGAGAAUGCCUUUCGGCUUAUGCAAUGCACCCGCAACUUUCCAAAGAUGCAUGUUAAGCAUUUUCAGUGAUAUGGUGGAGCGUAUUAUGGAAGUCUUUAUGGAUGAUAUCACCAUUUAUGGAAGUGCAUUUGAUGAAUGCUUGGUCAACUUAGAAGCUGUUCUGAACCGAUACAUUGAGAAAGACUUAGUGCUUAACUGGGAGAAGUGCCAUUUCAUGGUACACCAAGGGAUUGUCCUUGGGCACAUUAUCUCCAAGCAAGGCAUUGAAGUUGACAAAGCAAAGGUUGAACUCAUUGUUAAGUUGCCAUCCUCAACAAAUGUCAAAGGAGUAAGGCAAUUCUUUGGCCAUGUCGGGUUCUAUAGGAGGUUUAUCAAGGAUUUCUCUAAGCUUGCAAGGCCUCUUUGUGAAAUAUUGGUGAAUGAUGUUAAAUUCAUAUGGGAUGAUGGAUUUGAAAGGAGUUUUGAAGAAUUGAAGCUAUUUUUGACAACCGUACCAAUAGUGAGGGCUCCCAACUGGCAACUGCCCUUUGAAGUAAUGUGUGAUGUCAAUGAUUUUGCUAUAGGAUUUUUUCUUGGGCAAAGAGAAAAUGGAAAACCUUAUGUGAUCUACUAUGCGAGGAAGGCAUUGAAUGAGGCACAAAGAAACUACACAACCACCGAGAAAGAAUUGUUAGCUGUAGUUUUUGCCUUGGAUAAGUUUCGCGCUUACUUGGUGGGGUCCUUCAUCAUGGUUUUUACUGAUCACUUUGCUUUGAAGUAUCUGUUGACUAAGCAAGAUGCUAAAGCAAGGCUGAUUAGAUGGAUUCUCUUACUUCAAGAGUUCAAUCUCCAUAUCAAAGAUAAGAAAGGAGUGGAGAAUGUGGUAGCAGACCACAUUUCAAGGCUAGCUAUCGCACAUAAUUCCCAUGCUUUGCCCAUUAAUGACGAUUUUCUAGAGGGGUCUCUCAUGUUGGUGGAAGUUGUCCCUUGGUACGCUCACAUUGCUAACUACCUGGUCACGGGAAAAGUUCCAAGUGAGUGGAAAGCACAAGAUAAGAAGCACUUCUUUGCAAAAAUUCAUGCCUACUAUUGGGAAGAGCCAUUUCUAUUCAAGUAUUGUAUGGAUCAGAUAAUAAGGAAGUGCGUUCCUGAAGAAGAGCAACAGGGGAUCCUUAGUCAUUACCAUGAAAAUGCAUGUGGAGGCCACUUUGCUUAUCAAAAGACAGCCAUGAGGGUGUUGCAAUCGGGUUUCUGUUGGCCAUCACUUUUCAAAGAUGCCCACACCAUGUGCAAGAGUUGUGAUCGAUGCCAGAGGCUUGGGAAGUUGACACGCAGGAACAUGAUGCCUUUGAACCCCACUUUAAUAGUUGAUAUUUUUUAUGUUUGGGGCACUAACUUCAUGGGACCUUUCCCUAUGUCUUUUGGCUACUCUUACAUCUUGGUAGGAGUAGAUUAUGUUUCUAAGUGGGUUGAGGCAGUCCCAUGCAAACACAAUGACCAUAGAGUGGUUCUCAAGUUUCUUAAAGAGAAUAUCUUCUCAAGAUUUGGGGUGCCCAAAGCCAUAAUUAGUGAUGGGGGUACUCAUUUUUGCAACAAGCCUUUUGAAACUCUCCUAGCCAAGUAUGGGGUGAAGCAUAAGGUAGCUACACCUUACCACCCUCAAACUCAUGGACAAGUUGAGUUAGCAAACAGGGAGAUUAAAAACAUAUUGAUGAAGGUGGUGAACACAAACAGAAAAGAUUGGUCAGUCAAGCUUCUUAAUUCACUAUGGGCAUAUAGAACAACUUACAAGACCAUUCUCGGGAUGUCUCCUUAUCGCCUAGUUUAUGGCAAAGCAUGCCAUCUCCCUGUGGAAUUGGAAUACAAAGCUUGGUGGGCAAUCAAGAAGCUCAACAUGGAUUUGAGCAGAGCUGGGUUGAAGAGGUUCUUAGACCUUAAUGAGAUGGAGAAAUUGAGAAAUGAUGCCUACAUCAAUUCAAAAAUUGCAAAAGAAAAAUUGAAGAGGUGGCAUGAUCAGUUGAUUUCCCGCAAGGAUUUUCAAAAUGGACAAAGAGUCUUACUUUAUGACUCUAAACUCCACAUCUUUCCGGGCAAGCUGAAAUCAAGGUGGAUAGGUCAUUUUACCAUUCACCAAGUGCAUUCAAAUGGAGUAGUGGAACUACUCAACUCCAACAAUAUCGAGAACUUCAAAGUGAAUGGCCACCGUCUCAAGCCCUUUGUGGAGUCUUUUUCUCACAACAAGGAGAAAUUCAUCCUCCUUGAUCCACAUCAAGCUUAACAAGACCAAUUUUCUUGAUGGACUUAGUCUUUCUAAAGACUAUCGAGUCCAUAACUUUUUGUUUUAUUUUUUAUUUGAGAUUUUUUCGGUAUUGUUACUUGUUUUGUUUUUUAUUUUUCGUUUUAAUUUUAUUUGGUUUGAUUUAACUUAGGUUUUUGAUGAUCAAUUACAGGGGGGAUUUCAAAUAGAGGAAAAACCAAGAUAAUUCGCACACCCUACGAAAAUUUCGCAAGGCAUGCGAAAUUUAUGGCUUAUUUUGCAUGGGGUGAAAAUUUUCGUACAUCUUACGAACCAAUUUCGAACACUUUGCGAAAAUAAACCAACCCUGCGAAAUCAUUUCGAUUACUCUACGAAAUUUUCGUAGAGCAUGCGAAAAAUUUAGCACACCAAACACCAUUUCGCAUACUAUGCAAAAACCUAAGGGGUCUGCGAAACCAUUUCGCACCUCCAAAUCCAUUUCGCACAUUGUGCGAAAACCAAGAGGCGCUGUGCGAAAAUGAAAAGUCGCCCUGUCAUCCCUUUUUAAACCCCUCGAGCCCUAAAAUCUCCAUUUCGCAAGCACCCCUGUCCUUGCGAAUCCCUCAUUUUCCUCUACUACCUUGCAACCUCGUCCCUUUCCAUUUGAUAUUGUGCCCCGCGCACAUCUCAUUUCAGAGACUCGCACUCCGCGCCCCCUCAAAGCAUGGACUCGAGACCCACCUUCCAUUUCCGACGUGGCACGGACCCAAGGAGCCCUUUCUGCCCCUUCACUAAGACACACACCAAGGCAGAAAGCCUCCUUUGCUCAAGUGCCUAGUGAUUCUCCAUCUUAGGCCUCAGAGGCCUCGGAGGCCCCGUGGAUUCCACCUUCCGAGGGUAGAGCAGCCAUUGGUCCUUCCUCUUCUACUCCUUAGCGUAGAUACGAGACGAGGAGACCACCUACUACACAAGGGGCGACUACUUCGAGCCUUGAGAAUUCAGUACGAUGCCUUCCUGCCAAGAGGGUCAAGACUUCAGGUCCAAGUGAGUCAUCCAGAGCUUCAUAGCCUAAGCCUCCUGUAGAUUCCAAGGUUCCUACUGACAUAUCACCGGAGUCUAUUAUCAGAAGCCCGAUGCUCAUAGCACCGCCCAUUGAGGGCAACUCAGAUUAUAGAGCGAGAUCUUUCCACUUGGAGCUAUAUUUUGAUCAGGAGGCCAUACGACAGCAGCCUGAGCUCCGAGACUCUUAUGGCUUACUGCAGAGGUACCAUCUUGAGGAACUUAUGACUCCUCGUGAGUUUUUUUAUCCCAGAGUAGCACUAAACUUUUACCAGUCCAUGACUACUCGUGGCGUCCCGAGUCCUACCACGAUUCACUUCACCAUUGAUAGACGUCAUGGUAUCCUCAAGGCCAGACAUAUUACAGAGGCUCUACAAAUUCCUUUCGAGCUAGAGGAUCCAUCUGUUUUUCGCUAAUGGUCCCCAGUAUCUCAGAGGGACAUGGUCCGUAUUUUAUCUAGGGGAACAUCUACAGAUUCGAUCUUUCUACGGAAGGAGCUUCGACCUGGGAUGCUCCUCUUAGAUGUGGUGCUAUGCUCCAACCUCUUUCCCUUACAACAUUCGGUACAUAGGUGAUGAGCUAUUUUGGACGCUUUAUUCCGUAUAUCAGAGGGCUUCUACUUUGGCCCGCACCACUUGAUCAUGGUCUCCCUCAUCCACUUUGAGGAGAAGGUUCAUAGGAAGAAGCUUCAGAGGGUGGACACCAUUCCAUUACUAUUCCUGAGGUUACUUUGCCAGGUCUUGGAGUACAUGGGCUUUCCUACUGAGCCUCGGCUCGAGCUUUGCCGCCUUUGUCGAGAGUGAUCCACUCUCGACAAAUGGAAUUAGUUGGCGGGCUAUUCUGCACCUCCAGGAGCCCCUCCCAUGGUAGCACCUCCAAUGUCCCCACAGGCAAAGUAGGGCGAGCUCCCGGCAAAGACUGUACCACCAAUGCCCACACUUGAGGCUAUUUCUGCUGCUCUGCCUAUGACUCCUACUGUUCCACCAGUUGGUCCUUUUACAUCCGAGCCUUCCAUCACCAUCUCGGCUUCGGAGUUUCGCGCCCUUGUGCAUACCUUUCAGACACUCACCACCACACAUACUCCUCUCUUCUAGCAAAUGGUUGAGAUGUGUGCCCAUCAGGACCGGAAGACUACUAUACUCUGCCAAAUUCAGCAGCACCUAAGACUUUUGCCUCAACCUCAACCUAACCAUCCCAUAUCAUCAGAGCCUCUAGCUCCAACUGAGGAUACUAUUCCACCUGAGAACACUACCACAGUAGAGGUCCGGUUUCCACCACCUUAAGAGGCCACCACAGCUACAUCAGAGGAUGUGUCAUCUCCACUUGAGGCUCCCACUACUUGAUCAUAGGACAUAUCUUUAUCUUAUUGUAUUUACAUAUUAUAUUACUAGAGAUUUGUCCUUGUUUUGAUACUUUAUAUUCUGGGAUUGGAUGUAUUGCCUGAUGAUAUCUCAAUUGUACUUUCUCAUAUUAAUAUAUAGACAUCAAUUUUUUUUAGUAUACUUAGCAUUUUUCUAUUUCCUCUACUCAUUACUCUUUUGUUUUUUUUUACUCAUGUGGUUUCUCUUAUACAACUCAGACUCCAUUUCACUCAGGAGGUACCACUUCCUCCCUUUAUUUUCAAUUGCUCUUGAAAUAUUGAGUGCAAUGUUGAUCUUGGUUGGGGGGAGAGUUGAGGAAGGAAGUUUUGUUAAUAAUGCUAGGUUAAUUUGUUAAUUUAGUUACUUUCUGCUUAAUUUUAAAAGUUUUCACUCUACUUUCCAUGGUUAUUAAGGAAAAAUUCUCAAAAUGAAAUGGGAGAAAUCGAAUUCUUGCAUUUUUACUUGAAUCUUAGAAUUUGUAUCAUGCUUAUUAAAGUUGAUGAAUUAUUGAAACUCCUAUUGAAUUCAACCUUAUUUUUUCCACUUUAAUCUUACCACACACGGUGCACAUUAGGUUCCAGUUAUAAGAUAAAAAACUAUCUCACCCCCUAAACUUAGAAAAAUUUACACUUGGUACCUUUGACAUCGUUUUAAUAGUGUUGGGACACCUUAUAAAAGGCCAAUGAGCCUUUAAAAAAAAAAAAAAAAAAAAAAAGAGAAAGAACAAAGUAUUGCACUUGCCUUGAAACCUGAGCAAGAUCCGAGGGGUAUACAGUGAAAGUCUUUAAAACCUGGUGCCCUAAGCCUUGAUUGGUUGGGAGUCACCGACCUCAAUGCUCGUUAUAAGGGUGAAUAGGUGGAGUUUAACAUAUUGUAGGUGCUUGGGUAUUGAAUUUCAAUCUCAAAAGUCCGGGAAAAAAUCUAAGGAGUUAGUGGUCAAAAGAUCCUUAAAGCUUGAUGCCCUAAACCUUGAUUGGUUGAGAGUCAUUGAUGGAUCCCCGCUACAUGGACAUUUUAGAAAACAAUACCUUUAGCAUUGCACGCCUACAAUGAAAAAAAAAUGUGAAAUAAAAGAGGUGCGUUCUUAGCCUAUUGGAGGUUGGUCAGUUUGCUAAAGUUUGAGAAAUCUAGGUUGGGGGGAGAGAAUAGUCCGACAUACUAUAAUAAAAAACUAAUAACCUUAACACUUAGAUUUUUGUGGAAGAGUAAGGAUUGGACCUUUAGGGGUGGAAAUUCUUUUGAUGCUUAAAUUUGCAUAAUGCCUACUCUUUAUAAAUUAUGAUUAGGCAAGAGAUUUGAUGACUCUUGUUCAAAGUUGGGUUUUUCCUCUUUGAUGUUCCAUGAGAGAGUAUAAUCCUCAUCAUGCCACUUGAAAUCUUUUUGGAGUGAUUAACAUGAUUUUGUAAAUUAUUUUACUGUCUAUUUUUCUUUAUCUCUCUUUUAUUGCUAAUGGACUAGCAAUAUGUCAGUUGGGGGGAGUGAUUACUACUCAAAAAGUACUCUUUUAUAGCUUGAAACUAACUGUUUUAAACACUUUUGAGUAGGUGUUAAUACAUUUUAACUCAAUUGGCACAUUAAGGAACCUAACAAGGGUUACUAAUAAGUUUUUGGCAAGUUUUGGUGUUUUUGGUAGCUAUUUGAUCAUUGAAACAAGCCAAGAAUGAGGGAGAAUUUUGUGAAGUCCAUAGCAAUGCAAGUUAAAGCUCAAAUACAUGAAGAAUCCAAGCUUUGAAGCACUUCAUAGCCCUUUGCGAAGCCAAUCAGAGAUGCAAGGAAGAAAACCAGAGGAAAAAAUCCAACAACCAGCAUUUUCGCAUGGCUGUGCGAAAUUUUGCACACCAUGCGAAACCACAAGAAGUAGCCAAAGAAUUUUGCACACCAUGCGAAAUUUCGCAUGGUAUACGAAAUCUUCCUAUGCACCAACUCCGUUAUAUUUUUAUCUUCAGAUAUUUUGUGUAAUUUCCUAGUUUCUCCUUGUAACCAACCUAGAUAUUUUCUUUUAUAUCUUUUUUUUAUAUUUUUUAGGUAACAUCAUAUAUAGGGGGAGAGACAUAAGGAGGAUAUGGAUGUUUUUCAUAAAACACUUUUAAUUUUCUGGUAGUAAGAAAUAUACAAAGUUUUUUGCUCUGCCUUACCUUCUCAUUUUGUUUUCACCUAUCUUUCUAGCCAAACAACCUCUGAGAAUGAUUUCUCAGGGGAUGAGUAGUUAGGUUUUACGUUUCUUGGAGUGAGAGAAGCUAGGUGAAAGACCCAAAUGCUAAGGUGGGAGUUGUCCUUGCUUUAAAUGAAAGUAGUUGUUAAAUAUUAAUGGUUUUUAUUUUAAGGUUUAGCUUUAAAUCCCUUAAAAACACCUUGAAUGGCCAAUACUUGGUAAGCUUUUCGGAUUCUAUGGAUGCUUAUUGCUAGAUCCAUGGAUGUCAUUAGUUAUCAUUUAUGAGCCAUUGGAAGGUGGUUCAAGAUGAGAGUCUUUAGUGUUUGAAGCCAUUAAUGGGAAACAAUUACCAUUUUUUCAUGAAUCCUUUGGAUAAAAUCUUAAUUGCUAAAUAUAAAACUGGUUCGGGAGAUAACCAUCCUUUAUGUUAUUAUGCCCAAUGCAAGGAGAAGAUUUCGAAUCUUCUCAUUUGUCUAAGGAACCCGAUCCUAGUGACCUAAAGCUCCUAGAGACCUUUUCUUUGUAGUUAACUUCAUUUAUUGUUUUUGCUUAACUUAAAAUCAAUCUUUGCAACCACAAUUCCAUUUUCUUUAAAAGCUAAUUUUUAUAAGGAAAAGCACCAUUUUAUUUCCUUCACUAAGUCAACUGUAUGAUGAAAACCCAUCCCUGUGGACGAUCUUAGAGCCACUAUACUAUGUUAUCUAUGCUAUCCUAGUGUGAGGUGAUUUAGGUUUUAUAAAUUUUGUUGAUAACACCCGUCUGAGCCAGAAUCAAAUGGAACCACUGAACCAGGGACAAAUCAACAGCCUAUAUGGGAGGGACACAAGUUUAAUUGAUUUGCAUUUCAGCGUUAUAGAUAAGUAUGUUUUGGAAGAUUUGUUCUGGAAAUACUGCACCAAGUACGAUUCUUUUUCUCUUGAGUGAGUCCAUUUGCAUGCCAAUUAACGAGUUGAAAAGUAGGAGCACCUACCUCGUGCUCAUGGAACCGAAUGUCAGUGAAGUGGGGCUCCUUUUAGCCUCUUGUGUUUCUGUUCCAACCAAGGCGGCGUAGGGAAAAACAACAAUAUGUCUGUGCUAAAUAUCAACGCAUGAUAGAUGUUUUUUUUUUUUUUUUUGGUAUGUCAAGGCUAACGAAUGAAAUGCAUUAGCUUGUUUUGUGACUAUAACUGCAAAUGUCCAAAUUGGAGUAUCUCCAUUUCUCACUUCGGAUGGUUAACUUUAUAAACAAGAUAUAGGAAACAUGUGAACAUCUUGAGGAACAAUUCAAAUUAUUCAUUAGAAGUCCUGGGUUAAGUUCCAAGAUUUAAAUCAGACCCUUCUAGCAGCUUCAAGGGUACUUAGCAACCUAUAACAUAUUAAUGAAGAUUUAGGAUUUAGACUCCGGAAUACAAAUAAAUAUGUAUCUCAUGCUUUGACUAGCUUCCCUACAUAUGCAUAAAAUGGAGAUGACCCAAAAAAAAUAGCAGAAUCUAGCUUCCCUACAUAUGCACAAAAUGGAGAUGACCCAAAAAAUAGCAUAAUCGCCUUAGUUUCUGUGGUUAAGGUGAUUCUCCGCUUAAUAUCCACAUUGACUCAUUAUGCAAAAUCAACUGAGCUAAUUUUAUUUAUUUAUUUAAUGUCAAAUAGGAACUCCUAAUUAACUGAUUACUGUCGAAAAGUGCUAUUUUGUAGACCUAAUUAUAAGGGUUUUAAGCACCUUUGAGUAGUAAUCAUAUUCAUUUAACCUAAUUAAUUCAUUAAGCUCCUUAGUAAUUAGUUCUAACCAUUUUUAGUGGCAAGUUUACAUGUUUUUCAUCAGCUUAUGAACCAAUUCAAGCAUGCCAAUUGAUGGAGGAGCUACUUGGGCGAGUUAAGCAAGGAUUUUGGACGUUUACAGGCUUGAAUUUCAAGUGGAAACACGAGCACAAGCAAUGGGAACACCAUUUCGCAAGGGGAGGCAAUUCACCUUGCCAAAUGACCAAUUUCGCAAGGGGAUUUUCCUCAUGGUGCAAAAUUUGGUCAUUUCGCACCAUGAAGAAACCACCUUGCAAAAUUUCGCAAGGUGGAUUUAGGCACCUUGCGAAAUGCCAAAUUUCACAAGGUGGCUUUUCACCUUGCGAAAUUUGGACCUUUCAUCUUCCCCCCUUGCGAAAUGCCUUUGAAAUCCCCUGUUUUGAGACGCUGUUGAUGAUAUUCCACUGCCGGUUCUCCAAGAUAUUUUGCUUGACUUUUAGCUUUAUAAAUACCUAUUUUACCCUUGUAAUCAACCAAUGAAAAGGUUGCUUUUGUAAUAGCUCUUGUAAUUUAGCUUUUUAUUGUCUUUAAAUAGAGGUGAAGAGCCUCAGACACGAUCAUCUUGUAACCUGUAACUUUAUAAGUUAUAAGAGCACUUUUGUUCAUACGCUUCUUUUCUCUUUUCUUUCUCAUUUUCUUAGUAGCCAAACAUCCUUGGAGGAUGAAAUCCCCAAGGAUGAGAGGCUAAAACCUUUUAGUUUCUUGAAGUAAUGGAUGCCAUGUGAAGCUCCCGUGUCAGGAUGGAGAUUUCCAAGCCAUAAAUGUAAGUAGCUGAGCGUCAUAAAUGUUUUCAUUCAAAGUAAAGCUUUUAAUCCCUCUGACUUGCUUUGAAUGGCCAAUACUUGAUAACCUUUUGGUCUCAAUGGAUUCUUAUUGUUAGAUCCACUGACGUUCAUUAGUUAUCUCCUACGAGCCAUUGUAUUGCAAGUCGAGGAGAUGACCUAUACCAAUAAAAGAGCAUUUAUGAGGUUCAACUACCCUUUUUGUAAGUUUUCAAGGACUAAAACUCAGUUGUUAAACUCAUACCGGUUCGAGAAGUAAGCAUCACCUUAGUUGCUUCCCCAACUCGAGGUGAAAAGUCCCAAAAUCUCCAUUUUUACACAGUGAGUUAAGCAUGGCUAUCCAAAGCUUUAAGAAACUUCUUUUUCCAUCUUUUAACCUAUUUUCAUGUUAGUUUAGUUUACAACACCUUCAUCUUUUUAUGUUUUCAUCUUAACCUAAUUUUUAUUAAGAAAAGUUCACUCCAUCCUCCGAACUUCACCAGUUAAAGUAAAAACCCUUCCCAGUGUUCGAUCCUAGAGCCACUAUGCUAUAGUAGCUUUGCUACUUUAGUGUAAGGACCUUAGGUAUAAAUUUUGUUGAUACCCUUACAUGCCAAGCUACCAAGAGUCGGGUUAUCAUUAACCUAACCAUUGGCCUGUGUAAAUUGAUUUCACAUGCACAAUGUUGUAGUAGAAGUCCAUAUUUUGAAUUUUAUUUUUGUAAAGGUAAGGAAAAUGAAGCAUUGUGUAAUUAUAAAAAUAACUUCAUUGGAAUUCACAAGGUUCACCCAAAAUGGAGCUACAUCUGUAUUCUAUCCUACAGUAGACUAUAUAGAUUGUACAAUAGUAAAUUGCAAAUACAAUUAAUAAGUCUUGUGCUUCCUUACUAAUAAUCCUUUGACAUGAACAUUGCAGCACUAAGGUCCUCUUGGGAAGACACCUUGCACCCAUGAGAGCACUAAGAGGAAGCAAGGCAGAGUCAUGGGUGCAAUGUCAUGACUUGUUGUUGCACCAAGAGAGGCUUGGUGAUGCCAUGGUGUUGCAGUAGCAAGAAUGUUGCCUUGGCAGGGACACGAUCUAGGGAUAGAUGCCAAGAAAGGCUUAGCACUCACAUGAGUUGCACAAAGAUGAAUGUAAUAGAGCAUCAGAGAGACGUCUUGGCAAGUAAAUGAAUGGAUCCAAGAGACAACAACAUGAGGAGUUUCAAAUGGAUAAGGAAUGACUCAAAGACAUUUGAAAGCUACAAGUUGGAUUCUAAUUACGAUUGCAAUUUGAGUUUGAGUAGGAGUUUAGAUUUUGAUUGUAAUUGUAGUAUGAGUUGGACUAGGAUUGCUUAUCCUUAGUCAAUAUAGGAGCGGUUCGUGUCACCCUAUGAAAAGAGUUUGAGUAGGGACUAGGAUUGCUUACUCCUAGUCAAAUAUGGAGUAGGUGGUGCCACACCUAUAAAAAAAAGGGACAACAUGAGAGAGAGAGAGAGAGAGAAAGAGAGAGUGAAUUCACUAAAGAUAUUGUGGGAGUUUUGCUUUGUUACGUCUUGUAUUAUUACUUAGAAUAGGAAUAAAAUACAAGUUGGGGCUAGAGCCCCAUAAUUAAUCUCGUGUGCCUUUGUGGUUAUUCUUUAUUUGUCAUCUCGUGUGGAUUGGAUUAGGUUGACUUAGAGGGCUUCUAAGCACCACCUUUGUGGGUUAUUAUUUAUUUUCCAUCUCUUGUGGAUUAGAUUAGGUUGACUUAGAGGGCUUCUGAGCACCACCUUUGUGGGUUAUUAUUUAUUUUCCAUCUAUUGUGGAUUAGAUUAGGUUGACUUAGAGGGCUUUUAAGCACCACAUUUGUGGGUUAUUCUUUAUUUUCCAUAUCGUGUGGGUUGGAUUAGGUUGACAAGGAGAAAAAUUAUGUGGGAAAUUUGUGUUGGGACACUUACCAUAACCAAGUAAAAUCUACCAAGUCCUUUGUAAUAUCUUCAACAAAUAUUUUAGACUAGUUCUUUCAGUUAGUGUAAAGGAGGAAGAAGUGGUAUUGAUUCUAGAAAUAGGGUGUGUGUAUUUGAACUACAAUCCUUAUGAUCCUUAGGUCUCUAAACCUUCGUGAUGGGCUCCCUGACAUUUCAUAGGUUGUGCUACACAUGCGUUUGAAAUUUAGAGUGCGUUUGACAGUGAUUCCGGGAAGUGUUUUUGGCCUUUCUUACACUUGAAAAUUUUUAUUUUUCAAGUAUUAGAAAUGCUACAAACACUUUUGAAAAUUACUGUCAAACACACUCUUAGGAGCGCACAUAUAUAGUAGAAAACUAGAAAUUGUGGUUUUUUUAGGAUUUACUGUAAUGUCAUUAGGAGGGUAGUAAGUUGAAAUUGAGUAUGAACAAAUAUUUCUUUCUUUGGGAUGUUCUUCUAGUAGGUGCUGAUGAAACUGUUCUUUCUACUGCCAAUGUCACAUAUCAGCCAGAAAUUGAAAAUUUCAGUCAAGGUGUCCUCUGUUUUAGUGGUGAGGAAAGCUAGAAAUUUUAAGGUGAAGUUUUGUUAAAAACCUUAAGUAGCUGGGAUAUCAGGCCUGUUUUGCUUGAAAAAAAAAGUUGCAAGAUAACUCAUAUGCCAAACAGGUUCUGAUAUUGUGAAUCUAUCGGCAGACAUCAGUAAUCUCAUCUUCUGAGAUGGAUGUUGGGGGUGCAUGUGGUGGUGGAGGGGCAAGGUUUCAUUUGGUUUAUUUUGUUGAUGGAUAUUGUCUAGCCACCUGCGCCAAGUUUGAGGGGUGGUGGGUUGUGAUGACCCUACAAUUACUAUUAAUUUCUUCAUCUUUUACCGAUUAAAGUGUCCGAACAGUCGAAGUUACCCUUAUGCAUGUCAACUUGAUCACUUACCUCUUCAAUGGAGUUUAUGCUGGUUCAUUUAGGAACUGAUUUUUAUUGUUAUGUAUUAUAUGCUGAUGUUUAGGUCUCUCCAUCAUCACUAUAUACAAAAAUUCUAGGUUGAUACUAUAGGUUGAGAUUUAUUUUUUAAAUAAAAAAUAAUAAAAAUAAAAAUUAUGGUGAUGUUUAGUUGUUUUAUGGAAAAUUUUAACAAGUAAAAGUUAUUUUUGGGCAAGUUUUCAAACAAAAAGAAAAGUAAAAGUUGUUUUGACAAAAACAUAUAGAAAAAAAAAUCAUAGAAAAUAAAUAAUUUCCCCAUAUUCUAACUUUUUUGAAUUUUUCUCAAUGGGCAAAGGAAUAUCAAAUCAAGUUUGAGUAGGAUUUCUUAAUUUUUAAAAUAACUUACAAUUAAAAAAUUUUGGUGUUUUCAUUUUUGGACAAUUUUUUAUUAAGCAAAUGGACUCUGAGUCAUGCAAGAGAUAUGGUUCAUUAACCGGUCGAACAAUUUUUUUAAAUUAAUUUAAAAGUCAAAUACAUAAUCAAUUUCACAAAAUUUAUAAACAAAAAUAGGUUUAGAGAAGAUCUACACAUAAUUUUACUUUUCUAAUUUUAUUUUAUUUUAUUUUUUGUUGGAAAAUAGUCUUCAAAUCAUGUAAGAUUUAAUAGGUUAAAUUUGUUAACAAUAAAUUUUAAAUUAUAAAAUAUAAUCUGGAACUCAAAAAUCAAUUCAAGUAAUGCUAAAAAAAAAUCAAAUUUGGUAUAGAAUGACUUUGUAAAUUUUUUUACAAAACAAAUGAAUUUUAAAUCAAGUGAGAUUUAAUGCAUUAGAUUUUUAUCAAAUAUAGUAAUUUUAAAAAUAAAUUUGGAACUCAACAAUAGACACAAUAAAUACCAAAAAAUAAUGAACCAAAAUUGGUUUGGAAUAACUCCACAACCUUUUUUUUUUUUUUUUGGUGCACACGAAUUUUCUUACUAGGUAUAUUGCUUUCAAAUUGAGAAAGAUUUACCAUUUAGAUUUUUUUUUAAUGAGUUUAAUGGUAUUUUAAAAUAAUUCAAAAUUUAAAAAAUUGACUAAUUAAUAUUAUAAAUUGAUAAACCAAGACUAUUUCAAAAUGCAUUGGGGGCUAAGGGGGUUGAAAAUAGGGACAAUGGGAUGGGUUUGGGACAUGACACUCAUAUCUCAUUUCCAUUCCAAUUACACAGUUAUCUCCCAUCCUUAUCCCAAACUUGUGUUGGAGCAAGUUGAUUUGUUCCCAUCUUUGUUGACGAAAUGACUAAUAACCUCAUCCCCUCCUUAUCUUAGAUGUACAUUUUGUCAAAUUUGAUCAGGUAUGAUUGAUCCAAGCCCUAACCCUAAUUGGUAAUGAGUGAAUACUACACCUAAUUGCAUUCUUCUUUCAUUGCAAAAUAAUGAGAUUAUAAUAAUCUAGCAAAUAAGAAAAAAUAGUAUGGAAGUUCAAAUUAACACCAUAACUAUCAAUAAUUUUAAGCUUAUAGAUGACUUAAAUGAUUAAAAACUAAUGCAAAAUCCUAAAAAAAAUAAAAAUCAUAUAAAGAAUUCACAAGAGAACAGAAUGAACAAAAACCAAAUAUGAACAUGGGUCAACAUUAGUUAUGGAUUUGGAUUCCUUUCAAGGCCAAUCUUUGAACCAAGACUUCAUCAAAUCAACUACUUCAAAGGCUUUUGUGUUCUUCUUGGGUUGUGCUCUCAAACAAAGACUUCGAGGUGAUGUUCUAGAUGAUUGAAUUACACAUAUUUAGGGUGGAGAGAUUGGAGAAGCUUGAAGAUGCCAACGAUGGGUACAAUUGAGUGGUCAAUAAGAACAAUGUAGCCUAUGACUAGUUUGAUGUCAUGGUACAAGAGUUUUAGGCAUUGAGGUUAAAGCAAGAGCAACAUGGAAUUGAUUUCGGAGUCUUUCAGUUAGUGUAAAGGAGGAAGAAGUGGUGUUGAUUCUAGAAAUAGGGUUUUAAGUGGUGCGUGAUUACUACUCAAAAAGUGCUAUUUGAUAGCCUUUAAUUAAUCCUUUUUAACACUUUUGAGUAGUAGUUUAGGCCUUUUAACUCAAUUGGCAUGUUAAGGAUCCUUUAAAGCAAUUUUGAUCACUUUGUGCAAGUUUUGGUGUUUUUGUUAGUAUUUUGAUCACCAAAGCAAGUCAAGAAUGAGGAGAACUAUGAGGAAUCAUGGGCAAAGCUUAGAAUUCAAUUGCCAAGAGUGAAUCCGGAUUGCAAGGAGAAAAAGCAAAGAGAAUCUGUCAUGAAGCCUAUUCUUGAUGACAGUCGUAGCAGCCACUUUUGGAGCACUUUCUGAAGUCCAAAUGAUGCAAGCUAUAUACCAUUUCAAAGAUCAGGAAGUCAACAAUCCAAUGCUUCAAACGGUGCGCGAUUCGGAGUUGAAACGAAGAAGUUGCAGCCAUUACAAGCCAGUCACUCUAAAGUGUUGCGGAAUCAGCCUUUUGUUGCGAGAAUUUCGCAGCACUUUUGUACAGUAAGGUGUUUCUCCUUCUGACGAUGCACGAACCAUGCCGCGAGAGGGAAGCUAGGAACUUCAAGAUGGAAGCCAACUUUGCAGCCUGGUGAAGAUAGCUUGGUCUUGCGAAAUAAUUUCGCAGCCCUCUUGGGUGUCUGCGAAAUUUCGCAGGCACCACUUUUUUCCUGCGAAAUGGCUCCGGAAGCCUCCCGAAGCUUGCUACCGACAUUGGGAGAUAUUUUCCAUUAGAUUUUUGUUGUCUAAAUUCCAAAAUACUCCUUGUAAACCACCAAUUACAUGAUUCCUUAGUUUUUAAGUUAGUAAAAAGACCAAAUAUCUAUGUAAUAAUUAGUUUUAUAUUAGUUUGCUAUAAAUACCUCUCGGGAGCAUGUUCUCAGAGAGGAGUUCCUUCUGUAACCAUUUUGGUAAGCAAGUAAAGUCUUUUCUUUCUACUGCCUUACCUUCUCACUUUGUAUUUUCAUUUUAUUUCUAAGUUAUGAAUUCUCUGAGGAGCUUUCCCCAGAGAAUGAGUAACUAAACCUCCAAUUCCUUGGAGCUAAGGUUGCCGGGGAAGGUUCCAAGUGCAAGAAUGCAAAGCUCUGUGGUUUUAGCUAGUAAUGAAGAGGAAGUGAAAUCCUUUAGUGAUUUCAAUGUUUUUAGUUAACUUAAAACACCUUGGAGUCACCUGGGCCAACACUUGGUAAGGCAAGUGAUUUCCAACCGUGGAAAUGCACUAGUUUACCCCUUGCGAGCCUCUGGUAGGUGACUUCAAGGUAGGAUUUUCUGGAAUUACCAACACUUGGUAAGCUUUUGGACUCCUAGGAGACAUCCAUUAGUUAUCUCUUGCGAGUUUGUGAAGGGGAAUCCAAGGUUAAAGAUCACCUUGAAUGGUAAGUGCUCGUGAGAGGCAUGAACCAUUGCAAGUUGUAUCAGUGAGAGAAUUAAAGUGAAAUCUAAUUGAAGGAGUCUCUGUACAUCACCGGUUAGAGAAUUGACUAUAAGUUGAAUCUCUAAUGCGAGGAAAUGAACCAUCUGACCGGAGCUAUGUCUUUUGCAUGAGGAACCACCCCAGUGAACCUAAAUCUCCAAGGAAUGCUUUUCUUCCUAAAUUAUUCCAAACUUCUGUUAAGUUAGUUAGUUUAAGUCUAAACCUUUACCAAUCAAACUUUGUGUUUUAUUUCUUAAGCUAACCGUGAAAUGAAACAAAACCAAUUCACUUGGAAUUGGUAUCCUUGAUUGCUUGCAAAUCAUUCCCAGUGAACGAUCCUUAGAGCCACUAUACUAUAGUAGCUUUGUAUUUGCUACCCUAGUGUAUGGUGUUAUAGGUAUAAAUUUUGUUGAUCACUUCCUCAAUCAAGGAACACCAGCUGAACACAAAUCAGCUGAGACACCAAUUGGGCAUGAGUCAAAUGGCGCCGUUGCCGGGGAAUGAGUGUCAAGAUCAUUGUGAUACCAUUUUUGAGCACUUGUGAUUUUCAUCACAAGUUGGUAAAGUUUCUUUCACUUUACUAAUUUUCAUUCUCUCUUUGUUUAUUUACAAUCUAAGUUUAUCUUUUUAAAAUUUAGUCUAGUUUAAUUUUGCUAUUGUAGCCUUGUUUCUCUUGUUGUCCUCUGUUCUUGUUGUCCUCUGUUUUCAUUUUAGUUGCAGCUGAAUACUAGUUGUGUAUGCCAAAGUGGAUACGAGACAUUGGAGGUAGGCUUAUUAAGUGUGAUACACCUCAGAGAGGAGAAUUGGAAGUAAUCUUGAAUAUCAUGGAGGCUGCACCUGAAGAUCAGCAUAGUCACCAAGGUCGUCAAGACAAUCUCAAUGAAUUCAGAUCAAUGAGGGACCGUAUGCAUCCACCUCGUAUGAGUGCACCAUCAUGUAUAGUGCCCCCUACAGAGCAACUAGUGAUCAGACCAUAUCUUGUUCCACUUCUACCAACUUUCCAUGGGAUGGAAAGUGAGAAUCCGUAUGCACACAUCAAGGAAUUUGAAGAUGUUUGUAAUACAUUCCAAGAGGGAGGAGCUUCAAUUGAUUUGAUGAGGCUUAAGUUAUUUCCUUUUAAUUUAAAGGAUAAGGCCAAAAUUUGGCUUAAUUCUUUAAGGCCAAGGAGUAUCCGCUCUUGGACUGAUUUACAAGCUGAAUUCCUCAAGAAAUUUUUUCCUACUCAUAGAACAAAUGGCUUGAAAAGGCAAAUUUCAAACUUCUCAGCUAAAGAGAAUGAGAAAUUCUAUGAGUGUUGGGAAAGAUACAUGGAAGCUAUAAAUGCUUGUCCUCACCAUGGCUUUGAUACUUGGCUACUGGUGAGUUAUUUUUAUGAUGGUAUGUCCUCCUCAAUGAAGCAACUCCUCGAGAAAAUGUGUGGAGAAGAUUUCAUGAGCAAAAAUCCAGAGGAAGCUAUGGAUUUCUUGAGCUAUGUAGCUGAUGUUUCAAGGGGAUGGGAUGAACCAACUAAAGGAGAAGUGGGAAAGAUGAAGUCUCAGUUGAAUGCUUACAAUGCAAAGGCUGGGAUGUAUACUUUAAAAGAGGAUGAUGACAUGAAAGCAAAGUUGGCAGCUAUGACAAGAAGAUUGGAGGAGCUGGAGCUGAAAAGAAUGCAUGAAGUGCAAGCUGUUGCUGAAGCACCAGUGCAAGUGAAGUUGUGUCCCAAUUGUCAAUCGUUUGAACAUUUGGUAGAGGAAUGCCCUGCAAUUUCAGCUGAAAGGGAAAUGUAUAGAGAUCAAGCAAAUGUUGUUGGACAAUUCAGGCCCAAUAACAAUGCUCCUUAUGGAAAUACCUACAAUUCAAGUUGGAGGAAUCAUCCAAAUUUUUCAUGGAAGGCCAGAGCAACUCAAUACCAACAGCCGGAUCCACCAUCUCAACAAUCUUCAAGUAUUGAACAAAUAAUAGCUAAUCUCAGCAAGGUAGUGGGAGAUUUUGUGGGAAAGCAAGAAGCCACCAAUGCUCGAGUGGAUCAAAGAAUGGACAGAGUGGAUCAAAGAAUGGACAGAAUGGAGAGUAUGUUGAACAAAAGAAUGGAUGGAAUGCAAAAUGAUAUGAAUCAAAAAUUUGAUAACAUCCAAUAUUCAAUUUCAAGGCUUACAAAUUUGAAUACACUGCAAGAAAAGGGAAGAUUUCCUUCUCAACCUAACCAAAAUCCCAAAGGUGUCCAUGAAGUGGAAAGCCAUGAGGGAGAAUCAUCACAGGUGAAAGAUGUGAAAGCUUUGAUCACUCUAAGGAGUGGUAAGAAAAUUGAGCAGCCAACACCCAAGCCACAUGUUGAGAAAGAAGAAGAGAUGAAGAAAGGGAAGGAAAUGGAAGAUAAAGGCAGUGAGAUCAGUGAAGAAAAGAAGGACUCUGAUGCAACAAUGAAAGUAAUUCCAGAGAAGGAGCUUCUGAAGGAAGAAAUGCUGAAGAAAUCAACUUUUCCACCUUUUCCUCAAGCAUUACAGGGGAAAAAGGGGGUUAGAAAUGCAGCUGAAAUCCUAGAAGUAUUGAGGCAAGUGAAAGUUAAUAUUCCACUGCUGGAUAUGAUCAAACAAGUUCCAACGUAUGCAAAAUUCCUAAAGGACUUGUGUACUAUCAAAAGAGGGUUGACUGUAAACAAGAAAGCCUUCUUGACUGAGCAAGUAAGUGCAAUCUUACAGUGUAAGUCUCCUUUGAAGUACAAAGACCCUGGAAGUCCUACCAUUUCAGUCAUGAUUGGAGGAAAGGUAGUGGAGAAAGCCUUGCUAGACUUGGGAGCAAGUGUGAAUUUGCUUCCAUAUUCUGUCUACAAGCAACUGGGACUUGGAGAGUUGAAGCCAACAGCAAUCACUUUGUCUCUGGCAGAUAGAUCAGUGAAAAUUCCAAGAGGGGUAAUUGAGGAUGUAUUGGUUCAAGUAGAUAAUUUCUACUAUCCUGUAGAUUUUGUUGUUCUUGAUACAGAUCCUACUGUAAAGGAAGCUAAUUUAGUUCCUAUCAUCCUUGGAAGGCCAUUUCUUGCAACUUCAAAUGCAAUCAUCAACUGUAGAAAUGGGCUUAUGCAACUCACUUUUGGUAACAUGACACUGGAUCUAAAUAUUUUCUAUAUGUCUAAAAAGCAAAUCACUCCAGAAGAAGAAGAGGGUCCAGAAGAGCUAUGUAUUAUUGAUACUUUGGUGGAGGAGCACUGCAAUCAACAUAUGCAAGAUAAGUUGAAUGAAAGUUUUGUGGAUAUUGAGGAAGGUUUUUCUGAAUCUCCUAAUGGGCUUGCUACUCUACAAAGUUGGAGAAAGAUAGAAGGAAUUCUACCUUUGUUCAAUGAAGAAGAGGAGGCAGCUGUUGAAAAAGAAAUUCCAAAACUCAAUCUGAAGCCUUUACCUAUGGAGCUGAAAUAUACAUAUCUUGAAGAAAAUAAUCAAUGUCCUGUCGUAAUAUCUUCAUCUCAAACCAAGUCUCAAGUGAAGGAUGCAAGCUUCAAAUGGGAUCCGGGCAAACUGAAUCAGGAAGGGCAAAAAGUUUUGAUGUAUGACACAAGACUCCAUAUCUUUCCUGGGAAGCUCAAGUCAAGGUGGAUUGGUCCAUUUGUUAUUCACCGAGUAUAUUCCAAUGGAGUGGUGGACUUAUUGAAUUCCAAUGGCAAGGACAGCUUUAGAGUCAAUGGAUAUCGUCUUAAGCCGUUCAUGGAGUCAUUCAAAUCAGAAAAGGAGGCAAUCAACCUCCUUGAACCUCAAAAAGCCUAAGUGAAAUGGGUUUGCUGGACGUGGUUUUACCACAGUCCAAAAAUUUUUGUAAAUUUUGUAAAUUUUCAAGUUGUUUCCAUGCUUUUAAUCUUAGUUUUUGAUUUUAAAUCAUGUUUUUAGGUGUGUUUUAAUCGUUUUAUAUGAUCCCAGGCGGAAGAAAUUUCAAGGGGAUUGAAAAGAAAAAAAUCGGGUCGAAAUUGGAGCCGAAACAGAGCAAAAACAGGGGAAAAACAGAGCUCUGCGAAAUUUCGCAGGGUGAAGGAAACUUCUGCGAAAUUGGCAUUUUGCUGCCAAACCAUUCCGCAGCACUGUAGAAGCCUCUGCGAGUGUAUUUCGCAAUUGCGAAAGUGGAUUUGGCACACGAGUGCCACUUCGCAGCACAGUGACAUCAAUUUCGCAGCUGCGAAACUCACUGCGAAGUUGCUGCGAAAAUGGCAAGUUGCUGCGAAAUUGGCGUUUUGUUGCGAAACGUAAUCUGACCCCUGGGCUUCCGUUUUUCCUAUUUAUACCUGUCAAAAGUGCUGCGAAAAAGGUUUCAAAAAUUAGAGCACCAUUCUCGCAGCCCUUUCAUCUUCUUCGCCAAGCCACGCCGUCCGUUUCUCCGGUCGUCUUCUCCGUUUAGCAGCGCCGGCCAAAGAUCGAUAGCCCAAAAAUGGCACGAACGCGAGGGGCAAAGUCUUCAUCCCCUUCGAACCGCAAAAGGAGUCUGCGAAAGGAGCCAAGUUCAGGCUCUGUUCCAGAACCUGCUCCAAAGCCUUCGCCGUCGAGACCACAACCUUCUCCAGUGAAGCCGGCGCCACCAAAGCCGCCGGCAAGGCGAUAUUUAACCAGGUCAGGUGGUCAGCCAUUGAAGAAGAAAGCCAGAGUUGAGAGCUCUGAACCAAUCGAUUUGACUGAGCAAUCCCCUGAGAAAUCACCAAAUCCUUCACCGGUACAAAUUCCAGUGCCAUCACCGGUUCCCUCGCCAAUUCCCUCACCAGAAGCAACUCCAAUUCCAUCGCCGGUACCAUCUCCGGCACCCCAAGAAAAAGCUCAGGAGCCUCAAGCGCCAAUUCCAGAGCCCCAAAUUGCAGCUGAAGCACCUCUGGAAGAAGUGAUCCGAAGGCCAAUGCUGCCUCAGCCCCCAAUCGAAGGAAACCUGGAUUGCCGAACUCGGGCAUUCCAUUCUGAGCUUUGCUUCGAUUUAACAGCAUUCAGAGUGAGGCCAGAGCUUGCCCAAUCCUUCCAACUGCUGAGGAGAUAUCAUAUGGAGCAUCUGCUAGCUCCAAGGGAUUUUUUCUAUCCCCGGGUAGUCACGGAUUUCUACCAAACCAUGACAACCAAAGAAGUAAGAAAUCCAACUCUGAUUCAUUUCAUAAUUGAUGGAAGGCAUGGUAUUUUGGGAGCAAGACAUAUUGCUGAAGCCCUGCAAAUUCCUUUUGAGCCAACUCAAUUCGACAAUUUUAAAGCUUGGACAAAUCCUACUGAGUUAGAGAUGGUUAGCACACUAACCAGAGGAGCUGCAAAUCGAUCGCAUUUGUUGAGGGGGGAGCUACCUCCAGUUAUGUUUUUGAUUGAUGCCUUUUUGAGGCAUAAUAUCUAUCCCCUGCAGCAUUGGACCCAAAGAAGGGGAAUUCUCCUAGAAGCCUUGUACAAAAUGUCUGAAGGAUUCUUCUUUGGGCCUCAUCAUCUGAUCAUGGCAGCCCUUCUAUACUUUGAGGAGAAGGUUCACAAGAAGAAGCUUCAAAGAGCAGAUUGCAUUCCACUCCUCUUCCCAAGGCUGCUAUGCCAAGUUUUGGAGCAUCUCGGAUACCCCUCUGAGCCUCAGCAGGAAAGAAAGAGAAUAUGCCGUGAGCCUUUUACCCUUGAUAAAUGGAAUAAUAUGACGGCCUACAAAAUUGAUCAGCCUGGGCAGCCUCAGCCAGCAGCAAGGAGAGUCUCCCCAAGACAUAUACCUGAAGGUAUAACACUUGCUACUCCUGCCAUCCCUCGAGCUCCACCAGCUGCACCUGCUCCAUCACAGCCAUCCACAUCAGCUGAGCCGAGGAUGGCCAUCCCUAUAUCCGAAUAUCGAGAGCUGUGCCGUGCAUUGGAGACUCUUACAGCUUCUCAGAGCAAUCUUGCUCAGGAGUUGGCAGCCAUUAAAGCAUGCCAGGAGCAGAUGUUAGCCUCUCAGACUCAACAAGCUGCCAUCCUAAGGCAGCUUCAAGUCCAUUUCGAUCUGCCACAAGCUGUAGAGCCCUCUAUUCCUACUCCACCAGAGCCACACUCUCAGCCUUCAGAGUCUCAUCCUCCAGAACCCGAAGCACCAGCUGAUCCACCUACUGAGGAGGCAGAUCCUUCUGCCUAGCACCAUCACCCCCCUCAUCAGACAUUAUAUAUAUAUUUGCUGUUUAUGUUUUUAUGCAUGUUUGUUUUGUUUUAGUUGAAAAGAAAUCCCAGUAUUUUGGUACUAUAUAUGGGAUUCCUUGUGUUACUUGUCUUUAGUAUUGUAAUCACAUGAACUCAAAGUAAUACAAGUUGACUAUUUCUUGUUAAAAGUUAGCAUUAAAGUUUCCUUAUUUCCUUUUCUCACAUAUUCUAUUCUUUUUGAAACAUGUGGUUUUCCCCAAUCAAUAUUCGAAUUUGAUAUCAGCAUGGAGGUACCACUUCCUCCCUUUUAUUACAGUCACUCAAAUCACAUUGAGGACAAUGCUCAGUUCGGUUGGGGGGUAUGAGGAAGGAAGUAUUCUAAACCUUUUUGGUAUUGCAAUUAUAUUGGUUAAUUAGUUGUAGAUUUUACUUUUUACUAGUGUUACUCUAUUCUCCAUGAAUUUUGAGGAAAAAUUUUCAAAUUAAACCAAGAGAAAUUGAACUGUUGUUUUUCACUUGACUUAGAGUAUGGAUUAUGCUUACUAAAGUGGUUCAAUUGUUGAAACUUCUACUGAAAUUGAAUUGAGUUCUUCCACUUUAAGCUAUCCACACACUGUGCACAUUAGUUUCCGAUUAUAAGAUGAAAAGCUAUUUCCCUCUUGACUUAGUAUAUUUUUGGGACUUGGUAUAUUUGACCUCAUUUGAUAAAAAUUGAAACACCCUGCAAAAGGCCAAUGAGCCUUUGAAAUAAAGAAAGUUGUUUGCUUGCCUUGAAACCCGAGCAAGGUCUGAGGGGUAUAUGGUGAAAAUCUUUAAAGCCUGGUGCCCUAAGCCUUAAUUGGUUGGGAGUCACCGACCUCAAUGCUCGUUACAAGGGUGAAUAGGUAGAGUUAGCAUAUGGUAGAUGCUUGGGUAUUAGAAAUUCAUUCUUAAAAGUCCGGGGAAAAAUCCGAGGAGUUAGUGGUUGAAAGAUCCUUAAAACUUGGUGCCCUAAACCUUAAUUGGUUGGGAGUCAUCGAUGGACCCCCAUUACAUGGACAAGUCAGAAAGAGUACCCCAUAAAGCUACCUUAAAAAAAAAAAAAAAAAAAAAAAAAAAAAAAAAGAUGAAAGUGUGUUCUUUUCUUAUUGAUUUUGGUCAGUUUGCUAAAGUGUUGAAAAGAGAUAGGUUGGGGGGUGAGAUUAGUAGCAUAUUAUUCUCGGAACCUAAGGAACCAAUACACAUAGAUUUUUGUGGAAGAUUGAAGUUUAGUUCUUAGAAAAUGAAAUGAUUUUAAAACUUCAGUUUGCAUAAUGCACUCCCUUGAUUGACAGUGUUUAGCAUAGGUGUUAUGACUCUUGUUGAGAUUUGGGUUUGUAUUUCUUUAAUGAUUCAUGUGAGAAAUAGAUCAUCAUGCCACUUGAGAAUUAUUUUCCUUUUAGCAUGAUGUUGUAAAUUUUAGAUUAGUUUGCUAUUUAUUUUUUAUUUUCUCUCCUAUAUUGCUAAGGGACUAGCAAUAUGUCGGUUGGGGGGAGUGAUUACUACUCAAAAAGUGCUAUUUGAUAGCCUUUAAUUAAUCCUUUUUAACACUUUUGAGUAGUAGUUUAGGCCUUUUAACUCAAUUGGCAUGUUAAGGAUCCUUUAAAGCAAUUUUGAUCACUUUGUGCAAGUUUUGGUGUUUUUGUUAGUAUUUUGAUCACCAAAGCAAGUCAAGAAUGAGGAGAACUAUGAGGAAUCAUGGGCAAAGCUUAGAAUUCAAUUGCCAAGAGUGAAUCCGGAUUGCAAGGAGAAAAAGCAAAGAGAAUCUGUCAUGAAGCCUAUUCUUGAUGACAGUCGUAGCAGCCACUUUUGGAGCACUUUCUGAAGUCCAAAUGAUGCAAGCUAUAUACCAUUUCAAAGCUCAGGAAGUCAACAAUCCAAUGCUUCAAACGGUGCGCGAUUCGGAGUUGAAACGAAGAAGUUGCAGCCAUUACAAGCCAGUCACUCUAAAGUGUUGCGGAAUCAGCCUUUUGUUGCGAGAAUUUCGCAGCACUUUUGUACAGUAAGGUGUUUCUCCUUCUGACGAUGCACGAACCAUGCCGCGAGAGGGAAGCUAGGAACUUCAAGAUGGAAGCCAACUUUGCAGCCUGGUGAAGAUAGCUUGGUCUUGCGAAAUAAUUUCGCAGCCCUCUUGGGUGUCUGCGAAAUUUCGCAGGCACCACUUUUUUCCUGCGAAAUGGCUCCGGAAGCCUCCCGAAGCUUGCUACCGACAUUGGGAGAUAUUUUCCAUUAGAUUUUUGUUGUCUAAAUUCCAAAAUACUCCUUGUAAACCACCAAUUACAUGAUUCCUUAGUUUUUAAGUUAGUAAAAAGACCAAAUAUCUAUGUAAUAAUUAGUUUUAUAUUAGUUUGCUAUAAAUACCUCUCGGGAGCAUGUUCUCAGAGAGGAGUUCCUUCUGUAACCAUUUUGGUAAGCAAGUAAAGUCUUUUCUUUCUACUGCCUUACCUUCUCACUUUGUAUUUUCAUUUUAUUUCUAAGUUAUGAAUUCUCUGAGGAGCUUUCCCCAGAGAAUGAGUAACUAAACCUCCAAUUCCUUGGAGCUAAGGUUGCCGGGGAAGGUUCCAAGUGCAAGAAUGCAAAGCUCUGUGGUUUUAGCUAGUAAUGAAGAGGAAGUGAAAUCCUUUAGUGAUUUCAAUGUUUUUAGUUAACUUAAAACACCUUGGAGUCACCUGGGCCAACACUUGGUAAGGCAAGUGAUUUCCAACCGUGGAAAUGCACUAGUUUACCCCUUGCGAGCCUCUGGUAGGUGACUUCAAGGUAGGAUUUUCUGGAAUUACCAACACUUGGUAAGCUUUUGGACUCCUAGGAGACAUCCAUUAGUUAUCUCUUGCGAGUUUGUGAAGGGGAAUCCAAGGUUAAAGAUCACCUUGAAUGGUAAGUGCUCGUGAGAGGCAUGAACCAUUGCAAGUUGUAUCAGUGAGAGAAUUAAAGUGAAAUCUAAUUGAAGGAGUCUCUGUACAUCACCGGUUAGAGAAUUGACUAUAAGUUGAAUCUCUAAUGCGAGGAAAUGAACCAUCUGACCGGAGCUAUGUCUUUUGCAUGAGGAACCACCCCAGUGAACCUAAAUCUCCAAGGAAUGCUUUUCUUCCUAAAUUAUUCCAAACUUCUGUUAAGUUAGUUAGUUUAAGUCUAAACCUUUACCAAUCAAACUUUGUGUUUUAUUCCUUAAGCUAACCGUGAAAUGAAACAAAACCAAUUCACUUGGAAUUGGUAUCCUUGAUUGCUUGCAAAUCAUUCCCAGUGAACGAUCCUUAGAGCCACUAUACUAUAGUAGCUUUGUAUUUGCUACCCUAGUGUAUGGUGUUAUAGGUAUAAAUUUUGUUGAUCACUUCCUCAAUCAAGGAACACCAGCUGAACACAAAUCAGCUGAGACACCAAUUGGGCAUGAGUCAGUGCGUUAGAGGAUCAAGAAGAAGAAAAAGAAGGAACUGUUGGAAUUAGUAUGAGUGUGAAGAGAAAAGUAUAUAAAUAAGGGGAAGUAAAAGCAAAGUUCAAAAAGCUAUAUUUUUUUAUUGUUGGUGUAUGGUUGCAUGAUUAUCCCUAUAAAUAAUAGGAGUUUUUUGGUAUUCUACUAGUAGUUGAAGCAUAAUUUCAUAAAUUAAUAUUUAGAGCGGGGUGGGGUGAGUUGUGACAAAAUUCAUACCCGUCCCAAACCUUGGUUCAGAUUUUUAAAAUAUUCUCAAACUUAUCAUAUACCCAACUUUUAUAUUUCAUACUUGUCCUAAUAGAGGCACGUUAGGCCGGGUUACUUGAGUAACCUACAUAAUUGUCAUCCCUAGUUGAAAUACACUUUUUGGCAGUGGCCACCAACUGAGCUAGAAGCUUGAUUGAUUGACCUACAAGAUUAGUUCUCAUCAUUUUAAAAAAAGUUCUGGCUUUGGUUGUGAGUGCAAUUGAAUCUAAACUGGCAUUUGCUUAAUGCAUCUACUUCAAUCCUAAACUUCUUACUUCUUAAGCCUCAAUUGUUGUUAGGAUUUUGGAAAACCCAUUUCCUUAAAUUGUAAAUUUAAGAUAAAAUAAAAUAAAAGUGAGACAUUUCUUGAUUGAAUAUUGUUAAAGGUCCCUUGGCAUUAAGACUUGGUUGAAGCCUUGGAAGAUUAGUGGAACUCUCAACAUGUGUUUGAAUCUUGAGGAGAGUGGAUGUAAGCCAAAAUUUUGUCAAACCAUUAUACAAAUUGAGUUUGAAUCCUCAUUUCUUGAUUUCUUAUUUAUUUGCUUUUUCUUAUUAUUACUUGAAUUGUCAUUUGCAUUCAUUAAUGUUAAAAUUGGUUAUAAUUAACCAACACUAAUUCUCUUUCCCCUUCCCUUUCUUGGGUGUAAACCUAGGUUGGAUUAACUAGAUAAAUCUAUUAAGAUGGUAAAAGAAUAAUUAUUCUUAACAUACAUAAGAUCAUCUUCAAUCAAAUGACUCAUUGGCUAAUAUGUUGAAUUUGCUUAUUACUUGCAACUCAAAAUUGUGUUCUAGUUGUGUCAAGUCCCCAGUGUAUGGACAUUAAAUUUGUAGUACGUGAUGAGUAAUUAGAUGGUCCAACUCCAAGAAAGUGAUUGAAAAGUAGUUCAAGAAAGGUGCAAAAGGGAAUUGUUUUGGUAUUUUCGUUUUUAUUCUUGAAGGUGGCAGAGCUAAAAUUUGAGAAAUCAAGCAAAACAUACUGAAAUUACAUUGAAAGAAAGAAGAUGGGAGUUAAUGUCUUGCAGUACAUGAUAAGGACUUCAUGCAUGUAGUGUGACCCAUGUCUUGGACUGAUGCCAACUCACGGUUACACUUAUACCCUUGGUUCUCUCUUUACUACCUUGGCUAACCUAGAUCAGGCUAUGAGAUAGGCUCCUCACCACACCAUUACUUGCCCAUUAAUUAGAGACAUUUUCAAGCAAUGAGGUAACAUGGUGACACCAAGAGGGUCUAUUCCUCGCCCGGAACAAGUCUAGACUUGGUCUCAAAAAAAUGGAGAAAAAUGAGGUGUCGUUAUGUAGAAAUACAACAACCAUGCCUUCCUCAUUACUUAGAUUCAGAAUGUGAAGGUGAAAUUGAGAAACAGAAACUCUUGAAACCAAAAUGAAAAUUGAUACUUUUACGAAGAAUUACAACAACAUUAGAGGAAGACUACAUUCUUCCUCUUUAUUCCUACAUUUCUACACUACUUCUACUCCACUCCAUAUUUCUACAUACAUCUUUAAUCAGUCUUCCCUCCUUUAUAUAGAGCCAUCUUCACACAAAUUUCGCAAGGUAGAAAAGAGGAAUGAAACUUGGAGCAAGGUUCGACUACUGGUUGUAGCUUGUCAAGGCUGGAAGUGAACUUUUCUUGGCUUUCUGGGCAUGGGUAGUAACUUGUGGGUUCCUGUUUGGCAUAAAAAUGGCUAGAACAUGUGGCACUAUCUUGUUGGAUGAUGUGUCAAGCAUGUGGCAGCCAUCUAGUGGCGAUUAUGUCAAUUUUGGGAUGGAGAGUUGGCAUCCAAUUGCAAAGAAAUAUGACGUCUACCAACAUGCAAUGUAAACCUAUGUAGAUCAUAUGAAGAUAGAGAGGAAAAAUAUAGAAAUGGAUAUAUACCUAGAACUAGCUUUUUAUUAAAUGAAACGGAGAGACAACAAUGAAGGAAAAUAAAAUUUUUUGGCUUAUAUCAAAGAGUUCACAUUGUGUUACCCUAGGUUUUCUUAAAACUUACUUUUAUGAUAACAAAAAAGAAAAAACCAUUAUUGUUUAAUCCUUUGUUUUAAACGCAUGUAAGGUGUAAUUAAGUUAGUUCAAUGCAUUAAUUUAAGAAACUUGACCUAUCAAAAGUACAAAAUUAGAUGAAAUCCAUUUCAAUGGUUAAAAUGAUCAAAAUCAAACUUUUUCUAAGUAUUUUUUAAAAGCAUCAAUAGUGAAAGACAAUUUUAUAUUUAGUCGGAGUUUGGACAAAACUGAAAAACACACAAAAUCCAAGCGACCAUCUCUAGCUUGGAUGGUCGCUUGAUCCCACCUAGAGAUGUGCAUGAGUAAAAGGAUUUGAAAAUGGAAAUUGACUAUGUAGUCGAUCAAUUAACUUUGCAACAUCAUAUGCAAUCCUAAUUGCUAGUCAUCUAAUCAAUUAGGUAGUCAAUCAACAGGCCAAAAAUAUGUUUAUAAUGACUAUUUUGUACAAAAACCACCUGUAUAGUUAAAUAUAAUGCAUUUCAUUUAUAAAUCUUCUAAUUCUUGAAUAACGAUCCUAUCAUCCUUUGAAAGUUUUUAUUACACUUUUUUUACUUUUGUUCUAAAACUUACACAUCACCCUUAAUUGUACCAUGAGAACCUAGCUAUUUUUUAUUUUUUUUUUUGUAAUUCAUCAAAGUUAGCUUUUGUAUUCAUUGUUGUAUUAUUUUUAGUAUAACUUAGAAAGCUAGUGUUUUCAAGUGAGUAAAAUUAACUUGUAAAUAUUGUAAAGAUUCAUCGACAUGUAUCUUAAACUAAGUGUACAAGUUAAAACAUUUGCUAGUAGAUUUUCUCAAAAUUUAGAAUAGAGCUUGAGACUAUUGAAAUAGGUGGGGUUGCACCAAACCACAUCACAUCGUUGUUUGCACCUUUUUUCACUCUCUUUUACUUAGUUGCUCUAUAUUUGUUGUCUAGUAAUAUCCUAUAGGCUUGAUGGGUUAGGGAGCAUCCCUUUGUGAAAAAAUUUUAUUCAAUCCUUAGUUGUAUCACGCAUAUAUAAAAUGCCUCAUUGUUUUAAUGGUAUUCAGUCGUGGCAUCACAGAUAUGGGCAUCUAAAUUUUAAAAGUUUGAAACUUUUAUCUAAAGAAAAUAUGGUGCUUUGCCUUUUUGUAAAGCAUGUUGAUGAAAUCCAUGAGAAUUGUGUACUUGGGAAGCAACACCGAGAUGACUUUUUUUUUUUUUUUAUAAUAUUGUUUGUCCAAAUUCCCUACAAAUUAGGCCACCAGAUGUUCAUAAUUCUCCCUUCUUGAAUUUGAAAACUCGGACAAUUGGACAAUGCGACACCUAAGUCCGGUUUCUAAAUGCUAAAGUGAAAGGGUAGGUAUGGACCAUUGAAAUGUGAUCACAACUUUUCUCUGUAGCCAUGUUGUCUCUUUUUUCUUUUGCAUGAUUUUCUUACCUUAACAGAAUCAUAGACUUGUUUAGUCUCUAAAUGGGAUUAAUUUCAUCCAGCUUUAAGCUACUAUAUUAUAUCUAGGUGGAGGACUUUUAAGAGUGCAACCGACAUAGAGCACAUGGAAGUGGGUAUAUGGGACAUGAAAUUUCUUCUUAUAAAGAUUGCAUGAUUUUUAUAUUAGAGUUGUUGAGGCGCUAUGUAUUUAGCUUGUUUUGCAGUUAAAUUAAUUGGAUAAGUAGACAUUGGCGUUUCUAAAUCUACUGUGAAGUGCUUCAUGUACGUGUGAAGUAUUAGAAAUUUCUUUCUUGGCAACUUGUUUUUCUUUGCGGUCUACUGAUAGGUUUGACUAAAAUUAUAUUCCCUGUCAUGCUAAUUAAUUUUCACGUGCAUGCUCAAAAGAAAAGUAUGACCUUAGUGCACCAAAAUCACUUUGAUUAAUUUGUGAUAGGUUUUUGUGCAUCAUGACAUUAGCCUUAUUCAUUUAGAUAAUGUUUAGUUUUUAGAAAGUAUUAAGAAAAGGAAAAUAAAUAUUAAGAAAAAUAUUCUUAUAUUUGAUUGUAUUAUGAAAAAUAUCAUAAAAAAAUCAAAUAUAAUUUAAAUUAAUUAAUAAUUUAUACAUUUUCAAAUUAUUUAAUCUUUAUAUUGAAGAUAUAAUAUAAAUGAAAUGAGUUUUAAGUAUUAUAUAAAAGUGAUUUAUUGAUCUUACAUAUAUAUAUUUCUUUUUUUUUUCCUUCUAUUUUUUCUCUUUAUUUUAUUUUCCUUAUGUUUUCCUCAACAUUUUCCGGAACCAAACAUAGCCUUAGGAAAUCCACAAUUACCUUCAACUGAGUAGAUUCUGUUGUUUUAGCAAUGUUAGGCUGCUAACUUGUGUUGGUACGAACCUAUUAAGCCUAAAGAUGUAAUUAGUUAGGAUAUUCUUUUCCCUCUAGUCUUGUAGCUCCACGUGUACAGUUGGUUAGGACCUCAUUGUAUAUAAUGCUUGCCCUGUUAUUGUAGAAGACAACAAAGAUAAAUAAUAUUAACAUUUUUCCUCUCAUCUCUCUCUGUUUCCCUCUGUUUUCAUCUCCUCUCUCAUCUUGGUAUCAGAGCCUCCAUGGCUUCUUUCAAAGAAACCUCCGAAUCACCUUCUGCUAGCAUUGUUAAUGUGCAAAACCCAUUAUCUCAAUCAAACAACCUUCCUUCACCAGUAGCCACACCCUCUUUUUCUUUCUCGUCUAUGAAUCAACCUCUCACAGUGAAGCUGGAUAAUGGGAACUACCUCAUAUGGAAGAAUUAGCUUCUAAAUGUCAUCAUUGCUAACGGACUCGAUGAUUUCAUUGACGGAUCUCGACCCUGCCCUCCUCGAUUUCUCGAUCUGCAACAACAAACCCUCAAUCCAGAGUACUCAGCUUGGCAGAGAUACAAUCGACUUCUGAUGAGUUGGCUGUACGCAUCCUUGUCCAAAGAUAUAAUGGCUCAGAUUGUUGGGUAUUCAACAGCUAUGGAGAUUUGGAAUGCCCUUAAUCAGAUUUACUCUGCCUCUUCUAUGGCGCGGUUUACUGAGCUUCGCACCAAGCUUCAAACGCUCAAGAAAGAUGGACUCUCAGUUGGUGAAUAUAUUCAAAGGCUCAAAUCCAUUUGCAAUAGUCUUGCAGCAAUAGGAGAACCAGUUUCUGAGAAAGACCAUCUUAUCUAUUUGUUCAAUGGAUUAGAUUGUGAGUAUUAUUCUUUUGUUACCUCCAUUCAAAAUCGAUCUGACCAACCAACUAUUGACAAAAUCCAUAGCCUAUUGCUUAGCUAUGACUUCCGGCUUGAACAACAAAACUCUGUUUCUCUCCAUUCUGCCCAAGUCCAUAUGGCUCAUCUGAACAAGAAACCUUAUAAAUCAACUCCUCAACCUACAUUCAAUCAUAUUCACAUUCAACCUAGAUACUCUUCUCCACCUUUUAAGCCAACCACUAGUCAAUAUCAACCCAACAUUUUGGGCAAACCACAACCACAACCAUGACAGCCUCAACCUCAAUGGAAACCACAUUUUUCAAUCUAAAAUCAAAAGCCUCAGCGCCAAAUUUGUGGUAAAUUUGGACACACUGCUCUUAUUUGCUUCCAUCACACAAAUUUGAACUAUUCACCCCAACCUUCUCCUAAAUCUUUCAAUACUGUUCUCACCACAAAUUCCCAGCUCCCUAAUCCUCCAAAAUUUUCUUACCCUACAAUGGCUCAUCCUGCUGCUACGCAUAACACGGUUCCCGAUACAAAUUGGUACAUGGACUCAGGUGCUACACAUCACUUUACUCUGGACAUCAACGUGCUUGACACUGUGACACCAUUUAGUGGUUCAGAACAGGUGACAGUUGGGAAUGGUAAGCAACUCUGUAUCUCACAUCUUGGUACUGCAAAACUACCAUCUUCGUAUUCUCCUCCUGUUCUACAUCAGGUAUAUCACACUCCAAAAAUUUCAAAUAAUCUUAUUAGUGUUAAAAAAUUGUGUUCUGAUAAUAAAGUUUUUGUUGAAUUUUAUGCCACUCAUUUUCUUGUCAAGGAUCAGGUUUCGAAGAGAGUUCUCCUUUAGGGUCAACUUGAUAAUGGCUUAUACAAAGUUCAGUCGUCAUGCUCUCCUUCUGCUGUUUCCUUUCCUCCUCAAGUUUUCAUAGCCAACAUCAAGUAUCCAAAUCUGUGGCACAAGAGACUAGGCCACCCAGCUUUAUCUGUUGUUAAUCAAAUCUUGGAUUCUUGUAACAUUGCUCGAACACAGAAAAUUUGUUUUAAUUUUUUAAAUUCUUGUCAAUUAGCAAAGAGCCACAGGCUUCCUUUUUCUCUGUCUCCAUCCAUUGCAGAAAAACCUUUUGAGUUAAUUCAUACAGACCUAUGGGGUCUUUCGCUCGUUCGCUCUAUUUCUGGUGCUCUUUAUUUUUUACUUUUCAUUGAUGAUCAUACUCGUUUUACUUGGUUUUAUUUGCUCAAAACAAAAGAUGAAGCAUAUCCUACUUUUCUCAAGUUUCAAGCUCUCAUUGAAAAUCAAUUUAAUACCAAGAUUAAGGCUGUCCAAUCUGAUUGGGGAGGUGAGUUUCGAUCUCUCUCCAUACCGUUUUCAAAUAUGGGCAUUGUCUAUUGUUUAUCGUGUCCAUACACCUCACAACAGAAUGGGCGAGUUGAGCGAAAAAAUCGCCAUGCGAUUGUCCUUUCUUGCUUGCUCUAUGCCCUUAUCUUAUUGGCCUUAUGCCUUUCAAACUGCCACUUACCUUAUUAAUCGUCUCUCUACCCCUGUGCUGCAUCAUCAAUCCUCUUACUUCGCACUCUAUCACAAACUCCCAACUUAUACUCAUCUUAAGGUCUUUGGUUCCUCUUGUUUUCCGUAUUUGCACCCUUAUAAUACCCAUAAACUCCAAUACAGGUCACUAGAGUGUGCUUUUCUUGGUUACAGUUCACACCACAAAGGUUAUCUAUGUCUUGACAUUCAUUCUAGCAGGGUGUAUAUUUCUCGCCAUGUGAUUUUUAAUGAAGAUUCUUUUCCAUUCAAGAAUUUGAAAUCUUCUCUCUCUCAGUCUAUUUCUUCUUCCUCUUCUUUAUAAGUUCCUCUGUUCAUUCUCUUGCCUCCCCUUUCCCCAUCUCCUCUUAUUUCUUCAUCUAUACCUCAUUCUUUUCCCUCUUCUUCUUCUACCUCUAGUACUUGUUCCCCUCUCGUUGCUCCUACCUCUCUUCCUUCCUCUUCACACUCUGUGUCUCCAUCUAUUCCACCUCCUUCUCCACCUUCUCCGAGUGUGGACCUGCUUGCACCUUGUGUGAAUACAAAUUUACAUACUUCUUCUCGCACUCACAAUAUUCAUCCUAUGGUGACUAGAUCUAAGGUUUGUAUCUAUAAACCUAAGUUGUUGUUGAGUGUCUCCAUAGGUUCUCUCACUAAGCCUACUUCCUUUCUUCAAGCUAUUAAAGAUCCUUCAUGGAAGCAAUCCAUGGAAUUCGAGUUUGCUACCCUUCAACACAACAAGACCUGGCAUUUGGUUCCUUCACCUUCCUCAGGCGAAGUAAUCGGUUGUAAAUGGGUCUAUAAGCUAAAGCUUCAGCCUGAUGGCUAAAUUGAGAGAUACAGCCUGCUUAGUAGCUAAGGGUAUCAUCAAAUUGAAGUAUGGACUACUUCGAAACAUUCAGCCUGAUNNNNNNNNNNNNNNNNNNNNNNNNNNNNNNNNNNNNNNNNNNNNNNNNNNNNNNNNNNNNNNNNNNNNNNNNNNNNNNNNNNNNNNNNNNNNNNNNNNNNAGCUUCAGCCUGAUGGCUAAAUUGAGAGAUACAAGGCCUGCUUAGUAGCUAAGGGUUAUCAUCAAAUUGAAGGUAUUGACUACUUCGAAACAUUCAGCCUGAUUGUCAAGCUUUCUACUAUCUGUAUUGUGCUCAGUCUUACUUUUUCCCAGAAUUGGUGUAUUAGACAGCUGGAUGUUCAUAAUGCCUUCUUACAUGGUGACUUAGCUAAAGACGUUUUCAUGGAACAACUGCCUGGAUUUGUUGAUCCUCUCUAUCCUACUCAUGUCUGCAAGUUGGAUAAGUCUCUCUACUGUCUUAAAUAGUCACCUCGGGCUUGGUAUACUAAGCUGAGUACUUCUCGCUACACUUGGGAUUUGUUACUUCUAAGAAUGACUCUUCCUUAUUUAUUUGUCAUUCGUCUCAUGGGUUACUUCUUGUUCUUGUCUAUGUGGAUGAUAUAAUCGUCAUUGGGAGCCACUCUCCUCAGGUUACUCACCUUAUCCAACAGUUGCAUCAUUAGCUUUCUUUAAAGGAUCUUGGUCCUUUACAUUAUUUUCUGGGCUUGGAGGUUCAUCACACCCCUACUGGUAUUCACCUCAGCCAAGCAAAGUAUAUCACUGAUCUCCUUACCCGGGCGGCUAUGUUGGAUGCCAAGCCAUGUCCCACUCCUAUGUCCUCCAACACAUAUCUCUCUUUUCAUGAUGGAGUGGCUCUUGAAAAUGGUUCAGAUUAUCGAAGUUUUGUUGGUGCCCUUUAGUAUUGUACCAUGACACGCCCAGAUAUAGCUUUUGCAAUAAAUAAAGUGUGUCAAUUCAUGCACCAUCCCUCUAAUGUUCACUGGCAGGCUAUAAAACGUAUUCUCCGGUACUUAAAGGGCACAUCUCAUUUUGGUCUCUUCCUACAGCCUUCCUAUGACUUCAACAUCACUUGCUAUACAAAUGCCGACUGGGCUUCCUGUCCUGAUGACAAGUGUAGCACCAGUGGCUACUGCCUCUUUCUUGCCUCUAAUCUGGUUUCUUGGUCAUCUUCCAAACAAAAAGUGGUCUCCCGCUCCAGCGCCGAAUCAGAGUACCGAGGGGUAGCAAAUGGGGCUGCUGAAAUUGCUUGGACUGAAUCUCUUCUUUGUGAACUUUCCAUUACUCCCCCUCCCCUCAUUCUCUGUGACAAUAUCAGUGCCACGUACUUAGCUGCCAAUCCUAUUUUGCAUGCCCGCACCAAACAUGUGGAAAUCGACUAUCACUUUGUCACGGAACGUGUUCUUCAAUGCUCUCUUUUUGUCCAGUUUACACCUUCUGAUGAUCAACUUGCUGAUUGCAUGACCAAGCCUCUCUCCACCCAACGUUUCAUCACUCUACGCUCCAAGCUCACUGUUCUCACUAGACCAAUGAGCUUGAGGGGGGAUGUUAAGCCUAAAGAUGUAAUUAGUUAGGAUAUUCUUUUCCCUCUAGUCUUGUAGCUCCACGUGUACAGUUGGUUAGGACCUCAUUGUAUAUAAUGCCUGCCCUGUUAUUGUAGAAGACAACAGAGAUAAAUAAUAUUAACAUUUUUCCUCUCAUCUCUCUCUCUGUUUCCCUCUGUUUUCAUCUCCUCUCUCAUCUGAACCAAAUGAUCCAUGUUAACCUUGGCUUGGUUUGAUUUGGCUCUAUCUUAGAGAGCUCAAGGAUCACGUCAACUCUGGUUUCUACUAUUCAGGUCCAUUCCCAUAUGAACUGGUUCAAAUUUGAGAAAAUGGUAACAGACCUUUAGUGAUGUUGGUUUGGAGCCAGUUGCCAAACCCGCCCUGAGCUUUACCACUAAUGUCAAGGGAGAAAGCCAUUUGAACAAAAACAAUAGCUUCAAGGGACUGAAUCGUGGAUGAAAUCUGAUCCACAUUUCUUCUCAUUUUGGAAACAAAUGAGAACUUAACUAAGAAGAUUCUACGGCCUCAUAGUGCUUUUCCUGAUCUAAGGUUGGUUCGUUUCCCAAACUGUGAGAUGCACGUGCCAGACUUCAGAACUCUCACGCUCAGGAGUGUAUCCACGUGGUGGACAUAAGAUGGUGGCUUAAGAUCUGGUGUCGGUGGCUUUACUUUACUAGGAGAGUAGUGUGUCUUCAUCUCAUUCACUGCCGGAGGGUGGCGUAAGCAGUGACGCUAAGGUGGGGCACAGUCAAUAUCAUUUGCAUUUGACCAUUAUAGUUUUCUCCCGGCUUUAAAGUAACCUUAUCGUGAUAAAGGAUUACUAGCACUAGUUCAGAUGAUAGUCAUGUUAAAUUCGGACCAUGUUUGUGUCACAUUAUCAGCAACCAUGUGUUUAUGGUUCAUGCUUUCUGCAACUAAAAUUGAUAUAUAACCAGGUGAACUUCAAUCUAAAUUCUGAAAGUACUCAUGUGAUAGAUGGUGCCCGUCUGCAGAGUCCAUCAAUUGAAAAAUGGAGUGAGUGUAUCUAUAAGAGGGAAGGCUUGGAAAAUGUUCAGUUUUCUGGGAAUUCAACAAGGAUCUAAAAUAGAUUGUUUUCUUUGCUGAUUUCAAUGGUUGAAAUUUGAGAAGAUUGUGUCCACAUAACACAACUAUUACUGGUCCUUCUGUUGCAAUUUAUCCUCUAAAGCUCUAGCAUGUCUUCCAAUUCCCACUUCCCUGUUACUCCAGGAAAGCUAUUUCUGUCAUUGUGAAGAAGAAAAGAGAAUGUACAUAUCGAUGCUUUUAAGUGACUGGAGCAUUUAUAUCAGGUGGUCUGCAGCCAUAUAUGCCACUUUGUGAAGAUUGGAACAGUCAAUCACUAGGCUAUAUAUUAGUGUGGCCCAGCCACUUUAAUCAAGGACAAGUCUUCAUACUUAAAGUCAAAUUCUGCCUUUAGUCUCAUUAUAAAUUUCUGUUUAAAUAUUAAGCAAACAUUUGUUUAAUGCGAUUAAGACAGUACUAACUCAAUACCUGUUCUAUUUUUGGAUGCAAAUGCUUGAUGGUUUCAUCAUUGGAUGGGAUAAAGGUGCAUUCAUGAUUAGGAAUACUAGUAGUUAUAUUUUAAUUCUCUUUUUUCUCAAUGAGACUUGUUGGCACAAUUUUGCUGUUGAGAAACCUACCUCUCCAUGGAAAAUAAGUUGUGAUUGAUAGUACUGGAUAUAUUCAAGAAAUCUAAAUAUAGAUAGCACAAAAUAUUAUCGACAUAAAUAGCAUUAACAGCGUACGUAUGUCUCAGUGCUCAUCAGCUAUAAGCAUGGGGCAAACACUUACUAUGAGCAACUUACGUCAAAAUUCCAGAAUAGGACAUAGAAGUGACAGAUAUAGAACAUUGCAUAUGAGUCACAAGAAAGGAAAUUACGGGUGCAUAGCAGCUCUUAUUUUACAUACUACUACUCAUACUGAUCAAAGUCACUCAGUUGGGAUGGGUGGGAGUAGGAGGUUUGUGGGGUGGCUUGUGCGGAGGAGUUGGCAGCUUCUUUCCAGGACCUGGUUGCUUCUCUGCUGGAGUUGAAGGAGGCUUAAUCUUCCGAGGUGGCUUGUAUGAGUCUUCAGCAUUCUCAGCUGGAGGGUGACCAGGGUUGUGACCAUAAUGUGGUGGCUUCUCUCCCUUAGGUGGUUUGCCAACUGGGGUUGGUGGCUUGUAUGAGUCUUCAGCAUUCUCAGCAGGAGGGUGACCAGGGUUGUGACCAUAAUGUGGUGGCUUCUCUCCCUUAGGUGGUUUGCCAACUGGGGUUGGUGGCUUGUGUUCUGGGAGUGGCUUCUCCCCCUUGGGAGGUUUUUCCAAUGGGGUUGGUUUGUGUUCAGGAGGUGGCUUCUCCACUGGAGGCUUGUGUUCAGGAGGUGGCUUCUCCACCGGAGGCUUGUGUUCAGGUGGUGGCUUCUCCACCGGAGGCUUAUGCUCUGGUGGUGGCUUCUCGAAUGGGGGAUGCUUAGGAUAAUCAGCAAGUGAGGGGGCGGUGAGAACCACCAGGCCAAGCAACACCACUAGCAAAUAUGUAGGAGACAUCUUUGGGUUUGGGCUCAGAUGGUGCAAAACUAGGAGAAUUGGCUAGCCUUUUAUAGCGGAUCGUACCCAAUAAUGAAAUGACACGUGUCAUUAUGACCCAUGUGUAAUGGGGUCGAUUUGGGUCCUACAGUGUUGAAAACUUCGACAUCCACUUUUGGCCUUUUGCUUUCUCUACAGCCGCCUUGCUUUUUCCCUCUUUCCUUUUGUUUUCCUCCUGCCCCAUUCUAUCAACUAAACACAAUUAUGUAGUUGUUUAAUUCUUAAAUGAGAUAUUAUCCGUCAAUCGUAUUAUAUUUUAUCAAGAGAGAACGGAGUGCAAUGUGGCUGUAAUUUUAUCGUUUAGUUUUAUCUCUUGGACCACUGCAUUUUUGUUAAGAGGUGCAAUAAUACACGUCUUUAUCUGCCAUUCAAUAUUUACAGUAAAGAGAGGGCACAAAACUCUUCACUUCGCACCAUAAUUAUUUUGUUUUCUGGACACCCCGGGGCCCUUUGGUUGGUUUGGGGGUCAGAAAGUGAACAUCAUAGGGGGUUUUUCCCUUAUGUGCAUUUGUAUCUGAUGGCUUUAACUCGCCUUGUUACUACAAAGAAACUGUCACAGAUAGGAACUUAUUCCAGGCUGAGUAUCUCCUCAUAGACCCUAUAAAAGAAGACAAGUCAUAAUGAACAUCUAACCUUUGUUCAAUUUGAUUCAAUGCCCCCAUUGUGUCCAUCUCACAAAUCUGAAUUAUUAUAUCCAUUGAAUACAUAAAUUAAUGAAGAAAAUAUGAAACCCAAGAUACAUCUCUGCACAACCUCAACCCUGGUUGCUAUGUUUCCCUUCUAUUCACAUGAUUUGAUGCUAAUUGCCAAACUUGCAACAAGCCCUGAGUUUGACACCUAGUAUCGAUGGGCGAAUUUAAAGUCUCCUCCAAACAUAUAUUCCACAGCUUGAAGCUCACAGAAGAUGUUACAGGCAGGGAAAAACCUUCAGAGUUCGCUACCAAAGAUAAUUAUUAAGGAGAUAUCACAAAGAGAAUUCCAAGGGGUCUGAAUCAAAGACAAAUUGGUCGUUCGUGGGGGUUCUUACUUUCUUUUGGGUAUAACUCACUGAGGGCACUGUCUUUGUUAUUUGCAUUUCACAUUUAGAGUUCUGUUCUGGAAACAUAUAAAAGGAGCAUCAUUUUGUUCUUGGGUAACCCAUAGUCGUGAGUGGGUCCAUUUGCAUGCUACUUAGUUGAAAAGUUGGACCAUUUGCUCCGACGCCUACCUCCCGGAUUCCAUGCUCGGAUAAAACAAGAAUAAAAAAAAUAUUUAUAAUUUACAAAUGGGGGAAAGAAAAAAAUGUCAACAACAAACCAGGAAAAAAGAGUAGUAAAAUUCAUGUCACAUGCUAGUGAGAGAAGGGGUUGUUACACUCACUCGAAGUUCUUUCCAAAAUAUCGCAUGGUAUUUUAUUUUAUGUGUCAGCGCAGUUGUGAAUGGAACGUGCAAAAGUCCAAAUUGGCGUUUUUCCUUUUCCCGUGUAGGAUGGCGACCUUUAAUAAAUAUUUAAAACAAAAAACGAAAAAAAGGAGGGAAAAGGGAUCAGAAAAGAUAAAACAAUGUGUACAAGAGCUCAAUUAGUUUGCAAAUUACUGUUUGGAUUUUGAUAGUAUUUUAUUUGUCCAUCUAUAUUUGAUGGAAAAGAGAAUUUAAGAUAUUUCUGAAACAAAAGCAUUAGUGUAAAACUAAAUUAAGGUAUAAUUAAGUUAGUUCAAUGCAUUAAUUUAAGAAACUUGAUCUAUCCAAAGUACAAAAUUAGAUGAAAUCCAUUUCAAUGGUUAAAAUGAUCAAAAUCAAACUUUUUCUAAGUAUUUUUUAAAAGCAUCAAUAUUAAAAGACAAUUUUAUAUUUAGUCGGAGUUUGGACAAAACCAAAAAGCACACAAAAUCCAAGCGACCAUCUCUAGCUUGGAUAGUCACUUGAUCCCACCUAGAGAUGUGCAUGAGUAAAAGGAUUUGAAAAUGGAAAUUGACUAAAUAUUUAGUUGAUCAAUUAAAUUUGCAAUGUCAUAUGCAAUCCUAAUAGCUAGUCAUCUAAUCAAUUAGGUAGUCAAUCAAGUGUUUGUAAUGACUAUUUUGUACAAAAAACCACAUGUAUAGUUAAAUAUAAUGCAUUUCAUUUAUAAAUCUUCUAAUUCUUGAAUAACGAUCCUAUCAUCCUUUGAAAAUUUUUAUUACACCUUUUUUACUUUUGUUCUAAAACUUACAUAUCACCCUUAAUUGUACCAUGAGAACCUAGCUAUUUUUUUUUUUUUUGUAAUUCAUCAAAGUUAGCUUUUGUAUUCAUUGUUGUAUUAUUUUUAGUAUAACUUAGAAAGCUAGUGUUUUCAAGUGAGUAAAAUUAACUUGUAAAUAUUGUAAAGAUUCAUUGAUAUGUAUCUUAAACUAAGUGUACAAAUUAAAACAUUUGCUAGUAGAUUUUCUCAAAAUUUAGAAUAGAGCUUGAGGCUAUUGAAAUAGGUGGGGUUACACCAAACCACAUCACAUCGUUGUUUGCACCUUUUUUCACUCUCUUUUACUUAGUUUCUCUAUAUUUGUUGUCUAGUAAUAUCCUAUAGGCUUGAUGGGUUAGGGAGCAUCCCUUUGUGAAAAAAUUUCAUUCAAUUCUUAGUUGUAUUACGCAUAUAUAAAAUGCCUCAUUGUUUUAAUGGUAUUCAGUCGUGGCAUCACAGAUAUGGGCAUCUAAAUUUUAAAAGUUUGAAACUUUUGUAAAGCAUGUUGAUAAAAUCCAUGAGAGUUGUGUACUUGGGAAGCAACAUCGAGGUGACUUUAUUUUUUUUUCCUUUUAUAAUGCCACACCUAAGUCCGGUUUCUAAAUGCUAAAGUGAAAGGGUAGGUAUGGACCAUUGAAAUGUGAUCACAACUUUUGGCCUUUUCCUUUCUCUGCAGCCAUGUUGUCUCUUUUUUCUUUUGCAUGAUUUUCUUACCAAAACAGAAUCAUAGACUUGUUUAGUCUCUAAGCUACUAUAUUAUAUCUCGGUGGACUUUUAAGAGUGCAACCGACAUAGAGCACAUGCAAGUGGGCAUAUGGGACAUGAAAUUUCUUCUUACAAAGAUUGCAUGAUUUUUAUAUUAGAGUUGUUCACGUGCAAUGUAUUUAGCUUGUUUUGCAGUUAAAUUAAUUGGAUAAGUAAACAUUGGCAUUUCUAAAUCGACUGUGAAGUGCUUCAUGUACGUGUAAAGUAUUAGAAAUUUCUUUCUUGGCAACUUGUUUUUUCCUUGCCAUCUACUGGUAGGUUUGACUAAAAUUAUAUUCCCUGUCAUGCUAAUUAAUUUUCAUGUGCAUGCUCAAAAGAAGAGUAUGACCUUAGUGCACCAAAAUCACUUUGAUUAAUUUGUGAUAGGUUUUUUUGCAUCAUUUAGAUAAUGUUUAGUUCUAAGAAAAAUUUAUAUAAAAAUGGUUUAUUUAUCUUACAUAUAUAUAUAUAUAUAUAUAUUUUUUUUUUUUUCAUUUUUUUUUCUUCUAUUUUAUUUAUUUAUUUUAUUUUCCUUAUGUUUUCCUCACAUUUUCCGGAACUAAACAUAGUCUUACGAAAUCAACAAUUGCCUUCAACUGAGUAGAUUCUGUUGUUUUAGCAAUGUUAGGCUGCUAACUUGUGGUGGUACGAACCAAAUGACCCAUGUUAAUCUUGGCUUGGUUUGAUUUGGCUCUAUCUCAGAGAGCUAAAGGAUCACGUCAACUCUGGUUUCUACUAUUCAGGUCCAUUCCCAGAUGAACUGGUUCAAAUUUGAGAAAAUGGUAACAGACCUUUAGUGAUGUUGGUUUGGAGCCAGUUGCCAAACCCGCCCUGAGCUUUACCACUAAUGUCAAGGGAGAAAGCCAUUUGAACAAAAACAAUAGCUUCAAGAGACUGAAUCGUGGAUGAAAUCUGAUCCACAUUUCUUCUCAUUUUGGGAAAAAAUGAGAACUUAACUACAAAGAUUCUACUGCCUCAUUCAUAGUGCUUUUCCUGAUCCAAGGUUGGUUCGUUUCCCAAAUUGUGAGGUGCACGUGCCACUCUCACGCUCAGGAGUGUAUCCACGUGGUGGACAUCAGAUGGUGGCUUAAUAUCUGGUGUCGGUGGCUUUACUUUACUAGGAGAGUAGUGUGUCUUCAUCUCAUUCACUGCCGGAGGGUGGCGUAAGCAGUGACGCUAAGGUGGGGCACAGUCAAUAUCAUUUGCAUUUGACCAUUAUAGUUUUCUCCCGGCUUGAAAGUAACCUUAUCGUGAUAAAGGAUUACUAGCACUAGUUCAGAUGACCGUCAUGUUAAUUCGGACCAUGUUUGUGUCACAUUAUCAGCAACCAUGUGUUUAUGGUUCAUGCUAUCUGCAACUAAACUUGAUAUAUAACCAGGUGAACUUCAAUCAAAAUUCUGGAAGUACUCUUGUGAUAGAUGGUGCCUGUCUGCAGAGUCCAUCAAUUGAAAAAUGGAGUGAGUGUAUCUAUAAGAGGGAAGGCUUGGCAAAUGUUCAGUUUUCUGGGAAUUCAACAAGGAUCUAAAAUAGAUUGUUUUCUUUGCCGACUUCAAUGGUUGAAAUUUGAGAAGAUUGUGUCCACAUAUCACAACUAUUACUGGUCCUUCUGUUGCAAUUUAUCCUGUAAGGCUCUAACAUGUCUUCCAAUUCCCACUUCCCUGUUACUCCAGGAAAGCUAUUUCUGUCAUUGUGAAGAAGAAAAGAGAAUGUACAUAUCGAUGCUUUUAAGUGACUGGAGCAUUCAUAUCAGGUGGUCUGCAGCCAUAUAUGCCACUUUGUGAAGGUUGGAACAGUCAAUCACUAGGCUAUAUAUUGGUGUGGCCCAGCCACUUCAAUCAAGGACAAGUCUUCAUACUUAAAGUCAAAUUCUGCCUUUAGUCUCAUUAUAAAUUGCUGUUUAAAUAUUAAGCAAACUUUUGUUUAAUGCGAUUAAGACAGUACUAACUCAAUACUUGUUCUAUUUUUGGAUGCAAAUGCUUGAUGGUUUCAUCAUUGGAUGGGAUAAAGGUGCAUUCAUGAUUAUGAAUACUUGUAGUUAUAUUUUCAUUCUCUUUUUUCUCAAUGAGACUUGUUGGCACAAUGUUGCUGUUCAGAAACCUACCUCUCCAUGGAAAAUAAGUUGCGAUUGAUAGUACUGGAUAUGUUCAAGAAAGCUAAAUAUAGAUAGCACAAAAUAUUAUCGAUAUAAAUAGCAUUAACAGCGUACGUAUGUCUCAAUGCUCAUCAGCUAUAAGCAUGGGACAAACACUUACUAUGAGCAACUUACGUCAAAAUUCCAGAAUAGGACAUAGAAGUGACAGAUCUAUAUAUAUAGAACACUGCAUAUGAGUCACAAGAAAGGAAAUUACGGGUGCAUAGCAGCUCUUAUUUUACAUACUACUACUCAUACUGAUCAAAGUCACUCAGUUGGGAUGGGUGGGAGUAGGAGGUUUGUGGGGUGGCUUGUGCGGAGGAGUUGGCAGCUUCUUUCCAGGACCUGGUUGCUUCUCUGCUGGAGUUGAAGGAGGCUUAAUCUUCCGAGGUGGCUUGUAUGAGUCUUCAGCAUUCUCAGCUGGAGGGUGACCAGGGUUGUGACCAUAAUGUGGUGGCUUCUCUCCCUUAGGUGGUUUGCCAACUGGGGUUGGUGGCUUGUAUGAGUCUUCAGCAUUCUCAGCAGGAGGGUGACCAGGGUUGUGACCAUAAUGUGGUGGCUUCUCUCCCUUAGGUGGUUUGCCAACUGGGGUUGGUGGCUUGUGUUCUGGGAGUGGCUUCUCCCCCUUGGGAGGUUUUUCCAAUGGGGUUGGUUUGUGUUCAGGAGGUGGCUUCUCCACUGGAGGCUUGUGUUCAGGAGGUGGCUUCUCCACCGGUGGCUUGUGUUCAGGAGGUGGCUUCUCCACCGGAGGCUUAUGCUCUGGUGGUGGCUUCUCCACCGGAGGCUUAUGCUCUGGUGGUGGCUUCUUGAAUGGGGGAUGCUGAGGGUAAUCAGCAAGUGAGGGGGCGGUGAGAACCACCAGGCCAAGCAACACCACUAGCAAAUAUGUAGGAGACAUCUUUGGGUUUGGGCUCAGAUGGUGCAAAACUAGGAGAAUUGGCUAGCCUUUUAUAGCGGAUCGUACUCAAUAAUGAAAUGACACGUGUCAUUAUGACCCAUGUGUAAUGGGGUCGAUUUGGGUCCUACAGUGUUGAAAACUUCGACAUCCAGUUUUGGCCUUUUGCUUUCUCUACAGCCGCCUUGCUUUUUCCCUCUUUCCUUUUGUUUUCCUCCUGCCCCAUUCUAUCAACUAAACACAAUUAUGUAGUUGUUUAAUUCUUAAAUGAGAUAUUAUCGGUCAAUCGUAUUAUAUUUUAUCAAGAGAGAACGGAGUGCAAUGCAGCUGUAAUUUUAUCGUUUACUUUUAUCUCUUGGACCACUGCAUUUUUGUUAAGAGGUGCAAUAAUACACGUCUUUAUCUGCCAUUCAAUGUUUACAGUAAAGAGAGGGCACAAAACUCUUCACUGCUCUGCAUGUGUCCCAAAAAUGCGAUUGGACAAAUUAUGAUUUGCAUGCUAAAAAGAGGCAAAUGAGGUUAAUUCGCACCAUAAUUAUUUGGUUUUCUGGACACCAUAAAAAGAUGUUAUACAGGCAGGGAAAAACCUUCAGAGUUAGCUACCAAAGAUAAUUAUCAAGCAGAUAUCACCAAGAGAAUUCCAUAGAGUCUGAAUCAAAGACAGAUUGCUCGCUCGUGGGGGUUCUUACUUUCUUUUGGGUAUAACUCACUGAGGUCACUGUCUUUUUUAUUUGCAUUUCACAGUUAGAGUUCUGCUCUGGAAGGUUUGUUCUGGAAACAUAUAAAAGGAGCAUCAUUUUGUUCUUGGGUAACCCAUAGUCGUGAGUGGGUCCAUUUGCAUGCUACUUAGUUGAAAAGUUGGACAAUUUGCUCCGACGCCUACCUCCUGGAUUCCAUGCUCGGUAAAACAAGAAUAAAAAAAAAUAUAUAAUUUACAAAUGGGGGAAAGAAAAAAUGUCGGAAAAAAUAGUAAAAUUCAUGUCACAUGCUAGUGAGAGAAGGGGUUGUUACACUCACUCGAAGUUCUUUUCAAAAUAUCGAAUGGUAUUUUACUUUAUGUGUCAGCGCAGUUGUGAAUGGAACGUGCAAAAGUCCAAAUUGGCGUUUUUAUUUUUCCCAUGUAGGAUGGUGACCUUUAAUAAAUAUUUAAAACAAAAGACGAAAAAAAAAAGGAGGGAAAAGGGAUCACAAAAGAUAAAAUAAUGUUUACAAAAGCUCAAUUAGUUUGCAAAUUACUGUUUGGAUUUUGAUAGUAUUUUAUUUGUCGUUCUAUAUUUGAUGUAAAAGAGAAUUUAAGAUAUUUCCGAAGCAAAAGCAUUAGUUUGCUCUGUGAUGUCCCACAUCGAAUAGGGGAGAAAGUUUCUGGCGCUAUAUAUGUAGAGGCUCCUCUUAACCAAGUAGAUGCGUUUUAAAACCAUGAGGGCCCCCUUAGGUCCAAAGCGGACAAUAUCUACAUGAUUGGGUGUAAGUCAUUACAAAUGGUAUCAGAGCCGAUCCCCGACCCCGGUGUGGGGGUUUGUUUGGCCCUGUAAGGGGUGUUUGUCUGUUUGACCCCACAAUCCCAUGGGACACAACGAGGACGUUGUGUCUGCAUGGGGGGGCGUUUGUGAUGUCCCACAUCGGAUAGGGGAGAAAGUUCCUAGUGCUAUAUAUGUAGAUGUUUCUCUUAACCAAGUAGAUGCAUUUUAAAAUUGUGAGGGCCUCUUUGGGCCCAAAGCGGACAAUAUCUACAUGGUUGAGUGUAAGUCAUUACAUGCUCCAUGUCAAUUUCAGCAUUUCUCAUAUGUUUCACACAUACACAGAAGAGCAUCGUUUUUUAAAGCAUGCAUUUAUGUUGGAUUAAUUUGGAUUUUGUGGGAACUGGGGCAAGGAUCACAUGGAAGAGAGGUUGACUUUUUUCAGUACUUCAAUGGUUGAAAUAUGUGAAGGCUUGAUUGAUACUAAAGCUUGAAAUUGCGACUCUGUCAUUUGUAAAAAAAUAUGACAGCUUCCAUGCUCUCGUUUGGUUGCAUUGUCCGGUCGAGAGGUGCAAAAAGCAUUCUCUCUCUUCUAAUAGUCUUUUCGUUUAAAUCAAGGGAUUUGCCUUCCCGGUCGAGGUCCAAUAGAGGGUAACGGUCACCUACUAAACAUUAAAUGCUCCAACAACUAGUGAACUGAUCGACCCCAGCUCGACUAGUUGAGGUUACUUUUUGGUUUUCUUGUCUCCCGAGGUUAGAAACCUAUAAAUAGAGAGCUUCACUUCAUUUAUGAGUAAGAGAACACCUAAAUUUAUUUGUUUACCUACUUGUUUUUGCCAUAAAAGCUCUCAUUUCUUUUCUUGGUGUAUUAAAUCUCCAUUUGCAUAUCCUUUAGUGCACCUUUGUGAUUCAUUCUAGCCUUGAGUUGUAUUUAAGCCUUUGUUGAGCUAGGUUGAGAGUUUCAUACUUGUUUAUUGAGUGUUAAAGCCUUCAAGUGAGUUAAAACUUGAAGAGAUUGUGUAAGAGCCCAUUGGAGUCGGAAUCCAAGUGUAAAGGUGAUUAAAAGCUUGGUUGAAGCUUCAAGUUAGUGGAACUCUCACUCGGUUAUGAGCUUGAGAAGAGUGGACAUAGACAAGGCAGUGUCGAACCACUAUAAAAUCUGAGUUUGAUUUCUCUAACCUUAUCUCUUUAUAUUUGCUUCUCUUGUGCUUAAAUUUUUUGUGUUUAAAAAGAAUUUUUAAAAACUCAAUUCACCCCCUUCUUGGGAGUUUUUCUCUUUUAAGAUCAGCUUUUAUUUUCUCAAUUGGUAUCAGAACUAUGCCUCUUGUUUAAGACUUAAUCGUCUAAGAGGAAAUGGCUAAUCCAUCAAGUUCAUCUCACAUUGAAAGUUUUGCAACCAAUAGACUUCUUUUUUUUUUUUUGCGGGAACUGAUUAUCCCUAUUGGAAAACUAAAAUGACUUGGUUUUUACAAUCAAUUGAUUUAGAUGUAUGAGAUGCCAUUGAAGAUGACCUAACUUUUCCUUCAAAACUAGUUGAUGGAGUCAUGGUUCCAAAACCUAAGCAAGAAUGGGAUGAGCGUGAUUGAAGAAAUUUUCAAUUAAAUGCUAAAGUCGUUUAUACUUUGCAAUGCUCUAUGGACAGAAAUGAAUAUAAUAGAAUAUGUCAAUGCAAAUCGGUUAAAGAAAUUUGGAGAUUGCUUGAAAUAACUCAUAAAGGAACAAAUCAAGUUAAAGAGUCAAAAAUCAAUUUACUUGUUCAUAGAUAUGAAUUGUUUUUUAUGAAAGAUAAUGAAACUAUUGUUAAGAUGAUCACUAGGUUCACCAACAUUGUUAAUGGUCUUAAAGCCUUGGGAAAGACCUACAAGGAAUCCGAAAACGUGAUGAAGAUCUUGAGGUCACUUCCAUCAAAGUGGCAUACCAAGGUCACCGCAAUUUAAGAAGCAAAAGACUUGAUCAAGCUACCUUUGGAGGAGUUCAUAGGGUCAUUGAUGACAUAUGAAAUCAAUUUGGCAAAGAAGUAACAAAAAGGUGAAGACAAAAAGAAGAAGAACAUAACUCUCAAAGCUACAACUAAGGAAGAAGAAGUUGAAGAAGAAAAACAAAUUGAAGAAGAUGAAGAUUUAGCCCUCAUCACAAGAAAGUUCAACAAAUUCAUGAGGGGUGAAAGGUUUAGAAGAAGAAGGUUCACUUCUAGAAGAGACUUUUCUAAAAAGGAAUCUUCAUCUAAUGGUGACAAAAAGAGAUGGGAAGAGAAAAGAGACUUGGUGUGUUUCAAGUGCAAGAAACCGGGACACAUUAAAUAUGAUUGUCCUCUCUACAAAAGUGAAGUCAAGAGGAAAAAGAAUAAGGCAAUGAUGGCCACUUAGAGUGAAAGUGAAGAUGAAUCAUCCGAAGAAGAAAAUGAGAAAGAAGUGGCAAACAUGUGUUUCAUGGCAAUAGAUGAACUUGAUGAGGUAAAAUCUAACCUUAGUGAUUAAGAUAUACAUGAUGCAUUUGAAGAAUUGUAUGAGGAUUUUUAAAAACUUAGUUUGAAAAAUAUUUCUCUUAAAAAGAAAGUUCAACAACUUGACAAAGAACUUAGAGAAGUAAAAGAAAAAUUUUCAAAUGUUAAAGUUUCUAAAACUCAUCUUGAAAAAGAAAAUGAGAUUCUAAGAAAGAAAAAUGAAUAGUUGAACUCCUCUCUUUCAAUCUUUUCUUCUAGACAAAAAUCUUUUGAAAUGAUUCUAACUAGCUAAAAAUGUGUUUUUGACAAACAAGGGUUAAGAUUUAAAUCUUCAAAAAAUCAAAAGUAUUUUAAAAACUAUUUUGUAAAGGAAUCCACAAGUGCAAGUCCUUCCACUACUUGCAACUUUUGUGGAAGAGAAUGGCACAUUAGUAGUACGCCCUUUAAGAAAUGGUUCUCAAAAGAAUUUAAAUGCAAAAACUAAAAAAGAUUUGGAUUGAGAAAUCCAAGGUCACUAACCCUCAAGGACCCAAAAAGAUAUAGGUACCUAAAUCAACUUGAGUUUUAUGUUGUAAGGUUCAAAGAAUGAUAAGUGGUUCUUAGAUAAUGGUUGCUCAAGACACAUGACCGGAGAUGAAUCCAAGUUUGCUUUUCUUAAAAAGAAAAAUGGAGGAUAUGUUACCUUUGGAGACAAUGCAAAAGAAAGGAUGAUUGGUCAAGGCAACAUUGGUAAUGGCACAUCCUCUCUCAUUGAAAGUGUUUUAUUAGUAGAUGGUUUCAAACAUAACCUUUUAAGCAUUAGUCAAUUUUGCGACAAAGGUUUUUAAGUGAUUUUUUAAGCAUCUCAUUGCAUCAUCAAGGAUAUUCAAAAUGAUAAAACCAUUUUCAUGGGCCAUAGAUGUGAUAAUGUUUAUGCUAUAAAUAUUUCAAAAUAUGAUGGCCAUGAUAGAUGUUUUUCAAGCAUGCAUGAUCAAAGUUGGUUGUGCCAUAGGAGAUUGAGACAUGCUAACAUAGACCUCAUUUCCCAACUCAACAAAGAUGAACUUGUUAGAGGCCUUCCCAAAAUAAUUUUUUAAAAAGAUAAAGUUUGUGAAGCUUGUCAAGUGGGAAAGUAAAUCAAAAACUCUUUUAAAAACAAAAACUUCAUUUCCACAUCUAGGCCACUUGAGUUGUUGCAUAUGGAUUUAUUUGGUCCCUCUAGGACACCAAGUCUUAGAGGAAAUUCUUAUGCAUAUGCUAUUGUGGACGACUUCUCUAGAUACACAUGAGUCUUGUUUUUUAGUCAAAAGAAUAAAGUUUUUUAUGAGUUUUCAAAGUUUUGCAAUAAGAUUCAAAAUGAAAAAGGUUUUUCAAUUACUUAUAUAAGAAGUGAUCAUGGGAGAGAAUUCGAAAAUAUUGAUUUUGAAGAGUAUUGCAAUGAGCAUGGAAUUGACCACAAUUUUUUGGCUCUUAGAACUCCUCAACAAAAUGGGGUAGUUGAAAGGAAAAAUAGAACUCUUCAAAAAAUGACAAGAACCAUACUAAAUGAAAACAACUUACCAAAAUAUUUUUAGGCCAAAACGGUUAACACUUCUUGUUAUGUUUUAAAUAGAGUAUUAUUGAGGCUCAUACUUAAGAAAACUCCCUAUGAGCUUUGGAAAAACAAAAAACCCAACAUUAGUUAUUCCAAAGUCUUUGGAUGCAAUAUUUUAUAAUAAACACCAAAGACAAUCUUGGAAAAUUUGAUGCAAAAUUGGAUGUUGGAAUUUUCCUUGGUUACUCAACUUCAAGUAAAGCUUUUCGAGUUUUAACAAAAGAACCAUGGUUGUAGAGGAGUCCAUCCAUGUUAUUUUUUAUGAAUCUCCAAGAAAGAGAGAGGAUUGAUGAUGAUUUAGGUUUGAAGACCUCUAUAGGAAGAUUGCAAAUCGAAGAUAGAAGACAACAAGAAGAAAAUGGAGAGAAUCCAAAGAAAGAAGGAUCACCAUUGGCACUACCCCCUCAUCAACAAGCGCAAGGUGAAUCAAGUCAAGAGCUUCCUAAAGAAUGGAAGUUUGUCAUCAAUCACCCACAAGAUCAAAUUAUAGGCAAUCCAUCUAGUGGGGUAAGAACUAGAUCCUCUCUUAGAAAUAUUUGCAAUAAUCUAGCUUUUAUCUCUCAAAUUGAGCCUAAAAAUAUAAAUGAUGUUUUAGAUGAUGAAAAUUGGAUAAUUGCAAUGCAAGAAGAGUUAAAUCCAUUUGAAAGAAGUGGAGUAUGGGAAUUAGUACCAAGACCUUCAAAUCAAAGUGUUAUUGGAACUAGAUGGAUCUUUAGAAAUAAAAUGGAUGAAAAUAGCAUAAUUGUUAGAAAUAAAGCAAGAUUGGUAGCCCAAGGUUUUAAUCAAGAAGAAAUGAUAGAUUAUGAAGAAACCUUUGCCCCCGUAGCUAGGUUGGAAGCCAUUAGGAUGCUACUUGCCUUUGCAUGUUUUAAAGACUUUGUUUUAUAUCAAAUGGAUGUGAAAAGUGCUUUUUUAAAUGGUUUUAUAAAUGAAGAAGUAUAUGUUGAACAACCACCCGGUUUUCAAAGUUUCAACUUUCCUAACCAUGUUUUUAAACUUAAAAAGACACUUUAUGGUUUGAAACAAGCACCUAGAUCAUGGUAUGAAAAAUUGAGUAAAUUUCUUUUGAAAAAAAUGUUUUAAAAUGGGAAAAAUUGACACAACUCUUUUUAUAAAAACCAAAGAAAAUGAUAUGCUCUUAGUUCAAAUAUAUAUUGAUGAUAUCAUUUUUGGUGCUACUAAUGUCUCUCUUUAUGAAGAAUUUUCUAAGUGCAUGCAUAGUGAGUUUGAAAUGAGCAUGAUAGGAGAACUCAACUUCUUCCUUGGACUUCAAAUCAAGCAACUAAAGGAAUGAACCUUCAUCAAUCAAGCAAAGUAUAUAAGAGAUCUUCUCAAAAGGUUCAACAUGGAAGAAGCCAAAACAAUGAAGACUCUAAUGAGCUCAUCCAUUAAGCUUGAUAAGGAUGAGAAAGGUAAAUCCAUUGACUCUAUUAUGUAUAGAGGCAUGAUAGGUUCUUUGCUCUAUUUGACCACUAGUAGACCUUACAUUAUGUAUAGUGUGUGUUUGUGUACUAGAUUUCAAUCUUGUCUUAAAAAAUCUCACUUAAGUGUCGUGAAAAGAAUCCUCAAAUAUUUGAAAGGGACAAUGGACAUAGGCUUAUGGUAUCCUAAGAGUGAUAACUUUGAAUUAAUUGGUUUUUUGGAUGCUGAUUUUGUCAGUUGUAGGGUUGAAAAAUAAAACACUAGUGGCACUUUUCAUUUCUUAAGACACUUACUUGUCUCAUGGCAUAAUAAGAAGCAAAAUUUGGUAGCUUUGUCAACAGCAGAAGCUAAAUACAUAGCAACUGGUUUAUGUUGUGCACAAAUCCUUUGGAUGAAAUAAACACUUAGUGAUUUUGAUUUAUCUUUUGAGCAUAUUCCUAUUAAAUGUGAUAAUAGUAGUGCCAUAAGUAUAUCAAAAAAUCUCGUGCAACACUCUAGGACUAAGCAUAUAGAGAUUAGACAUAAUUUUCUUAGAUAUCAUACACAAAAGGAUGAUAUAACACUUGAAUUUGUAAGCAUAAAAGACCAACUUGCCGAUAUCUUUACAAAACCUCUAAGAACAUUUUGUUGAUAUUAGAGGACAAUUAGGAGUGAUUUCUUUAUGAUCUAAUGUGAUGAAUUCUUGAUGAAUAUACUUUUUGAUUGCAUGAAUUUCAUGUCAUAUAUGCAUCAUAUAGAAAUAUACUUAGAUAAUGGUCAAAUUUCGACCAAAAAUCAAAAUUCCCAUGGCAUUAGGCAUAAAAAUUUUGGAAUUUCAACUGAAAAUGGUAGGAGGAGGAUCACAAAAUGAGAAAGUAUGCAAAAAUUGAAAAAUCAAAACGUUGACCAAGCGGUCAAUCGGACUAGACCGAUCGACUAGUUUGUCGAGAUUUAGGAUUUUUAAGAGACUCCAACGCUUCAAUUUUUGCACCGUUCUCCUCUAUUUCUUCACGGUUUCUCUGAUUUUGUCUUUUAGAGACUAAUUUGAGUGCGUUUUGGAUCAAUUGAAGCAUUUUGGAUUGGAUUUUAGGAAGAUUGAAAGUUAAGGUUUCGGAUUUGGGUCGCCUUCUCUUCCUCUCGCGUGUCACAAUCAGCUUUAGCAUUGUUCUCUUUCCAUUUUCACACACCUAGGGUUUCAGUUGUGAGCAUCUCUCUCUCUUUACCAACCACUACUCCCUUGCUUCUUCCAUAUGGCUCCUAGGCGAGAGUCCGCUACUUCUAGGGCACAAGGCAAGCACCCAACUGAGUCGUCUCAGUCAAAGGCACGUCGAAAAGUGAGAUUUGACAUUGCCUUGUUCAGUUCCAUGGAGGACUACCAACUAUACAAGCAACACUUUGCUUAGAGACGAGUAGUUCCCAAGAGAAAUAUUAAUUUUCCUCAACUUCAGCAUUUCGAAUUUAAGGGUCUAUUUACUAGGAUGGUUGGUUGUCUAUUGUCACAAUUUCGGAGCCGGUUUUCCUGACCUUAGUGCGAGUUUUUUACUCGAGGGCGACUUAUGGCAUGGGUGGCAUGAUCAUUUCUACUGUUGGAGGAGUUGAGAUCUGUCUGGACCCAGAGAGCAUCUGCCAUAUUUUCGAUAUUGCUCUGGUUGGACUCAAAGUAUACAAGUCCAAAAUGUGGCCCAUUGUGCCAGGAUUUGAGCUUAGAGAGGUCAUUCAGAGGAUUUGUGAACUUCCAGACGCCCAGGAGAUGGGCAAACCAUUGCCACACAGUUUGACGGUCAUCAACAGGGUGCUACACCAUAUAUUGUGCUCUAUCUUUCUACCACGAAGUGGACAUUGAGAUGAGGUCUCUUAUUAUGAGGCAUUCCUUAUUGACUCCAUUCUAACGGAGAGACGAAUUCAUCUACUAUGUCAUCAUUCACUAAGCCUCCUCACAGUGACAUACCACCUCAUCAGGCACCUCUUGCUCCUGACCAUGCUCCAUUGAUGGAUUUAUUUACUCAUAUUAGCUCUCUAGGCACUCGCAUGAAGGAGUUUGUUGUAGUUAGUGAUACAUGGUUCUACUCCAUAGAGGAUCGCAUGGAUCAGUAUCAGACUGGCUUCACGUCACAGUUUGAGUAUCUCCAAUAGAGGAUUGAGCAUAUUGAGGAUCACUUGAGCAUGAGAAGAUGAUGGCUUUUCUAUGCUCUGUGUUUCCACCUCCACCUCGUCAACCUUGAUUUCUUAGAGACCCAUUGUUUUCAUUUUGUAAUGUUGCCAAAAGGGGGAGAUAUUUAGGAUCUAGGACUCUAUAGGAGACUUACAUGCAUAUCAUUUUCAUAUCAUUGUUUGGAUCGUACAUAUUGGAUAGUGAUACUUUUUACUUAUAUAUGAUAUGCCUAUAUGUUUCAUGUCUUACAUUGUUUCUUAUUGCAAAUUAUCUCUAACAUGUCUUGAUUAUCUUUUUUUUAACUUCAUAAAUUUUGAUUGUUAACCCAUGAUUGGUUUGAGGGGAAGAUUCUUCUUCUCCUAGAUAACCAAGGUUUGUCAUCAUAAAAAAAUUGGAGAUUGUUAGCCCAAGGGUUCUCCUAAUCAUGUUUUGAUGAUAACAAACCAUGCUUAAGUUACUAAUUGGUUUGAAUUAUAAAGAAUUUCAAGUGUUAAUUUGAAAAUUCAUCAAAGAACCUAAUGGAUGCAAGAUCAAGAUUUUUGGAAGACCUUUAAUCAUAAGAAACAUAUGUAAGAUGAAUGCAUGGGUGCACUUAAGAUUUGCAUAUCAUUUCAUGCAUAUUUGGAAAACACGGUUUAUGCUUUAAAGUUACAUUUCCAUCAAAAUUUGAGAUCCAUCAAAUGAACCUUAGGAAAAAUGUUUUAAAAUUGGCAUAUAAUUUUACCUAAAGACCUUGCCUAAGUGUUAGAAGCAAAAGGACAAAAAAAAUAUAGGUUUUCUGGUCAAAAAUGGUGAACCAGUCAAGGCAUUGUCUAAAUCAGCUCAAUCGGCCAAGGUACCGGUCGAUCGGUUUCCCUUUCCCUGUCGAGAUCUAGUCAAGAGGUACAAAAAUCACAAUCUCUGUCUCUUUCUCUCUUUGUCUAUCUUCCAGUAGUCUUUCCUUCCCGGUCGAGGGAUUUGCCUUCCCGAUUGAGGUCCGAUUGAGAGUAAUAGUCACUUGCCAAAUAUUAAAUGCUCCAACAGUUAGUGAACUGGUCGACCCCCACCUUGCCCAGUUGAGGUUACUUUUUGGUUUUCUUGGCUCCCGAUGUUAGAAACCUAUAAAUAGAGAGUUCCACUUCAUUUAUGAGCAAGAGAACACUUGCAUUUAUUUGUUUACCUACUUGUUCUUGCCUUAAAAGCUCUCAUUUCUUUUCUUGGUGCAUUAAAUCUCCAUUUUGAUAUCCUUUAGUGCACCUUUGUGAUUCAUCUUAGCCUUGAGUUGUAUUUGAGCCCUUUUUUUAGCUAGGUUGAGAGUUUCAUACUUGUUAAUUGAGUGUUAAAGCCUUCAAGUGAGUUGAAACUUGUAGAGAUUAUGUGAGAGUCGAUUGGAGCCGAAAUCCAAGUGUAAAGGUGAUUAGAAGCUUGGUUGAAGCUUCAAGUUAGUGGAAUCCUCACUCAAUUAGGAGCUUGAGGAGAGUGGACGUAGCCAAGGAAGUGUCGAACCACUAUAAAAUUUGAGUUUGAUUUCUCUAACAUUGUCUCUUUAUAUUUGUUUAUCUUGUGCUUAAAUUUAUUGUGUUUAAAAAGAAUUUUUAAAUACCCAAUUCACCCCCCUCUUGGGUGUUUUUCUCUUUUAAAAUUAGCCUUUAUUUUCUCACAAACUAUUGUAGUAUAGUGGUUUUUAGGUGUCAUCCAUUAGGAUGAAUUGUUCUCGGUAAUUAAGGCGUGAAUGAGAGGAGAAUUAAUGAUUGUGAUUAAGUAAAAUUGAUUUGAAAAUUCAUGGUGAAAAAUCAAUUUAACAAUGGUUUCUAAUUGAGAAAAACAAUGAAAUGUGAAAUAAAAUAAAAUUAAUAGGAAAUGAAAUUCUCGAAGUUAGAAUUUUCUAAAAAACAAAUUCCAUGGUGAAUGGAUGUUGAGAUCUAAUUUUCAUCAAGUUAGAUUGAAAACCGAAAUUUUCAUAUAAACUGAUUUUUUAUUUAGUUUUAGGUCUAGAUUUAAUUUCCCUUAAAAUUAGGUUAUUUAAUCCAAGAAAUCAAUUCAAAUCAUAUAUUCAAUUCAUCUUAAAUUAUCUUCCAAUUAUUCACACAAUGCAACUAUUCAAUCUCAUCAAAUCUAGCUUUUAAGAAUUUAAUGAAUCUACCUAGUUUGCAUUGUAAUAGUCAUCCAUGACAAUUUGAAGAGAAAAAUAAUUCAAUUAAUCAAUCACUUGGAUCAAAUUACCUUUGCAAUUAAAGUUCAUUUCUCUAAUUCACCACAGAUUUUGUCUCUAGAUCCUCCUUUCUCAAAGAAAAAUGAGAUUUAGCCACACAUGAUUGGAGAUUUGGUCUCAUAAGGCAUGUUUAGCUAGUGAUAAAAUGAGAGAAAAUAAAGAAAAAUAGAGAAUUCGAUUAAGAAAGAAAAUCUAAAAAAUUCUACAAUUAGAAAUGUCCAAAAAGCUUUUUCAUGAGAAAAUCAAGUUUCUAUUUAUAGGCCAAGGUCAAGUGGACACUUGACAUCAUCUAAGAGGUCUUCCGGAAGCUUCUUCAUCAAGAAAUCUGGAGUUUAAUAAUAAAAUGGUCAUUUCACAAGAGCUCAAACAAUUUCGCAUGAUUAUGUGAAAUAAAAAAUGCAACAACAGCAAUUUACAUCUUCUUGGAGCAUUUCGCAUGACUGUGUGAAAUUUUCACAUGAUCAUGUGGAAUCGACUUGACAACUCUCAUUUAGCCUACAACAUAAUUCCACCUUUUGGUCCAUUUUUCAUAGUCAUGCGAAAUGGAAAUAUUUGAUUUUUAAGUUUUCUUUUGUCAUUUCUUUCAUUUCCUUCUCUUGAUUCCACUUCAACUACCUCCGAAUCCUGGUCCAAACCAAUUGCAUUACUUCUUUCAUUAUGCAUUUGGAUCAUCAUCAACAUUAUUUGUUCUCUUCAAUUUGAUUCAUCUCUUUUGUCACCAAUUUAUCAAAAUCAUACCUUGAAAUGACUCCAAAACUUCAUAAAACUUGUUAGUAACUCUUGCAAGGGCAACAACAUAUUAAUUAAGUGUUUUAGGCAUAGUUACUACUCAAAAGAUGCGAAACUCAUGAUAAUUAUUAUAUAAAAUAUGCUCUUUUUGAGUAGUAAUCAACUUUCUUGCAUAAGCAGACCUUUUAGGGUGGAGUACUAAAGACCAAUAUGCUUGUCCUUGUUGUAAUAAAGAAACUUGCUCUUAUUGAUUGCACCAUGGGAGAAAAUUUUGCUACAUGAGUUAUCAUCAAUUUCUUCCCACCAAUCAUAGAUUUAGACGUGACAAGAGGCCUCUUAAUGGCAAGGAGGAACUGACACUCACACUUAUACAAUUAUCGGGCAUUGAUGUGUUGCAACAAUUAGAAUAACUUACACCAAUUAUGUUGGGGAAGUCACAAAAGGCAAACAUGAAAACUAAAAGGAAAAAAGAAAAAUGUUACAUAUCACCACAACUGGAAAGAAAAAAGUAUUUACUUUCAUUUGCCAUAUUGGAAAGCACUUAUUUUACAUCAUAAUAAUUUAGACAUAAUGCAUAUUGAGAAAAAUGUGUGACAAUAUAAUUGAGACAUUGUUCAGUAUUGACGAAGAAACAAGGACAACCUAAAUAGUCAUCUCGAUUUACAAGCUCUAACUAUUAGAAAUGAGAUUCACCCAAUAGAAAGCAGGACCAAAUUUAUUUUGCUUGCAACAUGCUACUCACUCACCCCAAAUGAGAUUAAGGAAUUUUGCAAGUUUUUGAAAUCAAUAAAGGUCCCCAAUGGCUAUUCUUUCAAUAUCUCUCGUUAUGUGCAACUCAAUGAAAGGAAGAUAUAUGAGCUCAAAUUGUAUGAUUGUCAUGUCCUAAUGCAACAACUUCUCUCACUUGUAGUUCGUGGAGUUCUACAUAAGAAUGUUUGUGGAGUUAUCAUAGAAUUGCGUAAUUUUUUCAAGCAAUUGUGCUCAAAGGUGUUAGAAACAAAUCACUUACACCAACUUGAGAACAAUAUUAUUGUCAUACUAUGUAAAAUGGAGCAAAUAUUUCUUCCAUCAUUCUUUGAUAUUAUGGUGCAUUUACUUGUGCAUCUAGUAAGGCAAAGGUUGCAAGACUUGUGCAAUAUUGUUGGAUGUACCUAAUUGAACGAUAUUGUUAUAAUUUCAUAUGAAUCAUUUAAUUUUAUUUUAUAUUAUGUUCAGUUCAUUAACAUGUACAUUGGUCUACAUAUGGAUGAUGAUAGGUACCUAAGCACUUUAAAGUCAUAUGUGCGUAAUAGAACUUUUCUAGAAGGUUCUAUUGUAGAAAGGUACCUUGCAAAAGAAUGUACAACAUUUUAUUCUAGGUACUUGAAUGAUGUGGAAAUAAAGUAUAAUCACAAUGAUAGAAACUUUGUUGGUUUCAACACUAGAGGAGAUGAAAGGGGUUAUCUUUAAACAUAUUGGACAUGCAUUGGGAAAGCCCAUAUUUCAUUAACUUAGUUCAAAAGAGUGGUCACAAGCACAUUUAUAUGUGUUGACAAAUUGCGAAGAUGUCAUACCAUUCAUUGAGUAAAAAAUUUAUUUGAAUUUUAAUUAAAGCUCUAGUUUAUAUCCUUAAUCAAUGUUUUUUAAAUUCACAAGGAGCACAAGCAAACCAUCAAGGCUAGACCACAUAUACGUGUUUGAGACGUAGAUUUAAUUCAUAACAAGGAAUUUAUCAAGUGGUUUGAAAGACAUGUAAGUAUAUUCCUUAUUAUAAGGGAUUUAUUUCACAUUAUGUUUAUAUUGAAUCCAAACCUAUUAUUGAAUUGUAGGUUGAACAAUUACAUAAUGAAGGUCAUAUAUCUGAACACCUUCUCACAUUAUCAUGUGUUCCAAAUUCAUUAGUUACAUGCUUCAAAUGAUAUAUUGUCAAUGGAUUUAGAUCCCACAUUAAAGAACGUGAUAAAAAAGUUUUUAAAAAAAGACUCAGAAUAAUGGAAUUGUUGUAGUUGCAAAAACGUCAAGCUUUACAAGUGCAUGUGAUAUGAGUCCAAUUAUUAGUGAUGCUCUCUACUAUGGUGUUCUAACUAAAGUUGUUGAGUUACAUUAUCUUGGUGAAAAUAAGGUUGUUUUAUUCGAGUUUGAUUGGUGGGAUGUUACAAAUAUUGGAAAAUUGAUAAAAGAUGAUGAGUACAAUUACACAUUUGUUAACUUUGCAUGAAUUCUAACCACGAACGAACGAUUUGUACUUGCAUCUCCAGCAAAGUAAGUGUUCUAUGUGAAGAAUGCGAAUGAAUCAGAUUGGCAUACUAUCAUGGAGAUGCAACCUCAAGACCUCUAUAAGAUGAACGGGAUAGGAUCCAAUGGUGAUUUUGAACCAUUUCAACAAAGUGAACUACAUGAUCACUAAUAUAUCUCAGAUUUAGUUGAUGAAGAUAUAAUCAAGUGGAACAAAAGUGAUGUUUUAGGACUAAUCAUCCUAAAAAAUAUUGUAGUUUCUUAAAAAAAAAAUGAAAAUGAAGAAGAUAAUUGAACCUUUGUCAUACUUUAAAAAGCAACUAUGCAUUGUUCAUUUUGUAUGUUUUGGUUUUCUUCAUUUAAUUUCCUGAUUUUUGUGAUUCAAUGUCAUAUUAUUGAUCUUGAAAUAUUUUUCUAAUUUUUCAUUCUACGAUGGUUUCAACAAGGAUGACAUCAAGUCAAAAAAGGAAAUGUGGUCCCACACACAAUAUUGCAUUACAGGGAUUAAGGUCAGGGAAGAAGGUAAAAGUUGCAUUUAAUGAGUACAAUCAAUUGGUUAAACAGAAAAAUGGAAAACACUUAUCGAGCUACAUAGGGACACUUGUAUCUAACCAACACAAUGUACCUCUCCAAGCUAGUGAUUGGAAAAAUGUUCCAAAUGAUGCAAAAGAGAAAGUAUGGCCUUUGUUUUGGUAUGUUGUAUUUCUCACUAUAUGAUGUCAUUUCACUGUUAUUCUAUUUUGUGACUAACGUUUGAAUCAUAUGUAAGAAAAAUUUGAAGUAGAUAAAGACUGAAAAGAUUACAUGUUGGGUAUAGCCUCAAAUAAAUAUAGAAGCUAUAAAAAUAUGAUGAAUGCAAAAUACUAUGACCCUUGGCAUAAGGAUGCAUGAGGAGAGGUUAAUACAUAAAUCACCAUUUGUCUCUGAUGUUGAUUGGAAGUGGCUUGUCUCUGAUGCAUAAACCAAAUCCCCCACUGAAUGUUUGAUAUUUGAUAGCAGGAAAAACACACCCGCAGCUAUACACCUCCAUCAUUCAGAUAAUUAUAGUGGGGGAGAUGAUUCAUGGUUGCCCUUAUACCCUUUAUUUGCACCAUCUAUUGAGAUUCUUUAUCAUGGCCAGGUUUUACUGCAGCAAUAAGAUAUGGUGGCAACAAUUUUAUCUAUAGGUGCGGUUCCAGACCGCCUCCAUAGGUGCGGUUCCUGACUGCCUCCAUAGGUGCCUCUUCUUGUAAUGUUUGUUCUGGGAAUUACACUUGAAAGCCUUAUCGUGAUAAGGGAUUACAAACACUAGUUCAGAGGACAGCCAUGUUAAACUUCCACUAUGUUUGUGUCACAUUAUCAGCAGCCUAGUGUUUAUUGGUCAUGCUAUCUGCAACUAAUAUAACCCGGUGAACUUCAAUCUAAAUUCUGAAAGUACUCAUGUGACAGAUGGUGCCUUUCAGCAGAUAUCAUCAAUUUAAAAGUAGUGUGUGUGCCUAUAGGUGGGAAGGCCUUGGCAAAUGUUCAGUAUUCCGGUAAUUCAAGAAGGAUAUAUCUAAAAUAGAUUUUCUUCUUGCCCAUUUCAAUAGUUAAAAUUUGAGAAGAUUGUGUCCACAUCACACAAAUAUUAUUGGUCCUUCUGUUGCAAUUUACCUCUGAACAUGUCUUCCAAUUCCCACGGUCCUGUUACUCCAGGAAAACUAUUUCGGUCAUAUUGAAAAAAAAAAUAUUAAAGAAGGUACACAUGCUUUUAAGUGGACUGGGGCAUUCAUAUCAGGUGGUCUGUAUCCACAUAUGCCACUUCGUGAAAGGUGGAACAGCCUAAUCACUAGGCUAUUUAGUGUGGCCCAGCCACGUUAAUCAAGCACAAGUCUUCAUACUUAAAGUCAAAUGGUGUCUUUAGUCUCAUUACACAUCGCUAUUUGAAGAUUAACUCAUCACUAGUGUAAUGCGAUUAAGACAGUCCUAACUCAAUAUUUGUUCUAGUUUUGGAUGCAAAUGCUUGCUGGUUUCAUCAUUGGAUGGGAUAAAGGUGCAAUCAGGACUAUGAAUACGUGCAGUAAUACUUCAUUCUCUUUUUUCUCAAUGAGACUUCUUGGCACAAUUUUGCUGCUCAGCAACCUACCUUUCCAUGGAAAAUCAGUUGUGACUGAUAGUAAUGGAUAUAUUCUAGAAAGCUAAACAUAGAUAGCAUUCAAUAUUAUCGAUAUAACAUUAACAGCGUAUGUCUCAAUGCUCAUCAGCUACAAGCAAUGGACAAACACUUUGAGUAACUCACAGCAGUCAAAAUUCCUAAACAGGACAGACGUGACAGAUCUAUAUAUAGAACACUGCAUAUGAGUCACAGGAAAAGAUAAUACGGGUACAUAGAAGCUCUUAUUUUACAUAUUACUCAUACUGAUCAAAGUCGCUCAGUUGGGAUGGAUGGGAGAAGGAGGUUUGAGGGGUGGCUUGUGCGGGGAAGUUGGCAGCUUCUUUCCGGGAGCUGGUUGCUUCUUUGCUGGAGUUGAAGGAGGCUUAAUCUUCCGAGGUGGCUUGUAUGAGUCUUCAGCAUUCUCAGCAGGAGGGUGACCAGGGUUGUGACCAUAAUGUGGUGGCUUCUCUCCCUUAGGUGGUUUGCCAACUGGGGUUGGUGGCUUGUUUUCUGGGAGUGGCUUCUCUCCCUUGGGUGGUUUGCCAACUGGGGUUGGUGGCUUGUGUUCUGGGAGUGGCUUCUCCCCCUUGGGAGGUUUUUCGAAUGGGGUGGGUUUGUGUCCUGGUGGUGGCUUCUCUCCCUUGGGAGGUUUACCAAUUGGGGUCGGUGGCUUGUGUUCUGGGAGGGGCUUCUCUCCCUGGGGAGGUUUAGUGGGUGGCUUGUGUUCUGGAGGUGGCUUCUCCACCGGAGGCUUAUGCUCUGGUGGUGGCUUCUCGAAGGGGGGAUGCUCAGGGUAAUCACCAAGUGAGGGGGUGGUGAGAACCACCAUGCCAAGCAACAACACUAGCAAGUAUGUAGUAGACAUCUUUGGGUUUGGACUCAGACAGUGCAAAACUACGAGAAAUCGCUAGCCCUUUAUAGCGGCUCGGACCUAAUACUGACAUAAUAUAAAAUAAAUAUUAUAUUUUAUCAAGAGAGAACAGAGUGUAAUUUUAUCAUUAAUACCGAUCGAGGCCAAAGAAAGAAGACCCAUAAUCCAUUUCCCACAAGCAUACACAAUGCAGCUGUAAUUUUAUCAUUUACUUUUAUCCCUUGGACCACUGCAUUUUUGUUGAGAGACACAAUAACACAUUUUUAUCUGUCAUUCAACAUUUACAGUAAAGAGAGGGCACAAAACGCAAUUAGAUAAAUUAUGUUUUGCCUGCUAAAAAGAGGCAAAUAACUUUAUUUGCAACAUAAUUAUUUUGGUUUCUAGUGACCCCGGGGCCUUUCGGUUGGUUUGGGAUCGGAAAAUGAACAUCAUAGGGGGGGUUGUGCCCUUAUGGGCAUAUAUAUCUGAUAGCUUCAACUGGCCUUGUUCCUAGAAAGAAAUUGCCAAAGAUAUAAACUUAUUCCAGGCUGAAAGUAGAUGAGAGUCAUAAUGAACAUCAACCUUUGUUCAGUUUGAUUCAAUGCCCCCAUAGUGUUCAUUUCACAGAUCUGAAUGAUUAUAUCCGUUGAAUACAUAAAUUAAUGAAGACAAAUAUGAAACCCAAGAUACAUCUCUGCAUAACAACCCCAACCCUGGUUGCUAUGUUUCCCUUCUUCUAUUCACAUGAGGAUACUGGUUAUAAUUGUCAAACUUGCAACAAGCCCUUUGACACCUAACGUCAAUGGACGAAUUAAAAGUCUCCUUCAAACGUCUAUUUCACAGCAUGAAGCUUAUAAAGGAUGCUGACAACCUUCAGAGUUAGCGACAAAAGAUAAUUAUCAAGGAGAGAUAGUUCCAUGAGAAUUCCAAGGAGUCUGAAUCAAAGACAAAUUGCUCACUCAAGGGUUCUUAUUUUCUUUUAGGUACAAAUCUCUUGAGUGUUGUUAAAGAAACACGUCACUGUCAUUUUGAUUUGCAUUUAACAUUUCACUUUUGUUCUGGAAGGUUUGUUCCGGAAACAUAUCAAAUGAGCAUCAUUUUCUUCUUCGGUGACACAUGGUCGCGAGUACGUGGGUCCAUUUUCAUGCCACUUAGUUGAAAAGUUGGAAAGAAAAAACAUGCCAACAAGAAGAUAGUGAGAGAAGGGGCACUUCAAGCCUUUAACAUGAACAAACAGUAAAUAAAAGAUGUUUCUCCACUCAUAAAAGUGUGUUAGAUAGCAAUAUAACGAAUCACAUCCAAAAUCUUUACUAGGCUCAAACAUAAAGAAGACUCAUUUUUAAGAAAAGAUAAAAAUGGCAUUGUCUGAUAGUAUCCAAUACACGAGAUGGCACUUAAUUUGUACAAGAUCUGUCAAUGCUGACGCACAUUUUCUGAUUAAAAAAAAACUGAUCAGUCAAAAGCAAUGAAGAGAAGUGAUGACAAUGAAUGAUGCUUCCAAUAUUUUCACCCCUUAUAGUGUUCUUCAUGAUUCAGAUAUAUAAUUGGAAAUAGAACAACCCUAUGCCAUACAUUCGUCUAAGUAUGGUGUCUAAUUUUUUGUGUCAGCGGUUGCGAAUGGAGCGUGCAAAAGUCCAAAUUGGCGUCUCUCCAUUUCCACAUAGGAAGGUGACCUUUAUUGACAAAUACCCAAUAUUUGUAGACAUUCCUUAAAUAUCAUAACUUCUUGUUGAUUUGAAAAUCAUUUUUCAACUACCAUGUUUUAAUAAAUAUUUUUUAAAAUGUAUUUUUAUCAAAGUCCACCAUGAUGGAUAAUAUUCACCAUGCAAUAAUUAAUAAAGUACAAACUAAGCGAAAUGAAAAGCAUUUUCUUUGCUUUGAGUUGAUUUUGGUUGCAUUGAGUUGAUUUUGGUUUCAUGGUUUUUUCAACUCUUAUUUUGAUUGGAAGAUGUCAAGAAAAGAAAACAUAAAGAAAAAUUAAAAGGGAAAAAAGAAGAAAAAUAAAAAAAAAUAGAUUUAAAAGUUAAUAAAUUAUUUUUUAUAUUUAUUUUAAUUCAUUUCACUUAUUUUUCUUUUACUAUAUAAAAUUUAAAUAAUUUAAAUUUUAUAAUUAAUUUAAUUACAUUUCAUUUUCUUCUAUAUUUAAAUAUUGGAAAAAUAUUUUACUUAAUAUUUUUUUCUUUAAUUUCUUUGGCAUUUUGGGAACCAAACUUAGCCUUUAAAAUAAAAAACAAAAAAAAAAUGAAAAUAAGGAGGGAAAAGUGAGAAAAGAUAAAAACAAUAUGUAAAGGAUUUGAAAAGUAUUAGUUUGUAAUUACUAUUUGGAUUUCAAUAGUAUUUUAUUUGUCUUUCUAUAUUUCAUGUAAGAGAGAAUUUAAGAUAUUCCCCAAGGCAAAGCAUUAGUUACCUGCAAUCAGUGGUGAUAAGGCUCCAAGCCAAUUUUGGGCCCCAUAUCUUAAGACAGUACAAUUUCCAUUUCAACAUUUCUGAUUUCUCAGAUGUUUCACAUACCACAGAAGAACAUUGUUUGUGAAAAUAUGCAUUUAUGUUGGAUUUUGUAUGCUGUGGGGACUGGGGCAAGGAUCAUAUGGAAGAGUGGUUGACUUUUUCUGUACUUUAACGGUUGAAAUAGGAUAAGCACGGGCAUUUGUGAGGCUUAAUUGAUUUUGAAGCCUGAAAUUGCGUUUCUGUCAUUUUGUCAAAAAAAUGGCAGAUUCCAUACUCAUAUGUUUGGCCUGUGGCCAUGUACAGAUGCCAUUUAGUGACCAGUUUGUAACUGUCAAUCGUUGCGUUUUGACUCUGCCUCAACAACAUCUGCCAUUGACGGGUUUUCAUACUUGCAAAUCAAAUAGUCUUUCGUCCCAUCAGGAAUUUCGGUUUAAAUAUUAUUAAGCAUACGUUUGGCUGACAAUCAUUAUCCAGUUCAUGAUUUGGUUUCUUACCCUUAAUCAAUGGUUUCUAAGUGAAUAUAUGUAGAAGGAAAUCCGAAGUGUAGACAGUAGUAUCGAUAACUCUCAAUAUUCUCUAUAUAAUAGAAUAAACAGCGUCAUAGUGAUCGUCGCCUACAAGCAAGGUACAAAUACCAAAACGAGUGACUCACAUAGACAUCUCCCAACAAGAUGUAGUAGUGACUGACACAUGGACACAAUUAACUCGUAGAAAAGGAUAAGACCAUUGCACAGCAGCUCUUAUUUUACAUACUACUUAUGCUAACCAAAGUCAAUUAGUUGGGAUGGGUGGGAGAUGGAGGUUUGUGCGGUGGCUUGUGGGGCGGAGUUGAUGGCUUCUUUCCAGGAGCUUCUGGCUUUUUCAUCGGAGCUGAAGGAGGCUCAAUCUUAUGAGGCGGCUUGUAUGAGUCUUCUUUACUCUCGACAGGAGGGUGGCCAGGGUUGUGAUCAUAAUGUGGUGGCUUCUCUCCCUUAGGUGGCUUGCCAACUGGGGUUGGUGGCUUGUGUUCAGGAAGUGGUUUCUCUCCCAUGGGAGGUUUAGCAAUUGGGGUUGGUGGCUUGUGUUCUGGGAGUGGCUUCUCUCCCUUGGGAGGUUUAGUAGGUGACUUGUGUUCUGGAGGUGGCUUCUCCACCGGAGGCUUGUGCUCCGGUGGUGGCUUCUUGGUUGGAGGGGGCUUGGGGUAAUCAGCAAGAGAUGGGGUGGUGAGAACCACCAGUCCAAGGAACAACACUAGCAAGUAUGUGGGAGACAUUUUUGAGUUUGGGCUGAUCAGAUGAUGCAAAACUAAAGCAUUACGUGACCUUUUAUAGCAUGUAGCUCCCAAUACCCACUAAGUAUUGUGGGGUCCAUUUGUGCCCUACGGGGUUGAAAACUUAGACAAUUGGGCAAGGACCCACCUGACUAUGGAGGACUAGUGAGGUGUGAUCAUAGCUUUAGGAUUUUUCUUCCUCUGCAGCCGUCGUGCCGUUGGCAUGAUUUUCUUAAUCUUAAAUAAAGGCAUAGUUAUAGAGUUGUUUAAUCUCUAAAUGGGAUUUUAUAUAUAUCUUCAGAUAGCCAUUAAUAUAUUUGAUGAAGAAAGAAAGACAAGUGCAUACAACAUGUAUACGACUAGCUUUCAUGGAGUUCAUUUAUGAUCAGUUUUCCUGUACAUGUAAACCAGGAUCAUAUAUAUGUUUCUGUUCCACAACUAUUUUGGAAUCUUGUUUAUCAGUUUUUAUCAUUAUAAUGUCACAUAGGCUGCCAACUUGGGCGCUAAAAGAACCAGUUGGGCUAGUUCGUUUCAGAAUUUCAAUGUGGAUUCAGGAAUUGUUUUGUAAGAUAUGCGAAAUAGUAGAGGGAUGAAUAGUGUUUCAUUAAUAAAAGUGUCCUGUAAAUUAGAAGGUGUCAUAGAAACUAUAAUCAAUAAAUAACUUUUUUUCCCCACGGGUGGUGUUUCUUGUGGGGAUCAGUGACUGGUUUAGGUUCACCCAAAAUGAGUUCAGACUAAAAUUGGUUUGAGUCAAUGCCGUGUCUCUUUUUUCCAGAAAUCAACUAUUUUAUGCAUUGAAUAAAUCAUACAAAGAAAAUAUGAACGCCCGCAAAACCUAAACCCUGGUUGCUAACUUUCUAUGUUUCAGUUCUAUUCACGCAAGAAUAUUAGUUUAAGUUUGGGAAAAAUGGCAACUUACCUAGUGAUUACUUGGUUUUGGUUUGCGACUAUUUACGCAACCAACCAUGAGUUUGACUUUAACGUCAUGGGUUGAAGCCUCCUACAGGAAGGGAGAAAGCUCCACAGCUAGCUCCAAAAGAGAAUUAUCACAUUGAUAGCUCCAGAGAUUCCCAAGGGGACUGAAUCAAAGACAAGUUCCUCACUUUUUCUUCUUUUGAGGCCAAAUAUGAACCAAGGAUCACACAACCUCAUUCAACUUCAUAAGUUUGAUUUCAUGCAGUUGAACACUGGGUGAAGGCCAUGACAAGAAUUGAUUCAAAAAUUCUAUCACUCUUUUAAGUAAUGGAAGAUUAUUAUCUCUGAUUGGCAUCACAACAGCACAUGCUCCUAGAUCUUUCUAGACACUCCAUGCAAUGAAAGCACAAUGGAUCUUGUAACGAUAGAAACUAAGCCAUGCUACAGUACUAGAUGAUGAGGUAAAACUAGUAGACACGGGUGGCAGCCUAUAUGGGAGGGACACAAGUCUAAUUGAUUUGCAUUUCAGCAUUAUAGAUAGGUAUGUUUUGGAAGAUUUGUUCUGGAAAUACCGCACCAAGUAGGAUUCUUUUUCUCUUUAGUGGGUCCACUUGCAUGCCAAUUAACGAGUUGAAAAGUAUGAGCACCUACCUCGUGCUCGUGGAACCGAAGGUCAGUGAAGUGGGGCUCCUUUUGGCCUCGUGUAAACUUGAUUCAGAAGUGAAGUUAAUAGUCUUCCAUUCAGAUGGAUACAUGGGAAUUUUUCUCUUUUAUUUAUUUAUUUAUUUUUUUUUUGUGUGUGUAUGUCAAAGGAUAAUGAAUGAAGCGCGUUAGCUUGUUUUCUGACUGGAACCGCAGAUGUCCAAAUUGGAGUUCCUUCAUUUCUUACUUAGGAUUGUUACAUGUAUAAACAAGGUAUAAGAAAUAUGCCAACGUGUCUUGAGGAGUUAUUGAUUAGAAAUAACAAGUCACCCGACUGUAGAGUUCCAAGAUUUGAAUCUUCAGACCCUAUAGCAGCCUCUGGGGUACGUGGCAUCCUAUAGCAUAUUAAUGAAGGCUUUUUCGAUUUAGACUUCACAAUACCAAUUAAUAUGUAUGCACAAAAUGGAGAUGACCCCAAAAAAAACAGAAUCGCCAUAGUUUAUGAGGUUAAGGUGAUUCUCCACUUAAUAUCUACAUUAGCUAAUUAUGUAAAUCAAAUGAACUUCUAUUUUUCCUUUUUUUUUUUGGUUUAUGUCAAAUAGUAGCCCAUAAUUAACCCAACCAUUAGCCUGUUUGAAUUGAUUUCACAUGCACAAUGUUGUAGUAGUUCAUAUUUUGAAUUUUAUUUUUACAAAGGUAGUUAAGGAAAAUGAAGUAUAAUAAUUAUAAAAGCAGACUAUAUACACUACAAUAAUUGUUAGAAUGGUAUCUCAAAUUCUAAUUUAAAAUAUUAUUUUUUGUAAAAGAAAUAUUAUAUAGAAUAUUUCCUAAUUUUAUAAAUGAUUAUAAUUAGAUCUUUAUAAAAUAAGGAAAGUUGGUAAGAAUAUCUUUAUAAAUAUUUUAGGUCAUGAGAGAAAGAAAUGGGAUAAAAAUGUGAUGAAGAGGUGAAAUAAGAGAGUUGAUUAGGAUAUAGAUGUGAAGAAGAAAGGGAUUCAAUAUAUAUAUAUCUUUCAAUUACCACAUUAAAACCCUGUGAACCUUUUAUAUGGUUUACUUUAUUUUUAUAUUCCUCCUUUAAUAUAUUUACAUUAAUGCUUCCAUUGGCACAACAAUAACGAAUUACAAAUACAAGCAACAAGUCCCAUGUUUUAUUACCAAAAGCAGGUAAAAUCCACCUAAUAUAUUACAAUAUAUUCAUCCAAUAUUUUAGACCAAUUCUUCACCAUAAAUAUCAUAAUGUGGCUUUUGUUCUUUCUUAAAUUUAAAUUGAAUUGUCUUAUAUCAAUUUGUUUGUGAUUUUUUCAUUAACUUCACUUUCAUUUGGUUAUCUUUGGUUUUUGAAAAGUAUUAAGGAAUUAAUUAACAAAAUAAUGUUAAGAAAAAUAAUUUUCUCUCUUUUGAUUUUGAUUUUGUAGUAGAAAAAUAUAAUUAAAAUUAUUUAAAAAGUAUGUAAUUUUAAAUUAUUUAAUAUUUAGAUAAAAAAAAUAAGUCUAAUGAGUUUAAAAUAACAUAUAAAAAUAAUUUAUUUAUUUUAAAUUUAUUUUUUAUUUUCCAUUAUGUUCUCUUUCUCUUUUACUUUUUCAUAUUUUUUCUUACGAAGAAUCAAACACAACCUCAUAUUAUAUGUCAAGUGUUUGUCUAUAUUUGAGCAAUGUUAGAUACGGCCAUGGAUUCAUCAAACUAAACUGAUUUUAAUAGAUACUUCACAAAUUGAUUUAUACACUAAAUCAUUGGAUAGCAAUGAUGCAUUGGAAUUAAACGUAGGAUGAAGCUCGAAGAACACUGUUUGUGUAACAACAUAUUUAUGAAAUUAUGCAAAGGAUGAGCUUCGGGGUAGUAGUACAAGGUCAUUAAUGGAGAGCCGUGUUAAACCUUGAUUGUGAUUGGAUUCCGUUAUCAGCAACAGCAACCUUGUUUGUAACCUUGAAAGUCAUUCUGUCCACAUCGAAACUCCAAUUUGACGUUUGUAAUUACCAUUCCUGGAGUGUUCCUUGAUUGAAAUUUAAAUAAUAAUUGCGGCCCACAAGGAAUAUUUUCGAUUCUGUGGGAAUUUGACAAGGUUUGUUAGAGAAGACUGGUGACAUGUUGACUUCAAUGGUUCAAAUAGGAGACGUAUGUGGAUUUGGGGGGUUUAAUUGAAACUGAGUCCCUAUGGCUUUUUAAUAUUUGCAUUGAGCAGUCUCCAUGUGACUUCCUAAUUCCCACCAACCCUCCUGUCCAUGCUGUGAAACUAAAUUGUAAUUUAUCAGCCUUUGUCAAUGGUUUCUAAAUUAAAGAUAUAGACCAUGCAUGUACUUUAAUAAAAGCAAAUCUAAAGUGUAGAUAGCAGCAAUGGUGACACCCAAUAUUCUCCAUAAAAUAGAAUUAGAAUAAGCAGUGUUACAUUGUUCAUGAUCACCUACAAGCAUACAAGAACUUCCAUGAAUAACUCAUAGCAAUUGCCAACAGGGCGUCGUAGAGACUCAUACAUAGAACACUAUCCACCCAGAGGAAAGGACAAGACCAGUGCGCUGCAGCUCUUAUUUUUCACAUGUAUACCACCACUCGUAAUAACCAAAUUCACUCAGUUGGGAUAGGUGGGAGAUGGUGGUUUGUGGGGUGGCUUGUGGGGAGGAGUUGGAGGAGGCUUUAUUUUCUGAGGCGGCUUGUAUGAGUGUGCAGGAGGAUGCCCGGGAGUGUGACCAUAAUGUGGUGGCUUCUCUCCCGUAGGUGGUUUGCCAAAUGGGCUUGGUGGCUUCUCUCCCUUAGGAGGUUUACCAAUUGGGGUUGGUGGCUUGUGUUCUGGGAGUGGUUUCUCUCCCUUGGUAGGUUUGCCAAUUGGGGUUGGCGGCUUAUGUUCUGGGAGUGGCUUCUCUCCCUUGGGAGGUUUGCUAAUUGGGGUUGGCGGCUUAUGUUCUGGGGGCGGCUUCUCUCCCUUGGGAGGUUUGCCAAUUGGAGUUGGCGGCUUAUGUUCUGGGAGUGGCUUUUCUCCCUUGGGAGGCUUGCCAAUUGGGGUUGGCGGCUUAUGUUCUGGGGGUGGCUUCUCUCCUUUAGGAGGUUUGCCAAUUGGAGUCGGCGGCUUAUGUUCUGGAAGUGGCUUUUUUCCCUUGGGAGGUUUGCCAAUUGGGGUUGGCGGCUUAUGUUCUGGGGGUGGCUUCUCUCCCUUGGGAGGUUUGCCAAUUGGAGUCGGCGGCUUAUGUUCUGGGAGUGGCUUCUCUCCCUUGGGAGGUUUUGUUGGUGGCUUGUGUUCUGGAGAUGGCUUCUCCCCUGGAGGCUUGUGCUCCGGAGGUGGCUUCUGAAAUGGCGGGGGCUUGGGGUAAUGAGCAAGAGAUGGAGUACUGGUGAGAACCACCAUUCCAAGCAACAAUACUAGCAAGCAUGUGGGAGACAUCUUUGAGUAGUUGUAGCUAAGAUGGCGCAACACUGUAGGCAUUGGGUGGCCUUUUAUAAAGGGCUGGACCCAACAGCCAUAUGACACGUGUCAUGAUGACAAAUGA
This 232101-nucleotide long non-coding RNA is filed under the name Vitis vinifera (wine grape). Its description in RNAcentral is "long non-coding RNA (VVIN_LNC001392)". Lineage: Eukaryota; Viridiplantae; Streptophyta; Magnoliopsida; Vitales; Vitaceae. The record is from RNAcentral.